Molecule: long non-coding RNA, 219149 nt
Filed under: Vitis vinifera (wine grape)
Lineage: Eukaryota; Viridiplantae; Streptophyta; Magnoliopsida; Vitales; Vitaceae
Description: long non-coding RNA (VVIN_LNC001392)
Source: RNAcentral
UACAAAGAAGUUCUAAAAGACUACAAGAAAGAGUUUCCACUAAAGAAAAACAAUGAAACCAUUUCUACUAAAGACAAACAAUGAAACCACAGAUGCUUUGUGAAAUAUGUACCCGCACAAUCCAACAAACUUUAGAAAUUCACAAACACUACCUAGAAUUUUUGCUGACCAGCAAAAAAUUUAUGCAAUUUAAUUCUUAUUGUUAUUAUUAUUUUCAAUGUGAACAAAUAUGAUUGAAUUAUGAAGUAUUUGGCCAGAAGAGGAUCUUGCCUAAUUAUAGUCAUUAAACAACCAUUUAUACCAUAGCCUCUAGACUUUAAAAAGUUUAUAAAACUCAAGGGCUUCCACCCAAUUUCUAGAUAUCUCCAUAACAUUCUUCUGACUAUUAGAAAGCAAUUACCACUUUAAUUUUUCAUUUCAUGAGUGUUCAAUUCAGAAAAAGACCAGGAUCGAACUUGCGAUCAUGCAGUCGAAAAUCCACCUGUGCAUGAAACUAUUGCCUCACGAUUGCAAACUCAAGUUGGAGUCCAGUAACAACUCUAGGUUUGCUGAUGUGCUCCAUUUGAAAUAAAGGAACUAAAGAAUACUUUAUAAAGAUUAAUUACCUUCAUAUUUUAGGUUGGGGUUAAGGCAAAAUGUGAUAGAUUGAGAGGAAGAAAAUAUAUCUUGUUCAGGAAGCCAAUAUUUUGGAGUUCACCUUUCCAUUCGAGUCCACUCUGCUAUAGCAAAAUCAGAGUCACAACUAUGCCUCUUUAAGCUAUCCUUUAAUUGGAUGAAUUGCAGAUUUGGUUGCUGAGAAAGUGGAUAAGAAAGAAAAAUGCAUACUGUAGCUUGAGAUUAAGAGUUUGUUUUCUAAAAUGAGAGAAAGGGAAAGAGAAAAAAUGCAUAUUGUAGCUUGAGAUUAAGGGUUUGUUUUCUAAAAUGAGAGAAAGGGGAAGAGAAAUGUUCGACAACUUUGAGAUGACAAAUUUUUAGAUUUGGAAAAUUUGAGAUGAGUCUCAGGUUUUUUUUUUUUUUUUUUUGUCUUUGUCUUUGUUUUUUUUUUUUUUUUUUGUUUUUUUCCCAAAAACAACCUGUUAAUGUGGUUGUUGACAUAGAAGUGGGUGAGGGCAAAAUGGGCAUAGAAAAAAGAGUCAACACAAAGUGCACAAAACCCAUAUUAUUUUCCACAUUAAUGACUGAUUCUCAUAUUUCUUGUUCUUGGGAUUUGAAAACCAUAUUAUUUGCAAAUGGACCUCCCAAAGCACAGGUUUCCCUUAGUUUUAUGUCUCCAUCUACAUUUUACAUAUAAAUAGAUUAUUUUAUAAAAUUUGUUUUGUAGAUAUAUUAGUUAAUAAUUAUAUAAUUAAUGAUAUAGAAAACAUAUAAAAAUCAUAUUUAAAAAAGAUAAUUACAUAUUCCUCAACAAUCCAUCCCAAGAAUUCGAGGUUGAGUUGAAAACAUGUAGAGUCUUUGAUGUUAUUAUAAUCAUAUCCAACACAUAUGAUUAUUGUUUAUGAGAUAUUAUUAGAAAGUUUGUCUUAAAAUAAUUGAUUUAUUACCCACCUUUAGCAAAUGCCCAUUUUUGCGUCUUUCAAAAUUUUCAUUUUUUUUUUGUUUAAAAGAAGUAUUGUAAAGAAUGAUGAAAUAAGAAAUUUGUUGAGAAAGUGUGAGUAAAUAAUUUUACAUAAAAAGAGAUUUAAUACUUGAUAAAUAAAAUAAUAAAAUCAUGAUUUCUAGUUGUAUAGGGCCGGGUGGAUGGAGUGGCUAAGAUGUAAUUCUUGAAAUAGAGGAGACAACAUCAAUGUAUAAAAGUUUAACAGAGAAGGAAAGUGUGUUUGAAUGACUUUAUUUUCUUCAUUUAAAGUUUUGACGAUGAGUGUUUAUACAAGAUAAAUUUUCAAAUGAUAGGACUCCUAUUUACAUGGAGUUUGUGAUAUACUAUGAUUAUACAAAUUUAAAAUUCAAACAGAUUCAUGAGUUGAUAGGAGUCUGCUCAAUACGCCCCUUCAAAAUGGUGGGAGAUAGCACACCAAUCUUGACUCGAAGGGCCUAAACUCGUGCAGAAGAUGAGGGCUUUGUUAGAGCAUCGACAAGUUGAUCCGUGGUUGACAUAUGGGACACCUUGAGCUCACCUGAUUAAACCUUGUUUCAAACAAAAUGAAAAUCAAUCGCCGAUGUGUUUCAUGGAGAGUGAAACAUGGGAUUUGCACAAAGAUAUGUUGCACCCACGUUAUCACAAGAGAUAGGAGGUGGUGAUAAAUUUGAAACACUAAGUUUUGAGAGAAGAGAAUUAACCCAAAGAACCUUUGAGGCUGUAGAGGCCACGACGUGAUAUUUCGCUUCAGUGGAAGAGCGUGCUAUGAACUUUUGUUUCCUCGAUGACCAAUACACAAGAUUGUGACCAAGAAAAACAAUGGGAGCAUUGGUGGAGGAUCUGACAUAAGGAUUCCUUGCCCAUUCAACAUUCGAAUAUGCAUGUAGAUUGAUGGGCGAUUUCUUAUGCAAGAACAGACCAUGCACCAUUGUGCCGACUAAGUAUCUAAGCAAUCUUUUAACACAAGACCAAUGUGUUGAUGUUGGAUGGUGCAUAAAUUGAGAUAAUUUAUUCAUCAAGAAGGUGAUGUCAGGGCUAGUAAGAGAGAAGUAUUGAAGGCUUCCAACAAUUGACAUAUAUUUAGUGGGACCAGGAAAAGAGGUGUCAUCACACAGAUUUGGAACAUUGUUGAGGAACAUCAAUGAUUGAACUGGUUUGGUAGCCACCAUUUGUGUUUUCUUAAGAAGCUCUCGAAUGUACUUGAGAUAAAAAUAAUCCUUUGGAAGUAUGUAUCAUUUCAACACCAAGAAUAAAAGAUGAAGUCCUGAGAUCCUUAAUGGAGAAUUUGACUGCUAAUUGAGAGAUCACGCGAGCACGAAAAACAUUAUUGUUACUUGUUAAAAUAAGAUCAUCAAUAUAAAUAAGUAGGUAAACAAUGAGACCACUCUUUUUAAAAAUGAAGAGGGAUGUCUCGGUUUAGGAGUUGACGAAGGCUAUUGAGAGGAGAAAUUGGCAAAGUUCAUGAUACCAUGAUCGUGGAGCUUGUUUAAAGCCAUAAAAAGCCUUACAAAGUUGGCAAAUGUGAUGAUGUGUGUAUUCGUGAACCCAGGAGGUUGAAUCAUGUAAACAUCUUCAUGAAGUGUCCUAUGCUAGAAUGCAUUAUUAAUGUCCAAUUCAUGAGUUGAUAGGAGUCUGCUCAAUACAAUGUGGGAGUGUGAUUUCAAAAUUAGGGUAAUUUCGAAAUGGAUUUUGUAUUCACAAGUUGAAUUUCAAAAUUAUUUUGAAAUGGUCUUUUAACUUUAAGCAGUUGUGUUCAAAAGGUCAUAACUUCUUCGUUUCAAUUUUGAUUUACACAUUGUUUAAAACAUUGGACUCUUUACUUCCCGAGCUUCAAAACGAUAUAUAGUAUGCUCAAAAAUGACAUCAGGAUUGGUUCAAAUUUCAUCUUGAUAUUAGAGUACAUGUUGUGAUUAGAUUUUGAGUUCCAAAUUUCCAUGUAAACUUGAUUGCAUUUGCUUCAAACCUCCUUCAUUAUGGUUGCUUGCCCUCUAUCUCACUUUGCAACAUUUGUUACUAGUAUUUUAUGUCCAUGACUUACUCAUUUCAACCUUUCUUGGAUUCUUCAUGGUUCACAAAUUAUGGAUUCUUCAUGGUUCACAAAUUGAGUCUUUCAAUUAUGCAUGUUUAACUCCUAUUUCCUUGGUUGAUAAUGACUUUUACACUUAUCAUUUUCUUUUAUUCUUUAAACCUGAAUUUAGACUUACAAAAAAAAGUUAGAUCCAUAACUAGGGUCUUAGCAUCAAUUUGAGUUAAGUUGGAUGAUUUGAAAAUUUUAUAUUACAUAAAUCAUAUCAUACAUGUGCCAUUGGAGUGCACAUUUUGGCUCUAAUCAUGUUCCAACCCAUUGUUUUACUCUUGCAUGAAGUAUGUGGCCAUUGAUUUUAAUUUUAUUUGCGAUUAGGUUCAAAAUGGUGCUUUUGUGUUGCUCAUGUGUCAUCAGAAGAUCAACUAAUGGAUUCUCUAACAAAACUACUACAUCAUAGUCAUUUUUUUUUUUCUUAAGACCAAGAUUGAGAUCUCCAAUCGGAGCCAACUCCAUCUUGGGGGCAUGUUAGUGAAAGAUAAAAUUUAUCUUUAAUUUAAAUAUUAAUAUUUAUCAGUUAUUAGUUUUAAUUAGAGUAAAAGAUAGAGUUUAAAUUGGAGUAGGAGAUAAACUUGUGUUUGAACUAGAAUAGAAGAUAAAGUAUAAAGAUUUAUGUUUGAAUUAGAAUAAAAUAUAAAGUUUGAAUUAGAGUAGAAGAUAAACUUGUUCUUUAUUUGUAUAUAAAUAUUCAUCAAUUCUUGAGAAGAAGAUUAUUUCAUAGUUUUUCUAUCUUCUUUUUUCUUCAUACAUAUCUGCAAGAAAUUGAAGAUUUCAAGUAAAAUAUUUUCUGUUUUAAAUAGUGAAAAAAGCUAGAAAUUCACUUUGUUAUCUCUUGGGGUAAAUUGACAAGGUUUAACGUUAAGAAGGUGAAUUAUUUUUUCAGAAAAACUGAAGUAGCUAGGAUAUCUGGCCAGUUGUGAUCGAUAAAAAAGUUGUAAAAUCUCUCAUAUACUAAACAGGUUUUGGAUGUUGGUAUGGUAAAUCCAUCUGCAGUCAUUCGUCAUCUCAUCUAGUGAGAUGUUUGGGAGGUGGUGACCGCCGGAUUGGGUUUCAUUUGGUUAAAUCUGUCAGUGGGUUGGCUACUACCCGAGCCUCUUGCUUUGGGGGAGGUGGGUUCUAGAUAUAAUGUUCAAACCAUUUUAGUUAUCAUAUGCAUGACAUGUAAGCAUAAUCUCUUUAUCACUUCUUCAAUGGGAGUUCAUGGUUAGGAAUUGACUUCUUUUCUUCUGGGAUGCUUGGCAUGUAAUGGACAAAGUUACUUUUAUAUCGAUCGAAUUUCUAGUAUUAUAGUGAAGACUUACCCUUUUGACAUUUUAUAUCGAAUUAUAGAAGAUGAAAGGGACAUACAUGCAAUCGACUGACGCUUUAGUGAAUAUGCUGAAAAUAUGCUGAUGCUGUGGAGAUCGUAUGAGGACAGAGGAAAAAGAUAGAAAUGGAUAUAUAAUUAGACCUAGGUUUUUAUUAAAUGAGAUGGGGAACAUAGAGUGAGGGAAAAUCAAAAUUUUUGGCUGCAGUUCACAUUGGUGAUAUUUUGGAUUGACAAAGACUAACGACUUUUCUAUUUUUCUUUUCGGCCUGACUGGAUAGUUGGACAUGGACAAUACAGAAUCCACAGAAGGAUUGUUGGGACCGCUGAAAAUUAGCUAGAAGAAGCUGAGGAAGUAGUCUACGUAGUCAAAUACCAAACACAAAGAAAGAAAGAAAUGGAUAUCAUGGAUGCCUAGAGUUAUACUCCUAAUACCGUCACAGGUAUUUUUCUUUCCUCCUUUUUUUUUCUACGAUAAUUAGAGCAUUUCUCCUCCUCCUCCUCCUCCUCCCCCCACCCCACCACCAAAAAAUAAAAAAAUAAAUUAUUGCAAGUAACACUUCAAAUAUUAAUUUAUACAUUCUAAAGUAUAUAUUCAUGAAAUAACUUGAGUAUCAUACAUUAGUUCUCAAAAAAAAAAAAAAAAAAAAAAAAAAAUUACUGGAAGAGAAAAGUUUAAGAAAACAUAAAAAUAUUCAACUACUAUUUUAAAGAGAAAAUUUAAUUUUUACACUAUAAAUUUGAAGAGAACUUUUACAUGCAUCUUAUAUAAACUACCAUUUUUUGCUAAAAGGCUUAAAUUUGUCAAAAAUACCCCUUAGGUGCUUAACGUUCUGGUCAUAAUAUAAUUGGCAUCUUUUCUCAAACAUAAGGCCUGUGUGUGGGAACAAGAUUUAAUGUUAAUGAGCUUCGCCACCGACAUUUAGUUCCAGAAAUCAUUAUUUUAAUAGAGUGGGCUCAAUUUACAACUUUAAUUAAACUCUAACCAACUGCAUUGUGAAAUGAAUAUGUUUCUUUCGUGGUGAAUCCAAUGAGUUGGGAGUCAAACUUUGCUUCAUUGUGUAUAGAUGAAAUGUUAAGACUCCAUGUAACCUCAAACAUUUCCGCAAUNNNNNNNNNNNNNNNNNNNNNNNNNNNNNNNNNNNNNNNNNNNNNNNNNNNNNNNNNNNNNNNNNNNNNNNNNNNNNNNNNNNNNNNNNNNNNNNNNNNNUUCUUUCGUGGUGAAUCCAAUGAGUUGGAGUCAAACUUGCUUCAUUGUGUAUAGAUGAAAUGUUAAGACUCCAUGUAACUCAAACAUUUCCGCAAUGAGCGGGAGUUCUAAAUUUAAUAAUUGAAAUUGUCAGUGGAACCAGUGGACAAGAGUUGGUUUGUGGUUGACAAACUUAUCCGUUUGAUCUUUACUUGAACAGUUCCAGUGUGUGGAUGGGUACUGAUGAAGUGUGCGCAUUUAUUUUGAGAAGCCUGCUUGUUCGCAUAGAUUUUAACGACAUGAACAUUGUGGUAAGGUUAGAGAGUAAUGCGAAUGUAGGAGCUUAUAUUAGAAAUGACACAAACACGUAAAUAGAAGUAAUCUAUAUAUGAUAUUACUCAUGGACUACAAGCAAAGAAGUACAAUACAUGGAGUAAGUGAUGAAAUGAGCAUUCCUCACUACUACUGCUUGACUGAUGGAACAUGAUGCACGAGAUAGCAUAAGUAGUAGUAGGAAGCAGCUCUUAUUUGUGGCGUCGGUAUACAUCAUACUAGGUAGAUGGUUCAAUUGGCAUGGAUGGGUGGUGGAGCCUUGAAGUGCUUGUGAUGGGGAGCCCACGGCUUCUUCUCAGGAGUUGGUGGCUUCUUGUAUGGAGUUGAUGGAGGUGUUUCUACUGGAGGGUGGCCAGGGUAGUGACCCUGGGGUGGUGAAGGUUCUUUUGUCGGUGGUGGCCUCACUAUUAUUGGCGGUAGAGUUGGUGGCUUGGGCGUUGGCGGUGGUCUCACUACUCUUGGGGGUAGAGUUGGUGUCUUGUGUUUUGGUGGUGGAGGUGGCUUAACAGGAGUUGGUGGCUUGUAUUCUGGGGGUGGUUUCUCCACCGGAGGUGGCUUAUAAACUGGAGUUGGUGGCUUGUAUUCUGGGGGUGGCUUCUCCACUGGUGGUGGCCUGUAAACAGGGGUUGGUGGCUUAUAUUCUGGGGGAGGCUUCUCCACUGGAGGCGACUUAUAAACAGGGGUUGGUGGCUUGUAUUCCGGGGGUGGCUUCUCUACGGGAGGUGGCCUGUAAACAGGGGUUGGUGGCUUCUCCACCGGAGGUGGCUUAUAAACGGGGGUUGGUGGCUUGUAUUCUGGGGGUGGUUUCCCCAGUGGUGGAGACUUGUAAACAGGAAGAGGUGGUUUGUGCUCAUAUGGGGGUGGCUUGUGGUCAUUAGCAAGUGAGGGAGUGGUGAGGACCACCAAUCCAAGGAACAACACGAGUGAGCAAGCAGAAGACAUGUUUGGGCUCUGGUGAUGCACAAGUAGAAGAAAUGGGAACCAUUUAUAAUGCUUCGAGACCUUGGUUAGCACCAAAAUAUGUCAAAAUCUUGAUUACUUCAUUUCAUACAUAGAUUUAAAAUUAUUUCAAUCAACCAUGAUCCUUAAUUUUCUGGGUGGUCCAUAAAUGUAAUGGGGUCAAUUUGGGACCUAACAAGCUGAGAAGUUUGACAAUGCUGCAAGGCUUCAUCCGAAAGUCCGGGGAAGAAUAUUAGGAGUUACACUCCGUUUCCUUUUUUGGGUGCAUUUUUCUCCUUUAACAUUCUAUUCCCUUUUACAUUAGCAUUUGAUCUUAGCUCAUUUCAAGUACAAGUUUCUUGAACCCUAUACCAUUGUCAAAGUUGAGUAACCAUCUCUACUUUGCUCAAGAAACAUAAAAGACAAUGACAAUAAAGAAAAAGGAGAGAGACCAUACGUGACUUGGUUUAUAGGUGGCUUUGUGUUGACAUUUGAGUAUGGAAGCCGACAUGCAUCUUAGCUUCGAUUUUAAUUAAAUUUGUACAUUAGUGUCUGUGUCAUUCAUUUUGGUAUAAAAGGUCUCUUGAUUUCGUAAGUUUGGUAAGAACCGUUGAAAAUAGCAGUAGCAGCACAUGGUCCACUUUCUUUCACAAAAUAAUUUUAAAAGUUUAGAAGCAUAGGAGGUAACAUUAGUGGCCUUGUGGCUCAGCCACGAGUACUAUGUGGUGCUCGAGAAAUUGAGUUUAAUUUCCUUCCGAUAGUUCAUGAUAAGGUCCGUCACUGUCCUGAGACAGAUUGCGUUUUUUCUUUUUUCCUUUUUUAGUGUUUUAUUGACUAGCUAGGUGUGACUUUUCCUACUUUAAGGCACGAGGCAGAAAAGAAACUGGGAUUUAGUGCUUAAGAAGGCAAAUUUAAUUCGAUUUGGAUCUAAAAUUUGCCAGCAACAUGAGAUUUUCCAGCCUAUCGUUGCUCCACAUAUAGACAAGGCACUUGUAGAAGUGGCUUGUUUGUAGCCAUUCCCGAUAUUUGGACUCACUUGAUUCACCGGACACUUUGAUAAAAUUUAAUAUUUAUUAUUUAAUAAUUUAAAUUGAUUUAAAAUUAAAUUAUACCGAAGUUGUGAUUUAAAAAUUAUUAUUUAAUUCUUACUUUUAAAUAUGAAGAUUAUUUGAUAAAAAUAAUUUAAAAUUUAUUAUAAAUUAUCAAAUUAACAUAUUUAUCCUUAUAAAUUAUAAUUAAAACAGAAAAGGUCAAAUGAUUUGAGUAUCCAUAGAUGUGGUAAAAUAAUAAAAAAGAUUAUAAAAACAAUUAUGAUAAAUAAAGAUAAAAAGUAAAAUGAAUAUGUGAAUUUAAAGAAUAAAUUAAUUAUUUUUAUUUAUUACUUAAAAUUAUUUUUGACUUUAAAUUAUAUUAUUAAAUUAUUUUACCAAACAUACUUAAUUUAGUUAAUAAUUUAAAUUUAAUUUAAGUUAUUAAAUUGAUUCACCAAAUACCCACUUAAUCAAAGACUGAAGUAUACAUUAUUUGGCCAAAUGCAGCUAUUGAAAUUUAACUUUUUCCAAACUUAUUCAUUUUGUGGAAAUAUUUUUAGAAAUGAUUUUAAAAAUGCACUAUUCUGUGUGUUGAUUUUAUAUUUUGGCAUUAAUCCAACAUAGAAAACGGUUCUUAUUUUCGCUGUUAAAUAGGUACCAGAUCCUUAAUUAGUGCCGUGAAUCCGGCAGCUUCCAAUGAGUAAUUUGGACUUGGGUAUUGACAAUGUGUGGCCAUGCUUCUACUAUUUUAUUAUUCUUGAAACAUAUAUGAUAUAUUGGACUUUAUACAGGGAAAAAAAAAAAAAAAAGUCUUCACCAAAAAUGAUUCCUCCUAAAAAAUAGACUCCACAAACUAGGUUUAACAGGAAAAUGAUUCUAAUCUAGUAGUUUCCAGCCACAUGAGCAUUUACGUAACAAUAGUAUAGUUGAUAACGACUUUUAUUUUAUUUAUUUUUAAAUAGUUAAAGGGAUAAUUUUUGAGCUUAAAUUUUAUUUUUUUAUUUAGAAACAUUUUACUUUAUUUUUUAAUCAUAAUUCUAUUAUAUUAAUGUUUUAUUUUCUAUUUUUUAAUAUAUAAGGAGAUACUAAAUUUAUGUGAUUAUUUUUUAAAAAUUUAGUAUAUGAAAUUAAAUAAUUGGAUAUAUAUACAUAUAUCAUAUAAUGUUUUUUAAGUGUGAUUUUUGAACUUUUUAGUCAUUUUAUAAGUUUAAGCUUUUGAUUUUUUUUUUUAAACUUUGGUAUUUUUUAUUUUAUAUAAAACUAUUUUGAUUUAAUUUUAUUAAAAAAUAUUGGUAUUAUAAAUUAUUGUAUUAAUUAUUUUUUUAUAUUAUAAUGUAACUGGUAUAUACUAAAAAAUGUAUGCAAGUUCAAUUUAAGUUUCAAAUUAAAAAAUUUCAUUUAAAUAUUUAAUAACUUGUUCAUAAUAAAAAAUUAAACAACAUAAUACAAAUGAAAAGAAACAUAAAAGAAAAAGGAAAAAAUGGUCCUCUCUGUGUGUCACAUUACUAGGUCAUCCUCUUUUUCUAUGACCCUUACAAUAGAAUGGCAUAUUUGUCAAAUCUACUUAUGAAAGUUGGAAUGUUUCUACAUGUGUAGGGUCCAUUGGAACUAAUGGAGGAAAGGCUUAACGUCUAUGUAAAUCACAACGUUGCCUAGGUGGGCAUAGAUCUAGUUGUGUAACAUGAGAUGGUGUGAGAGUACAAUAUAUGCAUUGUAGUCUCUAUGGGAAGAGAGAUAGGUAAUGGUAGGGUGGUAGACGGUAGGGUGAUCUCUAAUAUAAUGACAUUUGAUGUGGUGGCUUCUAAGAGAGGAGAUAUAAGAGAUGGUAGAAUGACAUUUGGUGUAAUGGUCUCUAGUGCAAUGACAUGUGAUAUGGUGACCUAUAAAGAAGAGAUAUAGGUGAUGGUGAAGUGGUAUGUGGUGUAGUGACCUUUGAGAUAGAAAAUAGAGGUAAUGGUAGGUUGGCAGGUGGAGUGGUCUUUGGUGUAGUGACAUCAAUUAUAAAUGUCUCCAAGGGAGGAAAUAAAGGUGAUGGUAGGUAGUAAAUGUUGAGGUGGUCUUUGAUAUGUUAUGCUCUAAGAGAGAAGGUAUAGGUAAUGAUAAUAGGGAAUUUGACAUAGUGGUGUUGGAAAUAAAAAGUGAAAGUGACCGUAGAGGUGAAAGGGCAAGUGUAAAAGCCUCAAGUACGAAUGGAGUAAUUAAUGUGGAUGGUGCUAACAUAGUCUUAGGUGGAUACACAAAUAGUCAUAGUCAUCAACUAGCUUGCCCACCAUCUGUCUUUCUGCUAGUGAUAGGUUACAUCUUAAUAGUAAUGGCCAACAUAAGUGGUGUGGAUCCGAUUUUUUUACGUGUGUCCCCACUCAAUCGACAAGACUUAUUUUUUAUUAGUGAAAAAUUAAUUUUGGAAAAGUUGGAGUCACCACUUAUUUUAUUUUAUUUUAAAAAGGAAAGUAAAACAAGAAAGAGAACUCUAAAGAAGUGACUUCAUAGUUUUGGAAAAGUUAGUCUUAAAAAAUCCAAGUCUUGGUCCGGAGAUCAGGUUACUUAUUGGGAAGAUACCUCUAAGAGGUAAUACCCCUCUAAACCCUAAAGAAGUCUCUAAUGACUAAGUUGAGGAGAAUGUGGUAAUUAAUUAAUUGAUUGAGGGUACCUAGGUAGACUAAGGUGAUUUCAGAAUUAACAUACCAAGCUAGAAAGUCCAAUCAUGAUCAUAAAAGAGAGUCAAAGUAUGUACCUGAACUGCUUCUCAAACGCUAUCAUAAAACAUCAAAGUUAGUAUAGAAAUAUAACACAUAAUAUUUGUUUUAUCCAAGCAAAUAAAGCAUACAUCUAAGCACCCAAGAAUCACAUCAAGUAUGGAUAUAGUCAUCAAUAGCAUACGUGUCCAUAGAACUAUCGAAAGUAAAUGUGGAGGAGCGUAUCUGGACAACAUAGAUAACUUAUAAUGUGCUUCCACAAGACAUGGGGGUUAGAUAAAAGUUAUAAUAAUAAUUAGUAAAUGAAAGAAUUCUAGCAUGUUUGGUAUCUAAAUAACAUAGCAAAAAUGAACAAGAGUACACGAAAACAUCAAUUAUCACACGAGUCAUAUUGGCUAGUAUUUAAUCAAUAAACCAACAAUAAAUGACUAUAAACAUAUAAAAUGACAUAUUCAAAGAGACCCAAACAUAAAGAGCCUAGAACACAAGCUUACACUAAAUUUAGAAAACUAAAACAUGGAAUUUUAAAAGCAUAAAUUAGCAAACAAAUUGAUGGAAACUAAAUUUAGAUAACUUAAGAAUAUUUUUCUUAUCCUUCAAUUUAAAUCAGUAAGCCAACAAUAAAAAAUUAUAGAAACAUGGAAUAUCAAGAUCAAUGGGAUACCUAAACUAUAAUUUUUAAAAGAAAAUAAACUAAGCAUAAUAUCUACAAAGCAACUAAACUAACAUUUUUUUAAAAAUAAAUUAAACAUGACAUUAAUGGAGUAACCAAACUAAAUUAAAGUAAACUAAAAACAUUUAUGAAUUUUCAAACAUGGAAUCAGCUUUCUUAGUAAAUUAAAAUUAUUAAAAUAAAAUCUAAGCUUAAAAAUGAAUUAAAUACUAACUAAAGCAAAUCUAAAACCAAAUAUUUAACACAUAGGAUCAAUUAUAUUAACAAACUAAAAUUUUAUAAGAACACUUAAACCUAAAGUUGAAUUAAAAACUAACCAAUUUUUAAAACUAGAUCUUUAACCCAUAGGAUCAAUUAUAUUAACAAAUAAAUAAUAAAUAAUAAAUAAAUAAAACUCAAACCUAAAGAUGAACUAGAAAUGUACCAAAGUAAAUUCAAAACAAGAUCUUUAACACAUUAGAUCAAUUAUAUUGACUAACUAAAAAAAAAAAAAAAAAACACUCAAACCUGAAACGAUGUAUUAGAAACUAACCAAAGCAAAUUUAAAAUAGAGUCUUUAACACAUAGGAUCAAUUAUAAUCACUAACUUAAAUUACAAUUUUUGAAACAUGAACUAAUUAGUGUUGGAUUAAUUAAACUAAUUAACUAAAAAAAACUAUAAACUAGAAUACGGUGAAUCAAGAAUUCAAAUCAACAAACAUAAAAUAUGGGUACAAUGAAAUGAAAAUCUAUUAAACUAAUAAGACGGAAAUAUGACAAACUCAUGAACCCACAUUUUGAUCAACUAGGAAAUAGAAAUUAAUAGACCUGUAGCAUGGAUACAAUGAAAUGAGAUCAGUUAAAUUUAUUUGCCGAAAUUCUAAAAAACACAUACACUCAAAUAAGAUCUAAAUCUAAGACCAAGCAAAACUCAAACUUUCUCAAUCUAAUGCAAUGAAUCAAAACUAAAAUUAAAUAGAAAUCAAACCAUUUUUUUUUUAUCUAAUAUAAUAAAUCAAAGCUAAAACUAAACAAAAUCGAAUUUUCUUAAUUUAAUAUGAUGAGUCAAAGCUAAAAUUGAACAAAGUUCAAACCUUUAUAUAAUGGAUCAAAGUUAAAUCUAAAUGAAAUCCAUACUUCCACAAUUUGAUAUAACAAAUCAAAAAUAAAACUAGAUAAAAAAAAAGUCAAAGCCUUUCAACUUGACAUAGUGAAUCCAAACUGAAACGAAACAAAAUUUUAACUUUUCCAAUGAAACCCAAUAUAGAAAAAAUUAGCUUACCUUCUUUAGAAUAUAUGUAUGGGCCAUAAAGAAGUCACCUUGGUGCAUGUGUUCCUCACUUUGACGCCAAUGGACGACUUUCUAUGGUAGCAAAUGGAGAUCCUUUUUGGUGGUAACUUGCGUGUGGAAACCUAUGGUACAACCAAUGUCAUCUUUUAUUGUGCGUGUGGACCAAUUUCUUCUCGAGAACUCAUGUGUGUUGUGCUCAAAAUAUGUUGCCUGUGAGAAUCUAUUGGUAUACCCCACAUAUGGUUUCCUUGAGAGAAUCUGUGGUUGUGUGUGGGCGUUUUCUUCAUGACAGCAUGUGGAUGUUCCCAUCUAUGGUAGAUUGGUUGUGAUGCUUUAGUGCAUGGUCUCCAUAGGAAUAGUGUGUUAUGGAAAUUUGGUUUUUUUAUUGGUGCAUGUUGUCUAGACUUUCCCAUAUGCGUGGACUGUGUGUUCAUGCUUUUCUUUUCGGAUGGUCGCCUGUGUUAAUGUGUGGCGGUGUCUACAAUGAAAGAUACAACCCUUUCUCUCCUUCUGCGUGAUAGAAAAGUCAAUCCCCCAUGGUGCGACUAUGUUCCCUCGUCCUUUUUGAAAAAUUUUGGUGUUUUCCCCCCAAAAAAUCCCCUCCAAAAAUCUAAUUAUAAAUGUCUGCUUUGGCCUAAUGUGUGUGCUACUUUUUUUUUCCUUCUUUUUAUGGUUGUGCGUGCUUUUCUUGAUACGUGGCUUAUUUCUUAAGGAUAUGAUUCGCUCCCAAUUGGUGUCUCAGCUGAUUCAUGUCCUUUCAAUGGUCCCUGACAGUGGUGCCAUUUGAUUCGUGUCCAGCUGGUGUCCCUUGAUUGUGGUCCUCAGAAGGGAGUAAUCAAUAAAAUUUAUAACCUAUUACACCAUGUAUUAGGAUAGCCUUAGCUAGCAUAGCAUAGUGGCUCUAGGGUCGUUUAUUGGGAUGAGUUUUCACUUCACAAUUGAUAUUAAUUCAAGAGCUGAAUUGGUGCCUUUUCAUUUCAAGGUUAGCUUUAAAAGAAAACAUAAUCUUUGGUGGAAAAAGGUUUGGUUUUAAACUAACCAAAAAUAGUAACUGAUUUUACUUACAAAGAAAAGUGUUCUUUGGAGUUUAGAUCACUAGGCUCAGGUUCCUCAUACAAAAAGGAGAGUUCCGAUCAUUUGUUUCUUUUCCUCGCAUUAGAGAAUUAACAUAUAGUUAAUUCUCUAACCGGUGCGGUACAUAUGCUUCCCAUUAAUGGGUUCAAACACUAAAUACCUCUCACUGAUGCACCUUGCAAUGGCUCGUGCCUCUCACCUAGCAUUUAUCAUUCAAGGUGAUCUUUAACCUUGGAUUACCCAUCAAAAGCUCGCAAGAGAUAACUAAAGGAUGUCUCCUUAGAGUCCAAAAGCUUACCAAGUGUUGGUUAUUCUAGAAAAUCCUACCUUCAAACCACCUCCCAAAGGCUCGCAAGAGAUAAACAAGUGCAUCUCAAUGGAUGAAGAUCACUUGCCUUACCAAGUUUUGGCCCAGAUGAUUUAAUGACAUUUUAAGUUAACUAAAAAGAUAAAAACCAUUAACGGGUCACACUUUCUCUUCAUUAAAAACUAAAACAACAAAACUUCCAAUUUAUGCAUGAGGAAACUUACCUGGCUUUCUUCACUUCAAGAGAUGAAGAGCCUAGCCACUCAUCAUUUGAGGAAAAAUCCUCAGAGUUUGAUUUGCUAGAAAUAAAAAUAAUGAGAAAACAAAAAUAUAUAUAUGAAAAACAGAGCAAGUUCUCUGUAAUAUAUUUUUCUUCCUUAUACAAAAGGUUGUCUCUAAGAACAAGUUCCCGAGAUCUAUCUGAUUGUAAAUAAAAUUACAACUAUAUAUAAGAGGUUAUUCACCCCUUUGUUCUUUCUUAAAGACUAAGGAAUCCUAUGAUAGGUGGGUUACAAGGAGAGUUUGGGGAUUUAGACAUCAAAUAUCUAAAGCAAAAUAUCUCAAGAUGUUAGUCGGAAAUAUCAGGAAGCUUCAGGAGAACACCGCGACACUGUAUACUGAGAGAAAAACUCUCCGGGUAAGCUCUAUCAAAGGAUCCAGACAUGUCUGACUGGGAAAGUUGAAACGUCCUUCUCUCCCAUCCGGAUGUGAGAUAUCCGGAGAAAGUGAAAUGUCGGUCGGACAGAAUUCUUUCCCCGGGUGGAAUGAGUUGUGUUGCGCGUCGCAAGGGGGACCGUCUGCGUGUACAAGUUGUAGGGACCCCUCUCCCGGAUGACACCGAGCGCGUAAGGCUAUCCGGAUCAACUCCAUUCGGAUUCCCCAAGAGGACAUGUGGCGUGCUCCCCUAUCAGGACUCCCUUAGGGAGAAGCACACGACACUCGUGAACAUCAUACCCGGACGAUAGCAUGUCCUAUCCGGAUGUGUUGUCCGGAUCAUUGACUAAAGUGAGCAAGCCUUGCUACGUCAUUCGGACAGCUUGCCACAUACCAUGUUCCGUCGCCAUCUGAUGGUGUGUCCGAACGCCUUGUCCGGACAUCUUUUGCUCCUUGCAUUCCGGAUUUGCUUAUGACAAAGGACUUCAAAGCUUCGGUUCUUCAUGUUUCUGAGCUUUCCAUUGCUUUGCCAUGGAUUCCAAAGAACUCUCCUUAAUCACGGAUUGCUUUGGUGAUCAAAAAGUUAUCAAAACACAAAAACUUAACAUAGUUUGAUUAGAAUUGAUUGCAAGGGUUCUUAAUAUGUUAAUUGGGUUAAAAGGUGAUAACUACUACUCAAAAGUGUUUAUAAGAAUUAAUUACAAGCUAUGAAAUAACACUUUUUGAGUAGUAAUCAGGAUACAUCCUAGUUUUUCAUGGAAUUGAUAGUGGGUUGUUGUGCAUGAAUGCCACCAUUUCAACUAUGCUGUUGUUAUUUUUAAAAAAAAUAUGGAUUAUGCGCGAGUGGCAAUUCUCCACUAUGGAAAGUGGAUUGCUCCUUCAACCCAUGCAUGGCUACGUAUUCCUAUGUCUUUCUACUUGUGUUUGAUCCUCCAAAAAAAAUUUCGGUUUAGUGCUAGUAGAUUUUAAGUGGUGGAUCCCCAUUUUUUGAAAAUGAAGUGGCAGCCUCCCAUUUCAAGACAAAAUGGUAGCCUGCCUUUAAUCUUUGGAGAAAAAUCUGUGCAUGACCUUUUUUUUUCCCAAAAAAUCCGUGCAUGGUGUCCUUUAAUAUUUGGAGAAAAAUCUAUGUUGGAUCUUUUCUUUUCUAGAAACAUUUGUGUGGUCUUUUUUGUUAGCCCAAGGGUUCUUCUAAUCAAGUUUUGAUGAUAACAAACCAUGGUUAAGUGACUAAUUGGUUUAAUGAUUAAGAAUCUCAAACAUAAAAUCGAAAAUUCAUCAAAGGACCAAAUGGAUACAAGAUCGAGACGCUUGGAAGACUUGUAAUCAUAGGAAACUAAUGUAAGAUGAAUGCAUGAGUGCACUUAGGAUUUUCACACGUUUCAUGCAACUUAGAAAACCCAGUUUAUUCUUUAAAACUUCAUCCCAGUUUAUUCUUUUUAUGGUUGUGUGUGCUUUCCUUGAUACGUGGCUUAUUUAUUAAGGAUACAUCCCAGUUUUUCAUGGAAUUGACAGUGGGUUGUUGUGUGUGAAUGCCACCAUUUCAACUGUGCUGUUGUUAUUUAAAAAAAAAAAAAAUGGAUUGUGCGCGAGUGGCAAUUCUCCACUAUGGAAAGUGGAUUGCUCCUUCAACCCAUGCAUGGCUACGUAUUCCUAUGUCUUUCUGCUUGUGUGUGAUCCUCCAAAAAAAAUUUUGGUUUAGUGCUAGUAGAUUUUAAGUGGUGGAUCCCCUUUUUUUGAAAACUAAGUGGCAGCCUCCCAUUUCAAAACGAAGUGGUAGCCUGCCUUUAGUCUUUGGAGAAAAAUCUGUGCAUGACUUUUUUUUUCCCAAAAAAUCCAUGCAUGGUGUCCUUUAAUAUUUGGAGAAAAAUCUAUGUGGGAUCUUUUAUUUUCUAGAAAAAUUUGUGUGGUCUUUUUUGUUAGCCCAAGGGUUCUCCUAAUCAGGUUUUGAUGAUAACAAAUCAUGGUUAAGUGACUAAUUGGUUUAAUGAUUAAGAAUCUCAAACAUAAACUCGAAAAUUCAUCAAAUGACCAAAUGGAUACAAGAUCGAGACGCUUGGAAGACUUGUGAUCAUAGGAAACUAAUGUAAGAUGAAUGCAUGAGUGCACUUAGGAUUUUCACACGUUUCAUGCAAUUUAGAAAACCCAGUUUAUUCUUUAAAACUUCAAUUUCAUUAAAACCCGAGUUUUUAACUAAUGUACCUUAGGCAAAAUGUUUUAUAAUUGGCUUAAUAAUUCACCUAAAUACAUUUUCUAAGUGUUAGAAAAGAAAGGAAUUAAAAAAAGGUUUUCGGGGCAAAAAAGGCUCAACCGGUCGAGGCUAUGGUCAACCGGCUCAACCGGUUGAGGAACCAAUCGAUCGGUUGUGCUUGUCCGAUCGAAGACCAAUCGAGGGAUGCCAAAAAAUUUCUCUCUCUCCUAGUGGCCUUCUCUUCCCGGUCGAGGUUCGGUCUAGGCAACGGUAACAUGUCAAGCAUUAAAUGCUCCGACGACUAGUGAAUCGGUCGACCCCUAGCCCGAUCGGACGAGGUUGCCUUUUGCUGUUUUUGACUCCCGAGCUUAGAAACCUAUAAAUUGAGAGCUCCACUUCAUUUAUUGAUAAAAGAGAACACUUGCAUUCAAUAGUCUACCUACCUUUUCUUGAUCAAAAAGCUCUCAUUUCCUUCAUAGUGCAUUAAAUCAUCACUUGCAUAUCCUUUAGUGCACUAUUGUGUGUCAUCCUAGCUUUGUUUUGUAUUUGAGCUAUCCUUAAGCUAGGUUGAGGGAUUAUUUCUUAUAAAAAUCUGAGUGUUAAAGCCUUCAAGAGAUUUGAAUCUUGAAGAGAUUGUGUAAGAGCCCAUUGGAGCCGGAGUCCAAGUGUAAGAAGAUUGGAAGCUUGGUUGAAGCUUCAAGUUAGUGGAACCCUCACUCGGUUAGGAGGUUGAGGAGAGUGGACGUAGGUAAGGAAGUGUCGAACCAUUAUAAACCCGAGUUUGAAUUCUCUAACUCUAUCUCUUUAUUUUGCUUAUAUUGUGUUUGAAUUUGUUGUGAUUGAAAAGAUUUUAAAAACCUAAUUCACCCUCCCCCCUUUUGGGUUUUUUUUUCUUAAUUAAGCAUAACCUUUGUUUUCUAAUUUUCUUUUUAGGAAAAUCCAUGCGUGGUAUGUCCAAACUCUCCAAGUGGCAGUCUGCCUUCUUCUAAAAAAUUUGUUUCUAUUUCUUUAUUCGACUACCUUCCAUGUCUUCCUAAUGAGUGCUUGUGCUCAAUGGUCAAUCCCUGGUGGUUGCCUCCUUUUCCCAUAUAUACGUGUUGCAAAAUCAACAUCCCACUAUAUGUGGGUUGCCUCUAUGGCAAGUUCACAUUUCCCACAUGAAACCUAUGAGUUUCCACCAAAAAUUGCCAUGAAAAAGUCUUUAUAUGCAUCUCAUGCAAUAAAAAGUCAAGCCAAUACUCAUCUUAUCUCGAAAAAUAAGUAACCAAAAUCAAGAUCAUGCCUAAGUGAACUAUGCCAAAAGAAGUGUCCAAGUGACCUAUUAUGAAAAAAGUGCCUAAGUGACCUAAGGUGAAUGUGUGUAAGCUGGAAGGUGUCUAGGAUGUUUAGGACAAUGCCUAAGCCUAAAAUAGGGUUGCCAAGGGUCACAAUGGGGUUAGAUAAAUCUCUCAAUCAGAGUCUCCAAGGUGGCUCAUAAAAGAUAAGCUACACGAGUAAUGAUGGGCCACCAGGGAAUUAUUGUAAAGCACCAAACGAACACAUAAUAGGACAUGUGUUAGAAUGAAAAAAUGGAGGGUUUACAAGUGGUCUCAUGGAUGAGCUUGAUAAUUUAAAUGACUCACAUAAUGAACGUAUGUGAUGUUUCUCUCCAAUAACAAGCAAAACAUCACUAGCAAUAUGAUGAAUGUCUCCUAAAUCACUUGAAGUAGUCCUAGCAAAUCAAUUAGAAAAAUCACACAUAUUGCUCUAAUGUAAUAUUAUAUACAUCUGUCAAUGAAUGGGAGAACUAAUGACACAACCAUCAUGUUGAUAUCUCGAACCCUCUAAUCUCAUAUGUAGGUGGGAUCACACUUAGAAACUCAUAACACAGUAAUGACCAAUCUAAGUCAAAAUGUGUUGGUGAUCGGAGGCCCAUGAAUAUGAAGUUCUAGGAUGAUAAUGACAUCUUAUAAAGUAAUGAUCAUCUCCUUAAUAGAUAGGUGAAAUGUGUGUGUCUUAGGACACCAUCUCUCAACAAGACUUGUGAUCAAUCCCCAGUCUAGUGUAACAUGCCUAUUAUGACAUCCAUCGUAAAAUCUAGACUAGAUAAUAUAAGGACAAAUGUGAGGGUUCAUCUCCCUUUCCCACAUAAAUUUAAAAAAUUAUUAUUGACAAGUUAAGACCAAACUAAGUUGCAAAAUAUAAAUAAGUCCAUUAGAUAACAAAUUUAUGUUUUCUCAUUUUCUCAUUUUUAAAGAGAUAUUAUGUGCUUCCAUGUACAUACAUGCUAAAGUCAAUUAUACGAGACUUAUAUCCAUCUUGUAGAACCAAAUCGAACCUAUCUAAUAGAUCCAGAUUAGAAGUAUGUCCUCUAUACUCCAUAUUUAUAACACAUUUAUAAAGAUAAAUGCUAAAAAAAUGUUAAAGAUAUAAAUUUAAUGAACCAUACUUUAUGAUUUUAAUUCUCAAUUAUUGUUCAUAUUUAUAAGAGAAAAGUUAAAAAAAUUGAUAGAGUUUUCCCUCUAUCAUGGACAUUAUCCCAAAUAAAAAUAAAUUGAUUAUGCAAAUUACAUUAAUAUUUGUAACCAAAUGAUCAAUAACUAUCUUGUAUCAAUUUAGUAAAUAAAUUUAAGUAUAUCUUUUCAUUUAUGACUAACAAAUAACUCAUACUUGUCCAAUAAAAGCCACACCUAAUUUCUAAAAUUUUGUCUUCACCUCAAGUGAGUGUUACAUUGAGAAAGAAAAAAUAUGAAAGAAAAAAUGAACACCUUUUUCUUUUAAUAAAAAAAGGCCAUAACGAAACAUUAAAUCUCACUGUUACACCUAUCUUCAAUGGAAACAUGAGGAUGUGAAUGGUGGCGGUGAUAUUCUUUGCUUGAAGCUCAUAAACAAAUAUUCCUUACUAAGCCUAUGCCAUUUAGUAUUUCAAUAGUGGACCCCCCCCCCCCCCCCCCCCCCCUCCUUGCAUUUCAGAUUUAGCAAACUUAGAACCAAAUAACAAAGUGCAUUUGAACCCAUAAAGAAGUAAUGAGACUCUCCUAUAUUGGCAAUAGAAGAAAUUUUUGGAGGUAUAGGAGAUUCACGGAUGAAGAAGUUGGGCCCCAAUUGAGAUAAGACCCAAGAAAAGAUGGGGUAGAGAGGGAUGGUUGGAAAUUGUAAAGUAAGAUUUUCAAAAUGUAGUUGAUGACUAAGAUUUUGACAAUUUAAAAAAGGUUUAAAAAUGUAGUUAGCAAUCGGGGUUUUGUAACAUUUAAAAAAUAAAAUAAAAUCUCAGGCCACAUGGUAGCCCAUGUGAUUCAGAAGCUUGAGAAUUAUUUUAUAAGAAGACUUAAUUUGUGAUUUUUUUAUAACUAUAUUAUUUUUUUUCUUAACACACGAAAAAAAUUAUGAAAUAAGACAAUUUUCCUAAGAAAGCAUGUAAGUGACUCUUGGUUAUUUUAUUUAACUUCUUCUAGUUUGGAGAGGAUUAAUACCUUUGCUUUUACUCACUUGCUUGGAUAUGUACACGUUGUUCAUGUCACUUUUCAUUUAAUUUUCUGAUUAAGGGAAUUGGAACCGUACGUAACUGUCUUUAUUCCCUCUGAAACUUGGACUUGGAGUUGGACUUUCAAUCUCAUCAGUCGUGUUUCCAUAAAAAAGAAGAUGGAUUAACCAAUUUUCCUAUGCCUACUAAUCAUACACAAAACUCCACUUCCAAAUAAAAAGGAAUGGGAUAUCACUUGUUAAUAGUGGCUAAAGACUAUUAAUAACCAUGCAAAGAAAUGUCACAUUUUUUGUUCUACGCAAAUUUUAUUCAUCAACUACUAGAACCAUUUCAUACAAUAGUAGCUUUUCGAUCCUUUGAUAAAUGGACACUUGAUGUGAUAACACCAACUACACCUAUAUAUUCAAGCAAUCAUGCGUAUAUAAUAGUGGAUAUGGAUUACUUCUCUAAAUGGGCAAAAGUUUUGUCAUUCAAGGAAAGUGAACGAGGAAACACAAGUUUACUUUCAUCGGAACUAAUAUUAUAUAUUGAUAUGACUUCCCAUUAUUACUUACGAUGGAAUAUGCUUCCAUAAAAUGGCCUAGAUGAACAAACUAUCCAAGAAGUUUGGGAUCAAAUAAUAUAUAUAUAGUUCAUGUGUGAUUCUUUGGUUGACAACCUUGUUAAGGGGUGAGUGAAGCACUUUGGGCAUACCACAUACUACAUGCUAGACUUCCACCCAAGCUACCCUAUAUUCCUUAUGAACAAAGUAGAAGUUGUCAUCUCUCUUGAAUACCAAAUCCUUUCACCUAAUAAUGCUAUCUAAAAAGGUCUUAAAAAGGAUAAAAAUGCGCAUAUUUGAAUUUUUGAAUUAGGAGUGCUACUUAAAAAGAAGCUAGAUAUACAAUAAUAGAAUGUUAUCAAGCAUAUCUCUUCAAAGUUUUUGACCAAAAAAUAUAUGAUUUCUCAUUUUAGGUAGGAGACUUAGUACUCACUAUUCAAAAACCAAUUAUCAUUACUCAUAAAAACUAAUAGAAAGUUUGGGCCAAAGUAGGAUGGACCUUAUAUUAUGCAACAAUUAUGCCUAUAAAAUUGUUGCAAAAGAGGUUUUAGAAUCAAAUCAAUGAAUGAAAAAUUAUUAAAGCAUUACUAUGCUUGAAGGCUAGUCAUUUUCCCUUAAAGUGCAAUAUUAAGUUGCAUAGUACUAUGUGGAUCCGCAUUUUUCACAUGCGUUCCCACUCAUUGUCGAGACUCACUUUUUAGAAGUGAAAAAUUAGUUUUAUUAAAGUCGAAGUUGCCACUGGGGAUUUGAACCCUAACAAAAGGUUCAAUUUAAGGAUAAAAAUAUCGAUAAUCACAUAUAUAUAUAUUGGUACUUUGAUUUUAUGAAUAUAUUGAAGAAAUAUGGACAAAUAUUUUGACACAAAAUAUGUACAAAAUAAAAAUUAUAUAAAAAGUAAAAAUAAAUAUUUUAAAAUUAUUUUUUUAAAUAUAUAUAUAUAUAAUUUGACAUAUUUGAUAAUAAUAUAUAAGGGUCUCCAAAAAGCCCGUGGCCCGCUUUAGGCCCGGUCCGACCCGACAGGCUAAAGCCCGGCCCAAGCCCGCCGGGCCCAAGCUCGGCCCGAGCCCGUUUAUGGGUGGGCCGGGCCGCGAGCCCGUAGGCCUGCUCCUUUAAAAAAAAACUACAAAAAUAAAAAGUAUUAAAAAAAAUAUUCAUUUCAAAAUUUUAUUCAUUGAAUGUAUAAUUACAUUUGAAAAUGUGGGAAAAGUUUACAUCACUACAAAAUAAAUACAUCCCAACUAGGUUGGCACCUAUUUAUUUGUCAAUCAUCUGUAUUUUUCAACCACAAAAAAUAAAAAUAAAAAUAUAAUAUACAUUUAGUCAUUAUUUUCUGGCGGUGAUGGCGAACUAUCAUGCAUCCAUGAAGAUCUUGAUAAUUUUAAAGAUUCCAUAUCGGUAAGCAUCUUUGUUUCUCGAAUGGAAUCAUACAUCCUUUUAUCUGCUAUUUCCCAAUCUUUCACACAUAUCCCUGCUUUAAUAACAUCUGACGCUAAGUUGCAUCGUUUUUUACUAACUACUCUUCCACCUGCACUAAAAGCAGCUUCUGAUGCAACUGUACUCACAGGAACUGUUAGUACAUCACGAGCAAUUAUAGAAAGCACAGGAUAUUUGUGUUGAUGUGAUUUCCACCAUAUUAAAAUAUUAAAAUCUUCUUGAUCUUCAAAUGAAAUUAUAUCAGUAUUAAGAUAUUUAUCUAAAUCAGAUGUAUUAUUUGGAGAAUUAUUUGUUGUCUUUUUUCGACUUUUCAACAUUUCUAGAGCUCCUUUAUAAAAAGAUGAGGAGUUUGUAGAUGUAGGUGGUAAUUUAAUAGUAUUAAUAUCAUUACCAUAUUUUUCUUUAUAAUAGUUAUAUAAAUUAUAUAAUAAUGAAUUUAUUUCAUUUUUAAUUUCUUCAAUUUUUAUUUGGUCAUUAAAAUAAAUAAUUGUUAACCAUUCAUCCAAAGCUUCAAAUUUCAAUCUAGGGUCCACAAUUAAAGCAAUAUAAAAAAUUAAAGGUAUUUCUCCCCAAUAUUUUCUAAAUUUUUAUAUCAUUACAAAUAUUGUAUCAUUAAAUAUUUCAAAACUUAAAUAUUUUUGAAGUACAAUAAAAAUAUUAGUUAUUUGCGUAAUAACUCGAUUUGAAGUUGGAUAAUAUACACCACAAAAAAUGUUUGUUGAAGUAUCAAAAAUUUCAAAAAGAUCUCUUAAAACAUCCGCAAUAUGCCAAUCAUAAUCAUUUAAUGCAUAAAUAUCUGCUUCAUAAUCAUUGUUAAUUAAUUGUAUUUCAUAUAAUUCGACUACUUUUCUAUAUUUUGUAAUAUUUUCUAAAAGUUUAUAUGUGGAAUUCCAUCUAAUAGCCAUAUCCAAAUUUAUAUUUUUUCUUUUCAUAUUUAACAUUUUGCAACAAUCAAAAAAUAAUUCAUGUUUUGCUUGAAAACUAUUAAUACUAUAUGCAAUGCCUCUAAUUUUUUUCCAAUGUACUAUCAACAUUUUUUAAUCCAUCCUUUACAAUUAAAUUUAAAAUAUGUGCACAACAACGCACAUGAAAUAUUUUAGCAUGAUCUUCUUUUACUUGCCAAUAUCGUUUUAGUCUAUGUAUUGCUGCAUCAUUAUUAGCAGCAUUAUCUAAUGUUAUUGUCAAUAUUUUAUCACGAAUGCCUAAAUCUAUAAUUUCAUCAUUUAUUAAAGAUGCUAUAUUUUUACCACUAUGUGGAGUAUUUAUUAAUUUAAAUAAAAUUAUUCUUUUAUUUAAUUUCCAUUCAUUAUCAAUGUAGUGAACAAUUAUAUAUAAAAAACCAGUAUGAGUUAAAGAUGUCCAAAUGUCAGAUGUUAAACGAAUAUUUCCUUCAAAAUUUGCAAAAUUUUUUUUUAAAAUUUCUUUUUGUGUAUAAAUUUUUUUCAUAAUAUCUCUUUUAACUGUAUUUCCAGAUCAACCUUUAAAUUGAGGAUUAAUACCUCGUUGAAUUGUUCUUGCAAAAUCAUGAGUUUCCAUCAUGUUGAAAGGUUGUUCUGCUCUUAUUAUAUAAUCAAUCAUUUCUUCACAACAGUUAGAUUCAUCAUAAGAAAAUGUUUUUAAAUUUCCACUUUCAUUUUUACUUAAUUGCAUAUAAUUUCUAAUAUCUACAUUAUUUUUAGUUUUACAAUUUUCAUGAUGUCUUUUUAAAUGACUUGUAUCUGCAUUUGAGCCACCAGUAAGAAAUUUAUUACAAAUUUUACAUUUUGCUUUUAUUUUUUUUUUAUUAUUUUCUAAAAUUAUUUCUAUUCUAUCAAAAAAAUUCCAUAUAUUUAAAGUAAAUUUUUUGUUUGAUGAUAUUUCAUCACAUGGACUAGACGAAGAAGCACUUGUCAUAUUAUAAUUAUUGAUAAAAUAUUAUGCCAAAAAUAAUAAAGUAAUAAAUAUAAAAAAAAAUGUAACAAAAAAAAUAAAGUAGUAGGGGUGAAGUAUGUUACUCAAUUAGAGAACCUAUGCAGAAAUUCCUAGCAAAUUUGAACUCUUGGAGCCACCAAUGCUUGUUUUGCACCAUCAACAAUAUUGUAUAAUUUGAGGGAAAAAUAAAAGAAUUUAAAAUAUUGUAGAAUGUGAGAGAAAUAGAGAGAAUUUGAUGAAAAAAUGAAAAGGAAGAAAAUGUAUUUAUAGGAAGGUUAAAAAUAAUAAUAAUAAUAAUAAUAAUAAUAAUAAUAAUAAUAAUAAUAAUAAUAAUAAUAAUAAUUGGCCAUGUGACCGUUGGAGGCUUAGCUCCAACGGUCACAUGGGCUGGAGCUAGGCUCCAACAGUCACAUGACCGUUGGAGCCUUUAAUUUUUUUUUUUAAAAUAAUAUACUUUAUUUUUAUAUAUAUAUAACUAACUCAAUUAAUAAACAUAAAAAGAAUAUAGUUCAGUUGGUUAGAACCUUGAAGUUUAAACAUGAGGGGAGGGGUUUGAAUCCCUCCCUCUCCCUUAGGGGCUUUUUUAAAAGCCAUUUUGGCUUAUUUCAAAAAGCCUGUCGGCCCGACCCGCCCUGCAGCCCGCGGGCCUAGCAUUUUAGCAUGGCCUGGUCUGUUGACUAGUCAAAUGGCUCAUAGGCUCGGCCCGAACUGGGCCGCGGGCCUCUUAUUUACGGACCGGCCCGACCCGGCCCGCCCGUUGGAGACCCUUGAUAAUAUCUUCUAUAUUAAGUUACAUUAUAGUUUAUUUUACAAUAUUAUUAUGAUAAUAUGUCUAAUUUUAAAAUAUAUUUAAUAUUAAAAUUAUGAUCUAUUUUAAUUUAAAUGUAUUCAAUGAUAUCAAAUAAAUAAUAAUAUAUGUAUAAUUCUUUUAUUAUUUAUAUUUAUUAUUUUUAAUAAAUAUAUAGAUUAUAUAAAAAAGACCGGAUAUAUCUUUUCAAAUUUUGUAUCGCUCUCCAAGGAUAUUAGAUGUAUGGGAAUUUGUAUUGCUAUCUACGGAUACGUUGAUAUAUGGGUGAUUUAUCAGGAUAAUUAGAAAUUCUAAUUAUGUAAGCAGGUACGGAGUUCUGUGUCGGUGCGAUCUUGUCGACAACAGCUCCAAAUUGUGCAUCUUGCUCAUAGAGAGUAGCGGAAUGCACCAAUCGUAGGCUCAGAGUACCACUGAGUCGUCUGGCAGAGACCCAACUGAAGGUGCCUGUGUUGUUCCUGAUCUGAUCAGGCUUCAAACUACAAGGUGGAAUACUGGUUCCCCUAUAUCAGAAGCUGGAGAUACCCACCCCAUAUGCUCGUCUGGAUGUGCUCCUACCCUUUGAAGCCUUCUUCCGAGUCAAGUCCGAAUUGAUAAGGCUAGUGAGUUCCCAACCAACUGUACUCAGCAUGCUGCCAGGUGGAGACCCUCCAUAUUUGAUGGCUUCCUAAUAUUAAAAUGCUGACCACUGGUCUUCAUGUUCCACAGGCUUAAUUGUGUCCUUUGCUGAAAGAAUGGAUAGUGAUCCAUUUUAACACAUGAUUCACGCCGUCUUUGCCAUUCUUCAUGGUCUAGCCCUUUUAUAUAUAUGCUUCCUGAACUGUUGCUAUUAAUAAAAUGUGGUAUCUAUCCCGUACACCUUCCUGAUGGCCAGCGAAUGCAGAAGCUACAGAAACGGUUCCAUCUUUUGCUUCCGCCACUUUGGCAUCCUCCAUGAUGAGAUCGAAGGUGAAUAAUCAUAUUCUGGGGAUUUAUGUCCUGGAUAUUCUCAGUAAUGCCCAAUUUCCUGGUGCCGGCCUCAUUUCCAUGGGAACUGAUGGAUAACUUAAGGCUUCUACCAUCUGCGUGGUUCGCUUCUAACACAGGAAACUUCACGGCUAAAAGCAAGAUACCAAGAACAUCAAGGCUGUGACAAAAAUUAGUAUUUUUAACUUGUAGGAAUUUGAAAGGCAACCAACCAUCUAGCUCUGUUCUUAAAGCUCCCAUAGGAGGAUCAGAGGCUGGAUUGCUCAAGAUGAACUCAUCCAUUGUUGCACUUAAAAAGAAUUGGCAUGAAUUGUGGCCGCUCUAAUAGGUUCCCUAAACCAUCAUCCAAGUGGGCUUGCGGAAGGUAGCGAGUUUAAAACACCUAGGGCGAUGAACAGUGGACUGUGAUGCUCACAAAAGAGAAAAGGAAGAAUUCAAUAAUUCCUAAGAAUCCAUUUGCCUGUCAUCCAAAUUUUUAUAUUCUCUUCAGUCUGACGCGUUAUGCCAUAUAUUAAAAAUAGCGGCUUCUUCCAAGCCGAGACAGACUGUGCAAAGUUCGCAAGGCCAAUCAUCACCAUAAUCUGAAGUUGGCCUCCUCAAUCGCAGCUUGUAUCCGAAUGCUCACUUCACGGGAUGGAUUGUAAUGAAAACUAAUCUCAGUCCCAGCUAUGGCAGCAUCCUCACUUGACAGCAUUUUCUGCAUAUUCUAGAACAAAGCAAUAAACCCUCAAAGGCUCCUUCGGAUCAGAGUUAGAAGACUGUCCCUCAGGAACGUGAACACUAUGGUGGUUCUGAUAAGCAGUGAUAUUGCAUUAGAGCCUUUUGGAACAAGAGGAUCUUUUCAGGUGGAAACUGUAAACUGCUUCAUGUUGGGCUGCAACCUUUUCUUCAAGCAAUACUUUCUUUCUGUAUCACGACUUAUGUUGCUUCCGGAGCCAUCCCGUGUGGACUGCCCUUCAGUGAAAGAAUAUGUGUGUUGACAUGUUGGAUUGUAAUCUUUGUUCCACUCUAAUGGCUUUUGGUCCUCCUCUUUCUCUUUAUGACAGAGAACCAUUUAGUGAUCCAUCUCUAUAUUGUAGCAUUGCUGGUGCUUUGCAAUACUACACUCUCACCAAGCAUAACAUCUAUUUUUCCGUGACCAAAGUAUGUCGGUUUAUGCAUGCGCAAACUCUUAUUCAUUGGCAAGUUGUCAAGCGUAUCUCAUGAUUUCCCAAAGCCACAAGUUCUUAUGGUCUUUCUGUUCAAGCUUACAAUGAUCUAUCUUUUCUUGGUUAUACUGAUGUCGAUUGGGCUAGUUGCCCUGAUAACAAGCACAAUACUAGUGGGUACAACACUUUUCCUGGUCCUAAUCUCAUUUCAUGGGCAUUUUCAAAGCAGAAGGUUGUGUCUCACUCCAAUAACGAAUCUGAAUAUAGGGGACUCACUAAUUAAUGUUGUUGCCAAGGUCACUUGGAUUGAAUCUGUCUUACGUGAGUUGCGUGUUUCUCUACCCCAACCACCAAUUUUGUUGUGUGACAACAUUAGUGCUACACACUUGGACAAACCAUGUUGAAAUACACUAUCAUUUUAUCCAUGAAAGGCUUAUGCAUCACACACUCAAAAUUCAAUACACCUCUUCUAUAGACCAACUAGUCAAUGCUAUGACCAAAGCUCUUCCUUCAUCUCACUUGUACAAUCUUCAGUGCAAGCUGAUUGUUCUUCCCAAACCACUCAACUUGAGGGGAGAUGUUAAGCCAAUUUAAUAAAUUGAUUUCUUUUGGUUAAUUUGUUAGAAUCAUUUUUAUUAGAGGUUUGUUUGUACAAUUACAUCCAUUUAUCAGGAGAGUACACGUGUACAACUCCUCUUUUAAUCUCACCAUUGUAUAUAUAUGAUACACGACCUUACUCAGAAUUGCAUAACAUUUCCUCUGCUCAUUCCUUUUCUUCUUUGAAUUUUCCCUUACCUCACUGAUUUUGAUUUAUACCUGGUGUUUUCACCUUUGGUCUCUACCUUUCUAGCCAGUUUUCUAAUUAAUCCGUAUAUGGUAUACCUGUCAACUAAUGAGGAGAAAGAGAAAAGGGGAUUGCUGUUCCACCAGCUACAUAUAAUAAUUAAUUACAAUCAUGGUAAUGGAUCCUGAAAUCCAUCCUUUGUGGAUUUUGUACGGAAUAUUGUUGUUAUGUAUGUGGGCUCACUUAGAUGUAUAUUGCUAGCCUGUCUGGGAAAUGUGAUUGCAGGUCCAGAUUAUGAUGUUGAUAUUAGUGGGAUAAGCAAGAGAUGCAGUUAACACGUAUGUGAUGGACUUGAGUAACUUUUCCAUUUCAGUCCAUUUUUUAAGAUUAUGCUUAGUCUUAUUACAAGGAAAGACCAUAAGAAUCAUGAGUCAUUGGCAAGGUAAUAUCAUUCCCUCUUUACAGGCUUCUUCACCUUUUGGUUUUUUUAAUAUCCAUCAAGAUCUUUUAAUUGGAGGACAAUUACAAGUAUAUAUAUAUGUAUUAAAAGGGGAAAAUAUUAAAACAGGAAAUUUUAGGGAAAAUAUAAUAAUUAUUUCUUCCUUCUUUCCCAUAUAGAACUACACAAAAUAAAACUUUAAUAAUUUUUUCUUAUCUUUUUUAUUAUUAUUUUUUCUUAGAAACAUCCGUGGUCUCACAAGCUUGUAAUCCUAGAUUGUUAGGCUCCUUUAACAGUGCCCCAACAUCGUGGUCCAAUGACAAGCUUCCACGCCUUAAAAUCAGAAAAUGCCAUUAAACUUUAUCAGACAUUACAGUUCAAGACAAAGCUUUCAUUUGCUUAAUGUGAUAAUGAAAUUGUUAAUUUCAUUUCGUGGGCAUCUAAAUUUGGACGAGCAAGACCUCUGAAUUCCCUGUUUUUAUCACCAGCAGAGGAGAUAAAAUCUUAAUGGUGAGAAUCUCCACGUGAAAUUUAUGUGUACUGUCAACAUAUUUUUGUUUAUAUAGUCCAGUAGCUGCAGGAAGUCUAGAUUAUAUAGGUAGCAGUAGCACUAUUUAUAGCACUCGAUAUUCGCUGUAUGAAUACAUUAAACCUUGUUUUCAAUACGCAUCACAAGCAAGUACUAGAUACUACAAGGAGUGACAGUCGCAUCAACAUUUCUUGAUAAUAGCAGUGACUGAUUUAUACACAGAACAGUACUGUACACGUACCAGUCACCAGAGAUAGGAUCUUAUUCCUACAUACGACUCUUAUUGAUCGAAGUCACUCAGUUGGGGUAGCCUGGAGUUGGAGGUUUGUGUGGUGGCUUCUUCUUUGGAGGAGGCUUUAUCUUUGGAGGCAUCAUCUUUGGAGGCAUCUUGUGUGAGUCUUCUUCAGCAUUCUCUACAGGAGGAUGGCCAGGCUUAUGACCCUUAGGUGGUUUGCCAACUGGGAUUGGUGGCUUGUGUCCUGAGAGUGGCUCCUCUUCUUCGGGAGGUUUGCCAACUGACGUUGGUGGCCCGUGUCCUGGGGGUGGCUUGUGUUUUGGGGGUGGUUUCACUCCACCGGGAGGUUUACCAAUUGGUGUUGGUGGUUUGUGCUCAAUCGGUGGCCUCUCAACUGGGGGGCGCUUGGGGUAAUCAGCGAGUGAAGAAGUGGUGAGAACCACCACUCCAAGCAACAACACUAGCAAGUAUGUGGAAGACAUCUUUGAGUUUGGCUCAGAUGGUGUAGAACUAGAAUCCUGGGUGGCCUUUUAUAUUAGUUGGGCCCUAUGCCCGAACGACAAGUGUCAUGGUGACACAUAAAGUGAUGGGGUCGAUUUGGGCCUACCGGAUUUGAAAACUUGGACAAUUCGAGAAGCGUCUCCUGACUCCGGGUUGUAAAGUGAAAGAUUAGGUAUCGACCAUUGAAGUAUGAUCACAACUUUUGGCCUUUGGCUCUCUCUACUGCCGUAUAGCUUUUUUCCUUUGGAUAUUUUUCUUAGCUAGACACAAUUAUUGAGCAGUCUAAUCUCGAAAUGGGAUUAGUAUAGCUUUAAGCAAAUUUAUUAUAGUUAGUGGAGGACUUUUAAGAGUGCAGACGACAUUUAACACAUGCAUGCAGUAGUAUAGGGGACAUAACACUAUUCUUUUUCCAAAGAUUCACAUGAUUUUUAUAUUAUAGUAUUGGCACAUUGUAUGUAGCUGGUUUUGUGGUUAAAAUUCCAUAUGUAGACACUGGCGUUUCUCCAUUUCUCACAAUUGAUGUUUACCUCCACGAUUACUAGAUUAGAUAUACCAAACAAUAACACAUUGUAUAAUCUAUCCGCCCUUCAAAAUCUACUGUAUGAUGAAAUGUUUCAUGUGUGUGUGAAGUGUUAGAAAUGCACUAUAGGCAACAUCAUCUUCUUUUGUCUAGGCUUGGGCCUCAAAUUAUACUCCCAUGCCAUGAUAAAUUUUCAUGUGCAUUCUCUAAAGAAGAGUGUCUUGAAUGUGCCAAAUCAUUUUGAUUGAUUUUAUGAUGUUAAUUGCUCCGCAUAUGGAUGGGUAUGUGCUUUAUUUGCUUAUUCAAUCCACAAUUACCUUGAACUGAAGUCCUAUUGGAGCUCUAUUAUUUUAGCAACGUCCUGUCAAAUAGGCUGCUAACUUGGGGUGGUAUGGACCCAAUGAUCCAUCUUAAUCUUGGGUUGAUUUUGUCUGACUCUAUCUAUCUCAGAGAGAACCAGGAUCACCAGUGCUGGUCUGCUUAAAGAAGACUCAGUACUGGAUUAAUAUUGGUUUGGGUCAAUAGCUUAUAAUGCAUUGAAUGCAGAAUAAACAAGAUCAAUGAAACCCAAAACACACUGCCCACACAACUUCACUCUGGUGUCUGUUAUUCAUCAAUUCUAUUCCCACAUGAACUGGUUCAAGUUUAAGAAAAUGACAACGGAUCCACUGUAUUAACUUGGUUUUGCUUGGUUUUGAGCUAGUUGCCAAACCAGCCAUGAGUUUUACCUCUAAUGUCAAUGAACAAACCCCAAAUGAACAACUGCAACAGCUUAAAGAGAAGGAAUGGAGAUGAAAAUCCCUGUUUCUUCUCAUUCUGGGGACAAAUUAGAACAUAACUACAAAGGUUCUAUUAAUUGACUUACUCUACCAUGAAUUAUGGUUCUUUGGUUUUCCAAAUUUAAAUUGUACAUGAGAUUAUUUUUUUCCUUUAUAUAUAAACAUAUUAAGGUUUUCUUAUUUCGUGGGCAAAUGCGCUAAGGAUGAAAGUCAUUUCAUUUGGCUGCAACAGCAUCUUAUAAUCAACAUGCAUAAGCAGCAGUUUUAAUUGAUCGAUUGAACACCGACUCACAAGAAUAGAUAGAAUGGUACAAGACAGCUCUUAUUAAUUUAUACUCGUUACUCAUUUUAUGUAGCCCCAUUAAGAUGGCUGGCUGGACCACCGAGGUCUGGGGGUGGUGUUGCUUGUGUGAUGCAGCGGGCCGGGCAGACACUUCUCUAGUUGCUUCUAUUUGGAGUUAGAGGAUCAGUCUCUGCCAACCUUGAGGACUCUCUACCUCAGAGGGUCCAGGUGGUGGACUCUGGUGUCGGUAGCUUUGAACUCUCAGUAGACUAGUGUGUCUUAAUCAGUCACUGCCAGAGGCUGGCGUAGGCAGUGACGAUAAGGUGAGACAAAUUACCGAAUAGUCAAUAUCGACUGCACUUGACCAUUAUAGAUUUGUUCUGACAAAAGUGAGAAAAGGGAGAAAAUCGGAUGUUGACCUUUAUAGAAAAAGAUAAGAUUUACUGCAACACAGAGCACUGAUUUGUUACUUGGAAACCAAGUUAUGCUAUUAGCUAGCCUCCAUUAGCAGCAGGGUACCUUGCUGCCUGAUCCUAAUCUGAGUUCCCAAGGUUUCAAUCUUCGUUUGUUAACGCUUCAGGAUUUGGAUAUUUCAGCUUCGUUUCUCCAUUUAGCCAACGCUGCCUGGUUUGGAUUUCAAUCCUCAUCUGGAACAUUCUUUUUUCGGUCUGAUUCAGGAAGUGUUUGGUGAUAGUUGAUUAAAAUUAAACAGUACUAUCAUACAAAUAAAGCUGAUCUAAUUUUGGUGGGCAAUAUACCAACUCAUUUAUUCUUGAAAACACCAUGGGGAAUUGGAGGUCCAUCCGAAGUACUAUUUGAUGGGACUCACAAAAAGAACAGGUGCACAUUUAUGAGAUCCGUGGAAGAGAUAACUAUGACAGCUAUGCAUGUACAACAGAUUUAUGUCGAGUUCACCUCGUAGAUAUUUUGUUUUCAGUGUCGGUGGACCCCAAAAUGGAAAUCGGAAAUUAAGGUUAUAUUUAUUUUUUUAUUUAAUUUUAAAUAGAAUUUUAAUUUUUAAUAAUAUUAAGUAUUAAAUUAUUUUUUUAAGGGUAUUUUAUUUUUAUUAAGUAUUAAAAAGUAAAAAAAAUUAAUAUGUUGCUUUUUUAUUUUAAAAAAAUUAUAUAUUUUAAUUUUUUCUAUUUACUAAAAAGUUUAUAAUAAAUUAUAAAAAAAUAAAAAAAUAAAAAACUUAAAUUCUGAAAAUAAAUUAUUUUUAAUAAAAAAAUCCAAAAAAGCAAACACCACCUAAAUUUGAGAUGACUCAAAAUUUUAUAUUUUUUUUCACCUAAAUUAUAUUCAUAAAUUUAAAAUUAAAAAAUUAGGAAGUUGAAUUUUAUUUUGGAUAAUUGGAAACUACAAGAAAUCAAUAAAAAUAUUUGGAAAAAAAAGAAAAAGAAAAACUAUCUAUAUAUUCACCCCCUUCUAAGAAACAUAACUUUAGUUUUUAACUAUUUUUUAAAAUAAUUUUUGAAAAAUGUUAUAUAAUAUUUUAUAAAACAAAAAAUCUGUUUGACAAUUUGAUAUGUCUUUAACUUAUUUUUAAUAUUUAUAUAUAUAUAUUUUAAAAAUAAUUUUAUAUUUAGAACUUUAUCUUUAAUUAUUAUAUAUAUUUAUAUAAUUAUUUUUUUUAAAACAACUCUUAAAAAAUAAGUGAAAGUAAUUGAAAACAACUCAAAGAUAUUUGAUGAAAACACUCUAAUUUGUAUUUUUGAGAAUAAAAAAAUAAAUAAAUAAAUUUCUAGUUAUCAAAUGUAUUUUUUAAUUCUUUUAUUCUAAAAAAUAGAAAAUCGUUUUUGAAAAUAAUUAUUAAACAACAUUCUUAAAAAUUCACUCGUUACAAUCUAGAUUUAAUGCAAGAAUGAUUGAAGGAGUCCUCCAAUAGAACCCAAAGUUAUAAACAUGAACAAGAAGCCCUAGAAACACCAAAGAUCUCAUAUGGUAUAUAUAUGAGCUUGAUUGAGAACUGUUUUAAAUUCAGUUUUUUUUUUUUUUUUUUUUUUUUGUUUUCAAAGUCAAAACAAGUUUACUUUUAAUUUUUACUUCUUUUUUUUAAUUUUAUAAAUAACAGUUUUUUAAUAAUUUAUUUUGAAAACAUGAUUAUUUUUAAAACUUAUAAUGAAAAUAGGAAUUUUUUUUUUAAUAUCAUGGUUAUUUUCCCUUCUUUUAAGGAGGGCUAUUUUAAAAAUAAAUUUACAAAUAUGAAAAAUGAUUCAAACUAAAGCAGUACAAAUAAAAAACAUUUUUAAGAAAUAUUUAAAAAUAGAGAAAAUUAUUUGAGAACAUUUGAAGUCCUUAAAUAGACUUUUGUUUUAGAAAAGGCAAGAUAAUUAUUUUUGAAAAUUGUUUUCAUAAUGAUAUGCAAAAACCUACGUAAAAACCAUAAUUAUAAUCGGCCACAUAUCAAAUCUACUAAAUAUGAAAAGUAAGUACAUAAUUAUAUUUGACUUAGAUGCAAGGAGGAAAAUGUCGCGAUAUUAUCGCCGAAAUAUCGUGUGUCGAAGGGUAUCGACACGAUUUUUCUUGCAGAAAUAUCGGCCAGUCGAUUUUUCGGGAUAAAUCUCGAGAAAUCGGCAAUUUAUCGCGAUAUAUCGGCGAUUUUUCCUCGAUAUAUCUUCUGGUCAACGCGGGUCAACGGAGUCAACACGCUACAGUGAAAGUCAAAUGUGCUACAAUGUCCCCGCUACAAUCACCUCCCCAAACAAAUUGCCAAAUUGCUUCCGAGGGGAUUUGAACCAGCCUUCUUGCCAUUUGGGCUAACUCGCCCUUAUGAUAUAUAUUGCAUUAAACAUAUAUAUACUUAAAGUCCUUAUAUAAAGAAAAUGUUAAAAAAAUAUUUUAAAGAGCAAAUUAAUUAUAAUUAUUUUAUAAUUAAAAGCAAAAUUUUCUUUUAAUUAAUUACCAAAAAUAUAAAAAUUAUAUAAUUUUCUUCAUAAUGUUUUUAAUAUCAUUAAUAAUUAAUUAAAUAUUAAAAAAUUAUAUAUAUAUAUAUAUAUAUAUAUAUAUAUAUUAUAAUUUAUUUUAUAUUGUUUAAUACAAUUGAAUUAAAUGGAUCAUAUUUUAAUAUUAAUAUAUAUUUUAAAAUUAGACAUAUUGUAAUCAAAUAUCAUAAUAUUAUAUGUAAUUUAAUAAUAAAUGUACACUUAUAAAAUUCAUAUUUUUAUCGAUGCAUACAAUAUUAUUAUCAAAUAUGAUAAAUCAUGUUAUACAUAUAUCAAAAUUUUCAAUAAAAUAACUUUAAAAUGUCUAUUAUACUUCUAAUUAUAUUAUUAUGAGGUUUUCUUUACAUUUUCAUGAGUUUUAAACAAUUUUAAGCACCAAUAUUUUUUUCCAAAAUAUCCACCGAUAUAUCUCCGAUAUAUCCAAUAUAUCUCCGAUAUCUCCGAUAUAUCCGUAAAAUCGAAGUACCGAUAUAUCCGUGAUUACCGAUAUUUUCAUCAUUGCUUAGAUGCAACCUUCUUCCAAAUGACAUACUUUAGUCAAUACUUAUAUUUUUUCGUUUCACUUCUUUGAUACAACACCUCAUGGAUUUAUUGUUUAAUUUAUUUGUAAUUAUAAAACUAUUUUUCAUUUUUAAUAAGACUUGAAUUAAUUUAAUAAAUAUUAUAUAAUUUGAAUUUAUAAUUCUUUUUAUAAAAUCAAAGUAUAUUAAAAAAAAAACAAUUUAUCCGAAGAAAGUUUUUUAUUUUUUAUUUUUUAAAACCGAUUUUAAAAAUAACUAGCUAGACACCCUUAUUUUGAUAAAAUACGAAAUAAAAGUGUAAAAACAACAUGGCCAAAUAGGGGCUUAAAUUUUAUUUUUAAAACAUUUUUUUACACUAAAGUGCAUUUUAAAAACACCAUCAAAACCAACUACAAGUUAUGCUUCUUCCCGUAAUAGAAAUAUUUUAGGCCAAAAUAGAACCUCCCCAAAUAAAGACCCUAUACUAAACUCCUUUUCAUUUUAUUAAUACAAAAGUGGGGAAAAAAGGUCUAUGCUCACCUAAAAAACAUGAAUAUUGUGAAUUCACCAUUUCUAUAAGGAAGUUGAAAACUUCAAAAUUUUAUCAACAAAUUCUCUAAAAUCCUCAAAAUAUAUAGGGCCUGUUUCACAAAGUUUUUUAAAAUUUGUUUUUAUAAAUUGCUUUUAAAAUAUAGAAUAAAUAACAGUUUUUUAGAUUUUUUGAAAAAUAAGAGUGUUUGGUAAGAUGUUUUUUUUUUUUUUUUUUUUUUUAAGAAUUAAAUAAAAAAUAAAAAAAUUGUUUAGAUAAAAGAAUUUGUAUUGUUUUUAAAAACAAUGUCUUACUUUUAUGUUAUAAAAAUUUUAUUAAUUUAAUUUAUAAUAAUAUGAAAUGAAAUUCAAGUUAAGUCUUAUUAAAAAAUACAAAUUAAAUCUAUAAUUAUGCAUGAGUUAAAGAUAAAUAUAUAUUUUUUAAAACUAUAAAAUAAAUUUUCUAUUAUAGUGAAACAAAAAUUACUAUAAAAUAAAAAUAAUUUUAAUAUUCAUUUUUAAUACAAGUCAAAUAAGUACUUUAAUUAAUUUUUUUUAUCAUGAUUUCUUAUGUUUUUUUUUUUUUCUAGAAAUUAUUUUAAGUAAUAUAACUAAUUUUUUUUUUAAUGUUUUAUAAAAAUAAGGAUAUUUGGCAAGUUGUUUUUAUAAAAGGAUUUUAAAAAUAAAUGGAUUUUUUUUUUUUUUAAAAAAAGAACAAAAUGAUUUGUUUGAAUAAAUUGUUUUGAUUUUGUAAAAACAUUUUAAAUUCAAUUUAUAUAAUAUUAAUUAAUUAAAUUAAAUUGAAGUUUUAUUGAAAAUAAAAAUAAUUUUGUAAUUAAAAUUAGAUUAAAAAAUAUAUAGGUUUUAAUAAAUCGUAAAUAGUAAUAUUAUAAUAAAAUUAUAAAUUAUAUUUUUAACAUAAAAUAUACUAUUUAUUACAUAUUAAAAAAAAUAUUUUAUUAUAUUAAUAAUUUUAUGGUAUUAAUGAGUUUAUUAUUUAAGUUUUAAAUUAUUUUUAAAAAUUAAUAAAUUUGUUAACAAAUGCAAUGUACUAAAUGUGGUUUAAUUUGGAGUUAAUUUGUUUAGGGAAAAAAAUAAAAAAUAAAAAUCUUAUGUAAAAGAGAAAUAAUAGAGUGUGUGUGUUUUUUUUUAUUAUUUUUAAAAAUCAGUAAAAAGAACUUUUACUUAUUGCCUAAAAAUUAUUCUCUAUUUUAUUUUAUUUUUUAAAUCUAGAAAUAGAUAACAAUAAUAAAAAAAAUUAAAAAAGAAAAAUGUUUUUUAAAACUCAGACUUAUAAUUGCUUUUGUUUCUCAUUCGCACCCCUGGAUUCCUGGAUUCUAAACACAAAAUUAAGUUGAAUCGUCCAUCUAUCUUGUAAGCCAAGAAUUCACAUAGAAGAAAUAAUCGGAAUUUGAUUUGAUAUCAGAUUUAGAGUGGCUCACUACUCAUGCAUUGUCCCACAAUAGUAAUGCUUUGGGCCGAGAUAAACCCAUUUGUGGGCCCAAAUAAAACCCCUGGUUUGAAAACAUCGAUUUUACAGUGGCCCAAAAGAUUAUCUAUGAGGGGAAGAUAACUUGGAAGUCAAGCAAACACAUUUAUCGCUAACUUUUCUCUAAUUAUAAAAUUAUAACUUGGUCUUCUACACGUCUCACUUAAGAGGCGGAGCCACUUGGCACUACCUUUCCAUAUUGUAAAAGGAGAAGAAGCAGAAGGAGAAGAUUCUUAUGCCAUUCCACACACCAUGGCUAGUACUGCUAUGCUGCUUGGCCCGCCGGCUCUCCGCCAUCCUAAUUCUCCCGCCGGCACUGUCUUUGAAGAUGGGGUCAUUCUAACGGAUUCCCUGAUCGUCCGCACCAGUAAUCUGGAGCUUUCUGAAAAACCGCCACUGGAAUCCCUGGCGUAGUGCUCUGUCAGUGGGGAUAUUGCUAUGGAUUGUUUGGAUUCCCAAGCCCACAAUCUUCAUCUUCCCGGGAAACCGCCGAUGGGCUUAACGGAAAACAAGUCUCCGACCUUUUUGUCUUCCGGGAACCCGUGCUUGGACUUCUUCUUCCAUGUGGUUCCCGAUACGUCGUCUGAUGAUCUGAUCCGACGGUUUGAGUUGGCUUGGGAAUUCAAUCCGCUGACGACGUUAAAACUGAUAUGCAACUUGAGAGAGGUGAGAGGCACCGGAAAAUCUGACAAAGAGGGUUUCUACACGGCGGUUCUCUGGCUCCACGACCACCAUCCCAAAACCCUAGCCUGCAAUGCUAGGGUGUUGGCCAGCUUCGGUUAUUUCAAGGAUUUUCUCGAGAUUCUCUACCGGCUUCUGGAGGGCCCUAAAAUUCGAAGAAUCGAAAAGAAAGACUGGCUGGAUCGAAAAGGAAGGAAGAAAAAUUCCCGGAAAAGGAACUCAAUAUUCAAGCGAGAAAAUAGGCCUGGAGUUGAAUUUCCUGUAGAAGAGAAGGAUGUGGAGUAUAUGGUGGAAGAAUUUGUGGAUAAAGAAAAGGCUAGGGUACUGAGAAAGGAGAGAGAACUUGCUCUUGCCAAAAGAGCCCUGCACAAGUAUUCUACUGAUUCUAAUUAUCAGUUCUUACAUGAUCAGAUUUCAGAUUUAUUUGCUGAACUUCUGAAAUCUGAUAUUCAGUAUUUAAACUCCGGUGAGCUUUACAAGAUUAGUCUCGCAUCCAAAUGGUGUCCCACAAUUGAUUCUUCUUAUGAUAAAUCCACCUUGAUAUGUGAAAAUAUUGCUCGAAAGGUUUAUUCUCGCGAGGAAUAUAUAUCCAGAAUACCAAGGAAUUGAGGAGGCUCACUAUGUUAAUAGAGUCAGGGAUAGGUUGAGAAAACAAGUACUUGUUCCAUUACGUAAGGCCCUGGAGUUGCCAGAGGUUUUCAUGUGUUCGAACCAGUGGGGAUCACUUCCCUACAACCGUGUGGCUUCAGUGGCCAUGAAAUCAUACAAGAGCCUCUUCUCAAAACAUGAUACAGAGCGGUUUGGUGUGUAUCUUGAGAAAGUGCAAACUGGGAAGGCUAAGAUUGCAGCUGGUGCAUUACUUCCCCAUGAGAUUAUAGCUUCAUUGAAUGAGGAGGAUGGCGAGAAAGUUGCAGAGCUUCAGUGGGCGAGAAUGGUGGAAGAUUUAUCAAAGAAUGGGAGGCUCACAAAUUGCAGUGCGGUAUGUGACGUAUCAGGAAGUAUGAGUGGAACUCCAAUGAAGGUGUGUGUGGCUCUGGGGCUGUUAGUUUCAGAGCUCAGUGAAGAUCCAUGGAAAGGUAAUGUAAUUACUUUCAGUGCAAGUCCUGAGCUUCACAAGAUCCAAGGAGACAGCCUUGUAUCCAAGACUGAAUUUGUGAGGAUGAUGGAAUGGGGUGCGAACACUGAUUUUCAGAAAGUUUUUGACAGAAUCUUACAAGUAGCAGUGGAGGGAAAUCUGAGUGAAGAUCAAAUGAUAAAGAGGGUUUUCGUUUUCACUGAUAUGGAGUUUGAUGAAGCUUGUGGGAGGUAUAACUAUUGUGAAUAUGACUAUGAUAUGGAGGAAAUUGAUGAGAGUCAGAAGGCAUCUCAGAAGUGGGAGACAGAUUAUGAAGUGAUACAGCGGAAAUUCCAGGACAAAGGAUAUGGAAAAGUUCCGGAGAUAGUGUUUUGGAACCUUAGAAACUCAUCAGAGACUCCAGUGAUGGCCACAGAGAACGGGGUGGCCUUAGUAAGCGGGUUUUCGAAGAAUCUGUUAGACCUUGUUUUUGGAAGGAGGUGGAAUUCUGACCCCUCAGGAUGUGAUGGAAUUAGCCAUCUCUGGUGAAGAUUACAAGAAACUUGUUCUAUUUGAUUAAGAUAUCAAGAGAUUUAUCAAUAAUAAUAUGUUUUUUUUUUUCUAUGUGAAAUACAUGUAAUAUUAACUAUGGAGUUAUCAAAGUUCUGGAAAUUUAAUUAUUUCUUCUUUUCAAGUUUUGUUUGUCUUUGUUAGGAAUUCCCCUUGGGCGGACCCAGCUGGGGACUUGGAUUGAGGAAGUAAGGAGGCGAAAUUGUGUUCUUCUAUGGACAGAGAAAAAAGAUAAAAAUAAAAAAUAAAAAAGGAGGUUAUUUGCAUUUGGAUGUCAUGUGGUUUCAGGGUACAACUACAAGUUCGAAAUUGUACAUAAUGUGAAAAUUCCUGUGUGGAGAACAGCAUAAAUAUGUAUCUCAGUGUGUUUUGUUUGAGCUAAUUGGCAAAUUCGCUUUAAACAUGGUCACAUGGAUGCAUAUUUAUUUGUGAAAUGAUAGUAGUCGAUUACUUGGUCAGUAAGGUUUGUAUCUCUAACUCCAACAUCUUAUUGUAGUCUUUUAAAAUGUCAAAAGUUUAAUGCUAGCUUGAGAAAUUUUGGAAUGGAGACAUUCUAAACAAAGUUAAUAAUCCAUGAGACUUGGUAAAACCGAUCAGAUGAUGCUUACGUACAUGAAUGCCUUCUUUAAGCCGUAUCCUAUUUUCAUUGAAUGAGACGUGCCAUCUAGUUUUGUUCUUGUCUUGAUUGGAUCAUGAUCCCGGGAAUUGAUUACUGUUCUGAAUUUGCGAAUGUUCAAGGUAUUAGAGAAAGUUAAUAUUAUCGUUAAUUUACAUAUUAGUAUUUAUCUAGUUAUUAUAUAUUAGUUUGAAUUAUAAUAUAAUAUAGAAUUUGAAUCAAGUUUACUAUUAGUUUGAAUUACAAUAGGAAAUAAAGUUUGAAUUAUAGUAUAACUCAAAUAUAUUUGUAUAUAAAUAUCCAUCUUUAUCAAUGAGAAUAGUAAACCAUAUUUUUCUCUAUCUUCUUCUUUCUCUAUAUAUAUGGUAUCAAAGCCUCCAAAUCCUAAACCUAGUCUCAACUUAGAGCAAAUUUAGGGUGCAGGGUUUAGGCCCCGCCUCCCCCAACCCUUACCACAAAUGGUAGUGACCUUGUUAUGCCUAUGUAUUGUCAAUGCCUCAUUUUCUAUGGUCUUCAAUACAAUAUCUAGUUUCAAUGUCUCUUUCCUUACUAUCUCCAAUGCAAUAUAUUGAUUUCAAUAUCUCUUUACAACCAAGAGCUCCAAAUUUUCCUGGUUCAAAUCUACCAUAAUUUUUAUUCUCCUUUGCUUUUUACCAAUAUUAGUUCCCCUAAUUUAAUAUAUAUCUCUUUAUUACCUUCAACUCUACCUCUCUCUUUCUUUAAAAGCUUCCUCAAAGAUUUGAUUGCUUUCUUGCAUGUUUUGGGAAAACAAACAUGCUCAUAUUCUAUUACCUCUACUUGAGAUCUGCCUUAUACUCUACCUUCUUCUUUACCUCCUAUAUCAUCUACUACAUUAGCUUCAAAAACAUUAUUUAGUUUGAUGCUAAAUAAGGCUCCUAAUCCUACCCUUCCUUCAACUAACUUUCUUUUACAAGUCCCUCAAAGUUUUUUUUUUUUUUUUUUUGGAAAUUUGGCUUAGAAAGAUUUCAUUACUCUUACCUAAUCUUUCAACCAUCAAGUCGAAUCCACUUAUCUCUUGAAUCCAAGGAGACUACCCUCCACAAAAACAAGGAGAUUGACCCCCACAAUAACAAAGAGAUUGUCCUCCAUAGAAACAAAGAGAGCUUCCUUCAUGGAAGCCGAAUACAUCGCAAUCUAUUUUCUUUCUCUCAAGAUCAAAUCUCCAAUCGGAGCUCCAUCUUGUGGGGAUAUAUUAGAAAAAGUUAAUAUUAUCCUUAAUUUACAUAUUAGUAUUUAUCUAUAUUAUAUAUUGAAUUAGAAUAGAAUAUAGAAUUUGAAUUAAGUUUACUAUUAGUUUAAAUUACAAUAGGAAAUAGAGUUUGAAUUAUAGUAGAACUCAAAUAUAUUUAUAUAUAAAUAUCCAUCAUUAUCAAUGAGAAUAGUAUUCCAUAUUUUUCUCUUUCCCUGAGGCUUCAGAAUGUGAUCUUGAACAUUUGAUCUUUUGGAUUCUUCUUGUUUCGGUGGUUUAAUAUAAUGGAAUGUUUAAUUAUAGCCUACUUUAUCACCAUGGAUGUGCUCCUGCAGAUUUCUUGAGGGUGAUGGUUAUUUUGUCAUGUUUCUUGAAUGGUUUGCAUCAGCUGCCUGAGCUGUUGUUGCUGGUCACUUUUGCAACCAGGGAAAGAAUCAUGGCUUUGGAGAAGCCAGCUUCUGUUUUUGUUGCCCAGCUGUUAGUUCACUAAGAUUGGGGGUCCUAACAUGUAUGUAUAAUCAUAAGCAAGGAAAUUUUAUGUCUUACGCUAGAUAGGUACCAUGAUAUGAUGUUUGAUUGAUUUAUUAACUCUACCUGUUUCAAAAGGCAUCAACAUUAAUUUUACCCUUUUAACACAUUGGAUUGUUUGACCUUACGAGAUUUUCUAUUUCUGUACUAUUUGAACUGCAAUCGUUAUGGUCCUUAGGUCUCUAAACCUUCGUUUAAAAUAAAAGUAAGGAGCACACAUAGUAAAAGUUAAUUUUGGGUAACUUUUAAAACAAAGAGAAAAGUAAAAGUUGUUUUUGAGAAAAACAUAUAGAAAUUGAAAGAUUUUUUAUUUUGAGAAAAAAAAGUCAUAGAAAAGAAAUAAUAUCCCCAUAUAAGUAGAUAUGAUCUAUCCGAAGUGUAGCUACUCUCCUGGAUUUAUUCUAACAUUUUAAAAUUUUUCUCAAUGGGCAAAGGAAUAUCAAAUCAAGCUUGAGUAGGAUUAAUUUCUUAAUUUUUAAAAUAACUUAUAAUUAAAAUUUUUUGGUGUUUUCUUUUUUGGACAAUUUUUUAUGAAGACUCUGAAUCAUGCAAGAGAUAUGGUUAUUUUAAAAAAAAAAAUAAUUUAAAACUCAAAUACAUAAUCAAUGUCACAAAUUUAUAAACAAAAGGUUUUUAAAAAAUACUAUUAUUUCCCCUCUACACAUAAUUUUACUUUUCCGAUUUAUUUAUUUUUGUUGGAAAACAGUCUUCAAAUCAAGUAAAAUUAAUAUGUUAAAUUUGUUAAACAAAUAAAUUUUAAAAUACAAUUUGGAACUCAAAAAUCAAUUCAAGUAAUGCUAAAAUUCAAAAAAUCAAAUUUGGAAUAAAAUGACUUUGUAAAUUUUUUUACUAAACAAAUGAAUUUUAAAUCAAGUGAGAUUUAAUACAUUGGAUUUUUAUGAGAAUAGUAAUUUUAAAAAUUAAUUUGGAACUCAAAAAUAGACACAAUAAAUACCAAAAAUCAAUGAACCAAAAUUGGUUUGGAAUAACUCCAUAAUUUUUUAUUUAUUUAUAUAUUUAUUUUUUUGUGCACACGAAUUUCUUACUAAGCAUAUUGCUUCCAAAUUGAGAAAAAUUUACUAUUUAGAUUUUUUUAAUGAGUUUAAUGGUAUUUAAAAAUAAUUCAAAAAUUCGAAAAUUGACUAAUUUAAUAUUAUAAAUUCAUAAACCAAGACUAAUUCAAAAUGCAUUGGGGGCUAAGGGGGUUGAAAUUAAUGCUCCAUUUGGUUGUGGCCACCAAUUGGCAAUGGCCACCAAUCAACCAAUCAAGGUGGCUAAGGGGGUUGAAAAUAGGGACAAUGGGGUGGGUUUGGGACAGGACACUCAUAUCCCAUUCCCAUCCCAAUUACACAGUUAUUUCCCAUCCUUAUUCCAAACUUGUGUUGGGGCAAGUUGAUUUGUUCCCAUCUUUGUUAACGAAAUGACUAAUAACCUCAUCCUCUCCUUGUCUUAGAUGUACAUUUUCUCAAAUUUGGUCAGGUAUGAUUGAUUCAAGCCCUAACCUUAAUUGGUAAUGAGUGGAUACCACACCUAAUUGCAUUCUUCUUUCGUUGCAAAAUAAUGAGAUUAUAAUAAUCUAGCAAAUAAGAAAAAAUAGUAUGGAAGUUCAAAUUAACACCAUAACUAUCAAUAAUUUUAAGCUUAUAGAUGACUUAAAUGAUUGAAAACUAAUGCAAAAUACUAAAAAAAAAAAAAAUCAUCUAAAGAAUUCACAAGAGAAUAGAACGAACAAAACCAAAUAGGAACAUGGGUCAACAUUAGUUACAGAUUUUGAUCCCUUUCAAGGCCAAUCUUUGAACCAAGACUUCAUCAAAUCUACUACUUCAAAGGCUUUUGUGUUCUUCUUGAGUUGUACUCUGGAACAAAGACUUCGAGGUGAUGCUUUAGAUGAUUGCAUUACACAUAUUUAGGGUAGGGAGAUUGGAGAAGCUUGAAGAUGCCAACGAUGGGUACAAUUGAGUGGUCAAUAAGAACAAUGUGGCCUAUGACUAGUUUGAUGUCAUGGUAUAGGAGUUUUGGGCAUUGAGGUGAAAGCAAGAGCAACAUGGAAUUGAUUUCAAAGUCUUUCAAUUAGUGUAAAGGAGGAAGAAGAAGUGGUAUUGAUCCUAGAAAUAGUGUUUUAGGUGUUGCAUUAGAGGAAAAGAAAAAGAAAAAGAAGGAACCAUUGGAAUUAGUACGAGUGUGAAGAGAGAAGUGUAUACAUAAGGGGAAGUAAAAGCAAAGUUCUAAAAAUUUAUUUUUUUAUUGGUGGUGUAUGGUUGCAUGAUUAUCCCUAUAAAUAAUAGGAGUUUUUUGGUGUUCUACUAGUAGUUGAAGGAUAAUUUCAUAAGAUAAUAUUUAGAGCGGGGUGGGGUGAGUUGUGACAAAAUCCAUACCCGUCCCAAACAUUGGUUCAGGUUUUUAAAAUAUUUUCAAACUUAUCAUAUACCCAAUUUUAUAUUUCAUACUUGUCCUAAUAGAGACAGGUUAGUCAGGGUUACUUGAGUAGCCUACAAAACUAUCAUCCCUAGUUGAAAUGCUCUUUUUGGCAGUGGCAGCUAGAAGCUCGAUCGAUUGACCUACAAGACUAGUUGUCAUCAUUUUAAAAAGAGUUUUGGCUUUGGUUGUGAGUGCAAUUGAAUCUAAACUAACAUUUCCUUAAUGCAUCUACUUCAAUCCUAAACUUCUUACUUAAGCCUCAAUUGUUGUUAAGAUUUUGGAAAACCCAUUUCCUUAAAUUGUAAAUUUAAGAAAAAAAAAAUUAAAAGUGAGACAUUUCUUGAUUGAAUGUUGUUAAAGGUCCCUUGGAAUUAAGACUUGGUUGAAGCCUUGGAAGAUUAGCAGAACUCUCAACUUAUGUUUGAACCUUGAGGAGAGUGGACGUAGGCCAAAAUUUUGUCAAACCAUUAUACAAAUUGAGUUUGAAUUCUCAUUUCUUGAUUUCUUAUUUAUUUGCUUUUUCUUAUUAUUACUUGAAUUGUCAUUUGCAUUCAUUAAUGUUAAAAUUGGUUAUAAUUAGCCAACACUAAUUCUCUUUCCCCUUCCCUUAAUUUCUUGGGUGUAAACCUAGGUUGGAUUAACUAGAUUUUAUCAAAUCUAUUAAGAUGGUAAAAGAAUAAUUAUUCUUAACAUACAUAAGAUCAUCUUCAAUCAAAUGACUCAUUGGCUGAUAUGUUGAAUUUGCUUAUUACUUGCAACUCAAAAUUGUGUUCUAGUUGAUAUGUCAAGUCCUGAGUGUAUGGACAUUAAAUUUGUAGUACGUGAUGAGUAUUUAGAUGGUCCAAUUCCAAGAAAGUGAUUGAAAACUAGUUCAAGAAAGGUGCAAAAGGGAAUUGUUUUGGUAUUUUCGUUUUUAUUCUUGAAGGUGGCAGAGCUAAAAUUUGAGAAAUCAAGCAAAACAUACUGAAAUUACAUUGAAAGAAAGAAAAUGGGAGUUAAUGUCUUGCAGUACAUGAUAAGGACUUCAUGCAUGUAGUGUGACCCAUGUCUUGGACUGAUGCCACACUCACGGUUACACUUAUACCCUUAGUUCUCUCUUUACUACCUUAGCUAACCUAGAUCAGGUUAUGAGAUAGGCACCUCACCACACCAUUACUUGCCCAUUAAUUAGUGACAUUUUCAAGCAAUGAGGUAACAUGGUGACACCAAGAGGGUAUAUUCCUCACCCCCAACAAGCCUAGACCUGGUCUAAAAAAAAUGGAGAAAAAUGACGUGUUGUUAUGCAGAAAUAUAGCAACCAUGCCUUCCUCAUUACUUAGAUUCAGAAUGUGAAGGUGAAAUUGAGAAACAGAAACUCUUGAAACCAAAAUGAAAAUUGAUACUUUUACGAAGAAUUACAACAACAUUAGAGGAAGACUACAUUCUUCCUCUUUAUUCCUACAUUUCUACACUACUUCUACUCCACUCCAUAUUUCUACAUACAUCUUUAAUCAGUCUUCCCUCCUUUAUAUAGAGCCAUCUUCACACAAAUUCCGCAAGGUAGAAAAGAGGAAUGAAACUUGGAGCAAGGUUCGACUACUGGCUGUAGCUUGUCAAGGCUGAAAGUGAACUUUUUUUCUUGGCUUUUCUGGGCAUAGGUAGUAACUUGUAGGUUCCUUUUUGGAAUGAAAAUGGUACGGCUAGAACAUGUGGCACUCUCUUGUUGGAUGAUGUGUCAAGCAUGUGGCAGCCAUCUAGUGGAGAUUAUGUCAAUUUUGGGAUGGAGAGUUGGCAUCCAAUUGCAAAGAAAUAUGACAUCUACCAACAUGCAAUGUCAACCUAUGUAGAUCAUAUGAAGAUAGAGAGGAAAAAUAUAGAAAUGGAUAUAUAACUAGAACUAGCUUUUUAUUAAAUGAGACGGAGAGCCAACAAUGAAGGAAAAUCAAAAUUUUUGGCUCAUAUCAAAGAAUUCACAUUGUGUUACCCUAGGUUUUCUUAAAACUUACUUUUAUGAUAAUAAAAAAUCAUUAUUGUUUAAUCCUUUGUUUUAAACGCAUGUUUAGCAGGUUGUAAAAUGUAAAUAUCUUUCGAAAUUCAAAUAUGAAGAUAUGACAUCAUUUCAAGCAAUAUAGUCUCUAGGAAUUAAUGUAAAGCUAAAUUAAGGUGCAAUUAAGUUAGUUCAAUGCAUUAUUUUAAGAAACUUGACCUAUCAAAACCUUGUCUUACUUCAAAGCCUCUUUUUCUUUUCUUCCAACUAACAUUUUAAUAAGUGAUCGCAAAAGUACAAAAUUAGAUGAAAUCCAUUUCAAUGGUUAAAAUGAUCAAAUUCAAACUUUUUCUAAGUAUCUUUUAAAAGCAUCAAUAUUGAAAGACAAUUUUAUAUUUAGUCAAAGCUUGGACAGAGCCAAAAAGCACACAAAAAUUUAUAUUUUCUAGCUCUCUACCUUGGAUGGUCUCUUGAUCCUACUUGGAGAUGUGCAUAAAUAAAAGGAUUUGAAAAUGACAAUUGACUAAGUAUGUAGUCAAUCAAUUACUCAUUGAUUGACUAGUUGAUCAAUUAACUUUGCAACAUCAUAUGCAAUCCUAAUAGCUAGUCAUCUAAUCAACUAGGUAGUAAAUCAAUAGGCCAAAAAUAUGUUUAUAAUGACUAUUUUGUACAAAAACCACUUAUAUAGUUAAAUAUAAUGCAUUUCAUUUAUAAAUCUUCUAAUUCUUGAAUAACAAUCCUAUCAUCCUUUGAAAGUUUUUAUUACACCUUUUCUACAUUUGUUCUAAAACUUAUACAUCACCCUUAAUUGUACCAUGAGAACCUAGCAUUUUUUUUUUUUUUUUUGUAUUUCAUCAAAGUUAGCUCUUGUACUCAUUGUUGUAUUAUUUUUAUUGUAACUUAGAGAGCGAGUGUUUUCAAGUGAGUGAAAUUGACUUGUAAAUAUUGUAAAGAUUCAUUGAUAUGUAUCUCAAACUAGGUGUACAAGUUGAAACAUUUGCUAGUAGAUUUUCUCAAGAUUUAGAAUGAGCUUAAGGCUAUCGAAUUAGGUGGGGUUGCGCCAAACCAUAUCACAUCGUUGUUUGCACCUUUUUUUUCACUCUCUUUUACUUAGUUGCUCUAUAUAUAUUGUCUAGCAAUAUCCUAAAGGCUUGAUGGGCUAGGGAGCAUCCCUCUGAAUGAAAAAUUUUCAUUCAAUUCUUAGUUGUAUUACGCAUAUAUAAAAUGCCUCAUUGUUUUAAUGGUAUUCAGUCGUGGCACCACAGAUAUGGACAUCUAAAUUUUAAAAGUUUGAAACUUUUAGCUAAAGAAAAUAUGGUGCUUUGCCUUUUUGGAAAGCAUGUUGAUGAAAUCCAUGAGAAUUGUAUACUUGGAGAGCAACAUCGAGAUAACUUUUUUUUUUUCUUUUUUUAUAAUGCAUUGUUUGUCCAAAUUCCGUACAAAUUAGGCCACCACAUGUUCAUAAUUCUCCCUUCUUGAAUUUGAAAACUCGGACAAUUUGACAAUGCGACACCUAAGUCCGGUUUUUAAAUGCUAAAGUGAAAGGGCAGGUAUGGACCAUUGAAAUGUGAUAACAACUUUUGGCCUUUUCCUUUUCUCUGUAGCCAUGUUGUCUCUUUUUAAUUUCUUUUGCAUGAUUUUCUUACCUAAACAGAAUCAUAGACUUGUUUAAUCUCUAAGUGGGAUUUCAUCCACCUUAAGCUACUGUAUUAUAUCUCGGUGGAGGACAACCGACAUAGAGCACAUGCAAGUGGGUAUAUGGGACAUGAAAUAUCUUCUUAUAAAGCUUGUUUUGCAGUUAAAUUAAUUGGAUAAGUAGACACUGGCGUUUCUAAAUUUCCCACCUAAGAUAAUGACCUUAUCCUUGACUGCUAGAUACACAAACAAUUAUACCUUCAAAAUCUACUGUGAAGUGCUUCAUGUAUGUGUGAAGUAUUAGAAAUUUCUUUCUUGGCAACUUGUUUUUUUCUUUGCGGUCUACUGAUAGGUUUGACUAAAAUUAUAUUCCCUGUCCUGCUAAUUAAUUUUCACGUGCAUGCUCAAAAGAAGAGUAUGACCUUAGUGCACCAAAAUCACUUUCAAUAAUUUGUGAUAAGUUUUUUUGCAUGACAUUAACCUUAUUCAUUUAGAUAAUGUUUAGUUCUCAUAAAUAUUAAGAAAAUGAAAAUAAAUAUUAAGAAAAAUAUUCUUAUAUUUGAUUGUAUUAUGAAAAAUAUCAUAAAAAAUCAAAUAUAAUUAAAAUUAAUUAAUAAUUUAUAUAUUUUAAAAUUAUUUAAUUUUUAUAUUAAAGAUAUAAUAUAAAUGAAAUGAGUUUUAAGUAUUAUAUAAAAAUGAUUUAUUUAUUUAUUUAUAUAUAUAUAUAUAUAUAUAUUUAGUUUUUCUCUUUAUUUUAUUUUCCUUAUGUUUUCCUCACAUUUUCCGGAAUCAAAGAUAGGGAAAUCCACAAUUACCUUCAACUGAGUAGAUUCUAUUGUUUUAGCAAUGUUAGGCUGCUAACUUGUGGUGGUACGAACCAAAUGAUCCAUGUUAAUCUUGGCUUGAUUUAAUUUGGCUCUAUCUCAGAGAACUCAAGGAUCACGUCAACUCUGGUUUCUACUAUUCAGGUCCAUUCCCAGAUGAACUGGUUCAAAUUUGAGAAAAUGGUAACAGACCUUUAGUGAUAUUGGUUUGGAGCCAGUUGCCAAACCUGCCCUGAGCUUUACCACUAAUGUCAAGGGACAAAGCCAUUUGAACAAAAACAAUAGCUUCAAGAGACUGAAUCGUGGAUGAAAUCUGAUCCACAUUUCUUCUCAUUUUGGGAAAAAAUGAGGACUUAACCACAAAGAUUCUACUGCCUCAUAGUGCUUUUCCUGAUCUAAGGUUGGCUCGUUUCCCAAAUUGUGAGGUGCACGUGCCACUCUCACGCUCAGGAGUGUAUCCACGUGGUGGACAUAAGAUGGUGGCUUAAUAUCUGGUGUCGGUGGCUUUACUUUACUAGGAGAGUAGUGUGUCUUCAUCUCAUUCACUGCCAGAGGGUGGCGUAAGCAGUGACGCUAAGGUGGGGCACAGUCAAUAUCAUUUGCAUUUGACCAUUAUAAUUUUCUCCCGGCUUUAAAGUAACCUUAUCGUGAUAAUGGAUUACUAGCACUAGUUCAGAUGACAGUCAUGUUAAAUUCGGACCAUGUUUGUGUCACAUUAUCAGCAACCAUGUGCUUGUGGUUCAUGCUAUCUGCAACUAAACUUGAUAUAUAACCAGGUGAACUUCAAUCUAAAUUCUGGAAGUACUCAUGUGAUAGAUGGUGCCUGUCUGCAGUGAGUGUAUCUAUAAGAGGGAAGGCUUGGCAAAUGUUCAGUUUUCUGGGAAUUCAACAGGGAUCUAAAAUAGAUUGUUUUCUUUGCUGAUUUCAAUGGUUGAAAUUUGAGAAGAUUGUGUCCACAUAACACAACUAUUACUGGUCCUUCUGUUGCAAUUUAUCCUCUAAGGCUCUAACAUGUCUUCCAAUUCCCACUUCCCACUUCCCUGUUACUCCAGGAAAGCUGUUUCUGUCAUUGUGAAGAAGAAAAGAGACUGUACAUAUCGAUGCUUUUAAGUGGACUGGAGAAUUCAUAUCAGGUGGUCUGCAGCCAUACAUGCCACUUUGUGAAGGUUGGAACAGUCAAUCACUAGGCUAUAUUAGUGGGGCCCAGCCACUUCAAUCAAGGACAAGUCUUCAUACUUAAAGUCAAAUUCUGCCUUUAGUCUCAUUAUAAAUUGCUGUUUAAAUAUCAAGCAAACAUUUGUUUAAUGCGAUUAAGACAGCACUAACUCAAUACUUGUUCUAUUUUUGGAUGCAAAUGCUUGAUAGUUUCAUCAUUGGAGGGGAUAAAGGUGCAUUCAUGAUUAUGAAUACUUGUAGUUAUAUUUUCAUUCUCUUUUUUCUCAAUGGGACUUGUUGGCACAAUUUUGCUGUUCAGAAACCUACCUCUCCAUGGAAAAUCAGUUGUGAUUGAUAUUACUGGAUAUAUUCAAGAAAGCUAAAUGUAGAUAGCACAAAAUAUUAUCGACAUAAAUAGCAUUAACAGCGUACGUAUGUCUCAAUGCUCAUCAGCUAUAAGCAAGGGGCAAACACUUACUAUGAGCAACUUACGUCAAAAUUCCGGAAUAGGACAUAGAAGUGACAGGUCAGUAAAUAUAGAACACUGCAUAUGAGUCACAAGAAAGGAAAUUACGGGUACAUAGCAGCUCUUAUUUUACAUCCUACUCAUACUGAUCAAAGUCACUCAGUUGGGAUGGGUGGGAGUGGGAGGUUUGUGGGGUGGCUUGUGCGGAGGAGUUGGCAGCUUCUUUCCAGGACCUGGUUGCUUCUCUGCUGGAGUUGAAGGAGGCUUAAUCUUCCGAGGUGGCUUGUAUGAGUCUUCAGCAUUCUCAGCAGGAGGGUGACCAGGGUUGUGACCACAAUGUGGUGGCUUCUCUCCCUUAGGUGGUUUGCCAACUGGGGUUGGUGGCUUGUGUUCCGGAAGUGGCUUCUCUUUGUGUUCAGGAGGUGGCUUCUCCACUGGAGGCUUGUGUUCAGGAGGUGGCUUCUCCACCGGAGGCUUGUGUUCAGGAGGUGGCUUCUCCACCGGAGGCUUGUGUUCAGGAGGUGGCUUCUCCACCGGAGGCUUAUGCUCUGGUGGUGGCUUCUCCACCGGAGGCUUAUGCUCUGGUGGUGGCUUCUCCACCGGAGGCUUAUGCAAUGGUGGUGGCUUCUCCACCGGAGGCUUGUGUUCAGGAGGUGGCUUCUCUACCGGAGGCUUAUGCUCUGGUGGUGGCUUCUCCACCGGAGGCUUAUGCUCUGGUGGUGGCUUCUCCACCGGAGGCUUGUGUUCAGGAGGUGGCUUCUCCACCGGAGGCUUGUGUUCAGGAGGUGGCUUCUCCACCGGAGGCUUGUGCUCUGGUGGUGGCUUCUCCACCGGAGGCUUAUGCUCUGGUGGUGGCUUCUCCACCGGAGGCUUGUGUUCAGGAGGUGGCUUCUCCACCGGAGGCUUAUGCUCUGGUGGUGGCUUCUCCACCGGAGGCUUGUGUUCAGGAGGUGGCUUCUCCACCGGAGGCUUAUGCUCUGGUGGUGGCUUCUCCACAGGAGGCUUGUGUUCAGGAGGUGGCUUCUCCACCGGAGGCUUAUGCUCUGGUGGUGGCUUCUCGAAUGGGGGAUGCGUAGGGUAAUCAGCUAGUGAGGGGGCGGUGAGAACCACCAGGCCAAGCAACACUACUAGCAAGUAUGUAGGAGACAUCUUUGGGUUUGGGCUCAGAUGGUGCAAAACUAGGAGAAUUGGCUAGCCUUUUAUAGCGGAUCGUACCCAAUAAUGAAAUGACACGUGUCAUUAUGACCCAUGUGUCAUGUGGUCGAUUUGGGUCCUACAGUGUUGAAAACUUCGACAUCCACUUUUUUGGCCUUUUGCUUUCUCUACAGUCGCCUUGCUUUUUCCCUCUUUUCUUUUGUUUUCCUCCUGCCCCAUUCUAUCAACUAAUCACAAUUAUGUAGUUGUUUAAUUCUUAAAUGAGAUAUUAUCCGUCAAUCAUAUUAUCUUUUAUCAAGAGAGAACGGAGUGAAAAGUGGCAAUCCAAAGAAAGAAGAUCCAUAAUGCAGCUGUAAUUUUAUCGUUUACUUUUAUCUCUAGGACCACUGCAUUUUUGUUGAGAGGUGCAAUAAUACACGUCUUUAUCUGCCAUUCAAUGUUUACAGUAAAGAGAGGGCACAAAACUCUUCACUGCUCUGCAUGUGCCCCAAAAAUGCAAUUGGACAAAUUAUGAUUUGCAUGCUAAAAAGAGGCAAAUGAGGUUAAUUAGCACCAAAAUUAUUUUGUUUUCUGGACACCCCGGGGCCCUUUGGUUGGUUUGGGGGUCAGAAAAUGAACAUCAUAGGGGGUUUUUCCCUAAUGUGCAUUUGCAUUUGUAUCUGAUGGCUUUAACUCGCCUUGUUACUACAAAGAAAUUGUCACAGAUAGGAACUUAUUCCAGGCUGAGUAUCUCCGCAUGGACCCUAUAAAAGAAGACAAGUCAUAAUGAACAUCUAACCUUUGUUCAAUUUGAUUCAAUGCCCCUAUUGUGUCCAUCUCACAAAUCUGAAUUAUUAUAUCCAUUGAAUACAUAAAUUAAUGAAGAAAAUAUGAAACCCAAGAUACAUCUCUGCACAACCUCAACCCUGGUUGCUAUGUUUCACUUCUAUUCACAUGAGGAUAUUGAUUACGGAAUAAGGAAACCUAGCAAGGGUUUACUCGGCUCUGGUUUGAUGCUAAUUGCCAAACUUGCAACAAGCCCUGAGUUUGACACCUAAUCGAUGGGCGAAUUAAAAGUCUCCUCCAAACAUAUAUUCCACAGCUUGAAGCUCACAGAAGAUGCUAUACAGGCAGGGAAAAACCUUCAGAGUUAGCUACCAAAGAUAAUUAUCAAGGAGAUAUCACCAAGAGAAUUCCAUGGAGUCUGAAUCAAAGACAAAUUGCUCGCUCGUGGGGGUUCUUACUUAAUUUCUUUUGGGUAUAACUCACUGAGGGCACUGGCUUUGUUAUUUGCAUUUCGCAUUUAGAGUUCUGUUCUGGAAGGUUUGUUCUGGAAACAUAUAAAAGGAGCAUCAUUUUGUUCUAGGGUAACCCAUAGUUGUGAGUGGGUCCAUUUGCAUGCUACUUAGUUGAAAAGUUGGACAAUUUGCUCCGACGCCUACCUCCUGGAUUCCAUGCUCGGAUAAAGCAAGAAUAAUAAAAUAUUUAUAAUUUACAAAUGGGGGAAAGAAAAAAAUGUCAACAACAAACUAGGAAAAAAGAGUAGUAAAAUUUAUGCCACAUGCUAUUGAUAGAAGGGGCAUGUAUUAGAUCCAUCACCAUUUGGUAAGAUUUUAGUAUUAUAUUUUUCAAGGUUCAUUAUUUGAGGGUGUGUUCUUCAUCUCUGUUGCAUUGCUUCUUACUAGGCCCACUGAGGUGGGUUCUUCACCUUUUGUAUAUUCUCUGCACUAGAUCAAUGAGAAAGGGGGAAUUUUGGUGAAUUUGCAGCCGUUGGAUGAUUGAUUCUAGGCUCAGUCCACCAAUGAUGCUCUCUUCACUCUUUCUCAUCUAGUGUCAUUCACAACUAUGUUUUGAUUCAUAUUUGUACUAUCAAAGAUAUCUCAUUAUUCUAGCUCAUUAGGUAGAGUUCCUAAUCUUCCUCCUUUUUGGUCUAUGGACAGUAUUGGCUUCAUAUUAAGAUCAUGUUUCAAUAAUUGCACAUUAAUGAAUGGAUCAUGACCCACAUAAACAGAGUCAGGGUUGAGUCAGUGAACCCUAAAAUUUCACAAUUCUAAAUUUGGGUUCUUUAACAAUGCAGGGUCAAGGACGCGUGGUGAUGAAGGAAAGCUGGUAAGCUCAGUGUUACUUCAAUUCCUGCCAUGUAGGAUGGUGAGGAGAUAUUCACUAUGCAAUUAAUAAUAGACAAUAUUCACUAUGCAAUAAUAAAGCAUAAAUUAAGUUGAAUGAAAAGCAUUUUCUUUGCAAGGAGUUGAUUUUGGUUUCAUAGUUUGUUCAACUGCUAUUUUGGAUAGGAAAGUGUGAGGAGAAGAAAAUAAAAAAUAAAAAUAAAACAAAAAAUAAAAAAUAGAUUUUAUAAAUUCAUUUAAUUUAUUUUUUUUUUAUAAAAAUUAACUAAUUUAAAAUAUAUGUAAAUUUCUAAUUAAUUUAAUUACAUUUUUUUUUUCAGUUUUUCAUAAUAAACCAAAUAUUAGAAAAUUAUUUUUAUUAAGACACCCAAGAUGAGGUAAUAUGCAAUGAAAACAUGAAUUAUAUUAAAAUUCAAAACAAAUUAAGAGAAAUCGGAAAAUAUACAUAGAUAUCUAAACAAAGAAAUUUAAAGAGAAGGAACCACAAACUUUAUUUACAUAAUUUGAAAAUAAAAAACAUAAAACAUACUUAUAGUAAGGAGAAAUUGAAUAUCUUACAAUGGAAGAAGGGAGAAAAGCUUUGAAGAAAGCUUUUGCUUGGAAGCUUACAUGGUGAGAGGUAGAGAAAGGAGAGAGAGAGAAGAAAAUGAAAAAUGAGAAGUGGAGAAAAUUGGAAGUUUUGUGUGCUUACAACUGAGGAUAGAGCCUCCUUAAAUAGCAAAAAAUGGAAUAUUAAAUAGUACCAAUCAGGAGACAAAAUAUUGUUUGCUUUUGAAACCCGUGCAUGAAUAGUAAUCCCGUGAGUGAAUAGUGAAUAAUAAAAGUGAAUAGUAAAAGUCACUUUCUACUAUAGCACUUUAGACUUUUUCAUCGAGAAUCUUACUUUCGGCUGAGUGAUGAUAGCUGAUAGGUUGCUUUGGAUUGUGGAGUCAUAUGUUUGAUGUUUUCGGUGCUGAAACCGCUUAGUUGGAGAAUAAUCUCGUCAGUAGAGCAUCAUGAGAAGCUUGAAUGGAGAGAGCUUAAUGAUGCCAUAUGAUUGGAAGGAAUCCUAUUUUAAUUUCCUUAUUGGAGGGAGAAUACCCUCACAAUCAUCUUCAUUAUCUUGAAGGUAGUUUGAUAUAGAGUCAUCUGACUCAGCAUAAGAGUCCUCUUGGGAGAAGCUUGAACUGCUUUUGUCAAGGAUUUUCUGAAAUUCUUGAGGGGUUUUUGCUAUUGCUAACAUGGUUUGGAGUUGCUGUUUCUUAAGAAGAAACUGUGCAAUAUCAUAAGAUGAUGAAGCUUGUGUAGGAUGCUUUAGGAAAUAUUGCUUUAUUGCUUGUAGUGAGGUAUCAUUUUUCAAGGCAUCCCACCACUUAGACUUGAAAGUCCUUCCAAGGGUUGGAAAGGCUGCUGAUUCAUCUGCUAUAAUGAUAUAAUCCCACUGGACUAUCCAGGCAAGGCCAAAUUCACUAAAAAAGAAUAAUAAUUGGGGAAAACUGAAAGUUCUCUAGGGAUAACAAAAGAACUUUGGAAUAGCUCAAAGCCAUCCAAAAUGGGUUUUGGGAGAAUUUUAAUAGUUGGACCAAAAUAUGUCCACCAAUUGUGGAACCAAAAUGGAAAAGAGGGGAGUUGAUGCUUAGAUGGGAAAUAGAACAUCCCUGAAUGAUGGAAGUCCUUGUUCUGGAUCAGAAAAGCAUUGAACCAUACUCUUUGGUAGUCUCAAUAAUUGAAAAUUUUAGGUUUUGAAGGCUUAGAAAAUUCUCUUGAAAAAUUAGGAUUCCCACCCCACUGCUUAACUGUAAGGAUUUUAUAAAUAUGGUAAGUGGAGAAUGCCAAAUCCAAAUUGCUGAAUUUAUCAGCAUUGUGCUUGAUUUUAACAGAGCCGGUUUCCAUAAGGAUUGCUUCAUAAAAUUCUCUUGUUUUUAAAAGAUCACCAAAGGGAUAAUGAAAAUUUUCAUGAAAAGCUUUUGCUGCAAUAUCUCUAGGGUUUUUAGAGAAAAACUCUUUUUCAAUAACCAAAAGAGGUUGAUUUAAAUCUUUUUGCCAAUAUCUUGCUUUUGCUGAAAGAGGUGUGGGGUUGGCUACCACCACAAUUUGCUUAUUUGAAAAAGAAGAGCUUGAUGCUAAUUCAUUUUGAGAGGGAUUAGCUUUAGUAACCUGCUUAAAGGUCUGAGACACAGUAAUAGUUGGAUACUGAGUAGCCUUGACUGGUUUAGAAGGAUUCGAAGGAUCAUAGUACAAGGACAAAAUCUUAUUAGGCAUAUGGUCAGAAGAAUGAAGCCUUGCUUCUUCUUCUAGCUCAACUUGUUGGCUCCAAAGUAUUUUAUGGGGAGAAGGUUCUUUGCUGGUUUUAGAAGACUAGGAUUCUGGAAGUUUAGGAGCUUGGGUAUUCUUUUUAGGGGCCAUGGUUUCGUGAAUCCUGUAAAAUUCACAAGUUAAGAAAUCAGGGCUCGAAGAAUGUUCUCCUUUAAUAUACUCAAUUUGUAAAUUAAAAUUGCUUAAAAUAGCUUGAUAUAUAGCAAAAAUAUGCUUAGAAGUUAUAUUCUUAACAUCCUUUUGUAAAACUAAUUUUGCAAAUUUACAAUCAACUCUUAAUAAAAACUUUUGAUUCAAAAGAUCAUCUUGAAAUUUUGAAAUGCAUAAAACAACGCUUAAAGUCUCUUUUUUAAUGAUGUUAUGAAUGAGUUGGGUAGUAUUCCAGGUUCUUGAAGUAUACCUAACUAACAUCUCAAGGUUACCAACACUUUGCUUAAGAAUCCCACCAUAACCUAUGUCUGAGGUAUCGAUCCCAACAAACUCAAAGGUUUCUGGAUUGAUAGAGCCUAAACAUGGUAGGGUCUUGACUUUGGACUUAACAUCAAUAAUGAAAACAAUGGUGAAAACAGAAAACUGGUUAAAGUUUUCAUCCAUUAUAUUCUGGAAUUCUGAGGUGCAUUCUUAAGAUCAAAGGGCAUUAUGAACCAUUCAUAAUGUCCAAGAGAUACCACAAAGGUGGUCUUAUUUGGAAUAGGACACCUAAUCCAACUUAAUGUAUCAUUAAGAGGCAUGUAGUUGACGACUAGUCUAGGUGUUCCUUUUUCUGAUUCAACUUGUUCCUGAACAUAGAAGGUUGAACAACUCCAAAGGGACUUAGACUUCCUUAUCAACUUUUUAUCAAGAAGAUCCCAAAUCUCCUUAUCACAAUAGCUUAACAAACCCUUGUUCAUCUGGAUAGGUCUUGAUUUAGUGGGAAUAUUCUUGUCACUAAAGUCUAGUUCAUAAGGUAAUUCUACCUCAUGUUGUUUCCUAUGCCAAAAUGCAUUAGGAAUGUUAGAGCAAACUUCUUCAACAAUCAGAUUAAUUUCUUGCUCAUGACUUUCCUUAGCUUGAAUCACCUGAUCCCUUAAGGUGUUUAUAUUUUUCUUAUUAGGUGGUUGGCAAAUUCAAAAAUAAUUUCCUUAUCUAAGAGCUUUGUUCUUAUACUUUGGUCAUCUACCCACAUGGGAUAGAUGGAGCUUAAAAAGGGGAUUCCAAGGAGAGCUUUCUCCUUAAGAUCCUUAACUAGAAUGAAGGUUUGCUUGAUGCAAAUGCCUUGGUUAUUUAUGUGAGCAUCUGACAGCUUAUACUCAAUGUCAAGCCUUUUACCAUUAGCUCCAAAGAGAGAUUCUUUGGUUUUCUUACAAAACUUAAUAGGACCUAGACCUUCUUGUAGGCAAUUCAAAGCUGUUCCUGAAUCAAUCAAAGCAACAAUAUCAAUGACAAAUUUACUCUUAAUUACUAUAGUAAGGGAGACUUUCCACCUCUGGAAAAUAACCCUACUAACAGUAUUUAAGUAUCCAUCCGUCUUUUCAUCAUUAGCAUGUGAAGAUUCUAGAACCUCUUCAAGGUUUUCCUAGUUAUCAACAAGAUUUUCUAUAACAAUCCUAUUUAUUUGUUCUUGGAGAUCUGAAAAACCUAAGCUUGUGUAUUGUCUUAAAUCUUUAAUUUCCUUCUUAUACUGUCUUACUUCUUCUUGAAGAUCCUUAAUGGUUACGUCUUUGGUAGACUACUGGUUAAAUCUUCCUAAGAUUUCAUUUAAGUUAUAAGAAUUUACUGUCUUCUUAAUCUCUUGCUUAUCGACAAAUUUCUUAAAAACUUCAUAAAGAUCUUGUUUAGUUUUUUCAUCUUCAACUUUCCUUAAAACAUCUAGGACAAGUUCUUGAUCUUGGCUUAUGACAUUUAUAGUCUUAGGUUGGCAAUCACAAUUAUCCUUAAUGUAUUCUUCUUGGUCACUAGAAGUUUGGCUUGAGAUUUCCUCACCACUACUAUCUAGUUGGUUAAUACCAUUUUCAUUAUCUGAAUCAAUCCUUGAUUCAGACUCUGUGGAAUUUAACAUUACUUUACAAAGCAUAUCUUUUAAGUCUUCUGUGACAUUUAAGUUAUUAAUUUUCUGCUUAACCCUACAAUCUUUCUUAUAGUGGCCUAUCUUACCACACUUAAAACAAACUGGCUUAGAUUGUGAAGGAGCUUCUAGCUUUUUAUGGGCUUCUUUGUUCAUCAUUCUUUGGAUGUGCCUUUGUUUCUUAGUUUCAUUCAUCCUAUAGUUGCCAUGAGUUCCUCUCUUGUUGUGAUAGGACUUUUCCUUACUAGGCUUUGUACUUACUUGUUUCUUACGUUGCUUAGAGGGGGGCUUAGUUUCUUUUUGGUUGAAUCCAAACUAGCUACAAAAUGAACCAAACUCAUUCUUGUAGAUCCUUUGUUCAUUUUUCAUCUGUUGCUUAAGCUUAAAGUCAUUGCACAGUUUAAUUGCUUCUGAUGUGACAAUGCUUAUAAUUUCUCCAUAAGAAAGCUUAUCAUAAGGGAUUUGUCCAUUAAACUGUUCCCUUAUCUUAAUCCUAAUCCUCUCAGAGAAAAGUCUAGGUAGUCCUAAGAUGAAUUUUUCUUUCCAAAAAGACUGGUUAUAGUUUGAUCUUAGUAUGACUUUGGUUAGGAAAACUUCUCUAUACCAUCUAAAGUCAUGAAGCUUGGGACACUUAAGGUUGGUUAAGAGAUCUACAAUCUUAUCCUUAAUCUUUGCAGGAUCUCCAAUGAAGUGCUUUGAAAUUGAAUAGAUUAGAGUAGCCACUACAUCCUCUAUAUCUUGUCCAUCUUCAUCCUUAACCACUUCAUUUUCCUCAUUAAUCCUAUAGGCUUUUAGGAUACCAUUUCUAUCCUCAAAGGUGAGAUAAUUAUCCCACCAACCCUAAAGUUGACCUGUAAACCCAACAACAAUUGUUUGAGCUACAGCAUGGCCUGACAAUCUAUUGUUUAACUUAUAGGUUGUACUAACCAUGGUCAUUUCUUGAAGCUUAGUGAGUAUGUUGUACUCAAUCAUACCAUCUAUGUUCCAUUCAUAGAUAGUGUCACUAGUGUAGGAAGCUUGAGUAUGCUGGUUUCUUUCCUCAUACUACAUAUCAGGAAAAGUUGGUCUAGGGUAGUAAUUCCUAGUUCUUGGUUGUUGAUAAUCCUCAUAACUGUUUGGUUAGGAGGUUCCUUAAAAAUCUUAAUUAGUUCAUCAGCCUCUGCUUCAGAACUAAUUUCUCCUUUAACCAUAUUGAUUCUCUUGUGAGAUGGUUGAGGUGUCUCAGAGACAACAAGGCUAUCCUUAACCUUUUGGCUUAUCCUAUCAAUGAGGGCUUGAUCAAUAUGGAGAUUCUCUAGGAAUUUCUUAGAGAAUUCAAAAGGCUUAAAUAAAGACUUAUUAUCUUUCUUAACAAACGUAGUCUUAAUGUAGUCUUGUGUUUCAAUGAUAUCCUCAAACUUGUUGAGUUGAUCGCCUGUAGUCUUAAGAAACAUGUUAGUGUAGUUGUUUUGUUCCAUGAUUCUUCUAACGUCAACAACACUAUCAAUUCCUUUAUUCUUUGGCCUAGUCUUAAAAGGUGAAGCUUUGACUAUGGUUCAAUUAAUGUUCUUUUAUAUCUUAGCUUCUAGAGGGUGGAUGGAUUCUAUGAUAGUAUCGUCACUAGUUUUCCAUAUCUUAGUUUUUUUGGAUGUGUCAUUGACACGCUUACUAGGGUAAUCUAGAUAUUCCUCUUGUUUGAAGAGUUCAAACCAGAUCCAAUACUUAAUGUUCUUCUUUUCUUGUCUUAAGUAUGUGUAGAAUUCUUCUUGGUAGAGGGUUCUAAUGUCUUUAAGGACCUUGCUAAAGAACCAAACUCUCCUUUUCUUAUUGACUUCAGAAUAGAAGUCUUUCCUUAAGAGGUCCUUGUUGAUUCAAAGUCUUCGUUAAUUAGGCUUACAGUGUUAAUCAACUGAGAAUAAGUAGGAGACAUAUCAGGAGAUUCGUCCUGAUGUGAUUCUUGAGUAAACUCAUUUUCCUCCAUGUAAAAGGGUUUGGCCACGUUGGUGUGACUUCUAACACCUGUUAGCUUAAUAUUCUUAGGAUUUGCUGAACUAGAUCCUUCCUCUAUCCUAGUGGUUCUUAUUGGGAUAGAUGAACUUGAAGCUCUAGAGGGCUCAUAAUAUGAAAUUCUAAGGCUGCUAGAAUGAUGAAAAGAGUUGGAGAAAAUUAGAUCUCGUUCUCCAUCAGGAUAUUGAACAAUCUGUUCAAUUCUUUCAGAUCUUUGCUCUAUGGCUGGGACAACAUUAGCAAAAUGCCAAUUUUCUGGAAACUCAACCUCAUUCCACUUGAUUUUCAUGGGGACUAUGAAAUUAGACUUGUUUAUCAUAUCUAAGUGGAAGAUAGUGGUUUCACCCUUGGGACUGGUGCACAAUGCUCCAAAUCCAACGCUUAUGGUCAUGCUCUUAUAGGCAAAUCUGGUGAUGAUGGAAACAUGAUUGUUUCCUUGCUUGAACUUAAAGUCAUGGGUCUUAACAUGAAGGACAACUGAAUCUAAGAUGUUGACAUCUCUUAGUCUAACUGUGAAGUUAGGGAAACACUGGAAAUAAACAGGACCAUCAUUUAAUCCUGCUUGGGUAGCUCCAAUAAUAGAAUCUCGGUAAUCAAGAUGUCUAUUAUCUCUUAAACACAUGACAAUAAAGGUGUUUAGACCUAGUCUUGUCAAGGGCUUAGCUGCAACUUGAAUCAUGCCAAAGUGUAUGAAGUUGUAGUCUCGCUUAUGCUUAUCAAUGGACUUACUAUCCAAGAGUCUUAUGACUUGAUCGUCGUGUUCUAAACUUACUGACAUUUCAGGGGUUUUAAUGGUGUAAUCUGUAAAGAACUUAAAGGUUCCUUUCUUAUAAAUUUCUUGAUUAGGUACCUUGGGUAACUUCCAAUCAUCUAAAUCAUCUUGGAUCUUAGGAUAAUUGAUCUCUUCAUUGUUUACUCUUGAGAAUUUGUGGAUUUCCUAGACAUGGUUCUGAAAAUCAAACUCAUUUUAAGGUUUUAAUCUAGAGCCUAAUAGCAGAUUAACAGACCUAGUGAGUAAUCACCCCAACCCUUUUCCAACCUUAACAAACGCCUAUCUCCAGCUAACAAUGGGCUCAACUCGGCAAGGAUCGCACUCAGGCACACUACUAUCUUUCCUAGGAUAGAUCAAAACACCCAAAACAAACCCGACUUCCUUUUCCUAGGAUAUAUAUAGUAUUUUGGGUUUGAGUAGGAGUUCAUGUUUUGUAUGUAAUUGUAGUCUACGUUGGACUAGGUUGUUUGCUCCUAAUUGAAAUAGGAAUGGUUGGUGUCACAUCUCAUUCAUUUUCUCAUCUAUUUCCAUGUUUAGAUAACUCAAGUAAUCAUAGGAAUGAAAUUAAGAAUGAUUUGAGGGAAAUGAAAUCUCACUUGUAAGUGGGAUCUCAAUUCAUCAUUAAUAGAAGGUAUUUUGAUUACAUAGUGCAAGUUAUUUUUAAAAACACUUUUCAAAAAUUGAAAAACCAAAAACUCUCUUGGAUAAGUUGUUUUUAAAAAGAAUUUUUGUAUUUUUAUUUUGUAAAAAAAAAAAAUAGUAAUUCAAUUUAUAUAAUAUAAAUAGACUUUAAUUUUAUUAAAAAUAAAAAUAAUUUUUUAAUUACAAAUAAAUUAAAAAAUAAAUAUUUGUAAUAAAAUAUGAAUAGUAAUAUUAUAAUAAAAUCAUAAAUAAAUUAAAAAUAUUUUUAAAAACAAAUAAGUUUAAUUUUUUUGAGGUACAAAUGAGCCAAAUUUUUCAUUAGGUACACAACCAACAAUUUUUAUUGGAAACAUUCCUCAAAAAAGAAUUCGUUUCCCAUAUAGCAAAGAUAUUUAUUAUUUAGUAUCUAACCAUCCGUAGUAAUCAUAUCAAUUCUACUAAGUUAUUUAAUAAUUCAUUUAUAUAUAGUACUCAAUUAUGAAUUUUUUUAUUUGAUGUAUAAUUAAUUAAUCAAUGUUUUGAAUUUUGAAUUAUUCUUAAAAUUUAAAACAUUAAUUAUGUCUAUUACUUUUUAUAGUCAUUAUAUAUAUAUAUAUAUAUAUAUAUAGAGAGAGAGAGAGAGAGAGAGAGAGAGAGCUUAAAUUUAUCUUUAAAAAUUAUUAAAUUUAUUAAUAAAUUCAAUACAAAGACUCAUUUGAUUUGAAAUUCAUUUCUUUAGUGAAAAUUUUGAAACUAAAUAGUACUUUGUUUUACUUUGUUUUUAAAUCAUACUCACAAAUAAGUUUUUAUCAUUUAGCCAAAAAAUCUCAAAGAUGUUUCUAAUUUUAUUUAUUUAUUUAUUUGUAAAUGAAAAUAAAAAAUUAGUUUAAACUAAAUAUGCGGAUAUUAUUGUUAAUUUAUUUCAUUUUUUAUUUCCAUUGUUAUUUAACAUUGAAACGGAAACAAAUAAUCAUUCCAAUCUUACAUUCUUAUAUGCAUCUAAACACAAGAAUUGAAAUCACCAAAUUCAUAUUCAAGGCAAAAUAGAAAUGGAAAAAAAAUAUUCAUUUUCAUUCCUCAUUCUCAUGUGCUAAACAUGACAUUAGUUCUACUACCUAUUUCACCAUUCUUCUUGAUAAAUUUGGUAUAUGCAAUAUUGAUCUAAGUGUGAGGUGAAUAAGAAUGAUGAUGGGAUGGGCUUGGAAAUAAGGGCAAAGUUUCUAGGUGCUAUCUAGAGGGGCAACGCGACUUUUUCAAAUUUCGAAUAUUUGUUCUCAACAUAAAGCAAAACUUUACUCACACAAUAGAUAAGACUCUGUUUGUUUUCUUCAUCCACGACUAUAUAAUGUAUAGCUCUUACUCAAGGGAUGAGCUACUUACUAUUAAGGAUUGGGUAAGAUAUUGCCUAAUGGCCAAGAAGGCAUGUCAAAAAAUAAAUCUAAUCACCAUAAAAAAUAAUAGGGGAAAAUUAAUAUAUUAUGAAUGAUGACUUUACUAUUUCUCUAUAUACAUAAUUAUAUAUUUUGAAUUUUCUCACUAGGUAAUGAGAUUCUAAAUCAACUGAAACAUAAUUAAUAAUUUAUAUUUUUAAUGAAUCUUUUAAUUUUUAAAAAUAAUUUAAAAUUUUAAAAAACAAUUCAAUUAAUUACAUAUUAAAUCAAAACAUUUCAAAAUAUUGUGUUUGUAGAUGAGUACUAAAUGCUUGCAUAUAAUAAUAAUAAUAAAAAAAUUGACUCAUUUAGAUGUUAAAAAAGUUAAAUGUUUUUCAUUAUUCAUUUUAAGUAAAAUAUUAUUGACAUUAUUAUUAUAAAAUUAUUAUUAUUCAUUUUUAACAAAAAACAAAAUAAGUUAUUCUUUUACCAAGAUGUCAAUAUCUAUAUUUUUCUAACAUAUAUUAAAAUAGUAUACUUUUCUUUUAUUAAAAAUAAUAAUUAUUAUUAUAUUAUUAUUCAAGUUUUAUUAAAAAAAUUUAUCUUUUAAUUCAUUUGUAAUUACAAAAUAAUUUUAUUUUAUUAAGAAUUUAAUUUAAUUACGCUUUUUUUUUUUAUAAAAAAAACAGUUAUGCUUUUACCAAGAUGUUAAUAUUCAUAUUUUUCUAGCUAACAUAAAUAGAAUAGUACACUUUUUCAUAUAAAAAAAUAAUUUAUGAUUUUAUUAUAAUGUUACUAUUCACAUUUUACUAAAAAUAUUUAUUUAUUUUAUUUAUUUUUAAUUAUAAAAUAAUUUUAUUUUCAAGAAUUUAAUUUUAAAAAAAUAGAAAUCAUUUAUUCUUUUACCAAGAUGUUAAUAAACAUAUUUUUCUAACAUAUACUAAAAUAAAAAAGUUUACUUGUUCAUUAAAAAAUAUAAUUUAUGUUUUUAUUAUAAUACUACUAUCUAUGUUCUACUAAAAAUAUUUAUUUAUAAUUAAAAAAUAAUUUCAUUUUUAAUAAGACUUGAACUAAAUUAAAUUUAUAAUUUUUUUUUAAAAUAAAAUAGAAAAUUAUUUUUUAAAAACAACUUAUUGAAAGAAAUUUUUUAUUCUUUACUUUUAAGAACUGUUUUUAAAAGCAACCUAUAAACCCCUUUGGGUCUGUUUGGCUAUGUUUCAUGCAACUUGUUUUUAAAAAUUGUUUUUUAUUCUUUAAUUUAAUUUUUUUUAAGUUAAAGAAUAAAAAACAACUUUCUAGUGUUUUAUAAAAAUGAGAGCUUUUGACAAGUUGUUUUUAAAAACCAUUUUUAAAAAUAAAAAAUAAAAAACUUAUUUAGAUAAAUUGUUAUAUAUAUAUAUAUAUAUAUAUUUGUAAAAACAUUUUAAAUUCAAUUUAUAUAAUAUAAAUUUAAUUUAAUUUAAGUCUUAUUAAAAAAAAAUUGUUUGGAUAAGUUUUUUUUUUUAAAUAGUUUAUUAUUUUUGUUUUGUAAAAACAUUGCAAAUUCAAUUUAUAUAAUAUAAAUUAAUUUAAUUCAAGUCUUAUUAAAACCAAAAUAAUUUUAUAAUUACAAAUAAAUUUAAAAAUAAUUUUUUUAGUAAAACAUGAAUAAUAAAAUUAUAAAUUAUAUUAUUGUGGACCCUGCAUUUAUGCUCAUGCGCUUCCACUUGUUGGCGAACUCAUUUUUUAUUUGAAAAUGAUUUAUUUUUUUAGAAAAUGACUUAGAGUCGCCACUUAUUUUUGUUUUAUUUUUAAAGGGCAAGCAAAAUAAGAAAGAAAACCCUAAGUGUGACUCCUUAUUCGAAAAAGGUAGUCUGUGUAAAACCGGAUCAGGGUUCAGGGAUCAGGUUACUUAUUGGGAAGGUAUGACAAUGACCGUAGCACUCCUCUAAGUCCUUAAAAACGGGCCUCUACUAAAAAAAAUAAAGUAAUCAUGGCAAUCAGUAAGGAAAUCACUGGAUACCCAGAACAAUUAUGCACAUGUGAGAAUUAAAACAUGCAUAAGAAUGGACAAAGUGAGAGUGGGUGCGUACCUUGACAACGAACCACAAUGCGUUAUCAAGAAAUGGGGUUAGUGCACGAUCAAUGAACAUAAAACACGUCACACAUGUCACUAAGCAGAGUGAGAAAUCAUCAGAUAUUACAAUUCAAUCAAAUUUAUUUUUAGAAGAAACAUCUGUUGAUGUAGAGCCCCUACCAAAGCCUAAUUUAUUUUUGCAUGAAUCAAUUUCAUAAAUUCAAUCGCUUGGAAUUACAGAAUUAAAUUCAUGCUUAUUUUAAAACAUCUUUUUAAAAUCAUGGAAGAUGUGAAAAUGGUUUUCCAAAGAGAAAAUGACAACUGAUUUUAUUGAAAAUGGGAUUUUGGGGACCUAAACGUUAAAGAGGGAUUAGGAAUUGAAAAUUAAAUCAUUUGAAAAUUGAAUUUUUCAAAAAUCAGUUUUGAAAGCAUGCAUGCAAGUAUGGACUGUGAAAGUGGGCCUAGGGAGGGUGGCCAUGCAAAAUGAGGUCAUACACGUGGGCCUUGGGUACAAUUGGGACUACUUUGCUGGUGCCAGUGGUGCUUGCAGCUGUCAUCCAUGAUUUCUUCAUUGGGAUCAAUUUCCAUUCUUACUGCCAAACAUUCCAUAACAAUUGACCAAACUAGUAACCCUGACCUUGCAUGAAAAUGAACGUUACCUAGAAACUCACUGCCAGUGAGAUUCAUUGCUCUUUCAAAAGGUCUCAUUUUCUUUCUCAUCCAAUUGCUUUAAGGAGCAUUCUAGCGUCACGAUUGGUGACUGCGCAUCAUCUAGAGCCUUCUUUCUUCUCAGAAUCAGGUUUGCGUGCAGAGGCCUGUGCUUGUUCAAGGUUGACCUAAAUUCAUCUAGGUUUAGAACCGACCAGUUGAGCUUGGGGAGCAACGACAAGAAUAUCAGUCACUUGCGAAGAGAAAACUCGAGAUCUUUCAAGUAAUGCCUGACAUAGAUUCCUCCAACCUGUGGCCAAUAUCUCAUUCCUUGUUGGCCAGACGCCUAUUAGGGCGUAUCUCAAUCAAUAAUAUGAUUUUUCGUUUGUUCACAAUAAAGACCGGAAGCCAUGGUUGUGAUUUAUGCAGUACAGAAGAAGUUGCCAUGGCUGGUAUCCUUACAAAUUCUGGUGUUUCUGCUAUCUGUUCAAGUGCAAAACACAACAGCUUUAUCAAGUUUGUCCCUAACAACUGAUAUUGAGCCCUCUGGAGGAAACCUUGAUAAAUUCAUAAUCACUUUUGACUCAUGCAUGGGCUGCCCAUCAAAUUUUCCUAGCAACGAGACGACUGCUGUCAUCUACUGCAAAGAGAAUUUCUUCUCGCAAAGACAAGAGGAGUUUAAGAAUACACACUAUUCUGCCAUUUCAUUUCCUCUUUCUCCACAACCAACAUAAACCAUAGUGUCUACAUUAGAGUACUUAGAAAGAGCUUAACUGAUGACCGUUUUUCCACAACCAAAUGCCCCAGGUAUGGCACAAAUUUCACCGAAAACAGAAGGGAAAAGGGCAUCAAGAACACGCUGUCCUGUAAGUAGUGGGGUAUCAGGACUACUCUAGGGAAGUUAUUUCUGUCAUUUUGAAAAAGAAAAAUUAAAGAAUGUACACAUGCUUUCAAGUGGACUGGAGCAUUCUACAUAUCAGGUGGUCUGUAGCCACAUGUGCCACUUUGUGGAAGUUGGAACAGUCGAUCACUAGGCUAUUUAGUGUGGCCAAGCCACGUUAAUCAAGGACAAGUCUUCAUACUUAAAAGUCAAAUGGUGCCUUUAGUCUCAUUACACAUGGCUAUUUAAAGAUGAACUAAUCUUUAGUGUAAUGUGAUUAAGACAGUACUAACUGAUCAAUAUUUUUUCUAAUUUUGGAUGCAAAUGCUUGCUGGCUUCAUCAUUGGAUGGGAUAAAGGUGCAUUCAUGACUCUGAAUACUUGCAGUAAUACUUGCAGUAAUACUUCAUUCUCUUUUUUCUCGAUGAGACUUCUUGGCACAAUUUUGCUUCUCAGCAACCUACCUCUCCAUGGAAAAUGAGUUGCGAUUGAUGGUACUGGAUAUUUUCUAGGAAGCUAAAUAUAGAUAUAUAGCACUCAAUGUCAACGAUAUAUAUAGCAUUAACAGUAUAUGUCUCAAUGCUCAUCAGCUACAAGCAAGGGACAAACACUUACAAUGAAUAACUCACGUCAACAUUCCUAAACAGGACAUAGAAGUGACAGAUCUAUAUAUAGAACACUGCAUAUGAGUCACAAGAAAAGAUAAUACGGGUGCAUAGCAGCUCUUAUAUUACAUAUUACUCAUACCGUUCAAAUUCACUCAGUUGGGAUGGGUGGGAGAAGGAGGCCUCUGGGGUGGCUUGUGCGUGUGAGAAGUGGAAGAAAGUUGAAUGGAAUGAAACUGAAAAACAGGGUAGAAUAGAGGUUUCUUGAAUCUUCUGAAAUCUUUAUUUUUCUGAGAUUUAUUCUCUGUUUUUGUGAGUCGUGACUCUACAUAUAUACAUGUAUUUAAAGUUAGUUAUGCCUUAUAACUAAUUAUCUAACAGUACCAAAACUAAUCAUCUAGUUGCAUGUUUCUAAUUAAUGCUAUUUAGUUACAACUAUAUAUGGCUUAACAUCCUCUCUCAAACUCAAAAGUCUAGCUAGAACAGUGAGUUUGCUUCAUAGAUUGAGAAAUUGUUGAAUAGGUAAGGCUUUGGUAAGAGCAUUAGCAAUCUGGUCAUAAGAAGGAAUGUGUUGAACCACCAAAGUCUUAUUGAGCACCUUUUCCUGAACAAAAUGGCAAUCUAGUUCCACAUGCUUAACUCGAGAAUGAAAAUAGGAUUGGCAGCAAGAAAGGUGGCUGAAAGAUUGUCAUAGAACAAAACAAAAUAGGAGAAUAAGAAGAUGAGAUAGAAAACUCCUGAAGAAGAUGUUGAAUCCAUUGAAGUUCAAAAGCAACAUUUGCUAAGGCCCUAUACUCAGCUUCAUUGCUGGAACGAGACACAACUUUCUGCUUACUGGAGUUCCAGGAGACUAGAUUAGAGCUAAAAAAGAUGCAAUGACCACUUGUACUUCGACGAUCAUCAGGGCAACCAACCCAAUCAACAUCAGCAUAAGCAGUAAGUUGAAAAUCAGGAGAAGAAUAAAAGGAAAGACCAAAGGAAGUAGUGCCCUUAAGAUAAUGCAACAAUCGUUUAACAACUUGCCAAUGAAGAUCAGUUGGUUAUUGCAUGAAUUGGCAAAGUUUAUUGAUAGAGAAAGAGAUGUCAGGCCUUGUAAUGGUACAAUAUUGCAGGGCUUCAACAAUGUUGCGAUAUUGAGAAGGGUCAGCCAAGAGGGAACCUUUAGAGGCAGAUAAAGUGUGAGAGGUAGUCAUUGGUGUAUCAAUAGGUUUAAAAUAUGGAAGACCAGCACGAGUUAACAAGUCCUGAAUAUAUUUGGUUUGGGAAAGAUGAAGAGAAGAUCCUUGCCAACAUACUUCUACACCCAAGAAGUAAUUCAGAAUACCAAGGUCCUUGAGAGCAAACUGAAAGUGUAAAGACGAAACCAUUUGGUGGACUAGCACGGUAUUAAGACCACUAACAAUAAUGUCAUCAACAUAGAUGAGAAUAAUGAUCAUGUCAGUCCCUUUCCGAAGAGGAGCUUGCUUCAGACCCUACAAGGCUUUGCGAAGUUUACAGAAAAAACCGGGUUUAGAAUGAUCAACAAAGCCUGGAGGUUGAACCAUGUAAACCUCUUCUUCUAACUCACCAUUGAGAAAGGCAUUAUUAACAUCUAAUUGUUCCACUAACCAACCAUGAGAAAUAGCAAGAGAAAGAACAAUUCAUAUAGUAGUUGGUUUAACAACAAGGCAAAAGGUUUCAAAAUAAUCAAUACCAUAUGUUUGAUUAAAACCCUUUGCAACUAAGUAGGCUUUAAAACGAUCAAUUGAGCCAUUAGCUUUGAGUUUCAGCUUGUAUAUCCAUUUACAACUAAUAAUGCGUGUAUUAACAGGUUUAGGAACCAAUGUCCAUGUGGAAUUGGUGAGAAGAGCAUCAUACUCAGUCUUCAUAGCAGCUUGCCAAUUAGGAUGCAAUAUUGCUUCUUUGAAAGAGGAGGGUUCGACAACAGUAGUUUGGAUAGCAAGGCUAAAUAUUUUUUUGGGUUUAAAAAUACCAUUUUGGCUACGAGUAACAAUAGUUCGGUUUGGAAGUGAAAGAGGAUCAGUGGAGGAGGCUGGAACAAGGGAUUGUGGUAAAGUAGGAAAGGAAGGUGGAUGAGAUGGAACAAAAUCAGUAGGGACAAUAAUGGGAGAAGAAAAAUUAGGUGGAGAAUGAUGAGGAUUCCUUGAAGAUGGUGUAGGAAUAGAGAGAAUACCAGAAUCAAGAAGUGUUAAAGAAGAGUUGGAUGAUGAUACUGGUUGACAGGAUAAAGACUUUGUUAAAAAUGGAAAUCGAGUUUCAUCAAAUACAACAUGACGAGAAGCAUAUAUCCGAGAGGAAGCCAUAUCCAAACAGAGGAAUCCCUUGUGUUUAGCACUAUAACCCAAAAAACAGCAAACAACAAAUAUAUUUGCUAGCUUGUGAGAAGCAUAAGGGCGAAGAUAAGGAAAACACAAGCAUCCAAAACUUCAAAGAGAUGUAUAAUAAGGUAAACGAUUAUAAAGAACUCCAUAAGGAGAAUUUUGUGAAAGAACAGCAGAGGGAAGGCAAUUUAUGAGAAAAAUGGCAGUUUGAAAUGCAAAUGACCAAUAUUUGAGAGGGUAUACCAGCUUGUAUUAACAAAGAAAGACCAACUUCCACAACAUGACGAUUCUUUCUUUCAACUCUUCAAUUUUGCUAAGGAGUAUAAUGACAAGAGACUUGAUGAAGAAGACCAUUUGUAGCCAAAUAAUUCUGAAAAGCUGAAACUGAAACUCAUCAAAUUGAUUUUUAGUAUCAAAUUUUCUUCAGACUGAACACAUUGAUUUUUAGUAUCAAAUUUUCUUUCAACCAUGGCUUGAAAAUGUUGGAACAUAAGUAAAGCUUCAUCUUUAGUUUCCAAAAGGUACAACCAUGAGAAUAUGCUAAAAUCAUCAAUUAGCAAGAGGAAAUAUUGAGCAUUACCAUUGACAGAAACUAUAGGAGUUGCACCCCAAAGAUCAACAUGGAUGAGACCGAAUGGUUUUAUUGCUCUAGAAGUGGAUAUUUCAAAUGGAAAACGAUGGCUUUUAGCCAACUGACAAGACUCACAUACAGAGUUAUUAUUGUCAUGUUUCAAAGGUAUUUUAUAAAGAGAUAAGAUUUUGGAAACUACAUUAAUAGAGGGAUGACCAAGUCUAUUAUGCCAAAGCCUCAAAGAACCAACGGCUAAAGUACUACUAGUAGAGUAAAAUACUAGUGGAUGACCAACAACUCUUGGUGUAGCAAGAAGUUUAUAGAGACCCUUCUCAAUUUUUCCUUGAAGAAGAGCAAGUCUCGUUUCCUGAUCCUUUACCACAAAAUGAGAAGAACGAAAUUCAAUAAAGGUGCCAUUGUUUGAGUAAAAUCGUUGCACGCUAACUAAGUUGGUGGUAAUAGAAGGAACAUGUAAGACAUCAUUGAAAAACAAAGAACCACUUGAAGAGGCAAGAGAAAAUUUACCAAUAUUUGCAAUGGAUAAACCCUUACCAUCUCCAACAAUUACUUUGUCACCACUGGUAAAUGGAUUAUGGAUUGUUAAAUUGUUAAGAUCAGAUGUGAGAUGAUGGGUAGCCUUUGUAUCAAGAAACCAAUAAGUGUCUCCCAUUGUUGCAGAAGUUGUAGUCAUAGCCUCAGGAUUGUUAGAGGUGGAAUGUUUAGAAUCUUUUGGCUGAUAAUCAGAGUUAAACCGAUACCAGCAUUGUAAAGCGGUGUGUCCGAACUUACAACCGAGAGAAAUAAUCUUUACUUAUUCUCUAAAAACUGUUCUUUAUUCCACACAUUAUUUCUAAAAACUGUUUCUAGAUAACAAUGACAAAAUAGUAUUAGGAAUUUUUAAAAAUAAAAAUUGUUUUUAAAUUACAUGAUCUAUAUCAUUCACAUUUGACCAUUAUAGCUUUGUUCAGGAAAACACUUGAAAGUAACCUUAUCGUGAUAAGAGAUAUAAGUUGGCUGUAGUUUCAAACUGAAAACAGAGGAUGGCAAUAGAAAGCAAAGCAUUAGUUAUCUGCAAUCAGUGGUGAUCAUGCCCCAUGUCAAUUUCGGACCCAUAUCUUAAAACCGUAUAAUUUGCAUUUCAACAUUUCUGAUUUCUCAGAUGUUUCAUACUCCACAGAAGAACAUUGUUUGUGAAAGCAUGCAUUUAUGCUGGAUUUUGGAUGAUGUGGGAACUGGGGCAAGGAUCAUAUGGAAGAGUGGUCGAUUUUUUCUGUACUUUAACAUUUGAAAUAGGAGCAGCACGGGCAUUUGUGGGGCUUAAUUGAUUUUGAAGCCUGAAAUUGCGUUUCUGUCAUUUUGUAAAAAAUAUGGCAGAUUCCAUGCUCUCAUAUGUUUGGUCUGUGGCCAUGUAUAGAUGCCACUUAGUGACCAGUUUGUAACUGUCAAUCAUAGUGUUUUGACUCUGGCUCAACAACAUCAGCCAUUGACGGAUUUUCAUACAUGCAAAUCAAAUAGUCUUCUUCCUCCCUUAGGAAUUUCGGUUUAAAUGUUAUUAAGCAUACAUUUGGCUGACAAUUAUUAACCACUUCAUGAUAUGGUUUCUUACCCUUAAUCAAUGGUUUCUAAGUGAAUAUAUGCAGAAGGAAAUCUGAACUGUAGACAGCAGUAUUGAUAAUUAUCAAUAUUCUUUAUAUAAGAGAAUAAACAACGUCAUAGUGAUCGUCGCCUACAAGAAAGGUACAUUUCCCAACAAGAUGUAGUUGUGACUGGUACAUGGACGUAAUUAACUCGUAGAAAAGGAUAAGACCAGUGCACGGCAGCUCUUAUUUUACAUGCUAAUUAUGCUAACCAAAGUCACUCAGUUGGGAUGGGAGGGAGAUGGAGGUUUGUGCGGUGGCUUGUGGGGCGGAGUUGGUGGCUUCUUUUCAGGAGCUUGUGGCUUUUUCGGAGCUGAAGGAGGCUCAAUCUUAUGAGGCGGCUUGUACGAGUCUUCUUUACUCUCGACAGGAGGGUGGCCAGGGUUGUGACCAUAAUGUGGUGGCUUCUCUCCCUUAGGUGGCUUGCCAACUGGGGUUGGUGGCUUGUGUUCAGGAAGUGGUUUCUCUCCCUUGGGAGGUUUACCAAUUGGGGUUGGUGGCUUGUGUUCUGGGAGUGGUUUCUCUCCCUUGGGAGGUUUAGUGGGUGACUUGUGUUCUGGAGGUGGCUUCUCCACCGGAGGCUUGUGCUCCGGUGGUGGCUUCUUGGUUGGAGGGGGCUUGGGGUAAUCAGCAAGAGAUGGGGGGGUGAGAACCACCACUCCAAGGAACAACACUAGCAAGUAUGUGGGAGACAUUUCUGAGUUUGAGCUGAUCAGAUGAUGCAAAACUAGAAGAAUUACGUGACCUUUUAUAGCAAGUAGCUCCCAAUACCCACAUGACACGUGUUACUGUGACCAUAAAUAUUAUAGGGUCCAUUUGUGCCCUACCGGGUUGAAAACUUGGACGCUUGGCCGAGGACACACCGAACUAUGGAGGACUAUUGACGUGUGAUCACAGCUUUUGGAUUUUUCUUCCUGUGCAGCUGUCUAGCGGUUGGCAUUAUUUUUUUAAUCUUAAAUAAAGGCAUAGUUAUAGAGUACAUUUAUAUAUCUUCAGAUAGCCAUUAAUAUAUUUGAUGAAGAAAGACAAGUGCAUACAACAUGUAUACGGCUUGCUUCAAUCGAGUACAUUUAUGAUCAGUUUUCCAGUGCAAGUAAACCAGUUUUUUGUUCCACAACUAUUUUGGAAUCUUGUUUAUCAGUUUCUAUCAUUAUAAUGUCACAUAGGCUGCAAACUUGGGCACCCAAAGAUCUAGUUGGGCAAAUUUGUUUCAGAAUUUCAAUGGUGGAUUCAGUAAUUGUUAAAAGGUGUUUCUUCAUUAAGGAAAGAGUCCUGUAAAAAUAUUGUUAAAAGGUGUCAUAGAAACUAUAAUAAUUAAAUAACUUCUUUUCCCCGUGGGUGGUGUUUCUUCUGGGGAUACCCAAAAUGAGUUCAGAUUAAAAUUGGUUCGAGUCAAAGCUGUCUCUUUUGUCCAGAAAUCAACUAUUUUGCGCAUUGCAUGAAUCGAUAAAGAAAAAAUGAAAGCCAAAUCACACCUCCCCUGCAAAACCUAAACCCCGGUUGCUAACUUUCUAUGUUUCAGUCCUAUUCAUACAGGAAUAUUGGUUCAAGUUUGAGAAAAAUGGCAACUUACCUAGGGAUUACUUGGUUGUGGUUUGCGACGACUAUUUACGCAACCAACCAUGAGUUUGACUUUAACGUCAUGGGUUGAAGCCUCCUACAAUCGUGUAUGAUAGUUCAAAGCUCGUAGUAGAAAUUAUACAGGAAGGAAGAAACCUCCAAAGCUAGCUCCAAAAGAGAAUUAUCACAUCGAUAGCUCCAGAGAUUCCCAAGGGGACUGAAUCAAAGACAAGUUCCUCACUUUUUCUUCUUUUGAGGCCAAAUAUGAACCAAGGAUCACACGACCUCAUUCAACUUCAUAAGUUUGAUUUCAUGCAGUUGAACACUGGGUGAAGGCCAUGACAAGAAUUGAUUAAAAAAUUCUACCACUGUUUUAAGUAAUGGAAGAUUAUUAUCUCUGAUUGGCACCACAACAGCACAUGCUGCUAGAUCUUUCUAGACACUCCAUGCAAUGAAAGUACAAUGGAUCUUGUAACGAUAGAAACUAAGCCAUGCUACAGUACUAGAUGACGAGGUAAAACUAUUAGACAUGGGUGGCAGCCUAUAUGGGAGGGACACAAGUCUAAUUGAUUUGCAUUUCAGCGUUCUAGAUGGGUAUGUUUUGGAAGAUUUGUUCUGGAAAUACCGCACCAAGUAGGAUUCUUUUUUCUCUUGAGUGGGUCCACUUGCAUGCCAAUUAUCGAGUUGAAAAGUAGAGCACCUACCUCGUGCUCGUGGAACCGAAGGUCAGUGAAGUGGGGCUCCUUUUGGCCUCUUGUGUUUCUGUUCCAACCAAGGCGGCGGAGGGAAAAACAGCAAUAUGUCUCCGCUAAAUAUCAACGCAUGAUAGCGAAUGAGGGAGAAAAAAAGUAAUUGGCAUCUCAAUCUCACAAACUUGGUACAGUAGUGACAUUAAUAGUCUUCCACAUGGUUUUUAUUUUAUUUUAUUUUAUAUUUUAUAUUUUCCAUUUUUUUAUUUUUUUGUAUGUCAAGGCUAAUGAAUAAAAUGCGUUAGCUUGUUUUGUGAUUGGAACUGCAAAUGUCCAAAUUGGAGUUUCUCCAUUUCUCAGUUCGGAUGGUUAACUUUAUAAACAAGAUAUAGGAAACAUGUGAACGUCUUGAGGAACAAUUCGAAUUAUUGAUUAGAACUCCUAGGUUGAGUUCCAAGAUUUAAAUCAGACCCCUCUAGCAGCUUCAGGGGUACCUAGCAAUUAGAACAUAUUAAUGAAGAUUUAGGAUUUAGACUCCGGAAUACAAAUUAAUAUGUAUCUUAUGCUCUGACUAGCUUCCCUGCAUAUGCACAAAAUGGAGAUGACCCAAAAAAUAGCAGAAUCGCCUUAGUUUAUGUGGUUAAGGUGAUUCUCCGGUUAAUAUCCACAUUGGCUCAUUAUGCAAAUCAACUGAGCUAUUUUUUUUUUAAUGUCAAAUAGGAACUCCUAAUUAACCUAACCAUUGGCCUGUGUAAAUUGAUUUCACAUGCACAAUGUUGUAGUAGAAGUCCACAUUUUGAAUUUUAUUUUUGGAAAGGUAAGGAAAAUGAAGCAUUGUGUAAUUAUAAAAAUAACUUCAUUGGAAUUCACAAGGUUCACCCAAAAUGGAGCUACAUCCGUAUUCUAUCUUACAGUAGACUAUAUAGAUUGUACAAUAGUAAAUUGCAAAUACAAUUAAUAAGUCUUGUGUUUCCUUACUAAUAAUCCUUUGACAUAAACAUUGCAGCACUAAGGUCCUCUUGGGCAGACACCUUGCACCCAUGAGAGCACUAAGAGGAAGCAAGGCGGAGUCAUGGGUGCAAUGUCAUGACUUGUUGCACUAAGAGAGGCUUGGUGAUGGCAUAGUGCUGCAGUAGCAAGAAUGUUGCCUUGGCAGGGACACGAUCUAGGGACAGAUGCCAAGAAAGGCUUAGCACUCACAUGAGUUGCACAAAGAUGAAUGAAAUAGAACAUCAAAGAGACAUCUUGGCAAGCUCAAGAAAGACAUGUGGGUUGGUAAAUGAAUGGAUGCAAGAGGCAACAACAUGAGGAGUUUCAAAUGGAUAGGGAAUGAGUCAAAGACAUUUGAAAGCUACAAGUUGGAUUCUAAUUACGAUUGCAAUUUGAGUUUGAGUAGGAGUUUAUAUUAUGAUUGUAAUUGUAGUAUGAGUUGGACUAGGAUUGCUUAUCCCUAGUCAAAAUAGGAGUUGUUCAUGCCACACCCUAUGAAAAGAGUUUGAGUAGGGACUAGGAUUGCUUGCUCCUAGUCAAAUAUGGAGUAGGUGGUGCCACACCUAUAAAAAAAAAAGGGACAACAUGAGAGAGAGAGAGAAUGAAUUCACCAAAGAUAUUGUGGGAGUUUUGCUUUGUUACAUCUUGUAUUAUUAUUUAGAAUAGUAAUAAAAUACAAGUUGGGGCUAGAGCCCCAUAAUCUCGUGUGCCUUUGUGGGUUAUUCUUUAUUUGCCAUCUCGUGUGGAUUGGAUUAGAUUGAUGAGGCGAAAUAUUAUGUGGGAAAUUUAUGUUGGGACACUUACCAUAACCAGGUAAAAUCUACCAAGUCUUUUGUAAUAUCUUCUACAAAUAUUUUAGACCAGUUCUUCACAAAACAUCAUAAUAUGUUUUGUGUUUCUCUUGGAUUUUGAGUUGAAUUGUCUUAGAUCAAUUGAAUGCAUCUCAAUAUUAUUAUCUUGUUUGAAGGCUUGAUGAUUUUCCAUUUAACUUUACUUUCUUUAGGUUAUGCUUGAUUCCUUAAAAGUACUAAGGAAAACAAAAAAUAAAAAAAAAUAAAAAAUGCAGAGGGUUAGGACAUGUGUUAUCUAAUUGUCCUAUCCAAAGAUAUUAAGAAAGUCAUGUAGGAAAGUAAUUGAAAACUAGGUCAAGAAAGGAGCAAAAGGGAAUUGUUUUGGUAUUUUCUUUUUUAUUCUUGAAGGUGGCAGAGCUAAAAUUUGAGAAAUCAAGCAAAACAUACUGAAAUUACAUUGAAAGAAAGAAAAUGGUAGUUAAUGUCUUGCAGUACAUGAUAAGGACUUCAUGCAUGUAGUGUGACGACCCAUGUCUUGGACUGAUGCCACACUCACGGUUACACUUAUACCCUUGGUUCUCUCUUUACUACCUUGGCUAACCUAGAUCAGGCUAUGAGAUAGGCUCCUCACCACACCAUCACUUGCCCAGUAAUUAGUGACAUUUUCAAGCAAUGAGGUAACAUGGUGACACCAAGAGGGUUUAUCCCUCGCCCCAACAAGUCUAGACUCGGUCUCAAAAAAAUGGAGAAAAAUGAGGUGUCGUUAUGCAGAAAUACAACAACCAUGCCUUCCUUAUUACUUAGAUUCAGAAUGUGAAGGUGAAAUUGAGAAACAGAAACUCUUGAAACCAGAAUGAAAAUUGAUACUUUUACGAAGAAUUACAACAUUAGAGGAAGACUACAUUCUUCCUCUAUAUUCCUACGUUUCUACACUACUUCUACUCCACUCCAUAUUUCUACAUACAUCUUUAAUCAGUUUUCCCUCCUUUAUAUAGAGCCAUCUUCACACAAAUUCCGCAAGGUAGAAAAGAGGAAUGAAACUUGGAGCAAGGUUCGACUACUGGUUGUCGCUUGUCAAGGCUGGAAUUGAACUUUUUUUCUUGGCUUUUCUGGGCAUAGGUAGUAACUUGUGGUUCCUUUUUGGAAUGAAAAUGGUACAGCUAGAACAUGUGGCACUCUCUUGUUGGAUUAUGUGUCAAACAUGUGGCAGCCAUCUAGUGGAGAUUAUUUCAAUUUUGGGAUGGAGAGUUGGCAUCCAAUUGCAAAGAAAUAUGACAUCUACCAACAUGCAAUGUAAACCUAUAUAGAUCAUAUGGAGAUAGAGAGGAAACAUAUAGAAAUGGAUAUAUACCUAGAACUAGCUUUUUAUUAAAUGAGACGGAGAGCCAACAAUGAAGGAAAAUCAAAAUUUUUGGCUCAUAUCAAAGAAUUCACAUUGUGUUACCCUAGGUUUUCUUAAAGCUUGCACAAAGCCAAAAAGCACACAAAAAAUUAUAUUUUCUAGCUCUCUACCUUGGAUGGUCUCUUGAUCCUACUUGGAGAUGUGCAUAAAUAAAAGGAUUUGAAAAUGACAAUUGACUAAGUAUGUAGUCAAUCAAUUACUCAUUAAUUGACUAGUUGAUCAAUUAACUUUGCAACAUCAUAUGCAAUCCUAAUAGCUAGUCAUCUAAUCAACUAGGUAGUAAAUCAAUAGGCCAAAAAUAUGUUUAUAAUGACUAUUUUGUACAAAAACCACCUAUAUGGUUAAAUAUAAUGCAUUUCAUUUAUAAAUCUUCUAAUUCUUGAAUAACGAUCCUAUCAUCCUUUGAAAGUUUUUAUUACACCUUUUAUACUUUUGUUCUAAAACUUACACAUGUACAUCACCCUUAAUUGUACCAUGAGAACCUAGCUUUUUUUUUUUUUUUUUUUGUAAUUCAUCAAAGUUAGCUUUUGUAUUCAUUACUGUACUAUUUUUAUUGUAACUUAGAAAGCGAGUGUUUUCAAGUGAGUGAAAUUGACUUAUAAAUAUUGUAAAGAUUCAUUGAUGUGUAUCUUAAACUAAGUGUACAAGUUGAAACAUUUGCUAGUAGAUUUUCUCAAGAUUUAGAAUAGAGCUUGAGGCUAUUGAAAUAGGUGGGGUUGCACCAAACCACAUCACAUUGUUGUUUGCACCUUUUUUUCACUCUCUUUUACUUAGUUGCUCUAUAUUUGUUGUCUAGUAAUAUCCUAUAGGCUUGAUGGGUUAGGGAGCAUCCCUUUGUGAAAAAUUUUCAUUCAAUCCUUAGUUGUAUCACGCAUAUAUAAAAUGCCUCAUUGUUUUAAUGGUAUUCAGUCGUGGCAUCACAGAUAUGGGCAUCUAAAUUUUAAAAGUUUGAAACUUUUAUCUAAAGAAAAUAUGGUGCUUUGCCUUUUUGUAAAGCAUGUUGAUGAAAUCCAUGAGAAUUGUGUACUUGGGAAGCAACAUCGAGAUGACUUUUUUUUUUUUCAUUUUUUAUAAUGCGACACCUAAGUCCGGUUUCUAAAUGCUGAAGUGAAAGGGUAGGUAUGGACCAUUGAAAUCUGAUCACAACUUUUGGCCUUUUCCUUUCUCUGCAGCCAUGUUGUCUCUUUUUUCUUUUGCAUGAUUUUCUUACCUAAACAGAAUCAUAGACUUGUUUAAUCUCUAAAUGGUAUUUCAUCCAGCUUUAAGCUACUGUAUUAUAUCUUGGUGGAGGACUUUUAAGAGUGAAACCGACAUAGAGCACAUGCAAGUGGGUAUAUGGGACAUGAAAUUUCUUCUUAUAAAGACUGCAUGGUUUUUAUAUUAGAGUUGUUGAGGCGCAAUGUAUUUAGCUUGUUUUGCAGUUAAAUUAAUUGGAUAAGUAGACAUUGUCGUUUCUAAAUUUCCCACCUAAGAUAGUGACCUUAUCCUUGACUGCUUGAUGAGAUACACAAACAAUUAUACCUUCAAAAUCUACUGUGAAGUGCUUCAUGUAUGUGUGAAGUAUUAGAAAUUUCUUUCUUGGCAACUUGUUUUUUCUUUGCCCUCUACUGAUAGGUUUGACUCAAAUUAAAUUCCCUGUCAUGCUAAUUAAUUUUCACGUGCAUGCUCAAAAGGAUCACGUCAACUCUGGUUUCUACUAUUCAGGUCCAUUCCCAGAUAAACUGGUUCAAAUUUGAGAAAAUGGCAACAGCCCUUUAGUGAUGUUGGUUUGGAGCCAGUAGCCAAACCCGCCCUGAGCUUUACCACUAAUGUCAAGGGACAAAGCCAUUUGAACAAAAACAAUAGCUUCAAGAGACUGAAUCGUGGAUGAAAUCUGAUCCACAUUUCUUCUCAUUUUGGGAACAAAUGAGAACUUAACUACAAAGAUUCUACUGCCUCAUAGUGCUUUUCCUGAUCUAAGGUUGGUUCGUUUCCCAAAUUGUGAGGUACGUGCCAUUCUCACGCUCAGGAGUGUAUCCACGUGGUGGACAUAAGAUGGUGGCUUAAUAUCUGGUGUCGGUGGCUUUACUUUACUAGGAGAGUAGUGUGUCUUCAUCUCAUUCACUGCCGGAGGGUGGCGUAAGCAGUGACGCUAAGGUGGGGCACAGUCAAUAUCAUUUGCAUUUGACCAUUAUAGUUUUCUCCCGGCUUGAAAGUAACCUUAUCGUGAUAAAGGAUUACUAGCACUAGUUCAGAUGACAGUCAUGUUAAAUUCGGACCAUGUUUGUGUCACAUUAUCAGCAACCAUGUGUUUAUGGUUCAUGCUAUCUGCAACUAAACUUGAUAUAUAACCACGUGAACUUCAAUCUAAAUUCUGGAAGUACUCUUGUGAUAGAUGGUGCCUGUCUGCAGAGUCCAUCAAUUGAAAAAUGGAGUGAGUGUAUCUAUAAGAGGGAAGGCUUGGCAAAUGUUCAGUUUUCUGGGAACUCAACAAGGAUCUAAAAUAGAUUGUUUUCUUUGCUGAUUUCAAUGGUUGAAAUUUGAGAAGAUUGUGUCCACAUAACACAACUAUUACUGGUCCUUCUGUUGCAAUUUAUCCUCUAAGGCUCUAACAUGUCUUCCAAUUCCCACUUCCCUGUUACUCCAGGAAAGCUAUUUCUGUCAUUGUGAAGAAGAAAAGAGAAUGUACAUAUCGAUGGUUUUAAGUGACUGGGGCAUUCAUAUCAGGUGGUCUGCAGCCAUAUAUGCCACUUUGUGAAGGUUGGAACAGUCAAUCACCAGGCUAUAUUAGUGUGGCCCAGCCACUUCAAUCAAGGACAAGUCUUCAUACUUAAAGUCAAAUUCUGCCUUUAGUCUCAUUAUAAAUUGCUGUUUAAAUAUUAAGCAAACAUUUGUUUAAUGCGAUUAAGACAGUACUAACUCAAUACUUGUUCUAUUUUUGGAUGCAAAUGCUUGAUGGUUUCAUCAUUGGAUGGGAUAAAGGUGCAUUCAUGAUUAUGAAUACUUGUAGUUAUAUUUUCAUUCUCUUUUUUCUCAAUGAGACUUGUUGGCACAAUUUUGCUGUUCAGAAACCUACCUCUCCAUCGAAAAUCAGUUGUGAUUGAUAGUACUGGAUAUAUUCAAGAAAGCUAAAUAUAGAUAGCACCAAAUAUUAUCGAUAUAAAUAGCAUUAACAGCGUACGUAUGUCUCAAUGCUCAUCAGCUAUAAGCAACGGGCAAACACUUACUAUGAGCAACUUGCGUCAAAAUUCCAGAAUAGGACAUAGAAGUGACAGAUCUAUAUAUAUAUAGAACACUGCAUAUGAGUCACAAGAAAGGAAAUUACGGGUGCAUAGCAGCUCUUAUUUUACAUCCUACUCAUACUGAUCAAAGUCACUCAGUUGGGAUGGGUGGGAGUAGGAGGUUUGUGGGGUGGCUUGUGCGGAGGAGUUGGCAGCUUCUUUCCAGGACCUGGUUGCUUCUCUGCUGGAGUUGAAGGAGGCUUAAUCUUCCGAGGUGGCUUGUAUGAGUCUUCAGCAUUCUCAGCAGGAGGGUGACCAGGGUUGUGACCAUAAUGUGGUGGCUUCUCUCCCUUAGGUGGUUUGCCAACUGGGGUUGGUGGCUUGUAUGAGUCUUCAGCAUUCUCAGCAGGAGGGUGACCAGGGUUGCGACCAUAAUGUGGUGGCUUCUCUCCCUUAGGUGGUUUGCCAACUGGGGUUGGUGGCUUGUGUUCUGGGAGUGGCUUCUCCCCCUUGGGAGGUUUUUCCAAUGGGGUUGGUUUGUGUUCAGGAGGUGGCUUCUCCACUGGAGGCUUGUGUUCAGGAGGUGGCUUCUCCACCGGAGGCUUGUGUUCAGGAGGUGGCUUCUCCACCGGAGGCUUGUGUUCAGGAGGUGGCUUCUCGAAUGGGGGAUGCUCAGGGUAAUCAGCAAGUGAGGGGUUGGUGAGAACCACCAUGCCAAGCAACAGGACUAGCAAGUAUGUAGGAGACAUCUUUGGGUUUGGACUUAAGACAGUGGAAAACUGCGAGAAUUCUCUAGCCUUUUAUAGCGGGUCGACCCAGUACUCACAUGACACGUGUCAUUAUGACACAUGUGCCAUGGGGUCGAUUUGGGUCCUACAGUGUUGAAAAGUUGGGCAUUUGAGGUGUGAGCACAACUUUUGGCCUUUGCUUUCUCUACAGCCGCCAUGCUUUUCCCUUUUUUCCUUUUCCUUUUGUUUUCCUCCUGCCUCGUGUUCUCAACUAAACACAAUUAGGUUGUUUAAUUGUUAAAUGAGAUUUUUGUCUGUCAAUCAUAUUAUAUCCUAUCAAGAGAGAACAGAGUGUAAUGUAGUACACAUAACACGAGGCAGUAGUAAUUUUAUCAUUUAUUUUUAUAGCUUGGACCACCGCAUUUUUUCUUCUAAAAUAUUCUGUCUUGUUAAGAGACGCAAUAAUACACAAUUUUAUCUGCCAUUCAACAUUUACUGUAAAGUUCUUUUAUCUCUUUGUAGUUCUAGAAAAGUACAAAAUGGAACAUCAUGUAUAUGGUGCCUUCUGUCCUAAAAAAGAAACUGGACAAAUUAUGAACUGCAUGCUAAAAAGAGGCAAAGGAGCUUAAUUCGCAGCAUAAUUAUUUUGGUUUCUAGAGAGCCCGGGGCCUUUUGGUUGGUUUGGGGUCAGAAAAUGAACAUCAUAGGGAUUGUGCCCUUAACUGGCCUUGUUACUACAAAGAAAUUGCCAUAGAAAUUUAUUCCAGGCUGAGUAUCUCCGGAUAGACCCCAGAAAAGAAGAGUCAUAAUGAGAAUCAACCUUUGUUGAGUUUGAUUCCAUGCCUCCAUUGUGUUCAUUUCAUGAAUCUGAUUUGCAUUUAACAUUACAGUUUUGUUCUGGAAACAAUCAAAGGAGCAUCGUUUGCUUCUUGGGUGACCCAUAGUGGUGGGUGGGUCGAUUUGCUUAGUUGAAAAUUGGACAAUUGGCUCCAUCGCCUACCUCUUGGAUUCCAUGCUCGGAUAAAACGACAACAAAUAAAUAUUUAUAACUUACAACUGGGGAAAGGAAAAAAUAGUACUAAAUUCAUGGUACAUGAUAGUGAGAGAAGGGGGUGUUACACUCAGCUAAAGUUCUUUUCUAAAUAUUGCAUGGUGUUUAAUUUUAUGUGUCGGCGCGCGUGUGAAUGGAACCUGCAAAAGUCCAAAUUGGCGUUUCUCCAUUUUCCACAUAGGAUGGUGACGUUAAUAGACAAAGAUACAAUAUCUGUAGACAUUGCUUAAAAAUCGAUGUGAAGUAUUAGAAAUUACAGGCCACUGUACUGGGGGAGCGGCUGCCCCGCCAAAGGAAGAAUGUAGCAAUUUCUUCUGUUAGCCAGGCCUUAGGAUUUAUGCAUGGGAUGCCUAAUAACAAACAGAGAAAAUAUGCUUUUGGGGAAGGUAUCCAACAACAGACACCAUCAUUCAGAUGGUGGGAAGGUAUCCAACAGAUGCCAUCAUUCAGAUGGUAACAUAUAUAUACAUUUAUUAGUGAGUUUUUUUAAUACCUAUAAAAAAAAUAUACACUUUGAUAUUGUGGCUGAAUCCAUUACAUACUCAACUAACCUUGCUCAUUAGGGAUUUGACGUAACAAGGGCAACGUUGCAGUAAAAGCUCGAAACUUUAUGCAGGUGACAUUACAUUUGGUAAAGAAGAGGAAAAUAAGGAAAGCCAUCCAUAAAAGCAAAAUUCCUCAUGGGAUGAAAUUCACAAACUUCAUUUACGUUAGAGUCGCAUCCAGGCAAUUAAUUCCACAUUAGACCGCCUUUUGACAUGUGUACGGAUCUUUUUUCAAAAAUUAUUUAUAAAUAAUUGAUACUUACAAAAAUAAUUUAAGAUUUAUAAAGGAUAAAAAAAUAUUUUCAAAUCUAUGACAAUUUAUAAAAUAUUAAUAAAAAAUUAUCUCUUAAACUUAGUAUAGUUUUAUCGUAUUAAACUUUUAUUUUGAACAAAUAAUUUUAAUCUAAGUUUUAAAUUCUAAAAUUAUUUCCUUAAAAUAAAAUUUUAAAAUUCAACACUUCAAUUGAAAUUGUCUUUUAAAAAAAAUAUCUUCUUAUUUUAAUCCUUAUAAACUAUAGUUGAUUGAAAAUACUAUUGAAGUUCUCUCUUCAAAAAAAGUCUUAUUUUAAUCUUCAUAAAUUGCCCUUGAUUUGAAAAUAAACUUUGGGUUAUCAUAUUUUAAAUAAUAUAUAUAUAUAUAUAUAUAUAUAUAUAUAUAUAUAACAAAUACUCUAUUUUUUUUUUAAAUGAACUAAUUUUAAUUAUAUUUUAUUUUAUUUUUUUAUAUAUUUUUAAUGAUAAACCAAACAUAGAAAAUCAUUUUUCUAAAUAUUUUAAAAUUUCUAAGCAACCAAACAUAAUCUUCAAAAUAAAAGGAGAAUAAGGAGGGACAAGUGAGAAAUGGCGAUUAAAAAAAAGUGUACAAAAGCUCAAUUAAUUUUCUUCUAGUCUUUUAUAUAAAAAAGUAUUGGUAUGUAAAUUAAUAUUUGGAUUUUAAUAGUAUUUUAUUUGUCUUUCUCUAUCUCAUGUAAAAGAGAAUUUAAGAUAUUUCCUAAAGCAAAGCAUUAGUUAUCUGCAAUCAGUGGUGAUCAUGGUCCAUGUCAAUUUCGGACCCAUAUCUUAAAACCGUAUAAUUUGCGUUUCAACAUUACUGAUUUCUCAGAUGUUUCAUACUCCACAGAAGAGUAUUGUUAGUGAAAGCAUUUUGUAACUGUUACUCAUAGUGUUUUGACUCUGGCUCAACAACAUCAGCCAUUGACGGAUUUUCAUACAUGCAAAUCAAAUAGUCUUCUUCCUCCCUUAGGAAUUUCGGUUUAAAUGUUAUUAAGCAUACAUUUGGCUGACAAUUAUUAACCACUUCAUGAUAUGGUUUCUUACCCUUAAUCAAUGGUUUCUAAGUGAAUAUAUGCAGAAGGAAAUCUGAACUGUAGACAGCAGUAUUGAUAACUCUCAAUAUUCUUUAUAUAAGAGAAUAAACAACGUCAUAGUGAUCGUCGCCUACAAGAAAGGUACAUUUCCCAACAAGAUGUAGUGGUGACUGCUACAUGGACGCAAUUAACUCGUAGAAAAGGAUAAGACCAGUGCACGGCAGCUCUUAUUUUACAUGCUAAUUAUGCUAACCAAAGUCACUCAGUUGGGAUGGGAGGGAGAUGGAGGUUUGUGCGGUGGCUUGUGGGGCGGAGUUGGUGGCUUCUUUUCAGGAGCUUGUGGCUUUUUCGGAGCUGAAGGAGGCUCAAUCUUAUGAGGCGGCUUGUACGAGUCUUCUUUACUCUCGACAGGAGGGUGACCAGGGUUGUGACCAUAAUGUGGUGGCUUCUCUCCCUUAGGUGGCUUGCCAACUGGGGUUGGUGGCUUGUGUUCAGGAAGUUGUUUCUCUCCCUUGGGAGGUUUACCAAUUGGGGUUGGUGGCUUGUGUUCUAGGAGUGGUUUCUCUCCCUUGGGAGGUUUAGUGGGUGACUUGUGUUCUGGAGGUGGCUUCUCCACCGGAGACUUGUGUUCUGGAAUUGAUUAAAAAAAUUCUACCACUCUUUUAAGUAAUGGAAGAUUAUUAUCUCUGAUUGGCACCACAACAGCACAUGCUGCUAGAUCUUUCUAGACACUCCAUGCAAUGAAAGCACAAUGGAUCUUGUAACGAUAGAAACUAAGCCAUGCUACAGUACUAGAUGACGAGGUAAAACUAGUAGACAUGGGUGGUAGUUGAUUACUACUCAAAAAGUACUCUUUUAUAGUUUGAAACUAACUGUUUUAAACACUUUUGAGUAGUAGUUAAUAAAUUUUAACUCAAUUGGCACAUUAAGGAACCUAGCAAGGGUUACUAAUAAACUUUUGGCAAGUUUUGGUGUUUUUGGUAGUUAUUCGAUCAUUGAAACAAGCCAAGAAUGAGGGAGAAUUUUGUGAAGUCCAUGGCAAUGCAAGUUAAAGCUCAAAUACACGAAGAAUCCAAGCUUUGGAGCACUACAUAGCCCUUUGCCAAGCCAAUUAGAGAUGCAAGGAACAAAACCAAAGGAAGAAAUCCAACAACCAACAUUUUCGCAUGGUUGUGUGAAAUUUCGCACACCAUGCGAAACCACAAGAGGUAGCCAAAGAAUUUCACAUGGUAUGCGAAAUCUUCUCAUGCACCGACUCCGUUAGAUUUUUAUCUUCAGAUAUUUUGUGUAAUUUCCUAGUUUCUCCUUGUAACCAACCUAGAUAUUUUCUUUUAUAUCUUUUUUUAUAUUUUUUAGGUAACAUCAUAUAUAAGGGGAGAGACAUAAGGAGGAUAUGGAUGUUUUUCAUAGAACACUUGUAAAUUUUCAGUAGUAAGAAAUAUACAAAGCUUUUUGCUAUGCCUUACCUUCUCAUUUUGUUUUCACCUGUCUUUCUAGCCAAACAACCUCUAAGGAUGAUUUCUCAGGGGAUGAGUGGCUAGGUUUUACGUUUCUUGGAGUGAGGGAAGCUAGGUGAAGGACCUGAAUGCAAAGAUGAGAGUUUUCCUUGCUUUAAAUGAAAGUAGUUGUUAAACAUUAAUGGUUUUUAUUUUAAGGUUUAGCUUUAAAUCCCUUAAAAACACCUUGAAUGACCAAUACUUGGUAAGCUUUUCGGAUUCUAUGGAUGCUUAUUGCUAGAUCCAUGGAUGUCUAUUAGUUAUCAUUUACGAGCCUUUGGAAGGUGAUUCAAGGUGAGGGUCUUUAGUGUUUGAAGCCAUUAAUGGGAAGCAAUUACCAUUUUUUCAUGAAUCCUUUGGAUCAAAUCUUAAUUGCUAAAUAUAAAACCGAUUUGGGAAAUAACCAUCCUUUAUGUUAUUAUCCCCAACGCAAGGAGAAGAUCCGGAAUCUUCCCUUUUGUCUAAGGAACCCGAUCCUAGUGACCUAAAGCUCCAAGAGACCUUUUCUUUGUAGUUAACUUCAUUUAUUGUUUUUGCUUAACUUAAAAUCAAUCUUUGCAACCACAAUUCCAUUUUCUUUAAAAGCUAAUUUUUAUAAGGAAAAACACCAUUUUAUUUCCUUCACUAAGUCAACUGUACGAUGAAAACCCAUCCCUGUGGACGAUCCUAGAGCCAUUAUACUAUGUUAGCUAUGCUACCCUAGUGUGAGGUGAUUUAGGUUUUAUAAAUUUUGUUGAUAACACCCAUCUGAGCCAGAAUCAAAUGGCACAACUGAACCAGGGACGAAUCAAAUGGCGCCGCUAUCGAGGAUGGUGCCAAAGUACAUUGACAUGACUUUUGGUGAACACUUGUGAUCUUCAUCACAAGUUUGGUGAUUUUUCUAUUACUAAUUUUUUUCUUUGUUUUUAUUUUAGCUUAUCUUUUAUUUAGUUUUUAGCUAACCUUAACUUUUUCUUAGAAUUGUAUUUCUUCUAUUUUCUUUGUUUUUGUUUCAGUGAUCUUUAGUUGUGCAUGCCCUAUUGGAUAAGAAAUAUUGAGGGAAUACUUGUGAAGAUUGAAAAUCCUCGAGAAACUGAGUUGGAAGUGUGAUUGAACAUCAUGGAUGUUCCACCUGAAGACCAGAAUAGCCAACAUGGUUAAGAGGAUAAUUUCAAAGCAUACCGAUCCAUGAGGGACUGCAUGCAUCCACCUCGUAUGAGUGCACCGUCAUGCAUAGUGCCUCCCACUGAGCAACUAGUAAUCUGACCUCACAUUGUGCCACUCCUACCUACUUUCCAUGGGAUGGAGAGUGAGAAUCUCUACUCGCAUAUUAAGAAAUUCGAGGAGGUUUGUAAUACAUUCCAAGAAGGAGGAGCUUCAAUUGACUUGAUGAGGCUCAAGCUAUUUCCUUUCACUUUGAAGGAUAAGGCUAAGAUUUGGCUUAAUUCUUUAAGGCCAAGGAGUAUCCGAACUUGGACUAAUUUGCAAGCCGAUUUUCUUAAGAAGUUCUUCCUUACCCAUAGGACCAAUGGUUUGAAAAGGCAAAUUUCGAACUUCUCAGCUAAAGAGAAUGAGAAAUUCUAUGAGUGAUGGGAGAGGUACAUGGAAGCUAUUAAUGCUUGUCCUCACCAUGGCUUUGACACAUGGCUCUUAGUGAGUUAUUUUUACGAUGGUAUGUCUUCUUCAAUGAAGCAACUCCUAGAAACUAUGUGUGGAGGAUACUUCAUGAGUAAGAAUCCGAAGGAAGCCAUGGACUUUUUGAGUUAUGUGGCUGAAGUUUUAAGAGGAUGGGAUGAACCAAAUGCUAGAGAGGUGGAAAGAAUGAAGUCUCAACCUAAUGCUAAGGGUGGGAUGUAUGUUUUGAAUGAAGACAUUGACAUGAAAGCAAAGGUUGUAGCUAUGGCAAGGAGAUUGGAAGAGCUAGAAAUGAAGAAGGCACAAAAAGUGGAAGCCAUUUCUGAGACAUCAGUGCAAGCUAUGCCUUGUUCCAUUUGUCAACCUAAUGCUAAGGGUGGGAUGUAUGUUUUGAAUGAAGACAUUGACAUGAAAGCAAAGGUUGUAGCUAUGGCAAGGAGAUUGGAAGAGCUAGAAAUGAAGAAGGCACAAAAAGUGGAAGCCAUUUCUGAGACAUCAGUGCAAGCUAUGCCUUGUUCCAUUUGUCAAUCUUAUGAGUACCUAGUGGAGGAGUGUCCUACAAUUCCAGUAGUGAGAGAGAUGUCUGGUGAUCAAGCAAAUGUUAUUGAUCAAUUCAAGCCUAAUAAAAAUGCUUCAUAUGGCAACACCUACAAUUCAAAUUGGAUGAACCAUCCAAAUUUCUCUUGGAAACCAAAGCUACCUCAAUACACACAACCUGCUCAAGCACCUUAGCAAUCCUCGAAUCUUGAACAAGCUAUUGUGAACCUUAGUAAGGUUGUGGGAGAUUAAAAGUCCAUCAAUGCUCAACUGAAUCAGAGAAUUGACAGUGUAGAGAGUACAUUGAACAAAAGGAUGGAUGAGAUGCAAAAUGAUCUGUCUCAAAAGAUAGACAAUGUCCAAUAUGCAAUCUCAAGGCUUACCAACCUCAACACAGUGCAAGAGAAAGGAAAGUUUAUUUCUCAACCUCAUCAAAAUCCCAAGGGUAUCCAUGAAGUGGAGGCUCAAGAGAGAGAAUCUUCAAAGGUGAGGGAAGUCAAAGCAGUUAUCACCUUGAGGAGUGGUAAAGAGGUUGAUCAACCCACAUCCAAGCCAAAGCAUAAUGAAGAGAGUUUUGUAGAAAAAGAAAAGAGAGGAAAAUAAAGGAAAGAGAAUAGAGAAAAGUACAAAGAAAGAUGACCAUGAGUCUAGUGUGGAUGAAGAGCCCAAGAGGAUAGUGAUCAAGGAAAAUAUGAUGAAGAAACACAUGCCUCCACCUUUCCCCUAAGCUUUGCAUGACAAAAAAGGAACCAAUAAUACAUCGGAAAUUUUUGAAGUAUUGAGGCAAGUGAAGGUCAAUAUCCCUUUGCUAGAGAUGAUCAAACAAGUGCCGACAUAUGCAAAAUUCUUGAAGGACUUGUGCACUGUAAAGAGAGGGUUGAAUGUGAACAAGAAAGCUUUCUUGACCGAGCAAGUGAGUUCCAUCAUACAGUGCAAGUCUCCAGUGAAGUACAAAUAUCCGGGCUACCCUACCAUCUCAGUGAGUAUUGGAGGUACUUGUGUGGAAAAAGCUUUGUUGGACUUGGGAGCAAGUGUGAAUUUGCUACCCUACUCUGUCUAUAAGUAGUUGGGACUUGGAGAGUUGAAGUCAACAUCCAUCACCCUAUCUCUGGCAGAUAGAUCAGUGAAGAUUCCAAGAGAGAUGAUAGAAGAUGUCUUGGUUCAAGUUGACAAAUUCUACUAUCCAGUGGAUUUUGUUGUUCUUGAUACGGAUCCGAUUGUCAAAGGAACUAAUUAUGUUCCUAUCAUACGAAGACCCUUCCUAGCUACAUCAAAUGCAAUCAUCAAUUGUAGGAAUGGAGUCAUGAAACUCACGUUUGUCAACAUGACAUUAGAGCUCAACAUCUUCCAUUUGUACAAGAAGCAUAUCCAUUCAGAAGAAAAAGAAGGUCUAGAGGAAGUGUGCAUGAUUGACACUUUAGUGGAGGAGCAUUGUGAUCGACAAUGCAAGAAGAUUUAGUUGAGAGUUUUGGGGAUCUUGAUGAAGGGUUACUUGAACCCUCAGAUUUGCUUGCUACCCUACUCCAUUGGAGGAAGAGAGAAGAAAUUCUACCCUUAUUCAAUGAGGAGGAGACACAAAGAGCUGCUAAAGAUAAGCCCCCAAAGCUUAUUCUUAAGCCACUACCCACAGAGUUGAAGUAUGCAUACUUGGAAGAAGACAAGAAGUGCACUGUUGUUAUAUCUUUAGCUCUUACCAUUCAUCAGGAGGAUUGUCUACUUGAAGUCCUUAGAAGAAGUAAGAAGGUAAUAGGGUGGCAAAUUUCUGAUUUGAAAGGGAUCAGCCCUUUUGUCUGCACCCAUCAUAUUUACAUGGAGGAUGAAGCUAAGCCAAUUCAUCAACCUCAGAGAAGGUUGAACCCUCACAUGCAAGAAGUGGUGAGAGUUGAAGUUCUUAAGCUACUUUAGGCUGGUAUUAUUUACCCCAUAUCAGAUAGCCCAUGGGUGAGUCCUACUCAAGUUGUGCCAAAGAAGUCGGGGAUCACGGUGGUGCAAAAUGAUAAGGGAAAAGAUGUCUCUACAUGUCUCACUAUAGGUUGGAGGGUGCGUAUCAAUUACAGGAGGUUGAAUGUAGUGACAAGGAAUGACCAUUUCUCGUUGCCCUUUAUUGAUCAAGUGCUUGAGAGGGUCUCUGGGCAUCCUUUUUAUUGUUUCUUGGAUGGCUACUCGAGGUAAUUUAAGAUAGAAAUUGAUGUUGAAGACCAGGAGAAGACCAUUUUCACAUGCCCAUUUAGAACCUAUGCAUAUAGGAGAAUGUCUUUCGGCUUAUGCAAUGCACCCACAACUUUCCAAAGAUGCAUGUUAAGCAUUUUCAAUGAUAUGGUGGAGCAUAUUAUGGAAGUCUUUAUGGAUGAUAUCACCAUAUAUGGAAGUGCAUUUGAUGAAUGCUUGGUCAACUUAGAAGUUGUUCUGAACCGAUGCAUUGAGAAAGACUUAGUGCUUAAUUGGGAGAAGUGCCAUUUCAUGGUACACCAAGGGAUUGUCCUUGGGCACAUCAUCUCCAAGCAAAGCAUUGAAGUUGACAAAGCAAAGGUUGAACUCAUUGUUAAGUUGCCAUUCCCAACAAAUGUCAAAGGAGUAAGGCAAUUCCUUGGCCAUGCCGGGUUCUAUAGGAGGUUUAUCAAGGAUUUCUCUAAGCUUGCAAGGCCUCUUUGUGAAAUAUUGGUGAAGGAUGUUAAAUUCAUAUGGGAUGAUAGAUGCCAAAGGAGUUUUGAAGAAUUGAAGCUAUUUUUGACAACCUCACCAAUAGUGAGGGCUCCCAACUAGCAACUGCCCUUUGAGGUAAAGUGUGAUGUCAAUGACUUUGCUAUAGGAGCUGUUCUUGGGCAAAGAGAAGAUGGAAAACCUUAUGUGAUCUACUAUGCGAGCAAGACAUUGAAUGAGGUGCAAAGAAACUACAUAACCACCGAGAAAGAAUUGUUAGCUGUAGUUUUUGCCUUGGAUAAGUUUCGUGCUUACUUGGUGGGAUCCUUCAUCGUGGUUUUUAUUGAUCACUUUGCUUUGAAGUAUCUAUUGACUAAGCAAGAUGCUAAAGCAAAACUGAUUAGAUGGAUUUUCUUGCUUCAAGAGUUCAAUCUCCAGAUCAAAGACAAGAAAAAAAUGGAGAAUGUGGUAGUAGACCACAUUUCAAGGCUAGCUAUCGCACAUAAUUCCCAUGCUUUGCCCAUUAAUGACGAUUUUCUAGAGGGGUCUCUCAUGUUGGUGGAAGUUGUCCCUUGGUACGCUCACAUUGCUAACUACCUGGUCACAAGAGAAGUUCCAAGUGAGUGGAAAGCACAAGAUAAGAAGCACUUCUUUGCAAAAAUUCAUGCCUACUAUUGGGAAAAGCCAUUUCUAUUCAAGUAUUGUGCGGAUCAGAUAAUAAGGAAGUGAGUUCCUGAAGAAGAGCAACAGGGGAUCCUCAGUCAUUGCCAUAAAAAUGCAUGUGGAUGCCACUUUGCUUAUCAGAAGACAACCAUGAGGGUGCUGCAAUCGGGUUUCUGUUGGCCAUCACUUUUCAAAGAUGCCCACACCAUGUGCAAGAGUUGUGAUCGAUGCCAGAGGCUUGGGAAGUUAUCAUGUAGGAACAUGAUGCCUUUGAACCCCAUUUUAAUAGUUGAUCUUUUUUAUGUUUGGGGCAUUGACUUCAUGGGACUUUUCCCUAUAUCUUUUGGCUACUCUUACAUCUUGGUGGGAAUAGAUUAUGUUUCUAAGUGGGUUGAGGCAGUCCCAUGCAAACACAAUGACCAUAGAGUGGUUCUCAAGUUUCUUAAGGAGAACAUCUUCUCAAGAUUUGGGGUGCCCAAAGCCAUAAUUAGUGAUGGGGGUACUCAUUUUUGCAACAAGCCUUUUGAAACUCUCCUAGCCAAGUAUGGGGUGAAGCAUAAGGUAGCUACACCUUACCACCCUCAAACUAAUGGGCAAGUUGAGUUAGCAAACAAGGAGAUUAAAAACAUAUUGAUGAAGGUGGUGAACACAAACAGAAAAGAUUGGUCAGUCAAGCUCUUCGAUUCACUAUGGUCAUGUAGAACAGCUUACAAGACCAUUAUCGGGAUGUCUCUUUAUCACCUAGUCUAUGGAAAAAAUGCCAUCUCCUUGUGAAAUUGGAAUACAAAGCUUGGUGGUCAAUCAAGAAGCUCAACAUGGAUUUGAGCAGAGCUGGGUUGAAGAGGUUCUUAGACCACAAUGAGAUGGAGGAAUUGAGAAAUGAUGCCUACAUCAAUUCAAAAAUUGUAAAAGAAAAAUUGAAGAGGUGGCAUGAUCAGUUGAUUUCCCGCAAGAAUUUUCAAAAUGGAUAAAGAGUCUUGCUCUAUGACUCUAAACUCCACAUCUUUCCGAGCAAGCUGAAAUCAAGGUGGAUAGGUCCUUUUACCAUUCACCAAGUGCAUUCAAAUAGAGUAGUGGAACUACUCAACUCCAACAACAUCGGGAGCUUCAAAGUGAAUGACCAUUGUCUCAAGCCCUUUGUAGAGUCUUUUUUCUCGCGACAAGGAGGAAUUCAUCCUCCUUGAUCCACAUCAAGCUUGACAAGACCAGUUUUUUUUUAUGGACUUAGUCUUUCUAAAGACUAUCGAGUCCAUAACUUUUUAUUUUAUUUUUUAUUUGAGAGUUUUUCGGUAUUAUUACUUGUUUUGUUUUUUAUUUUUCGUUUUACUUUUAUUUGGUUUGAUUUAACUUAGAUUUUUUAUGAUCAAUUGCAGGGGGGAUUUCAAAUAGAGGAAAAACCAAGAUAAUUCGCACACCCUGCGAAAAUUUCGCAAGGCAUGCGAAAUUUAUGGCUCAUUUCGCAUGGGAUGCGAAAUUUCGCACACCCUACGAACCAAUUUCGCACACUUUGUGAAAAUAAACCAACCCUACGAAAUCAUUUCAAAUACUCUACGAAAUUUUCGCAGAGCAUGUAAAAAAUUUCGCAGACCAAACACCAUUUCGCAUACUAUGCGAAAAUGUAAGGGGUCUACAAAACCAUUUCGCACCUCCAAAGCCAUUUCGCACAUUGUGCAAAAAUGAAAAGUCGCCCUAUCAUCCAUUUUUAAACCCCUUGAGCCCUGAAAUCCCCAUUUCGCAAGCACCCCUGUCCUUGCGAAUCCCUCAUUUUCCUCUGCCACCUUGCGACCUUGUCCCUCUCCAUUUGAUAUCGUGCCCUGCGCACAUCUCAUUUCAAAGACUCGCACUCUGCGCCCUCUCAAAGCACGAACCCAAGGCUCACAUUCCAUUUCCGACAUGGCACAGACCCGAGGAGCCCUUCCCGCCCCUUCAUCGAGACGCACACCAAGGUAGAGAGCCUCUUUUGCUCAGAUGCCAAGUGAUUCUCCAUUUCAGGCCACGGAGGCCCUGCGGAUUCCACAUUCCAAGGGUAGAACAGCCACUGGUCCUUCCUCUUCUAUUCCUCAGCGUAGAUAUGAGACGAGGAGACCACCUACUACACAAAGGGCGACUACUUCGCGCCAUGAGAAUUCGGUACGACACCCUCCUGCCAAGAGGGCCAGGACUUCAGGCCCAGGCGAGUCAUCCAAAGCUUCACAGCCUGAGCCUCCUGCAGAUUCCGAGGUUCCUACUGACAUAUCAUCGGAGUCUAUUAUCAAACGCCCGAUGCUCACAGCACCGCCCAUUGAGGGCAACUCUGAUUGUAGAGCGAGACCUUUCCACUUGGAGCUAUAUUUUAAUUAAGAGGCCAUGCCACAGCAGCCUGAGCUCCAAGACUCUUAUGGCUUACUACAGAGGUACCAUCUUGAGGACCUUAUGACUCCUCGUGAGUUCUUUUAUCCCAGAGUAGCACUAGACUUUUACCAGUCCAUGACUACUCGUGGCGUCCCGAGUCCUACCGCGAUGCACUUCACCAUUAAUGGACGUCAUGGUAUCCUCGAGGCCAGACAUAUUGGAGAGGCUCUACAGAUUCCUUUCGAGCUAGAGGACCCAUCUGUUUUCUGCCAAUGGUCCCCAAUAUCUCAGAGGGACAUGGUCCAUAUUUUAUCCAGGGGGACAUCUACAUAUUCGAUCCUUCUACGGAAGGAGCUUCGACCUGGGAUACUCCUCGUAGAUGUGGUGCUACUUUCCAACCUCUUUCCCUUUUAGCAUUCGAUACAUAGGCGAGGAGCUAUUUUGGACGCUUUAUUCUGUAUAUCAGAGGGCUUCUACUUUGGCCCGCACCACUUGAUCAUGGUUUCCCUCAUCCAUUUUGAGGAGAAGGUCCAUAGAAAGAAGCUUCAGAGGGCGAACACCAUUCCAUUACUAUUCCCGAGGUUGCUCUACUAGAUCUUGGAGUACAUGGGCUUUCCUACUGAGCCUCGGCUUGUGUGCCGCCGCCUUUGUCAAGAGCGAUCCACUCUCGACAAAUGGAAUCAGUUGGCGGGCUAUUCUACACCUCCAGGAGCCCCUCCCAUGGUAGCACCUCUAGUGUCCCCACAGGCAGAGUAGGGCAAGCUCCCGGUAGAGACUGCACCCCUAGUGCCCACACCUGAGGCUACUUCUGCUGUUCCGCCUACGACUCCUACUGUUCCACCAGUUGGUCCUUUUACAUCUGAGUCUUCCAUCAACAUCUCGACUUCGGAGUUUCGCGCCCUUGUGCAUACCUUUCAGACACUCACCACCACACAUACUGCUCUCUUCUAGAAAAUGGCUGAGAUGCGUGCCCAUCAGGACCAGCAGACUACUAUACUCCGCCAAAUUCAACAGCACCUGGGACUUCUGCCUCUGCCUCAGCUUGACCUUCCCACAUCAUCAGAGCCUCUAGCUCCAGUUGAGGAUACUAUUCCACCUGAGGACACUACCACAGUAGAGGUUCAGAUUCCACCACCUCAGGAGGCCACCACAGCUACAUUAGAGGAUGCAUCAUCUCCACCUGAGGCUCCCACUACUUGAUCAUAGGACAUCUCUUUAUCUUAUUGUAUUUACAUAUUAUAUUACUGGAGAUUUGUCUUUGUUUUGAUACUUUAUAUUCUGGCAUUGAAUGUAUUGCCUAAUGAUAUCUCAAUUGUACUUUCUCAUAUUAAUAUAUAGACAUCAAUUUUUUUUAGUAUACUUAGGAUUUUUCUAUUUACUCUACUCAUUACUCUUUUGUUUUUUUUUUUUUACUCAUGUGGUUUCUCCUAUACGACUCAGACUCCAUUUCACUCAGGAGGUACCACUUCUUCCCUUUAUUUUCAAUUGCUCUUGAAACAUUGAGGGCAAUGUUGAUCUUGGUUGGAGGGAGAGUUGAGGAAGGAAGUGAUUACUACUCAAAAAGUGCUAUUUCAUAGCUUGUAAUUAACUCUUUUAAAACACUUUUGAGUAGUAGUUAUCACCUUUUAACCCAAUUAACAUAUUAAGGACCCUUGCAAUCAAUUCUAAUCAAAUUGUGUUAAGUUUUGGUAUUUUGAUAGCUUUUUUAUCACCAAAGCAAUCCGAGAUUGAGGAUAUUUAUUUGGAAUCCAUGGCAAAAGAUGUUUGGACAGGACGUCCGGACACACCAUCGGAGGGCGGCGGAACGUGGGCUGUGGCAGGCUGUCGGAAUGACGUAGCAAGGCUUGUGCACUUUAGCCAAUGAUCGGGAUAACAUAUCCGAAAUUCUGCUCCGCCGACAUUCCACCCGGAUGUCUCACAUCCGGAAUUCUGCUCCGCCGACAUUACACCCAGAUGUCUCACAUCCAAAAUUCUUCUCCGUCGACAUUCCAUCCGAAUAUUUCACAUCCGACGCUUGACGCCGGAUGGGAGAGGAGGGCGUUUCAACUUCCCCGGUCAGACAUAUCCGAAUCCUUUGAUAACGCUUACCCGGAGAGUUUCGCAGCCAUUUUGCACAGUGCCGCGGUGUUCUCUUGAAGCUUCCCGAUAUGUGCGACCGACAUUUUGAGAUAUUUUGCUUUAGAUAUUUGAUGUCUAAAUCCCCAAACUCUCCUUGUAACCCACCAAUUAUAGGAUUCCUUAGUUAUUAAGUUUGGAAAAAUGGUGAAUAACCCCUUAUAUAUAGUUUGCAAUUUUCAUAAAAAAGAUAUGUAGAAUCUCGGGAGCUUGUUCCCAGAGAGACGCAUCCUUUGUACAGUUUUGGAAGGAAGUAAAAUACAGAGCACUUGCUCUGCUUUUCAUAUAUAUUUUUGUUUUCUCGUUCUUUUUAUUUCUAGCCAAUCAAAGUCUGAGGAUUUUUCCUCAGAGGAUGAGAGGCUAGGCUCUUCGUCUCUUGGAGUGAAGAAAACUAGGUAAGUUUCCACAUGCAUAAAUUGAAAGUUUUGUUGUUUUAGUUUUUAAUGAAGAGAAAGUGUGACCCGUUAAUGGUUUUUAUCUUUUUAGUUAACUUAAAACGCCUUUAAAUCACCCGGGCCAACACUUGAUAAGGCAAGUGGUCUCCAUCCAUUGAGAUGCACUAGUUUAUCUCUUGCGAGCCUUUGGGAGGUGGUUUGAAGGUAGGAUUUUCUAGAAUAACCAACACUUGAUAAGCUUUUGGACUCUAAGGAGACAUCCAUUAGUUAUCUCUUGCGAGCUUUUGACGGGUAAUCCAAGGUUAAAGAUCACCUUGAAUGGCAAGUACUAGGUGAGAGGUAUGAGCCAUUGCAAGAUGCAUUAGUGAGAGGGAUUUAGUGUUUGAACCCAUUAAAGGGAAGCAUCUGUACCACACCGGUUCGGGAAAUAACUAUAUGUUAAAUCCCCAAUGAGAGGAAAAGAAACAAGUGACCGGAACUCCCUUUUUGUAUAAGGAACCUGAGCCUAGUGAUCUAAACUCCAAGAAACACUUUUCUUUGUAAGUAAAAUCAGUUACUAUUUUUGGUUAGUUUAAAACCAAACCUUUUUCAUUCAAACAUCUUUAUGUUUUCUUUUAAAGCUAACCUUGAAAUGAAAAGGCACCAAUUCAUAUUUGAAUUAAUAUCAAUUGUGAAGUGAAAACCCAUCCCAGUGAACGAUCCUAGAGCCACUAUGCUAUAGUAGCUUUGUCUUUGCUACCCUAGUUCAUGGUUUAAUAGGUUAUAAAUUUUGUUGAUUACUCCCACAAUCAAAGGAGCACCAGUUGGACAUGAAUCAACUGAGACACUAAUUGGGCACAAAUCAGGAAGUUUUGUUAAUAAUGCUAGGUUAAUUUGUUAAUUUAGUUACUUUCUGCUUAAUUUUAAAAGUUUUCACUUUACUUUCCAUAGUUAUUAAGGAAAAAUUCUCAAAAUGAAAUGGGAGAAAUUGAAUUCUUACAUUUUUACUUGAAUUUUAGAAUUUGUAUUAUGCUUAUUGAAGCUGAUGAAUUAUUGAAACUCCUAUUGAAUUCAACCUUAUUUCUUCCACUUUAAUCUUACCACACACGGUGCACAUUAGGUUCCGAUUAUAAGAGGUGCGUUCUUAGCCUAUUGGAGGUUGGUCAAUUUGUUAAAGUUUGAGAAAGAUCUAGGUUAGGGGAGAGAGAAUAGUCUGACAUACUAUAAUCGAAAACUAAUAAACUUAACACUUAGAUCUUUGUGGAAGAGUAAGGAUUGGACCUUUGGGAGUGGAAAUUCGUUUGAUGCUUAAAUUUGCAUAAUGCUUACACUUUAUAAAUUGUGAUUAGGCAAGAGAUUUGAUGACUCUUGUUCAAGGUUGGGUUUUGCCUCUUUGAUGUUCCAUGAGAGAGUAUAAUCCUCAUCAUGCCACUUGAAAUUUUUUUUGGAGUGAUUAACAUGAUUUUGUAAAUUACUUUACUGUCUAUUUUUUUUUUAUCUCUCCUUCAUUGCUAAUGGACUAGCAAUAUGUCAGUUGAGGGGAGUGAUUACUACUCAAAAAGUACUCUUUUAUAGCUUGAAACUAACUGUUUUGAACACUUUUGAGUAGUAGUUAAUACCUUUUAACUCAAUUGGCACAUUAAAGAACCUAGCAAGGGUUACUAAUUAGUUUUUGGCAAGUUUUGGUGUUUUUGGUAGCUAUUUGAUCAUUGAAACAAGCCAAGAAUGAGGGAGAAUUUUGUGAAGUCCAUGGCAAUGCAAGUUAAAGCUCAAAUACAUGAAGAAUCCAAGCUUUGGAGCACUUCAUAGCCCUUUCCAAAGCCAAUCAGAGAUGCAAGGAAGAAAACCAGAGGAAGAAAUCCAACAAUUAGCAUUUUCGCAUGGCUGUGCGAAAUUUCGCACACCAUGCGAAACCACAAGAGGCAGCCAAAGAAUUUUGCACACUAUGCGAAAUUUCGCAUGGUAUGCAAAAUCUUCUUGUGCACCAACUCCGUUAUAUUUUUAUCUCAAAUAUUUUGUGUAAUUUCCUAGUUUCUCCUUGUAACCAACCUAGAUAUUUUCUUUUAUAUAUUUUUUAGGUAACAUCAUCUAUAGGGGGAGAGACAUAAGGAGGAUAUGGAUGUUUUUCAUAGAACACUUGUAAAUUUCCGGUAGUAAGAAAUAUACAGAGCUUUUUGCUCUACCUUACCUUCUCAUUUUGUUUUCACUUGUCUUUCUAGCCAAACAACCUCUGAGGAUGAUUUCUUAGGGAAUGAGUGGCUAGGUUUUACGUUUCUUGGAGUGAGGGAAGCUAGGUGAAAGACCCGAAUGCUAAGGUGGGAGUUGUCCUUGCUUUAAAUGAAAGUAGUUGUUAAACAUUAAUGGUUUUUAUUUUAAGGUUUAGCUUUAAAUCCCUUAAAAACAUCUUGAAUGGUCAAUACUUGGUAGGCUUUUUGGAUUCUAUGGAUGCUUAUUGCUAGAUCCCUGGAUGUCUAUUAGUUAUCAUUUAUGAGCCAUUGGAAGGUGGUUCAAGAUGAGGGUCUUUAAUGUUUGAAGCCAUUAAUAGGAAACAAUUACCAUUCUUUCAUGAAUCCUUUGGAUCAAAUCUUAAUUGCUAAAUAUAAAACUAGUUCGGGAGAUAACCAUCCUUUAUGUUAUUAUGCCCAACGCGAGGAGAAGAUUCGGAAUCUUCCCCUUUGUCUAAGGAACCCGAUCCUAGUGACCUAAAGCUCUAAGAGACCUUUUCUUUAUAGUUAACUUCACUUAUUGUUUUUUCUUAACUUAAAAUCAAUCUUUGCAACCACAAUUCCAUUUUCUUUGAAAGCUAAUUUUCAUAAGGAAAAUCACCAUUUUAUUUUCUUCCCUAAGUCAACUGUACGAUGAAAACCCAUUCCCAUGGACGAUCCUAGAGCCACUAUACUAUGUUAGCUAUGCUACCCUAAUGUGAGGUGAUUUAGGUUUUAUAAAUUUUGUUGAUAACACCUGUUUGAGCCAGAAUCAAAUGGCGCAACUGAACCAGGGACGAAUCAACAACUUAUAUGGGAGGGACACAAGUUUAAUUGAUUUGCAUUUCAACGUUAUAUAUAGGUAUGUUUUGGAAGAUUUGUUCUGGAAAUACUGCACCAAGUACGAUUCUUUUUGUCUUGAGUGGGUCUACUUGCAUGCCAAUUAACGAGUGGAAAAGUAGGAGCACCUACCUCAUGCUCGCGGAACCGAAGGUCAGUGAAGUGGGGCUCCUUUUGGCCUCUUGUGUUUCUAUUCCAACCAAGGCGGCGUAAGGAAAAACAACAAUAUGUUUGUGCUAAAUAUCAACGCAUGAUAGAUGUUUUUGUUUUUUGGUAUGUCAAGGCUAAUGAAUGAAAUGCUUUAGCUUGUUUUGUGACUGGAACUGCAAAUGUCCAAAUUGGAGUAUCUCCAUUUCUCACUUCGGAUGGUUAACUUAUAAACAAGAUAUAGGAAACAUGUGAACAUCUUGAGGAACAAUUUGAAUUAUUCAUUAGAAGUCCUGGGUUGAGUUCCAAGAUUUAAAUUAGACCCCUCUAGCAGCUUCAGGGGUACCUAGCAACCUAUAGCAUAUUAAUGAAGAUUUAGGAUUUAGACUCUAGAAUACAAAUUAAUAUGUAUCUCAUGCUUUGACUAGCUUCCCUACAUAUGCACAAAAUGGAGAUGACCUAAAAAAAUAGCAGAAUCUAGCUUCCCUACAUAUGCACAAAAUGGAGAUGACCCAAAAAAUAGCAGAAUUUCCUUAGUUUCUGUGGUUAAGGUGAUUCUCCGCUUAAUAUCACAUUGACUCAUUAUGCAAAAUCAACUGAGCUAAUUUUGUUUAUUUAUUUAAUGUCAAAUAGGAACUCCUAAUUAACCUAACCCUUGGCCUGUGUAAAUUGAUUUCACAUGCCCAAUGUUGAAGUAGAAGUCCAUAUUUUGAAUUUUAUUUUUGUAAAGGUAAGGAAAAUGAAGCAUUGUGUAAUUAUAAAAAUAACUUCAUUGGAAUUCACAAGGUUCACCCAAAAUGGAGCUACAUCCGUAUUCUAUCCUGCAGUAGACUAUAUAGAUUGUACAAUAGUAAAUUGCAAAUACAAUUAAUAAGUCUUGUGCUUCCUUACUAAUAAUCCUUUGACAUGAACAUUGCAGCACUAAGGUCCUCUUGGGAAGACACCUUGCACCCAUGAGAGCACGAAGAGGAAGCAAGGCAGAGUCAUGGGUGCAAUGUCAUGACUUGUUGUUGCACCAAGAGAGGCUUGGUGAUGGCAUGGUGUUGCAGUAGCAAGAAUGUUGCCUUGGUAGGGACAUAAUCUAGGGAUAGAUGCCAAGAAAGGCUUAGCACUCACAUGAGUUGCACAAAGAUGAAUGUAAUAGAGCAUCAGAGAGACGUCUUGGCAAGUAAAUGAAUGGAUCCAAGAGGCAACAACAUGAGGAGUUUCAAAUGGAUAAGGAAUGAGUCAAAGACAUUUGAAAGCUACAAGUUGGAUUCUAAUUACGAUUGCAAUUUGAGUUUGAGUAGGAGUUUAGAUUCUGAUUGUAAUUGUAGUAUGAGUUGGACUAGGAUUGCUUAUCCCUAGUCAAAAUAGGAGUGGUUCGUGUCACACCCUAUGAAAAGAGUUUGAGUAGGGACUAGGAUUGCUUACUCCUAGUCAAAUAUGGAGUAGGUGGUGCCACACCUAUAAAAAAAAAGGGACAACAUGAGAGAGAGAGAGAGAGAGAGAGAGAGAGAGAGAGAGAGAGAGAGAGAGAGAAAGAGAUAAUGAAUUCACUAAAGAUAUUGUGGGAGUUUUUCUUUGUUACGUCUUGUAUUAUUACUUAGAAUAGGAAUAAAAUACAAGUUUGGGCUAGAGCCCCAUAAUUAAUCUCGUGUGCCUUUGUGGUUAUUCUUUAUUUGUCAUCUCGUGUGGAUUGGAUUACAUUGACUUAGAGGGCUUCUAAGCACCACCUUUGUGGGUUAUUAUUUAUUUUCCAUUUCUUGUGGAUUAGAUUAGGUUGACUUUGAGGGCUUUUAAGCACCACCUUUGUGGGUUAUUCUUUAUUUUCCAUAUCGUGGGGAUUGGAUUAGGUUGACGAUGAGAAAAAUUAUGUGGGAAAUUUGUGUUGGGACACUUAUCAUAACCAGGUAAAAUCUGCCAAGUCCUUUGUAAUAUCUUCAACAAAUAUUUCAGACUAGUUCUUCACCAUAAACAUCAUAUUGUGUUUUGUUUUUCUCCUGGAUUCUGAGUUGAAUUGUUUCAAGUCAAUUGAAUGCAUCUGAAUAUUAUUAGCUUGUUUGAAGGCCUGGUGAUUUUCCAUUUAACUUUACUUUCUUUAGGUUAUGCUCACUAUAAGAAAAAUGAGAAAUAAUGACGCUUUUUACGCGUUAAGAAAGGCAACAGAUGAUGCUUCUCUAAAGCGUCCUCUUCGGCUCUGUCAUUAUAUGUGUUAGCCAAUAAUGACGCUUCUAGGAAGUGCCAUCUUUGAAUAAUGUUAAUAACGACACUCGUAAAAAGUGUCAUCUUUAAACAUAUUCUGGUCAAAUAAUUUUUACAAAAUUAGUAAUCUUCAAGCCGUUUCUGAAUCAUAUCUGAGCCUAUUUCUGGGGACCAGAAAACCAUCUUUUUUCCAUUCGCCUGAGAGGUCUGAUUAGCAUUUCUGGAAUCAAUCUCUAAACCCAAGCUUCCCUCAUCUACCCAUUUAACCCUCAUGCCCUCCUGUUUGAACAACUUUCCCACUAUAUACACAAAUUUUUUACCUUCUGUUGUUGGUAUUCGACCUCUUCCCAUUCCCAGCACAGAAUCCACCAUUAGUGCCACUUUGUGAAUAAAAUCAUCGAACCAGAUCUUUCGGGCGGAAGAUGAGCUCCAGAGAAAUAAAAUUUUUGGGGUCUUCCCAGCAUGAAAGUCAUAGGUAGCAUUAAUGACAUCAAGAAAUGGGGCACUGUUGAGAAAAAACAUGUUCCCAUCAACCACCCAAGAAUUGUACCAGACUCCAAACACUUCUGGAUUACAUAUGCCUUUACUAAGAUAUAUUUCUUGAUCUCCAUAUCAGAAUCUUGGAGACUCUUCAUUUUAUGAGCUCUGACACUACUGUGAAAUUGGUCCACAUCAAUCACAGGAUGACCCCUUCUAGCAAGAUCAAGCAGGAAGUCUGAAUUCGGGCCCAUAAAAAUGUAGUUCUGAAUAUUGAAACUCUCAAAGUGGCACAACAAAUUCCUUAUGACUCUUUCAGAUGCUCCAAACAGGCUCACAAGUAUAAUGGUAUCCUGUUUUUGCACAGAGUAAAGAAAAUAUCCGAGUUCUUCAAAACUCCUUACAACUAUUCCAGGAUGUACUUCUUUGAAACAGAAAUCGUACCACUUUAGCUUAGUCAGAGGUUGAAUCUAAAAUAACAAAACCCAAACUGAAAUCAAAAUCGAAAUCAACCCUAAUAGAUUUCAGAAACAACAAAUUAAAAGAGUAAAGCACAAAAGGGGGAAAACACAUAUGAAGCAAUCUCCAUACAAGCCCUAACCUUAGAUAAACCCAAAAAAAAAAAUCAAAGCAGAGAGUUACCAUAGAGCAUCUCUGUUUCAAGCUUAGAAAAUGUUUAAUGCCAUUGAUAACUAGUUGGCUAGUGGUGGACUUCAAGCUUCUCUAUUUCGGUGUUAGUAGCUCUCAAUGGCUAUGGUGAGAACAAAGAAAUGAGAGGCUUAGGGUUUGGGAUGUGAGGUUAUUGAUGAUGAUGAGGAUAAAGUUAUGGGCUCUUGGAGGGGUUAGGGAAAUUGAAGAUGGCUGAGAGUAAAGGCUAGGGUUUUUGAGAUAGUUAAUAGCUUUUUAGGGUGUGACUGUCCAUAGAUAGAAGAUAAAUGAGGGUGUGAGAAUUUAUAGAUCUCUAGGUGAUAUGGCGGGUGUGAGAAUGAAAUUUUAGAGGGAAUUGUGUGUUUGGUAGAAAUUUCACACAUGCAUAUAUAAUGUUUCAGAACAUGGCACUUUAAAAAUACGACAAGGAAGAAAUUAUUUAUUGACGCUUAAAUAAAGCGCCAAGGUCUCCAACAUUUUUGCAAUCAAUGACGUUUGUAAAAGGUGCCAUUGAAUAGGAGUGCCAUUGCUUUCCCACAAAGCAUCAUUGUUAAUCAAGCCUUUAAAAAACGCCAAGAUAUGUUGCCACUUAGGUUAAAUAUUGACGCUUUUAAAAAACGCCAAGGAAAAAAACGUCAUUAUUCAUGUUUUUUGUAGUAGUGGCUUGAUUCCUAAAAAGUAAAGGAAAGCAAAAAGUAAAAAAAUAAAAAUGUGGAGAGUUAGGACAUGCGUUAUCUAAUUGUCCUAGUCCCAAAUAUAUUAAGAAAGUCAUGUAGGUUACUUGGAGUAACGAGUCAAGUAAAGCAAGCCUUCUAGUGUUUAAGACAUUAGAUAUUACCGAACUGAUUAUGUCAUUAAUGUAUUGCAUUUGUUGUUUCUAAUAUAUAGAAGAAGAUGAAAUUAUUGGAAUAAGUGGGAAAUAGGAAUAAAUCCAAGGUACCAAAAAGUCACUUUAUCUUAGAUGUUGUUGGAAACAUAAGUGAUUUCACAAUAACGACUAUGAGACAAUCAAGGAUUAAUAAGAUAGACUUUAUAUGAUAUACCUCCCAAUUAGAGCCUAAAAAUAUGGAUGAAGCACUUAGAGAUGAAUCUUCAAUUUUUGUACUAUAGGAAGAAUUAAAUCAAUUUGUUAGCUAUUCUUUGGAUAUUUGAUUCAUCACAAGCUACAAAUCACUUUUGAUGACCAAACACGAAACUAAGAGGAUUGGGCCCAAUUCGAUGCCUAUCAACAAUGAUUUGUAUUCCACCUCAUUAAUUAUUCAAAGUUGGGAAGCUAGGUCUAACCACUUUCUCUACCUGUUCACCCUUAGAGGAGCAGAAGAAAAUUCUAACUUUGGUGCCUAAUGCCUUUGACAAUCUUUCGACAAAGAGAGUUCACUAAUUACUUUGAUUAUUUCUCUGUUGGUCACUGGGGGACAAGACUUUUGUAAUGAAGUCAACUAGAACUUGCCCUUUGAGGGCCAUUCAUGGACGAUAUUACACCAUGAAUUCCCUUAGGUCAUGUUUGGUAUGUGAGAAUGAGGAGUGGAAUGGACAUCUUAUUCAUUUUUUCAUCUAUUCAAAUGUUGGGAUAACUCAAGUGACCAUGAGAAUGAAAUCAAGAAUGAUUCAAGGGAAAUGAAAUCUUACUUAUAAGUGUGAUUUCAAUUAAUCUCUAAUAGAAAUUAUUUUGAAUCAAUAGUGCAAGUUAUUUUUAAAAACAUUUUUCCAAAAUUAAAAAAAUCAAUUUUUUUUUUUUCGAUAAGUUGUUUUUAAAAGGAUUUUUUUUAUUUUGUAAAAAGAAAAUUGUAAUUCAAUUUAUAUAAUAUAAACUAAAUUUUAUUUUAUUCAAAAAGAAAUAAUUUUUUAAUUAUAAAUAAAUUAAAAAUAAAUACUUUUAAUAAAAUAUAAAUAGUAUUAUUAUAAUAAAAUCAUAAAUAAAUUUAAUUUUUUUUAUAAAUAUUAUAAAAAUAUGGAUAUUAACAUUGGAUAAUUGAUUUAUUUUGUUAAAAUAAAAAAUAAUAAUUUUUAAUAUUAUUUUAUGUUAAAUGAAUUUUAAAAUAAAGAAAGUUUAAUUAUUUUAAGGUAUAGAAGAGCCAAAUUUUGCAUUACAUACAUAACAAACAAUAUUUAUUAGAAACAUUUCUCAAGGAGAAUCUUAUUCCAUCUCACAAAGAUACUCGUUUAUUCGAUGUUUGACCAUCCGUAACAAUCAUGUCAAUUCUACUGAUUUAAUAAUUCCUUUACAUUUAUUACUCACUUAUGAACAUGGUAUUGUGAUUUAUUUAUUUAUUUGAUGUAUAAUUAAUUAAUCAAUUUUUUAAAUUUCAAAUUAUUUUUAAAAACUAUUCAUUAAGGAAUUUAAAGCAUUAAUUAUGUCUAUUAUUUUUUAUAGUCAUUAUAUAUAUAUUGAGUUUUAAUUUAUUUUUAAAAAUUAUUAAACUUAUUAAUAAAUUCAAUAUAAAGUCUCGUUUCAUUUGAAAUUCAUUUCUUUAGUGAAAAUUUUGAAAAAAAAAUUGUUAUUUAUUUUACUUUGUUUUAAAAAAAUUGUUUCUAGAGAACAAUAAUCAAAUAAUGGUAUGAAUUUUUAAAAACAAUUUUGUUUUUAAAUCAUAUGCCCAAAUAAUUUUUUUUUAUUUAGCAAAAAACUUUGUUGUAGUAUGUGGCUCAUAUUGAGGGAAAGACAUAUAUGGAGAAAAAUGUGCAAAUGUUGGAGUGGAGCGGAGUGGAAUGACGACAUUUGUCAUUCAAACUUGUAUUUUUAUUGUUAAGGGUGACCGAUAGGUUGGUACGGUUUAGGGGUAUUUUUGGAAUUUCAUUACCUGAGGGUUAGUAUAAAUACCAUUUUAUGUAACCCUAAUUUUACAUAUAAUGUAAGUUUUCUUCCUUGUUCUUGUGGACAUAGGCAAUCCGUCGAACCACGUUAAAUCUGUGUGUUUUUUUUUCUUUUUUCUUUUUCUCUAAUUUCUUCACCAGGAAUCGUUACACUAAGAUCAACAAACUCUCAAAGAUGAUUUUUAAAAUGAAAAAAAUAAUGUAUAGUGUGAGAAUUUUUUAUUUUUUAUUUUUUUAAAAUGAAAAUAAAAAAUUGCUUUAAGGUAAAAGUGUGGAUAUUAUUGUUAAUUUAUUUCAUUUUUCAUUUUCAUUUCCAUUGUUACCUACAAUUGAAAUGGAAACAACUAAUCAUUACAACCUUACAUUCUUAUAUGCAUCCAAAUACAAAAAUUGAAAUCACCAAAUUCAUAUUCAAGGCAAAAUAGGAAUGAAAACAAAUAUUCAUUCUCAUUCUUUAUUCCCACGUGUCAAACAUGACCUCAAAGUUAUAAACAUGAACAAGAAGUCCUUGAAACACCAAUGAUCUCUUCUGGUAUAUAUAUGAGCUUGAUUGACAACUGUUUUAAAUACAGUUUUUUUUUUUUUUGUUUUCAAAAUCAAAACAAAUUUAUUUUUAUUUUUUAUAAAUAGUAGUUUUUUAAUAUUUUUUUUAAACCUUAUUAUGAAAAUAGGAUGUUUUCUAAUAUCAUAUUUUAAUUAUUUUCAAUUAUUUUCCCUUCUUUUAAGGAGGGCUAUUUUAAAAAUAUGAAAAAUGAUACAAAAUAAAGCAUUACAAAUAAAAAUCAUUUUUAAGAAAUAUAUGAAAAUAAUUUGAGAACAUUUGAAGUUCCUUAAUUAAACUUUUGUUCUAGAAAAUGCAAGAAAACUGUUUUUGAAAAUUGUUUUCAUAAUGAUAUGCAUUGAUCGUUUAAAAUUUAAUUACAUGAUAAAAAGACCUAUGUAAAAACCAGAGUUAUAUAAUCAGUCAUAGAUCAAAUCUACUAAAUAUGAAAAGUAAGUACAUAGUUGUAUAUGACUUAGAUGGAGCCUUCUCCGAAUGACAUUCUUUAGUCGGUACUCAUAUUUUUUUGUUUCGUGUCUUCAACAUAACACCUCAUGAUCCUUAAUAAAUCACCUGAAAACUAUAUUAGCACCUUAUUGUUUAAUAUUUCUCUAAAUUUUUUUAUUAAGCAAAUAAAUUCCAAAUUUAAAAUGACAAAUAAAAUUUAUUAAUUUUUAAAAAUAAUUUAAAACUCAAAAACCAAUUUAAUUGAUAUUAAAAGUCAUGAAACUUAAUAAUAUUAGAAAGUCAUGUAUCCAAAUUUAUUUUAAAUGACUUGUUUAAUUUCUUGUUUAUAUAUAUUAUAUUUUUAUAAUUUUUUUUACUAUACAAAUAAAUUUUAAAUUAAACAAAACUUAAUGCGUUGAAUUCAUUAACGAGUCUAAUAAUUUUUAAAAGUUACUUAAAAUUUAAAUACUAAAUCAAUUAGUACCACAAAUUCAUGGAAAAAAAUUGAUUUAUUACUACUAUAUUGUUUCUCUAUUGCAUAGAACCAUUAUUUUUCAAUUUUUUCAUUUGGCAAAUGAACAUCAAAUUAAACAAGACUAAGUGUAUUAAAUUCAUUAAUGGGUCUAGUAAUUUUUUAAAAUAAUUUAAAAUUCAAAUAUUGAUACUCCAAAUUAAACAAGACUUAGGUGGUGUUUGUUUUUUGGUUGAAUAGAAAAAGGUAAAAUAUUUGACUUUUUCUAUUUAGUUAAAAGUAACUUGUUGACAUCGUCCAAUAUAAUUAAAGUAAACCUAUUGAGGGCAAGUUCACUUUAAUUAUGUUGGACGAUGUCAACAGGUUACUUUUAACUCAAUAGAAAAAAUCAAAUAUUUUGACUUUUUUUUUAACUCAAAUAAUAAAUCCAUUAAUACAAAAAAAUUAUGGAUAAUUUGAAACUUUCUUUCUUUUUUUUUUUUUUUUUGCUACACAUAGCUAUAUUUUUAUAAAUUUUAUCAUUAGAGAAAUGGAUUUCAAAUCAAGUGAAACUUUGUAUUGAAUUAAUGGAUUUAACAUUUUUUAAAAAUAAUUUGGAACUAAAAAAAAAAGAUUUAAUUACUAAGAAAAUCAUAGAUCAAAACUAAUAUAUUCUGAUCCAUGAUUUUAUUAUUUUUCCUAUACAUACAAUUAUAUUUUUAUAAUUUUCUCACUAGGUAAAGAUAUUAUAAAUUAAGUGACACAUAAUUAAUAAUUUAAAUUUUUGAAUGAAUCUUUUAAUUUUAGGAAUAAUUUGAAAUUUAAAAAGUUGAUCCAAUUAAUUGUAAAUUAACUUAAAAUAUUAUAAAAUAUUAUGUUCAUAAUUAAGUACUAAAUGUAUAUAUGUAAUGAAAACUUAACUAGUUACAUGUUACAAAAGCCAAAAUUUAUUCAUUCUUUAUUUUAAAUAAAAUAUUAUUAAUAAUUAUUUUUUUUAAAAUAAUAUUUAGUAAUUAUUGUUUUUAAAUUAUUAUUAUUAAUUUUUAAUAAAAAAAUUGCAAAGUUAUUAAUAUCAUUAUAUUUCUAACAUAAAUUUAAAUAGUAUAUUUUUUAAUAUAUAUAUAUAUAUAUAUAUAUAUAUAUAUAUAUAUAUAUAUAUAUAUAUAUAAUUUAUGAUUUCAUUAUAAUAUUUUUAUUCAUGAUUGACGAAAAAUUAUUUAUUGUUUAAUUUAUUUGAAUUGCAAAACUAUUUUUCAAAAUUCAAGCGAGAAAAUAGGCCUGGAUUUGAAUUUCCUGUAGAAGAGAAGGAUGUGGAGAAUAUGUUGGGAGUAUUUGUGGAUAAAGAAAAGGCCAGGGUACUGAGAAAGGAGAGAGAACUUGCUCUUGCCAAAAGAGCCCUGCACAGGUAUUCUACUGAUUCUAAUUAUCGGUUCUUACAUGAUCAGAUUUCAGAUUUAUUUGCUGAGCUUCUGAAAUCUGAUACAGUAUUUAAACUCCGGUGAGCUUUACAAGAUUAGUCUCGCAUCCAAUUCCAAAUGGUGUCCCACAAUUGAUUCUUCUUAUGAUAAAUCCACCUUGAUAUGUGAAAAUAUUGCUCGAAAGGUUUAUCCUCGCGAGGAAUAUCCAGAAUACUAAGGAAUUGAGGAGGCUCACUAUGUUUAUAGAGUCAGGGAUAGGUUGAGAAAACAAGUAGUUGUUCCAUUACAUAAGGCCCUGGAGUUGCCAGAGGUUUUCAUGUGUUCGAACAAGUGGGGAUCACUUCCCUACAACCCUGUGGCUUCAGUGGCCAUGAAAUCAUACAAGAGCCUCUUCUCAAACCAUGAUACAGAGCGGUUUGGUGAGUAUCUUGAGAAAGUGCAAACUGGGAAGGCUAAGAUUGCAGCUGGUGCAUUACUUCCCCAUGAGAUUAUAGCUUCAUUGAAUGAGGAGGAUGCCGAGAGAGUUGCCGAGCUUCAGUGGGCAAGAAUGCUGGAAGAUUGAUCAAAGAAAGGGAGGCUCACAAAUUGCAUUGCAGUAUGUGACGUAUCAGGAAGUAUGAGUGGAACUCCAAUUGAGGUGUGUGUGGCUCUGGGGCAGUUAGUUUCAGAGCUCAGUGAAGAUCCAUGGAAAUUAAGGUAAUGUAAUUACUUUCAGUGCAAAUCCUGAGCUUCACAAGAUCCAAGGAGACAGCCUUGUAUCCAAGACUGAAUUUGUGAGGAUGAUGGAAUGGGGUGCCAACACUGACUUUCAGAAAGUUUUGACAGAAUCUUACAAGUAGCAGUGGAGGGAAAUAUGAGUGAAGAUCAAAUGAUAAAGAGGGUUUUCGUUUUCAGUGAUAUGGAGUUCGAUGAAGCUUGUGGGAGGUAUAACUAUUGUGACUAUGACUAUGAUAUGGAGGAAAUUGACGAGAGUCAGAAGGCAUCUCAGAAGUGGGAGACAGAUUAUGAAGUGAUACAGAGGAAAUUCCAGGAGAAAGGAUACAGAAAAGUUCCAGAGAUAGUGUUUUGGAACCUUAGAAACUCAUCAGCGACUCCAGUGACGGCCACAGAGAACGGGGUGGCCUUAGUAAGCGGGUUUUCAAAGAAUCUGUUGACCUUGUUUUUGGAAGGAGGUGGAAUUCUGAUCCCUCAGGAUGUGAUGGAAUUCGCCAUCUCUGAUGAAGAUUACAAGAAACUUGUUCUAUUUGAUUAAGAUAUCAAGAGAUUUAUCAAUAAUAAUAUAUUUUUUUUCUAUGUGAAAUACAUAUAAUAUUAACUGUGGAGUUAUCAAAGUUCUGGAGGUUUAAUUAUUUCUUCUUUUCAAGUUUUGUUUAUUUAAGGUUUUCUUUGUCUUUGUUAGGAAUUCCCCUUGGGUGGACCCAGCUGGGGAGUUGGAUUGAGGAAGUAAGCAGGCGAACUUGUGUUCUUCUAUGGACAGAGAAAAAAAAUAAAAUAAAAAAAUAAAAAAGGAGGUUAUUUGCAUUUGGAUGUCGUGGUUUGAGGGUACAACUACAAGCUCGAAAUUGUACAUAAUGUGAAAACUCCUGUGUCCAUUGCUGAGAACAGCAUAAAUGAUGGUGAUUUUCAAGUUGUGCCUGGUAUUCUACAGGAUGAAACAAGAAAGGAUCCAGGUGGUAUAUUGAACAAUAUCCCAAUCAUGUUGGUGGCAUCUUUAUUUAGUUAAUGGUAUUCAUUUGGUGGAAGCUGGUUGUUUAUGAUGUUUUUAAUUUUUUUUAACAUGAAGUUCGAUCAAAUACGUAUCUUAGUAUGUUUUGUUUGAGCUAAUUGGCAAAUGCGCUUUAAACAUGGUCACAUGGAUGCAGUUUUAUUUGUGAAAUGAUAAUAGUCGAUUACUUGGUCAGUAAGGUUUAUAUCUCUAACUUCAACAUCUUAUUGUAGUCUUUUAAAAUGUCAAAAGUUUAAUGCUUGAGAAAUUUUGGAAUGGAGACAUUCUAAACAAAGUUAAUAAUCCACAAGACUUGGUAAAACCGAUCAGAUGAUGCUUACGUACAUCAAUGCCUUCUUUAAGCCAUAUCCUAUUUUCAUUGAACGGGAUGUGCCAUCUAGUUUGGUUCUUUAAGCCUCCAAAUCCUAAACCUAGUCUCAAUUUAGAGCAAAUUUAGGGUGCAGGGCCUGCAUGCCUCCCCCUCCCCCUUCCACAAAUAGUAGUGACCUUGCUAUGCCUAUGCAUUGUCAAUGCCUCAUUUUCUAUGGUCUCCAAUGUAAUAUCUUAGUUUCAAUGUCUCUUUCCUUACUAUCUCCAAUGCAAUAGAUUGAUUUCAAUACCUCUUUACAACUAAGACCUCCAAAUUUUCUUGGUUCAAACCUACCAGAAUUUUUCUUCUCCUUUGCUUUCUAUCAAUAUUAGUUCCCCUAAUUUAAUAUAUACUUCUUUAUUACCUUCAACUCUACCUCUCUUUCUUUCUCUAAAAGCUUCCUCAAAGAUUUAAUUGCUUUCUUGCAUGUUUUAAGAAAACAAACAUGCUCAUAUUACAUUACCUCUACUUGAGAUCUACCUUAUACUCUACCUUCUUUCUUUACCUCCUAUAUCAUCUACUACAUUAGCUUCAAAAAUAUUAUUUAGUUUGAUACUAAAUAAGGCUCCUAAUCCUACUCUUCCUUCAACAAACUUUCUUUUUACAAGUUCCUUAAACUUUAUUUUUUAUUUUUUAUUUUUUGGAAAUUCGGGUUAGAAAGAUUCCAUUACUCUUACCUAAUAUUUCAACCAUCAAGUUGAAUCCACUUAUUGCCUAAAUCCAAGGAGUCUGCCCUCCACAAAAACAAGGAAAUUGAUCCCACAAUAACAAGGAGAUUGCCUUCCACAGAAACAAAGAGAUCUCCCUUCACAGAAGCCGAAUACAUUGCAAUCUAUUUUCUUUCUUGUAAGAUCAAAUCUUCAAUCGAGCUCCAUCUUAUGGGGGCAUAUUAGAGAAAUUUAAUAUUAUCCUUAAUUUACAUAUUAAUAUUUAUCUAUUUAUUAUAUAUUGAAUUAAAAUAGAAUAUAGAAUUUGAAUCAUAGUAGAAGUUUACUAUAAGAUUGAAUUACAAUAGUUAAUAGAGUUUAAAUUAUAAUAACUCAAAUACAUUUAUAUAUAUUUGACCUUACGAGAUUUUCUAUUUAUGUAUUUGAACUACAAUCCUUAUGAUCCUUAGGUCUCUAUACCUUCGUGAUGGGCUCCUUGACAUUUCAUAGGUUGUGCUACACAUGCAUUUGAAAUUUAGAGUGCAUUUGACAGUGAUUCUGGGAAGUGUUUUUGGCAUUUCUAACACUUAAAAUUUUUUAUUUUUCAAGUAUUAGAAAUGCUACAAACACUUUUGAAAAUUACUGUCAAACACACUCUUAGGAGCGCAUAUAGUAGAAAACUAGAAAUUGUGGUUUUUUUAGGAUUUACUGUAAUGUCAUUAGGAGGGUAGUAAGUUGAAACUGAGUAUGAAUAAAUAUUUCUUUCUUUGGGAUGUUCUUCUGGUAGGUGCUGAUGAAACUGUUCUUUUUACUGCCAAUGUCACAUAUCAGCCAGAAAUUGAAAAUUUCAGUCAAGGUGUCCUCGGUUUUAGUGGUGAGGAAAGCUAGAAAUUUUAAGGUGAAGUUCUGUUAAAAACCUUAAGUAGCUGGGAUAUCAGGCCUGUUUUGCUUGAAAAAAAAAGUUGCAAGAUAACUCAUAUGCCAAACAGGUUCUGAUAUUGUGAAUCUAUCGGCAGACAUCAGUAAUCUCAUCUUCUGAGAUGGAUGUUGGGGGUGCAUGUGGUGGUGGAGGGGCAAGGUUUCAUUUGGUUUAUUUUGUUGAUGGAUAUUGUCUAGCCCCCUGCGCCAAGUUUGAGGGGUGGUGGGUUGUGAUGGCCCUACAAUUACUAUUAAUUUCUUCCUCUUUUACCGAUUAAAGUGUCCGAACAGUCGAAGUUACCCUUAUGCAUGUCAACUUGAUCACUUACCUCUUCAAUGGAGUUUAUGCUGGUUCAUUUAGGAACUGAUUUUUAUUGUUAUGCAUUCUAUGCUGAUGUUUAGGCCUCUCCAUCAUCACUAUAUACAAAAAUUCUAGGUUGAUACUAUAGGUUGAGAUUUAUUUUUUAAAUAAAAAAUAAUAAAAAUAAAAAUUAUGGUGAUGUUUAGUUGUUUUAUGGAAAAUUUUAACAAGUUAUUUUUGGGCAAGUUUUCAAACAAAAAGAAAAGUAAAAGUUGUUUUGACAAAAACAUAUAGAAAAAAAAAAUCAUAGAAAAGAAAUAAUUUCCCCAUAUUCUAACUUUUUUUAAUUUUUCUCAAUGGGCAAAGGAAUAUCAAAUCAAGUUUGAGUAGGAUUUCUUAAUUUUUAAAAUAACUUACAAUUAAAAAAUUUUGGUGUUUUCAUUUUUGGACAAUUUUUUAUUAAGCAAAUGGACUCUGAGUCAUGCAAGAGAUAUGGUUGAUUAAUGGGUCAAACAAUUUUUUUAAAAUAAUUUAAAACUCAAAUACAUAAUCAAUGUCACAAAAUUUAUAAACAAAAAUAGGUUUAGAGAAGAUCUACACAUAAUUUUACUUUUCUAAUUUUAUUUUAUUUUAUUUUUUUGUUGGAAAAUAGUCUUCAAAUCAUGUAAGAUUUAAUAGGUUAAAUUUGUUAACAAUAAAUUUUAAAUUAUAAAAUAUAAUCUGGAACUUAAAAAUCAAUUCAAGUAAUGCUAAAAAAAAUCAAAUUUGGUAUAGAAUGACUACGUAAAAUUUUUUACAAAACAAAUGAAUUUUAAAUCAAGUGAGAUUUAAUGCAUUAGAUUUUUAUCAAAUAUAGUAAUUUUAAAAUUUAAUUUGGAACUCAACAAUAGACACAAUAAAUACCAAAAAAUAAUGAACCAAAAUUGGUUUGGAAUAACUCCACAACCUCUUUUUUUUUUUUUUGGUGCACACGAAUUUUCUUACUAGGUAUAUUGCUUUCAAAUUGAGAAAGAUUUACUAUUUAGAUUUUUUUUUUUAAUGAGUUUAAUGGUAUUUUAAAAUAAUUCAAAAUUUCAAAAAUUGACUAAUUACUAUUAUAAAUUCAUAAACCAAGACUAAUUCAAAAUGCAUUGGGGGCUAAGGGGGUUGAAAAUAGGGACAAUGGGAUGGGUUUGGGACAUGACACUCAUAUCUCAUUUCCAUUCCAAUUACAUAGUUAUCUCCCAUCCUUAUCCCAAACUUGUGUUGGAGCAAGUUGAUUUGUUCCCAUCUUUGUUGAUGAAAUGACUAAUAACCUCAUCCCCUCCUUAUCUUAGAUGUACAUUUUGUCAAAUUUGAUCAGGUAUGAUUGAUCCAAGCCCUAACCCUAAUUGGUAAUGACUGGAUACUACACCUAAUUGCAUUCUUCUUUCGUCGCAAAAUAAUGAGAUUAUAAUAAUCUAGCAAAUAAGAAAAAAUAGUAUGGAAGUUCAAUUUAACACCAUAACUAUCAAUAAUUUUAAGCUUAUAGAUGACUUAAAUGAUUAAAAACUAAUGCAAAAUACCAAAAAAAAAAGUUCAUAUAAAGAAUUCACAAGAGAACAAAAUGAACAAAAACCAAAUAUGAACAUGGGUCAACAUUAGUUAUGGAUUUGGAUUCCUUUCAAGGCCAAUCUUUGAACCAAGACUUCAUCAAAUCUACUACUUCAAAGGCUUUUGUGUUCUUCUUGGGUUGUGCUCUCAAACAAAGACUUCAAGGUGAUGCUCUAGAUGAUUGCAUUACACAUAUUUAGGGUGGAGAGAUUGGAGAAGCUUGAAGAUGCCAACGAUGGGUACAAUUGAGUGGUCAAUAAGAACAAUGUAGCCUAUGACUAGUUUGAUGUCGUGGUACAAGAGUUUUAGGCAUUGAGGUUAAAGCAAGAGCAACAUGGAAUUGAUUUUGGAGUCUUUCAAUUAGUGUAAAGGAGGAAGAAGUGGUAUUGAUUCUAGAAAUAGGGUUUUAGGUGGUGCGUUAGAGGAUGAAGAAGAAGAAAAAGAAGGAUCUGUUGGAAUUAGUGUGAGUGUGAAGAGAGAAGUAUAUAAAUAAGGGGAAGUAAAAGCAAAGUUCUAAAAGCUAUAUUUUUUUUUAUUGUUGGUGUAUGGUUGCAUGAUUAUCCCUAUAAAUAAUAGGAGUUUUUUUGGUAUUCUACUAGUAGUUGAAGGAUAAUUUCAUAAAUUUAUAUUUAGAGUGGGGUGGGGUGAGUUGUGACAAAAUUCAUACCCGUCCUAAACCUUGGUUCAGAUUUUUAAAAUAUCCUCAAACUUAUCAUAUACCCAACUUUUAUAUUUCAUACUUGUCUUGAUAGAGGCAGGUUAGGCCGGGUUACUUGAGUAACCUACAUAAUUGUCAUCCCUAGUUGAAAUACACUUUUUUGGCAGUGGCCACCAACUGAGCUAGAAGCUUGAUCGAUUGACCUACAAGAUUAGUUCUCAUCAUUUUAAAAAAAGUUUUGGCCUUGGUUGUGAGUGCAAUUGAAUCUAAACUGGCAUUUCCUUAAUGCAUCUACUUCAAUCCUAAAUUUCUUACUUCCUAAGCCUCAAUUGUUGUUAGGAUUUUGGAAAGCCCAUUUCCUUAAAUUGUAAAUUUAAGAAAAAAUAAAAUAAAAGUGAGACAUUUCUUGAUUGAAUAUUGUUAAAGGUCCCUUGGCAUUAAGACUUGGUUGAAGCCUUGGAAGAUUAGUGGAACUCUCAACUUGUGUUUGAAUCUUGAGGAGAGUGGACGUAAGCCAAAAUUUUGUCAAACCAUUAAACAAAUUGAGUUUGAAUCCUCAUUUCUUGAUUUCUUAUUUAUUUGCUUUUUCUUAUUAUUACUUGAAUUGUCAUUUGCAUUCAUUAAUGUUAAAAUUGGUUAUAAUUAACCAACACUAAUUCUCUUUCCCCUUCCCUUUCUUGGGUGUAAACCUAGGUUGGAUUAACUAGAUUAAUUUAUAAAAUCUAUUAAGAUGGUAAAAGAAUAAUUAUUCUUAACACACAUAAGAUCAUCUUCAAUCAAAUGACUCAUUGGCUAAUAUGUUGAAUUUGCUUAUUACUUGCAACUCAAAAUUGUGUUCUAGUUGAUAUGUCAAGUCCCCAGUGUAUGGACAUUAAAUUUGUAGUACGUGAUGGUAAUUAGAUGGUCCAACUCCAAGAAAGUGAUUGAAAACUAGUUCAAGAAAGGUGCAAAAGGGAAUUGUUUUGGUAUUUUCGUUUUUAUUCUUGAAGGUGGCAGAGCUAAAAUUUGUGAAAUCAAGCAAAACAUACUGAAAUUACAUUGAAAGAAAGAAAAUGGGAGUUAAUGUCUUGCAGUAGAUGAUAAGGACUUCAUGCAUGUAGUAUGACCCAUGUCUUGGACUGAUGCCAACUCACGGUUACACUUAUACCCUUGGUUCUCUCUUUACUACCUUGGCUAACCUAGAUCAGGCUAUGAGAUAGGCUCCUCACCACACCAUUACUUGCCCAUUAAUUAGAGACAUUUUCAAGCACUGAGGUAACAUGGUGACACCAAGAGGGUUUAUUCCUCGCCCUCCUCGCCCUCAACAAGUCUAGACUUGGUCUCAAAAAAAUGGAGAAAAAUGAGGUGUCGUUAUGUAGAAAUACAACAACCAUGCCUUCCUCAUUACUUUGAUUCAGAAUGUGAAGGUGAAAUUGAGAAACAGAAACUCUUGAAACCAAAAUGAAAAUUGAUACUUUUACGAAGAAUUACAACAACAUUGGAGGAAGACUACAUUCUUCCUCUUUAUUCCUACAUUUCUACACUACUUCUACUCCACUCCAUAUUUCUACAUACAUCUUUAAUCAGUCUUCCCUCCUUUAUAUAGAGCCAUCUUCACACAAAUUCCGCAAGGUAGAAAAGAGGAAUGAAACUUGGAGCAAGGUUCGACUACUGGCUGUAGCUUGUCAAGGCUGGAAGUGAACCUUUUUUCUUGGCUUUUCUGGGCAUGGGUAGUAACUUGUGGGUUCCUUUUUGGGAUACAAAUGGCUAGAACAUGUGGCACUAUCUUGUUGGAUGAUGUGUCAAGCAUGUGGCAGCCAUCUAGUGGCGAUUAUGUCAAUUUUGGGAUGGAGAGUUGGCAUCCAAUUGCAAAGAAAUAUGACGUCUACCAACAGGCAAUGUAAACCUAUGUAGAUCAUAUGAAGAUAGAGAGGAAAAAUAUAGAAAUGGAUAUAUACCUAGAACUAGCUUUUUAUUAAAUGAAACGGAGAGCCAACAAUGAAGGAAAAUAAAUUUUUUUGGCUUAUAUCAAAGAGUUCACAUUGUGCUACCCUAGGUUUUCUUAAAACUUACUUUUAUGAUAACAAAAAAAAAAAAAAACAUUAUUGUUUAAUCCUUUGUUUUAAACGCAUGUUUAGCAAGUUAUAAAAUGUAAAAAUCUUUCUAAGUUCAAAUAUGAAGAUAUGACAUCAUUUCAAGCAAGAUAGUCUCUAGGAAUUAAUGUAAAGCUAAAUUAAGGUGAAAUUAAAUUAGUUCAAUGCAUUAAUUUAAGAAACUUGACCUAUCAAAAGUACAAAAUUAGAUGAAAUCCAUUUCAAUGGUUAAAAUGAUCAAAAUCAAACUUUUUCUAAGUAUUUUUUAAAAGUAUCAAUAUUGAAAGACAAUUUUAUAUUUAGUCAGAGUUUGGACAAAACCAAAAAGCACACAAAAUCCAAGCGACCAUCUCUAGCUUGGAUGGUCGCUUGAUCUCUAGCUUGUGUACUUGGAAAGCAACAUCGAGAUGAUAUAUAUAUAUAUAUAUAUUUUAUAUAAUAUUGUUUGUCCAAAUUCCCUAAAAAUUAGGCCACCACAUGUUCAUAAUUCUCCCUUCUUGAAUUUGAAAACUCGGACAAUUGGACAAUGCGACACCUAAGUCCGGUUUCUAAAUGCUAAAGUGAAAGGGUAGGUAUGGACCAUUGAAAUGUGAUCACAACUUUUCUCUGUAGCCAUGUUGUCUCUUUUUUCUUUUGCAUGAUUUUCUCACCUUAACAGAAUCAUAGACUUGUUUAAUCUCUAAAUGGGAUUAAUUUCAUCCAGCUUUAAGCUACUAUAUUAUAUCUAGGUGGAGGACUUUUAAGAGUGCAACCGACAUAGAGCACAUGCAAGUGGGUAUAUGGGACAUGAAAUUUCUUCUUAUAAAGAUUGCAUGAUUUUUAUAUUAGAGUUGUUGGGGCGCAAUGUAUGUAGCUUGUUUUGCAGUUAAAUUAAUUGGAUAAGUAGACAUUGGCGUUUCUAAAUCUACUGUGAAGUGCUUCAUGUACGUGUGAAGUAUUAGAAAUUUCUUUCUUGGCAACUUGUUUUUUCUUUGCGGUCUACUGAUAGGUUUGACUAAAAUUAUAUUCCCUGUCAUGCUAAUUAAUUUUCACGUGCAUGCUCAAAAGAAGAGUAUGACCUUAGUGCACCAAAAUCACUUUGAUUAAUUUGUGAUAGGUUUUUGUGCAUCAUGACAUUAGCCUUAUUCAUUUAGAUAAUGUUUAGUUUUUAGAAAGUAUUAAGAAAAGGAAAAUAAAUAUUAAGAAAAAUAUUCUUAUAUUUGAUUGUAUUAUGAAAAAUGUCAUAAAAAAAUCAAAUAUAAUUUAAAUUAAUUAAUAAUUUAUACAUUUUCAAAUUAUUUAAUCUUUAUAUUGAAGAUAUAAUAUAAAUGAAAUGAGUUUUAAGUAUUAUAUAAAAGUGAUUUAUUGAUCUUGCAUAUAUGUAUUUCUUUUUUUUUUCUUCUAUUUUUUUUCUUUAUUUUAUUUUCCUUAUGUUUUCCUCAACAUUUUCCGGAACCAAACAUAGCCUUAGGAAAUCCACAAUUACCUUCAACUGAGUAUAUUCGGUUGUUUUAGCAAUGUUAGGCUGCUAACUUGUGUUGGUACGAACCUGUUAAGCCUAAAGAUGUAAUUAGUUAGGAUAUUCUUUUCCCUCUAGUCUUGUAGCUCCACGUGUAUAGUUGGUUAGGACCUCAUUGUAUAUAAUGCCUGCCCUGUUAUUGUUGAAGACAACAGAGAUAAAUAAUAUUAACAUUUUUCCUCUCAUCUCUCUUUGUUUCCCUCUGUUUUCAUCUCCUCUCUCAUCUUGGUAUCAGAGCCUCCAUGGAUUCUUUCAAAGAAACCUCCGAAUCACCUUCUGCUAGCAUUGUUAAUGUGCAAAACCCAUUAUCUCAGUCAAACAACCUUCCUUCACCAGCAGCCACACCCUCUUUUUCUUUCUUGUCUAUGAAUCAACCUCUCACAGUGAAGCUGGAUAAUGGAAACUACCUCAUCUGGAAGAAUUAGCUUCUGAAUGUCAUCAUUGCGAACAGACUCGAUGAUUUCAUUUAUGGAACUCGACCCUGCCCUCCUUGAUUUCUCAAUCUGCAACAACAAACCCUCACUCCAGAGUACUCGGUCUAGCAGAGAUACAAUCGACUUCUAAUGAGUUGGCUGUACGCAUCCUUGUCCGAAGAUAUAAUGACUCAGAUUGUUGGGUAUUCAACAACUGUGGAGAUUUGGAACGUCCUUAAUCAGAUUUACUCUGCCUCUUCAAUGGCGUGGGUUACCGAGCUUCACACCAAGCUUCAAACGCUCAAGAAAGAUGGACUCUCAGUUGGUGAAUAUAUUCAAAGGCUCAAAUCCAUUUGCAAUAGUCUUGCAGCAAUAGGAGAACUAGUUUCUGAGAAAGACCAGCUUAUCUAUUUGUUCAAUGGAUUAUAUUGUGAGUAUAAUUCUUUUGUUACCUCCAUUCAAAAUCGAUCUGACCAACCAACUAUUGAGCAAAUCCAUAGCCUAUUGCUUAGCUAUGACUUUCGGCUUGAACAACAAAACUCUGUUUCUCUCCAUUAUGCCCAAGUCCGUAUGGCUCAUCUGAACAAGAAACCUUAUAAAUCAACUCCUCAACCUACAUUCAAUCAUAUUCACAUUCAACCUAGAUACUCUUCUCCACCUUUUAAGCCAACCACUAGUCAAUAUCAACCCAGGAUUUUGGGCAAACCACAACCACAACCAUGACAGCCUCAACCUCAAUGGAAACCACAUUUUUCAAUCCAGAAUCAAAAGCCUCAGUGCCAAAUUUGUGGUAAAUUUGGACACACUGCUCUUAUUUGCUUCCAUUGCACAAAUUUGAACUAUUCACCCCAACCUUCUCCUAAAUCUUUCAAUACUGUUCUCACCACAAAUUCCCAGCUCCCUAAUCCUCCAAAAUUUUCUUACCCUACAAUGGCUCAUCCUGCUGCUACGCAUAACACGAUUCCUGAUACAAAUUGGUACAUGGACUCAGGUGCUACACAUCACUUUACUCCGGACAUCAACAUGCUUGACACUGUGACACCAUUUAGUGGUUUAGAACAGGUGACAGUUGGGAAUGGUAAGCAACUCUGUAUCUCACAUCUUGGUACUGCAAAACUACCAUCCUCGUAUUCUCCUCUUGUUCUACAUCAGGUAUAUCACACUCCAAAAAUUUCAAAUAAUCUUAUUAGUGUUAGAAAAUUGUGUUCUGAUAAUAAAGUUUUUGUUGAAUUUUAUGCCACUCAUUUUCUUAUCAAAGAUCAAGUUUCGAAGAGAGUUCUCUUUCAAGGUCAACUUGAUAAUGGCUUAUACAAAGUUCAGUCGUCAUGCUCUCCUUCUACUAUUUCCUUUCAUCCUCAAGUUUUCAUAGCCAACAUCAAGGAUCAAAAUUUGUGGCACAAGAGACUAGGCCACCCAGCUUUAUCUGUUAUUAAUCAAAUCUUGGAUUCUUGUAACAUUGCUCGAACACAGAAAAUUGGUUUUAAUUUUUGUAGUUCUUGUCAAUUAGCAAAAAGCCACAGGCUUCCUUUUUCUCUGUCUCCAUCCAUUGCAGAAAAACCUUUUGAGUUAAUUCAUACAGACCUAUGGGGUCUUUCUCCUGUUCGCUCUAUUUCUGGUGCUCGUUAUUUUUUACUUUUCAUUGAUGAUCAUACUCGUUUUACUUGGUUUUAUUUGCUCAAAACAAAAGAUGAAGCAUAUCCUACUUUUCUCAAGUUUCAAGCUCUCAUUGAAAAUCAAUUUAAUACCAAGAUUAAGGUUGUCCAAUCUGAUUGGGGAGGUGAGUUUCGAUCUCUCUCCAUACUGUUUUCAAAUAUGGGCAUUGUCUAUCGUUUAUCAUGUCCAUACACCUCACAACAGAAUGAGUGGGUUGAGCGAAAAAAUCACCAUGCGGUUGAAAUGGGAUUGUCCUUUCUUGCUCGCUCGGGUAUGCCCUUAUCUUAUUGGCCUUAUGCCUUUCAAACUGCCACUUACCUUAUUAAUCGUCUCUCUACCCCUGUGCUGCACCAUCAAUCCCCUUACUUCGCACUCUAUCACAAAUUCCCAGCUUAUACUCAUCUUAAGGUCUUUGUUCCUCUUGUUUUCCAUAUUUACGCCCUUAUAAUACCCAUAAACUCCAAUACAGGUCACUGGAGUGUGCUUUUCUUGGUUGCAGUUCACACCACAAAGGUUAUCUAUGUCUUGACAUUCAUUCUAGCAGGGUGUAUAUUUCUCGCCAUGUGAUUUUUAAUGAAGAUUCUUUUACAUUCAAGAAUUUGAAAUCUUCUCUCUCUUAGUCUAUUUCUUCUUCCUCUUCUUUAUUAGUUCCUCUGUUCAUUUCCUUGCCUCCCCUCUCCCCAUAUCCUCCUAUUUCUCCAUCUAUAUCUCAUUCUUUUCUCUCUUCUUCUUCUACCUCUAGUACUUGUUCCCCUCUCGUUGCUCCUACCUCUCUUCCUCCCUCUUCACACUUUGUGUCCCAUCUAUUCCACCUCCUUCUCCACCUUCUUCGAGUGUGGACCUGCUUGUACCUUGUGUGAAUACAAAUUUACUUACUUUUUCUCGCACUCACAAUAUUCAUCCUAUGGUGACCAGAUCUAAGGGUUUGUAUCUAUAAACCUAAGUUGCUAUUGAGUGUCUCCAUAGGUUCUCUCACUAAGCCUACUUCCUUUCUUCAAGCUAUUAAAGAUCCUUCAUGGAAGCAAGCCAUGGAAUUGGAGUUUGCUGCCCUUCAACACAACAAGACCUGGCAUCUAGUUCAUUCACCUUCCUCAGGCAAAGUAAUUGGUUGUAAAUGGGUCUAUAAGAUAAAGCUUUAGCCUGAUGGCUAAUUGAGAGAUACAAGGCCCGCUUAGUAGCUUAGGGUUAUCAUCAAACUGAAGGUAUUGACUACUUCGAAACAUUCAGCCUGGUUGUCAAGCCUUCUACUACCGUAUUGUGCUCAGUCUUACUUUUUCCCAGAAUUGGUGUAUUAGACAGCUGGAUGUUCAUAAUGCCUUCUUACAUGGUGACUUAGCUGAAGACGUUUUCAUGGAACAACCACCUGGAUUUGUUGAUCCUCUCUAUCCUACUCAUGUCUGCAAGUUGGAUAAGUCUCUCUACGGUCUUAAUAGUCACCUCGGGCUUGGUAUACUAAGCUGAGUACUUCUCUACUACACUUGGGAUUUGUUACUUCUAAGAAUGACUCUUCCUUAUUUAUUUGUCAUUCGUCUCAUGGGUUACUUCUUGUUCUUGUCUAUGUGGAUGAUAUAAUCGUCACUGGGAGCCACUCUCCUCAAGUUACUCACCUUAUCCAAUAGUUGCAUCAUCAGUUUUCUUUAAAGGAUCUUGGUCAUUUACACUAUUUUCUGGGCUUGGAGGUUCAUCACACCCCUACUGGUAUUCACCUCAGCCAAGCAAAGUAUAUCACUGAUCUCCUUACCCGGGCGGCUAUGUUGGAUGCCAAGCCAUGUCCCACUCCUAUGUCCUCCAACACAUAUCUUUCUCUUCAUGAUGGAGUGGCUCUUGAAAAUGGUUCAGAUUAUUGAAGUUUUGUUGGUGCCCUUUAGUAUUGUACCAUGACACGCCCAGAUAUAGCUUUUGCAGUAAAUAAAGUGUGUCAAUUCAUGCACCAUCCCUCUGAUGUUCACUGGCAGGCUAUAAAACGUAUUCUCCAGUACUUAAAGGGCACAUCUCAUUUUGGUCUCUUCCUACAGCCUUCCUAUGACUUCAACAUCACUUGCUAUACAGAUGCCGACUGGGCUUCCUGCCUUGAUGACAAGUGUAGCACCAGUGGCUACUGCCUCUUUCUUGCCUCUAAUCUGGUUUCUUGGUCAUCUUCCAAACAAAAAGUGGUCUCCCGCUCCAGCGCCAAAUCAGAGUACCGAGGGGUAGCAAAUGGGGCUGCUGAAAUUGCUUGGACUGAAUCUCUUCUUUGUGAACUUUCCACCCACUCGACCUCCCCUCAUUGUCUGUGACAAUAUCAGUGCCACAUACUUAGCUGUCAAUCCUAUUUUGCAUGCCCGCACCAAAACAUGUGGAAAUCGACUAUCACUUUGUCUCGGAACGUGUUCUUCAACGCUCUCUCUCUCUCCAGUUUACACCUUCGGAUGAUCAACUUGCUGAUUGCAUGACCAAGCCUCUCUCCACCCAACGUUUCAUCACUCUACGCUCCAAGCUCACUGUUCUCACUAGACCAAUGAGCUUGAGGGGGGAUGUUAAGCCUAAAGAUGUAAUUAGUUAGGAUAUUCUUUUCCCUCUAGUCUUGUAGCUCCACGUGUACAGUUGGUUAGGACCUCAUUGUAUAUAAUGCCUGCCCUGUUAUUGUAGAAGACAACAGAGAUAAAUAAUAUUAACAUUUUUCCUCUCAUCUCUCUCUCUGUUUCCCUCUGUUUUCAUCUCCUCUCUCAUCUGAACCAAAUGAUCCAUGUUAACCUUGGCUUGGUUUGAUUUGGCUCUAUCUUAGAGAGCUCAAGGAUCACGUCAACUCUGGUUUCUACUAUUCAGGUCCAUUCCCAUAUGAACUGGUUCAAAUUUGAGAAAAUGGUAACAGACCUUUAGUGAUGUUGGUUUGGAGCCAGUUGCCAAACCCGCCCUGAGCUUUACCACUAAUGUCAAGGGAGAAAGCCUUUUGAACAAAAACAAUAGCUUCAAGAGACUGAAUCGUGGAUGAAAUCUGAUCCACAUUUCUUCUCAUUUUGGAAACAAAUGAGAACUUAACUAAGAAGAUUCUACGGCCUCAUAGUGCUUUUCCUGAUCUAAGGUUGGUUCGUUUCCCAAAUUGUGAGAUGCACGGGCCAGACUUCAGAACUCUCACGCUCAGGAGUGUAUCCACGUGGUGGACAUAAGAUGGUGGCUUAAGAUCUGGUGUCGGUGGCUUUACUUUACUAGGAGAGUAGUGUGUCUUCAUCUCAUUCACUGCCGGAGGGUGGCGUAAGCAGUGACGCUAAGGUGGGGCAUAGUCAAUAUCAUUUGCAUUUGACCAUUAUAGUUUUCUCCCGGCUUGAAAGUAACCUUAUCGUGAUAAAGGAUUACUAGCACUAGUUCAGAUGACAGUCAUGUUAAAUUCGGACCAUGUUUGUGUCACAUUAUCAGCAACCAUGUGUUUAUGGUUCAUGCUUUCUGCAACUGAAAUUGAAAUUGAUAUAUAACCAGGUGAACUUCAAUCUAAAUUCUGGAAGUACUCAUGUGAGCGAUGGUGCCCAUCUGCAGAGUCCAUCAAUUGAAAAAUGGAGUGAGUGUAUCUAUAAGAGGGAAGGCUUGGCAAAUGUCCAGUUUUCUGGGAAUUCAACAAGGAUCUAAAAUAGAUUGUUUUCUUUGCUGAUUUCAAUGGUUGAAAUUUGAGAAGAUUGUGUCCCACAUAACACAACUAUUACUGGUCCUUCUGUUGCAAUUUAUCCUCUAAGGCUCUAGCAUGUCUUCCAAUUCCCACUUCCCUGUUACUCCAGGAAAGCUAUUUCUGUCAUUGUGAAGAAGAAAAGAGAAUGUAGAUAUCGAUGCUUUUAAGUGACUGGAGCAUUCAUAUCAGGUGGUCUGCAGCCAUAUAUGCCACUUUGUGAAGAUUGGAACAGUCAAUCACUAGGCUAUAUAUUAGUGUGGCCCAGCCACUUUAAUCAAGGACAAUUCUUCAUACUUAAAAGUCAAAUUCUGCCUUUAGUCUCAUUAUAAAUUGCUGUUUAAAUAUUAAGCAAACAUUUGUUUAAUGCGAUUAAGACAGUACUAACUCAAUACUUGUUCUAUUUUUGGAUGGAAAUGCUUGAUGGUUUCAUCAUUGGAUGGGAUAAAGGUGCAUUCAUGAUUAUGAAUACUUGUAGUUAUAUUUUCAUUCUCUUUUUUCUCAAUGAGACUUGUUGGCACAAUUUUUCUGUUCAGAAACCUACCUCUCCAUGGAAAAUAAGUUGUGAUUGAUAGUACUGGAUAUAUUCAAGAAAGCUAAAUAUAGAUAGCACAAAAUAUUAUCGACAUAAAUAGCAUUAACAGCGUACGUAUGUCUCAGUGCUCAUCAGCCAUAAGCAUGGGGCAAACACUUACGAUGAGCAACUUACGUCAAAAUUCCAGAAUAGGACAUAGAAGUGACAGAUCUAUAUAUAUAGAACACUGCAUAAGAGUCACAAGAAAGGAAAUUACGGGUGCAUAGCAGCUCUUAUUUCACAUACUACUCAUACUGAUCAAAGUCACUCAGUUGGGAUGGGUGGGAGUAGGAGGUUUGUGGGGUGGCUUGUGCGGAGGAGUUGGCAGCUUCUUUCCAGGACCUGGUGGCUUCUCUCCCUUAGGUGGUUUGCCAACUGGGGUUGGUGGCUUGUAUGAGUCUUCAGCAUUCUCUGCAGGAGGGUGACCAGGGUUGUGACCAUAAUGUGGUGGCUUCUCUCCCUUAGGUGGUUUGCCAACUGGGGUUGGUGGCUUGUGUUCUGGGAGUGGCUUCUCCCCCUUGGGAGGUUUUUCCAAUGGGGUUGGUUUGUGUUCAGGAGGUGGCUUCUCCACUGGAGGCUUGUGUUCAGGAGGUGGCUUCUCCACCGGAGGCUUGUGUUCAGGAGGUGGCUUCUCCACCGGAGGCUUAUGCUCUGGUGGUGGCUUCUCCACCGGAGGCUUAUGCUCUGGUGGUGGCUUCUCGAAUGGGGGAUGCUUAGGGUAAUCAGCAAGUGAGGGGGCGGUGAGAACCACCAGGCCAAGCAAGACCACUAGCAAGUAUGUAGGAGACAUCUUUGGGUUUAGACUCAGAUGGUGCAAAACUAGGAGAAUUGUCUUUUAUAGCGGAUCGCACCCAAUAAUGAAAUGACACGUGUCUUUAUGACCCAUGUGUAAUGGGGUCGAUUUGGGUCCUACAGUGUUGAAAACUUCGACAUCCACUUUUGGCCUUUUGCUUUCUCUACAGCCGCCUUGCUUUUUCCCUCUUUCCUUUUGUUUUCCUCCUGCCCCAUUCUAUCAACUAAACACAAUUAUGUAGUUGUUUAAUUCUUAAAUGAGAUAUUAUCCGUCAAUCGUAUCAUAUUUUAUCAACAGAGAACGGAGUGCAAUGUGGCAAUCCAAAGAAAGAAGAUCCAUAAUGCAGCUGUAAUUUUAUCGUUUACUUUUAUCUCUUGGACCACUGCAUUUUUGUUAAGAGGUGCAAUAAUACACGUCUUUAUCUGCCAUUCAAUGUUUACAGUAAAGAGAGGGCACAAAACUCUUCACUGCUCUGCAUGUGUCCCAAAAAUGCAAUUGGACAAAUUAUGAUUUGCAUGCUAAAAAGAGGCAAAUGAGGUUAAUUCGCACCAUAAUUAUUUUGUUUUCUGGACCCCGGGGCCCUUUGGUUGGUUUGGGGGUCAGAAAAUGAACAUCAUAGGGGGUUUUUCCCUUAUGUGCAUUUGUAUCUGAUGGCUUUAACUCGCCUUGUUACUACAAAGAAAUUGUCACAUAUAGGAACUUAUUCCAGGCUGAGUAUCUCCGCAUAGACCCUAUAAAAGAAGACAAGUCAUAAUGAACAUCUAACCUUUGUUCAAUUUGAUUCAAUGCCCCAUUGUGUCCACCUCACAAAUCUGAAUUAUUAUAUCCAUUGAAUACAUAAAUUAAUGAAGAAAAUAUGAAACCCAAGAUACAUCUCUGCACAACCUCAACCCUGGUUGCUAUGUUUCCCUUCUAUUCACAUGAGGAUAUUGAUUACGGAAUAGGGAAACCUAGCAAGGGUUUACUCGGCUCUGGUUUGAUGCUAAUUGCCAAACUUGCAACAAGCCCUGAGUUUGAAGCUCACAGAAGAUGUUAUACAGGCAGGGAAAAACCUUCAGAGUUCGCUGCCAAAGAUAAUUAUUAAGGAGAUAUCACCAAGAGAAUUCCAAGGAGUCUGAAUCAAAGACAAAUUGGUCGUUCGUGGAGGUUCUUACUUUCUUUUGGGUAUAACUCACUGAGGGCACUGUCUUUUUUAUUUUCAUUUCACAUUUAGAGUUCUGUUCUGGAAACAUAUAAAAGGAGCAUCAGUUUGUUCUUGGGUAACCCAUAGUCGUGAGUGGGUCCAUUUGCAUGCUACUUAGUUGAAAAGUUGGACCAUUUGCUCCGACGCCUACCUCCUGGAUUCCAUGCUCGGAUAAAACAAGAAUAAAAAAAUAUUUAUAAUUUACAAAUGGGGGAAAGAAAAAAAUGUCAACAACAAACUAGGAAAAAAGAGUAGUAAAAUUCAUGUCACAUGCUAGUGAGAGAAGGGGUUGUUACACUCACUCGAAGUUCUUUUCAAAAUAUCGCAUGGUAUUUUAUUUUAUGUGUGAGCGCAGUUGUGAAUGGAACGUGCAAAAGUCCAAAUUGGUGACCUUUAAUAAAUAUUUAAAACAAAAAACGAAAAAAAGGAGGGAAAAGGGAUCAGAAAAGAUAAAACAAUGUGUACAAAAGCUCAAUUAGUUUGCAAAUUACUGUUUGGAUUUUGAUAGUAUUUUAUUUGAUGUAAAAGAGAAUUUAAGAUAUUUCCGAAACAAAAGCAUUAGUUUGCUCCAUGUCAAUUUCGGCAUUUCUCAUAUGUUUCACACAUACACAGAAGAGCAUCGUUUUUUAAAGCAUGCAUUUAUGUUGGAUUAAUUUGGAUUUUGUGGGAACUGGGGCAAGGAUCACAUGGAAGAGAGGUUGACUUUUUUCAGUACUUCAAUGGUUGAGACAGGUGAAGGCCUGAUUGAUACUGAAGCCUGAAAUUGCGACUCCGUCAUUUGUCAAAACAUAUGACAGCUUCCAUGCUCUCGUUUGGUUGCAUUGUUCUGUGGUCAUGCAUACAUGCCACUUAGUGAUCAGUCUGUAACUGUCAAUCAUUGGGCUUUGACUGAACAACAUCAGCCAUGUAUAAAUACUUGCAAAUCAAACGGUCUUCUUCCUCCCAUAAGGAAUUUCGGUUUAAUUAUGAAGCAUGCAUUUGGCUGACCAUCAUAAACCACUUCUUUAAAUUGAUGAAUGAUAGUUUUUCAUUCAUUCUUUCAUUCGUUCAUAUACAGAGUAUAUAUAGAGGGUAAUCAUCAUUCUAAGAAUGGGAAAGAAUGAUACAAGGAAAUAAUGAUAUAAAGAAAUAACAACUAAUAUUCUAAUAUCUCAACUUUCCUAAUAUCUAAACAUUCCUAAUAUCUCAACACUAAAUGAUAUAAAGAAAGAAUGAUAUAAGGAAAGCAUUCCUAAUAUCUCAACACUCCUCCUCAAGUUGGUGCAUAGAUGUCAAACAUGUCCAACUUGUCUAAAAAUUUUGAGAACAGUUGACUUGAGACAUCUUUGGUGAGGAUAUCGGUCAAUUGAUCUUCUGAUCGAAUCUUAGGCAAUUCCACAAUCUUAUCAUCCAACUUUUCCUUAAUGAAAAAUCUAUCCAUCUCGACAUGCUUUGUACGAUCAUGUUGUACUAGAUUAUGAGCAAUGUCACAUGCUGCUUUAUUGUCACAAAACAAUCGGAUUGGUUGCCUAGAUAGGUAACCUAAAUCCUAUAAGAGGAGUCUUAGCCAUAAUGCCUCACAAAGUCCUAAAGUCAUACCUCUAAAUUCCGCUUCUGCACUUGAACGAGCGACGACAUUUUGCUUCUUACUUUUCCAUGUCACAAGAUUACCACCUACAAAGGUAAAGUAACCAGAUGUAGAUCGCCUAUCAUCCACUGCACCGACCCAAACAGCAUUAUACUUCUAUACUCUGAUGAUCAACAUUUUUAGCGAACAAAAUUCCCUUCCUAGGAGCAUUCUUCAAAUACCUCAAAAUACGCAUGACUACAUUCAUAUGUUGCUCUCCAGGAUUAUGCAUGUAUUGACUCACUACACUCAAUGUAUAAGCAAGAUCUAGUCUUGUAUGAGCUAAGUACAUUAAUCUCCCCACAAGUCUCUGGUAUCUUCCCUUAUCGAUUGAUACUUGAUUAGGCUCAACACACAAUUUCAGACCUUCUUCUAUUGGUGUAUUAAUAGGUUGACAUCCCGACAUUCCAGUUUCCUGUAGAAGAUCUAAGGCAUACUUUCUUUGAGACAGAAAAAUUCCUUCACUUGAUCGAGAAACUUCAAUCCCAAGAAAGUAUUUCAGACGACCAAGAUCUUUCAUUUCAAAUUCUCUAGAUAGAUACUUUUGCAAAGCUUUUCUUUCUUCAGGAUCAUUUCCUGUAACUACAUGUCAUCCACAUAUAUCAUAAGUGUCGUAAUCUUACCAUGUUGCUUUUUCAAGAACAAAGUGUGAUUUGAAUUACUUUGAUGAUAGCCAAAAGCUCUCAUUGAUUUUGUGAACCUUCCAAACCAUGCUCUCGGGGAUUGCUUCAACCCAUACAAUGACUUCUUCAAUUCGCACACCUUCUGACAUUGCUUUUCUGACACCAUGCAUCCUGGUGGAAGAUCCAUAUAUACUUCUUCAGAUAAAUCGCCAUGCAGAAAGACAUUUUUUACAUCGAACUAUUGUAAUGGCCAAUCUAGGUUUGCAGCUAAAGACAAUAAUACUCGAACUGUGUUGAUCUUAGCUACAGGUGCAAAUGUCUCUGUGUAGUCAAUUCCAUAAGUUUGAAUGUACCCACUAGUCUUGCUUUAAAUCGUUCAAUACUACCAUCUGCCUUGUACUUCACAGUAUAGAUCCAACGACACCCAACUAGCUUCUUUCCUGGUGGACAUUCUACGAGUUCCCAUGUUUCAUUUUUCUGCAAUGAUUUCAUCUCUUCAUUCAUGGUUGCUUUCCACUUUGGAUCAGCUAAAGCUUCCUGCACACUAUUAGGAAUAGCUACAGUAGAUAAUUGAUUUACAAAUGACUUAUUUGAUUCAGACAAACCAUGGUGUGGACCCGCAUUUUUCACGUGCGCCUCUACUCGAUCGGCGAGACUCGCUUUCUAUUUGUGAAAAAUUAAUUUUAGAAAAGUUGGAGUCGCCACCUAUUUUAUUUUUAUUUUGAAGGGAAAAUAAAACAAGAAAGAAAAACCCUAAAAAGUGACUCCAUAGUUUUGGAAAAAGCAUGUCUUUGGGAAACCUGAGUCUAGGUCCGGGGAUCAUGUUACUUAUUGGGAAGGUACCUCUAGGAGGUAGCACCCCUCUAAGCCUUAUGAAGGUCUCUACUAACUAAAUUAAGGGAAGUGUGGCAAUAAAUCGAUUGAUCAUAGAUACCUAAGUAGACUAGGUGAUUUUAAAGUGUGGCAUGUCAAACACAAUCAAAUUGCAAUAAAGGAGAGUUAGGGCGCGUACCUGAACCGCUUCUCAAGCGCUAUCAUAAAACAUCAAUGGUUAAUUUAAAUAAUAUAUCAUCCAGCAUGUAUUUUAUUAGAAAUAAUCAAACAAUGAAACAUGUAUAUCAGAACACUCAAGCAUUAUUAGACAUAAGCAUUAUUUCACUAUUCACAGAAUUCAGAAAGUAGGUGAUAGAGGACAUACCUGGAUAGCAUAGAUAAUUUGUAAUGUGCUUCCUCAAGUUGUAAGGGGUUAGAUAACAAAUAAUAAAAUAUAGAAAUCCUAGCAUGCUCGUUAUCUAAUUAGCAUAGCAAAAGUGAUCACAGUAUACAGAAUCAUCAAUUAUCACAUACAUCUUGUAUAUAAUUCCUAAAAAAAAUAGAUAGACAUGAUUUCAACAAGUGUCAAAUGUGGCAACAAAAAUAAAUUUUGAAAAGAUUUUCUUAUGUAGGGGUUUCACCAAUUCCCCAAAUUAAUAUACACGAAUUUAGCUUAGAAUUAUCCCAUUUAUUUGGGACUACAAGCUUUGAUUCGUGUUUUUGUUCAAAACCAAAAAUUUUUGUUGAAAAUCAAGAAGGAUGCGAACCGAACAAGAUAUGGUUGCAUAUUAUUUUUAAAUAAAUAAAUAAAUAAAUAAAGGAGAUUUUGAUCCUGAGGACUUUAAUGAGUUUUUUUUUUUAAAAUAGAUUUUUAAAAUGAUUUUUUUGAGAAAAGUAUUUUAUUUUAAAAUAAAAGGGAUUAAUUUGGGAAAAAAAUAAAAUAUAAGAAAUAAAAUACCAAACAAAACAAAAAUGAAACCUCAAAGUAAAAUUUUUUUAGUAAUUAACAAAAAUGAUAAUGGUGAUGGUAGAGGGCAAUCUUCAUGAUUUUCCAAUGGCCUCAGAAAGAAAAUCAAAUUAAAUGAAGGAUCACUAACAGGCAAGACAUUCUAAAUUAGACAAACUAACAAAGUAUCAAUUCAUGAACUAACCGCUAGGAUUUUGAAAGCAUAUAAGCUAAGAUAAGGGUGAUCAGGAACUAAUAUUAAUGAUUUUGAAAUAAAAACUAAAAAAAAGGAUCAAUUCGGGUAAGGAACUAAAAUUAUAAAAGUACCUAAACUAAUUAUGACGAGUUUGACUAAAUUAAACUAAAAACAUGAACUUUCAAACAUAGAAUUAAUUUUACUAAUGAACCAAAGCAAACUAAAAAUAUGUACUUUCAAGCAUAGAAUUAAUUUUAUUGAUGAACUAAACUAUAACAAAUAUCUAAACUAAAUAUAAUGAAUCAAAUUAAAUUAAAGCAACUUAAAAACGCAAACUUUCAAACAUAGAAUCAAUUUUAUCAAUGAAUUAAAACUAUAAAUGUAUUUGAACUAAAUAGAUGAAUCAAACUAAAUCAGAGCAAAAUUAAAAAAAAAAAAGAACUUUCUAACAUGAAAUCAAUUUUAUCAACAAAUAAAUGAAUGAAUAACAAGUAAUUAAAAGAAUAGCUACUACAUGAAUAACUGAAUGAAUAAAAUUCAAAUGUUUUCAAUCUGAAGCAAUCAAUCAAAAUUAAAUAGGGAUCAAAUCAAAAUAAUCGAAAUCGGAAAAACAAUAUGCAAUCUUUCUAAAGGUUUAACCAGACAAUUGAAUUAAAAUUAUGAAUAGAAUAAAUUAAUAAACCAAAUCGAAACCUAAAUUGUACCUAAAAAGAUUAAUUAAUUAAACUAAGAAAUCAAAAUCAAUAACAAAACUAAACUAAGGAGUAAAUUAAGACAAGACUAAUUAAAUUAAACUCACAAACACGUUUUAACUAUCAUAUGGAUUAAAACAAAAUUAGCAUGGACUUAUGAAUUACGAACAAAAAUAAUCAAAACUAUUUUAAAAAACUCACCUCUAUUAUAAGAAAAAAUCUGCCUUUGAUGCGUUGAGGUGGCUCCCCUCUCUGUGUGGAUCUCUCUGCUCCCCAGAAAAAAAAUGUCUCUUCCUCCGUUCUCUUUUGUUUCAGCAAAAUAAUAUAUCCCCUGCUGUGGAUCUCUCUACUCCCAGAAAAUAAUAUAUUCUCUCCGUGUCCUAAAGUGGACCUAGGGUGCCUAAGUGGACCUAGGGUGCCUAAAUGGGCCUAGGGUGCCUAAAUGGGCCAAGUGUAUCUAAAUAGGCUUAGGGUGCCUAAGUGGGCCUAAGUCUAAGUGAGCCUAAGUCUAAAUCAAGACUACCAAGGAUCAUAAUAAGGGGUUAGGCAAUCCCUUAACCAAAGUCUCCAAGGUGGCUAAAAAAAAGUAAGUAGUAUGAGUAGCUAUGGGUCACCAAGGAACUACUGUGGAGCAUUGAAAACGAAUUUAAAGACAUGUGCCAAAGGGACAAAAUUGAGGGUCUACAGAUGGUUAGACACAUAGUUGCUCAUGGGAUAUUUGACUUUGGUAAACAAUUCAGAUUCAUAUGUGGGUUUAGGAAUACCUUUAUUAUGACGGUGUGGUAAUCGUUUCAUGAAUGGAUCAGGUUGCAAAUUAAGAACACCCUCAGCAAACAACGAUUGGUUUGGUAUUUCAGUGAAGACAUCUUCGAACCCAAAUUGUUGACCACUCAUAUCCAACUCACCCGCUUCCUGGUUCACUAGUUCAGAUUGUCCAAAUUCAUCAUUCUCAUAGAUAUGAUAAUCAUAAUCGAGAGUCUGAAUUUCCUUAUGGUACUCCCCCUGAAGUUCAGACUUAGAUGAAAAAUACAUCGAAUAUUCAUGAAACAGCNNNNNNNNNNNNNNNNNNNNNNNNNNNNNNNNNNNNNNNNNNNNNNNNNNNNNNNNNNNNNNNNNNNNNNNNNNNNNNNNNNNNNNNNNNNNNNNNNNNNNNNNNNNNNNNNNNNNNNNNNNNNNNNNNNNNNNNNNNNNNNNNNNNNNNNNNNNNNNNNNNNNNNNNNNNNNNNNNNNNNNNNNNNNNNNNNNNNNNNNNNNNNNNNNNNNNNNNNNNNNNNNNNNNNNNNNNNNNNNNNNNNNNNNNNNNNNNNNNNNNNNNNNNNNNNNNNNNNNNNNNNNNNNNNNNNNNNNNNNNNNNNNNNNNNNNNNNNNNNNNNNNNNNNNNNNNNNNNNNNNNNNNNNNNNNNNNNNNNNNNNNNNNNNNNNNNNNNNNNNNNNNNNNNNNNNNNNNNNNNNNNNNNNNNNNNNNNNNNNNNNNNNNNNNNNNNNNNNNNNNNNNNNNNNNNNNNNNNNNNNNNNNNNNNNNNNNNNNNNNNNNNNNNNNNNNNNNNNNNNNNNNNNNNNNNNNNNNNNNNNNNNNNNNNNNNNNNNNNNNNNNNNNNNNNNNNNNNNNNNNNNNNNNNNNNNNNNNNNNNNNNNNNNNNNNNNNNNNNNNNNNNNNNNNNNNNNNNNNNNNNNNNNNNNNNNNNNNNNNNNNNNNNNNNNNNNNNNNNNNNNNNNNNNNNNNNNNNNNNNNNNNNNNNNNNNNNNNNNNNNNNNNNNNNNNNNNNNNNNNNNNNNNNNNNNNNNNNNNNNNNNNNNNNNNNNNNNNNNNNNNNNNNNNNNNNNNNNNNNNNNNNNNNNNNNNNNNNNNNNNNNNNNNNNNNNNNNNNNNNNNNNNNNNNNNNNNNNNNNNNNNNNNNNNNNNNNNNNNNNNNNNNNNNNNNNNNNNNNNNNNNNNNNNNNNNNNNNNNNNNNNNNNNNNNNNNNNNNNNNNNNNNNNNNNNNNNNNNNNNNNNNNNNNNNNNNNNNNNNNNNNNNNNNNNNNNNNNNNNNNNNNNNNNNNNNNNNNNNNNNNNNNNNNNNNNNNNNNNNNNNNNNNNNNNNNNNNNNNNNNNNNNNNNNNNNNNNNNNNNNNNNNNNNNNNNNNNNNNNNNNNNNNNNNNNNNNNNNNNNNNNNNNNNNNNNNNNNNNNNNNNNNNNNNNNNNNNNNNNNNNNNNNNNNNNNNNNNNNNNNNNNNNNNNNNNNNNNNNNNNNNNNNNNNNNNNNNNNNNNNNNNNNNNNNNNNNNNNNNNNNNNNNNNNNNNNNNNNNNNNNNNNNNNNNNNNNNNNNNNNNNNNNNNNNNNNNNNNNNNNNNNNNNNNNNNNNNNNNNNNNNNNNNNNNNNNNNNNNNNNNNNNNNNNNNNNNNNNNNNNNNNNNNNNNNNNNNNNNNNNNNNNNNNNNNNNNNNNNNNNNNNNNNNNNNNNNNNNNNNNNNNNNNNNNNNNNNNNNNNNNNNNNNNNNNNNNNNNNNNNNNNNNNNNNNNNNNNNNNNNNNNNNNNNNNNNNNNNNNNNNNNNNNNNNNNNNNNNNNNNNNNNNNNNNNNNNNNNAACCAAAGGAAGCAUGUUCCAGACGUCGAUGCCACAACCAAAUUUCAGACUUUUUCUUCUCCUCCUUAGAUCCAUCUGCCAUCAAGGCUUGUUGCAACUUAUUUGAAUCCUUUGAUUGCAAGUCCAAGUAUAGAGUUUCCCCCGCUUAAUACGACAACCAAUCGUCUGUCUUGUUUGAAUGUCCUUAAUCACACAAAAUUCAGGCCAAAAAAUGACAAUACAAGAUAAGGCUGCAGUGAUUUGAGAAACUAACAAAAGAUUGUAAUCUAAAGAUGGAACAACUAAAACAGAAUCCAAAUUCAAAGUAUCAGUAAGAGUUAAGGAUCCUUCCCCAAUGACUGGGGUUGUGUUACCAUUGGCUGUGGAAACAAUUUUUUGUGAGGAAGGUCUAAGGGGUGAAACCUGUCUAGAAUCAAAAGUCAUAUGAUCUGUAGCACCAGAAUCAAUUAUCCAUGCACUAUUAAUAACAGGUGUAAAAGUAUUUAAAAACUUACCACAAUGAUCUGUAGCGGCUACUAAUGCAGAGACUUUCUCAACAACAUUAGUCUUUGUUUUUAUUUCGGUAACAGUUGCAAUCAAGGUUUUCUUGGAAUUCUUCUUCCGUUGAUCACGAUUAUUAUCAUUAAUAACAAAGUGUUGAUAGCCUAAACAUGAUCUAAAGGUCCAUGGUGCAAACCCUCGGUUCCUCAUUGUUUUCCUGGUCAUACCAAGAGUUGUUGCUUUGAAAUUGUGGGAUAUCCAGACUGGUGGGAUCAGUUUUAUUGCAGUGAGUGCAUUUGAAUGUUGACUUAUCAAUAUUAGGGCUUGUCUUCGGAUGGUUGAUUGCUGUUGGACUACCAUAGCGACAAAAUAUCCAGGAUUUCAAUUCCAGGGCUCUGAUACCAUCUUCAAAUUGAUGAAUGAUAGUUUUUCAUUCAUUCUUUCAUGUACAGAGUAUAUAUAGAGGGUAAUCACCAUUCUAAGAAUGGGAAAGAAUGAUACGAGGAAAUAAUGAUAUAAGGAAAUAAUAACUAAUAUCCUAAUAUCUCAACUUUCCUAAUAUCUCAAUAUUCCUAAUAUCUCAACUUUCCUAAUAUCUAAACAUUCAUAAUAUCUCAACACUAAAUGAUACAAGGAAAGAAUGAUAUAAGGAAAACAUUCCUAAUAUCUCAACACCACUUCAUGAUAUAUAUAGUUUCUUACCCUUAAUCAAUGGUUUCUAAGUGAAUUUAUAUAGAAAGAAAUCCAAACUGUAGACAGCAGUAUUGGUAACACUCAAUAUUCUGUAUAUAAUAGAAUAAAUAGCGUCACAGUGAUCGUCGCCUACAAGCAAGGUACAAAUACCACAAAGAGUGACCCACAUAGACAUUCCCCAACAAGAUGUAGUAGUGACUGACACAUAGCCACAAUUAACACGUAGAAAAGGAUAAGACCGGUGCACAGUAGCUCUUAUUUUACAUACUACUUAUGCCAACCAAAGUCACUCAGUUGGGAUGGGAGGGAGAUGGAGGUUUGUGCGGUGGCUUGUGGGGCGGAGUUGAUGGCUUCUUUCCAGGAGCUUCUGGCUUUUUCAUCGGAGCUGAAGGAGGCUCAAUCUUAUGAGGCGGCUUGUACGAGUCUUCUUUGCUCUCGAAAGGAGGGUGGCCAGGGUUGUGACCAUAAUGUGGUGGUUUCUCUCCCUUGGGAGGUUUACCAAUUGGGGUUGGUGGCUUGUGUUCUGGGAGUGGUUUCUCUCCCUUGGGAGGUUUAGUGGGUGACUUGUGUUCUGGAGGUGGCUUCUCCACCGAAGGCUUGUGCUCCGGUGGUGGCUUUUUGGUUGGAGGGGGCUUGGGGUAAUCAGCAAGAGAUGGGGUGGUGAGAACCACCAGUCCAAGGAACAACACUAGCAAGUAUGUGGGAGACAUUUUUGAGUUUGGGCUGAUCAGAUGAUGCAAAACUAAAGCAUUACGUGACCUUUUAUAGCAAGUAGCUCCCAAUACCUACUUGACACGUGUUACUGUGACCCAUAAAUAUUAUGGGGUCUAUUUGUGCCCUACCGGGUUGAAAACUUGGACAAUUGGGCAAGGACCCGCCUGACUAUGGAGGACUACUGAGGUGUGAUCACAGCUUUAGGAUUUUUCUUCCUCUGCAGCCGUCUUGCCGUUGGCAUGAUUUUCUUAAUCUCAAAUAAAGGCAUAGUUAUAGAGUUGUUUAAUCUCUAAAUGGGAUUUUAUAUAUCUUCAGAUAGCCAUUAAUACAUUUGAUGAAGAAAGAAAGACAAGUGCAUACAACAUGUAUACGACUAGCUUUCAUGGAGUUCAUUUAUGAUCAGUUUUCCUGUACAUGUAAACCAAGAUCAUAUAUGUUUUUGUUCCACAACAAUUUUGGAAUCUUGUUUAUCCGUUUUUAUCAUUAUAAUGUCACAUAGGCUGCCAACUUGGGCGCUAAAUUAAAGAUCCAGUUGGGCAAGUUCGUUUCAGAAUUUCAAUGGUGGAUUCAGGAAUUGUUUUAUAAGAUAUGCAAAAUAGUAGAGGGAUGAAUAGUGUUUCAUUAAGAAAAGAGCCCUGUAAAAAUAUUGUUUAAAGGUGCCAUAGAAACUAUAAUCAAUAAAUAACUUUUUUUCCCCAUGGGUGGUGUUUCUUGUGGGGAUCAGUGACUGGUUUGAGUCAACGCCGUGUCUCUUUAGUCCAGAAAUCAACUAUUUUAUGCAUUGAAUACAUCAACAAAGAAAAUAUGAAAGCCAAAUGACACCUCCCCCGCAAAAACUAAACCCUGGUUGCUAACUUUCUAUGUUUCAGUUCCAUUCACACAAGAAUAUUAGUUCAAGUUUGAGAAAAAUGGCGACUUACCUAGUGAUAACUCGGUCUUGGUUUGCGAUUUGACUUUAACGUCAUGGGUUGAAGCCUCCUACAAUCAUCGUGUAUGCUAGUUCAAAGCUCGUGGAAGAAGUUAUACAGGGAGGGAGAAACCUCCACAGCAAGCUCCAAAAGAGAAUUAUCACAUUGAAAGCUCCAGUUGAACACUGGGUGAAAGCCAUAACAAGAUUGGUUUUCUAUCGCUCUUUUAAGUAAUGGAAGAUUAUUAUCUCUGCUUGUCACUACAACCGUGCAUGCUGCUAGAUCUUUCUAGACACUUCAAACAGUGAAACCAAGUAUGAUUCUUUUUCUCUUGAGUGGGUCCACUUGCAUGCCAAUGAACGAGUUGAAAAGUUGGACAAUUGGCCACAGCGCGCACUUACCUUCUGGAACCGAAGGUCAGUGAAGUGGGGUUCCUUUUGGCCCCUUGUGUUUCUGUUCCAACCUACUCCAGGAACCGAAGUUCAGUGAAGUGGGGCUACUUUUGGCCUCUUGUGUUUCUGUUCCAACCAAACAAAAAUGGGAGGGAAAAAUAGCAUUAUGCUUGUGCUAAAGAUCAACGCAUGAUAGCUGAAUAAGGGAGAAAAAGGCAUUGCUAUCUCAAUUUCAUAAACUUGAUAAGUAGUGACAUUAAUAGUCUUCCUCAUAGAUGGAUACAUGGUUUUAUUUUAUUUAUUUAUUUUUAUUUUUUUGUUUUAUGUCAAUGCUAAUGAAUGAAGUGCAUUAGCUUGUUUUGUGACUAGAACUACAAAUGUCCAAAUUGGAGCUUCUCCAAUAUAUUUCUCAGUGAGUUAUUGAUUAGAACUCUUGGAUUGAGUUCCAAGAUUUGAAUCAGACCCCUCUAGCAGCUUCAGGGGUACGUAGCAACCUAUAGCAUAUUAAUGAAGACUUAGGAUUUAGACUUAGGAAUACAAAUUAAUAUGUACCUCAUGCUCUGACUAGCUUCCCUGCGUAUGCACAAAAUGGAGAUGACUCCCAAAAAAAUAGCAGAAUCGCCUUAGUAUGUUUUUGUGGUUAAGAUGAUUCUCCACUUUAUAUAUCCACAUUGGUUCAUUAUGCAAAUUAAUCAACUAAGCUAUUUUUAUUUUUUCUUAAAUGUGAAAUAGGAGCUCCAAAUUAACCUAACCAUUGGCCUGAUUGAAUUGAUUUCACUUGCAUAAUGUUAUAGUAGAAGUCCGUAAUUUGAAUUUUAUUUUUGCAAAAGGUAACGUAAAUGAAGCAUUGUAAUUAAAUUUAUUUGUAAUUACAAACUAAUUUUAUUUUAUUAAGAAUUAAUUUAAUUACUCAUUUAAAAUAAAAAUCAGUUAUACUUUUACCAAGAUGAUAAUAUUCAUAUUUUUCUAGUUAACAUAUAUAAAAUAGUACACUUUUUCAUAUAAAAAAAUAAUUUAUGAUUUAUUAUAAUGUUACUAUUCACAUUUUACUAAAUUGAUGGUACAUGAUAGUGAGAGAAGGGGGUGUCACACUCAGCUAAAGUUCUUUUCAAAAUAUUGCAUGGUGUUUAAUUUUAUGUGUCGGCGCGCGUGUGAAUGGAACCUGCAAAAGUCCAAAUUGGCGUUUCUCCAUUUUCCACAUAGGAUGGUGACGUUAAUAGACAAAGAUACAAUAUCUGUAGACAUUGCUUAAAAAUCGAUGUGAAGUAUUAGAAAUUACAGGGCACUGUACUGGGGGAGCGGCUGCCCCGCCAAAGGAGGAAGAAUGUAGCAAUUUCUUCUGUUAGCCAGGCCUUAGGAUUUAUGCAUGGGAUGCCUAAUAACAAACAGAGAAAAUAUACUUUUGGGGAAGGUAUCCAACAACAGACACCAUCAUUCAGAUGGUGGGAAGGUAUCCAACAGAUGCCAUCAUUCAGAUGGUAACAUAUAUAUACAUUUAUUAGUGAGUUUUUUUAAUACCUAUAAAAAAAAAUAUACACUUUGAUAUUGUGGCUGAAUCCAUUACAUACUCAACUAACCUUGCUCAUUAGGGAUUUGACUUAACAAGGGCAACGUUGCAGUACAAGCUCAAAACUUUAUGCAGGUGACAUUACAUUUGGUAAAGAAGAGGAAAAUAACGAAAGCCAUCCAUAAAAGCAAAAUUCCACAUGGGAUGAAAUUCACAAGCUUCAUUUACGAUAGAGUCGCAUCCAGGCAAUUAAUUCCACAUUAGACCGCCUGUUGACAUGUGUACCAAUCUUUUUUCAAAAAAUAUUUAUAAAUAAUUGAUACUCACAAAAAUAAUUUAAUAUUUAUAAAGGAUAAAAAAAUAUUUUCAAAUCUAUAACAAUUUAUAAAAUAUUAAUAAAAAAUUAUCUCUUAAACUUAGUAUAGUUUUAUCAGAUUAAACUUUUAUUUUGAACAAAUAAUUUUAAUCUAAGUUUUAAAUUCUAAAAUUAUUUCCUUAAAAUAAAAUUUUAAAAUUCAACACUUCAAUUGAAAUUGUCUUUUUAAAAAAUAUCUUCUUAUUUUAAUCCUUAUAAACUAUAGUUGAUUGAAAAUACUAUUGAAGUUCUCUCUUAAAAAAAAGUCUUAUUUUAAUCUUCAUAAAUUGCCCUUGAUUUGAAAAUAAAUUUUCAGUUAUCAUAUUUUAAAUAAUAUCUAUAUUUAAAAUACUCUAUUUAAAAAAAAAUGAACUAAUUUUAAUUAUAUUAUAUUUUAUUUUUUUAUAUAUUUUUAAUGAUAAACCAAACAUAGAAAAUCAUUUUUCUAAAUAUUUUAAAAUUUCUAAGCAACCAAACAUAAUCUUCAAAAUAAAAGGAAAAUAAGGAGGGACAUUUGAGAAAUGGCGAUUAAAAAAAAGUGUACAAAAGCUCAAUUAAUUUUCUUCUAGUCUUUUAUAUAAAAAAGUAAAGGAAUUGAAAAGUAUUGAUAUGUAAAUUAAUAUUUGGAUUUUAAUAGUAUUUUAUUUGUCUUUCUCUAUCUCAUGUAAAAGAGAAUUUAAGAUAUUUCCUAAAGCAAAGCAUUAGUUAUCUGCAAUCAGUGGUGAUCAUGCCCCAUGUCAAUUUCGGACCCAUAUCUUAAAACUGUAUAAUUUGCAUUCAAACAUUACUGAUUUCUCAGAUGUUUCAUACUCCACAGAAGAGCAUUGUUUGUGAAAGCAUGCAUUUAUGUUGGAUUUUGGAUGAUGUGGGAACUGGGGCAAGGAUCAUAUGGAAGAGUGGUCGAUUUUGUUCUGUACUUUAACAUUUGAAAUAGGAGAAGCUCGGGCAUUUGUGGGGCUUAAUUGAUUUUGAAGCCUGAAAUUGCGUUUCUGUCAUUUUGUAAAAAAUAUGGCAGAUUCCAUGCUCUCAUAUGUUUGGUCUGUGGCCAUGUAUAGAUGCCCCUUAGUGACCAGUUUGUAACUGUCAAUCAUAGUGUUUUGACUCUGGCUCAACAACAUCAGCCAUUGACGGAUUUUCAUACUUGCAAAUCAAAUAGUCUUCUUCCUCCCUUAGGAAUUUCGGUUUAAAUGUUAUUAAGCAUACAUUUGGCUGACAAUUAUUAACCACUUCAUGAUAUGGUUUCUUACCCUUAAUCAAUGGUUUCUAAGUGAAUAUAUGCAGAAGGAAAUCUGAACUGUAGACAGCAGUAUUGAUAACUCUCAAUAUUCUUUAUAUAAGAGAAUAAACAACGUCAUAGUGAUCGUCGCCUACAAGAAAGGUACAUUUCCCAACAAGAUGUAGUUGUGACUGGUACAUGGACGCAAUUAACUCGUACAAAAGAAUAAGACCAGUGCACGGCAGCUCUUAUUUUACAUGCUAAUUAUGCUAACCAAAGUCACUCAGUUGGGAUGGGAGGGAGAUGGAGGUUUGUGCGGUGGCUUGUGGGGCGGAGUUGGUGGCUUCUUUUCAGGAGCUUGUGGCUUUUUCGGAGCUGAAGGAGGCUCAAUCUUAUGAGGCGGCUUGUACGAGUCUUCUUUACUCUCGACAGGAGGGUGGCCAGGGUUGUGACCAUAAUGUGGUGGCUUCUCUCCCUUAGGUGGCUUGCCAACUGGGGUUGGUGGCUUGUGUUCAGGAAGUGGUUUCUCUCCCUUGGGAGGUUUACCAAUUGGGGUUGGUGGCUUGUGUUCUGGGAGUGGUUUCUCUCCCUUGGGAGGUUUAGUGGGUGACUUGUGUUCUGGAGGUGGCUUCUCCACCGGAGGCUUGUGCUCCGGUGGUGGCUUCUCCACCGGAGGCUUGUGCUCCGGUGGUGGCUUCUUGAUUGGAGGGGGCUUGGGGUAAUCAGCAAGAGAUGGGAUGGUGAGAACCACCACUCCAAGGAACAACACUAGCAAGUAUGUGGGAGACAUUUCUGAGUUUGAGCUGAUCAGAUGAUGCAAAACUAGAAGAAUUACGGGACCUUUUAUAGCAAGUAUCUCCCAAUACCCACAUGACACGUGUUACUAUGACCAUAAAUAUUAUAGGGUCCAUUUGUGCCCUACCGGGUUGAAAACUUGGACGCUUGGCCGAGGACACACCUGACUAUGGAGGACUAUUGACGUGUGAUCACAGCUUUUGGAUUUUUCUUCCUGUGCAGCUGUCUAGCGGUUGGCAUUAUUUUCUUAAUCUUAAAUAAAGGCAUAGUUAUAGAGUUGUUUAAUCUCUAAAUGGGAUUUUAUAUAUCUUCAGAUAGCCAUUAAUAUAUUUGAUGAAGAAAGACAAGUGCAUACAACAUGUAUACGGCUUGCUUCAAUCGAGUACAUUUAUGAUCAGUUUUCCUGUGCAAGUAAACCAGUUUUUUGUUCCACAACUAUUUUGGAAUCUUGUUUAUCAGUUUCUAUCAUUAUAAUGUCACAUAGGCUGCAAACUUGGGCACCCAAAGAUCUAGGUGGGCAAAUUUGUUUCAGACUUUCAAUGGUGGAUUCAGUAAUUGUUAAAAGGUGUUUCUUCAUUAAGGAAAGAGUCCGGUAAAAAUAUUGUUAAAAGGUGUCAUAGAAACUAUAAUAAAUAAAUAACUUCUUUUCCCCAUGGGUGGUGUUUCUUCUGGGGAUCAGUGACUGGUUAGGGUCACCCAAAAUGAGUCCAGAUUAAAAUUGGUUCGAGUCAAAGCAGUCUCUUUUGUCCAGAAAUCAACUAUUUUGCGCAUUGAAUGAAUCGAUAAAGAAAAAAUGAAAGCCAAAUCACACCUCCCCUGCAAAACCUAAACCCCGGUUGCUAACUUUCUAUGUUUCAGUCCUAUUCAUAUAGGAAUAUUGGUUCAAGUUUGAGAAAAAUGGCAACUUACCUAGGGUUUACUUGGUUUUGGUUUGCGACUAUUUACGCAACCAACCAUGAGUUUGACUUUAACGUCAUGGGUUGAAGCCUCCUACAAUCAUGUAUGAUAGUUCAAAGCUCGUGGAAGAAAUUAUACAGGAAGGAAGAAACCUCCAAAGCUAGCUCCAAAAGAGAAUUAUCACAUCGAUAGCUCCAGAGAUUCCCAAGGGAACUGAAUCAAAGACAAGUUCCUCACUUUUUCUUCUUUUGAGGCCAAAUAUGAACCAAGGAUCACACGACCUCAUUCAACUUCAUAAGUUUGAUUUCAUGCAGUUGAACACUGGGUGAAGGCCAUGACAAGAAUUGAUUAAAAAAUUCUACCACUCUUUUAAGUAAUGGAAGAUUAUUAUCUCUGAUUGGCACCACAACAGCACAUGCUGCUAGAUCUUUCUAGACACUCCAUGCAAUGAAAGCACAAUGGAUCUUGUAAUGAUAGAAACUAAGCCAUGCUACAGUACUAGAUGAGGGGGUAAAACUAGUAGACAUCUUUCUAGACACUCCAUGCAAUGAAAGCACAAUGGAUCUUGUAAUGAUAGAAACUAAGCCAUGCUACAGUACUAGAUGAGGUGGUAAAACUAGUAGACAUGGCUGGCAGUUGAUUACUACUCAAAAAGUACUCUUUUAUAGCUUGAAACUAACUGUUUUAAACACUUUUGAGUAGUAGUUAAUACCUUUUAACUUAAUUGGCACAUUAAGGAACCUAGCAAGGGUUACUAAUCAACAUUUGGCAAGUUUUGAUGUUUUUGGUAGCUAUUUGAUCAUUGAAACAAGCCAAGAAUGAGGGGGAAUUUUGUGAAGUCCAUGGCAAUGCAAGUUAAAGCUCAAAUACAUGAAGAAUCCAAGCUUUGGAGCACUUCAUAGCCCUUUGCCAAGCCAAUCAAAGAUGCAAGGAAGAAAACCAAAGGAAGAAAUCCAACAAUCAGCAUUUUGGCAUGGCUAUGUGAAAUUUCGCACACCAUGCGAAACCACAAGAGGCAGCCAAAGAAUUUCGCAUGGUAUGCGAAAUCUUCUUGUGCACUGACUCUGUUAGAUUUUUAUCUUCAGAUAUUUUGUGUAAUUUCCUAGUUUCUCCUUGUAACCAACUUAGAUAUUUUCUUUUAUAUCUUUUUUUAUAUUUUUUAGGUAACAUCAUAUAUAAGAGGAGAGACAUAAGGAGGAUAUGGAUGUUUUUCAUAGAACACUUGUAAAUUUUUGGUAGUAAGAAAUAUACAAAGCUUUUUGCUCUGCCUUACCUUCUCAAGGGAUGAGUGGCUAGGUUUUCUUGGAGUGAGGGAAGCUAGGUGAAGGACCUGAAUGCAAAGGUGGGAGUUUUCCUUACUUUAAAUGAAAGUAGUUGUUAAACAUUAAUGGUUUUUAUUUUAAGGUUUAGCUUUAAAUCCCUGAAAAACACCUUGAAUGGCCAAUACUUGGUAAGCUUUUUAGAUUCUAUGGAUGCUUAUUGCUAGAUCCAUGGAUGUCUAUUAGUUAUCAUUUACGAGCCAUUGGAAGGUGAUUCAAGGUGAGGGUCUUUAGUGUUUGAAGCCAUUAAUGGGAAGCAAUUACCAUUUUUUCAUGAAUCCUUUGGAUCAAAUCUUAAUUGCUAAAUAUAAAACCGGUUUCGAGAGAUAACCACCAUCCUUUAUGUUAUUAUCCCCAACGCGAGGAGAAGAUCCGAAAUCUUCCUUUUUAUCUAAGGAACCCGAUCCUAGUGACCUAAAGCUCCAAGAUACCUUUUCUUUGUAGUUAACUUCAUUUAUUGUUUUUGCUUAACUUAAAAUCAAUCUUUGCAACCACAAUUCCAUUUUCUUUAAAAGCUAAUUUUUAUAAGGAAAAACACCAUUUUAUUUCCUUCACUAAGUCAACUGUACGAUGAAAACCCAUCCCUGUGGACGAUCCUAGAGCCACUAUACUAUGUUAGCUAUGCUACCCUAGUGUGAGGUGAUUUAGGUUUUAUAAAUUUUUUUGAUAACACCCAUCUGAGCCAGAAUCAAAUGGCACGACUGAACCAGGGACGAAUCAAAUGACGCCGCUACCAAGGAUGGUGCCAAAGUACAUUGACAUGACUUUUGGUGAACACUUGUGAUCUUCACCACAAGUUUGGUGAUUUUUCUUUUACUAAUUUUUUUUAUUUUAGCUUAUCUUUUAUUUAGUUUUUAGUUAACCUUAAAUUUUUCCUAGAAUUGUAUUUCUUUUGUUUUCUUUGUUUUUGUUUCAGUGAUCUUUAGUUGUGCAUGCCCUAUUGGAUAAGAGAUAUUGAGGGAAUACUUGUGAAGAUUGAAACUCCUCGAGAAACUGAGUUAGAAGUGUGCUUGAACAUCAUGGAUGUUCCACCUGAAGACCAGAAUAGCCAACAUGGUUAAGAGGAUAAUUUCAACACAUACCGAUCCAUGAGGAACCGCAUACAUCCACCUUGUAUGAGUGCACCGUCAGGCAUAAUGCCUCCCACUGAGCAGCUAGUAAUCUGACCUCACAUUGUGCCACUCCUACCUACUUUCCAUGGGAUGGAGAGUGAGAAUCCCUACUCGCAUAUUAAGGAAUUCGAGGAGGUUUGUAAUACAUUCCAAGAAGGAGGAGCUUCAAUUGACUUGAUGAGGCUCAAGCUAUUUCCUUUCACUUUGAAGGAUAAGGCCAAGAUUUGGCUUAAUUCUUUAAGGCCAAGAAGUAUCCAAACUUGGAUUGAUUUGUAAGCCGAGUUUCUUAAGAAGUUCUUCCCUACCCAUAGGACCAAUGGUUUGAAAAGGCAAAAUUUGAACUUCUCAGUUAAAGAGAAUGAGAAAUUCUAUGAGUGUUGGGAGAGCUACAUGGAAGCUAUUAACGUUUGUCCUCACCAUGGCUUUGACACAUGGCUCUUAGUGAGCUAUUUUUACAAUGGUAUGUCUUCUUCAAUGAAGCAACUCCUAGAAACUAUGUGUGGAGGAGACUUCAUGAGUAAGAAUCCGGAGGAAGCCAUGGACUUUUUGAGUUAUGUGGCUGAAGUUUCAAGAGGAUGGGAUGAACCAAAUGCUAGAGAGGUGGGAAGAAUGAAGUCUCAACCUAAUGCUAAGGGUGAGAUGUAUGUUUUGAAUGAAGACAUUGACAUGAAAGCAAAGGUUGCAGCUAUGGCAAGGAGAUUGGAAGAGCUAGAAAUGAAGAACAUACAAAAAGUGCAAGCCAUUUCUGAGACAUCAAUGAAAGCUAUGCCUUGUUCCAUUUGUCAAUCUUAUAAGCACCUAGUGGAGGAGUGUCCUACAAUUCCAGCAGUGAGAGAGAUGUUUGGUGAUCAAGCAAAUGUUAUUGAUCAAUUCAAGCCUAAUAACAAUGCUUCAUAUGGCAACACCUACAAUUCAAAUUGGAGGAACCAUUCAAAUUUCUCUUGGAAACGAAAGCCACCUCAAUACACACAACCUACUCAAGCACCUUAGCAAUCCUCGAAUCUUGAACAAGCUAUUGUGAACCUUAGCAAGGUUGUGGGAGACUUUGUGGGAGAUCAGAAGUCCAUCAAUGCUCAACUGAAUCGGAGAAUUGACAGUGUGGAGAGUACAUUGAACAAAAGGAUGGAUGAGAUGUAAAAUGAUCUGUCUCAAAAGAUAGACAAUGUCCAAUACGUAAUCUCAAGGCUUACCAACCUCAACACAGUGUAAGAGAAAGGAAAGUUUCCUUCUCAACCUCAUCAAAAUCCUAAGGGUAUCCAUGAAGUAGAGGCUCAAGAGGGAGAAUCUUCAAAGGUGAGGGAAGUCAAAGUAGUUAUCACCUUGAAGAGUGGUAAAGAGGUUGAUCAACCCACAUCCAAGCCAAAGCAUAAUGAAGAGAGUGUAGCAGAAAAAGAAAAGAGAGGAAAAUAAAGGAAUUAGAAUAGAGAAAAAUACAAAGAAAGAUGACCAUGAGUCUAGUGUGGAUGAAGAGCCCGAGAGGAUGGUGAUCAAGGAAGAUAUGAUGAAGAAACACAUGCCUCCACCUUUCCCCUAAGCUUUGCAUGACAAAAAAAGAACCAAUAAUACAUCAGAAAAUUUUGAAGUAUUGAGGCAAGUGAAGGUCAAUAUCCCUUUGCUAGACAUGAUCAAACAAGUGUCGACAUAUGAAAAAUUCUUGAAGGACUUGUGCACUGUAAAGAGAGGGUUGAAUGUGAACAAGAAAGCUUUAUUGACCGAGCAAGUGAGUUCCAUCAUACAGUGCAAGUCCUAGUGAAGUACAAAGAUCCGGGUUGCCGUACCAUCUCAGUGAGUAUUGGAAGGACUUGUGUGGAGAAAGCUUUGUUGGACUUGGGAGCAAGUGUGAAUUUGCUAUCCUACUCUGUCUAUAAGCAGUUGGGAUUUGGAGAGUUGAAGCCAAUAUCCAUCACUCUAUCUCUAGCGGAUAGAUCAAUGAAGAUUCCAAGAGGGAUGAUCGAAGAUGUCCUGGUUCAAGUUAACAAAUUCUACUAUCCAGUAGAUUUUGUUGUUCUUGAUAUGGAUCCGGUUGUCAAAUGAACUAAUUAUGUUCCUAUCAUACUUGGAAGACCCUUCCUAGCUACAUCAAAUGCAAUCAUCAAUUGUAGGAAUGGAGUCAUGCAACUCACAUUUGUCAACAUGACAUUAGAGCUCAACAUCUUCCAUUUGUACAAGAAGCAUAUCCAUCAGGAGGAAAAAGAAGGUCUAGAGGAAGUGUGAAUGAUUGACACUUUAGUGGAAGAGCAUUGUGAUCGAGAAUGCAAAAAGAUUUAGUUGAGAAUUUUGGGGAUCUUGAUGAAAGGUUACUUGAACCCUCAGAUUUGCUUGCUACCCUACUCCAUUGGAAGAGAAGAGAAGAAAUUCUACCCUUAUUCAAUGAGGAGGAGACGCAAAGAGCUGCAAAGGAGAAACCCCCAAAACUUAUUCUUAAGCCACUACCCACAGAGUUGAAGUAUGUAUACUUGGAAGAAGACAAGAAGUGCCCUAUUGUUAUAUCUUCAACUCUUACCAUUCAUCAGGAGGAUUGUCUACUUGAAGUCCUUAGAAGAUGUAAGAAGACAAUAAGGUGGCUAAUUUCUUAUUUGAAAGGGAUCAGCCCUUUAGUCUGCACCCAUCAUAUUUACAUGGAGGAUGAAGCUAAGCUAAUUCAUCAACCUCAGAGAAGGUUGAACCCUCACAUGCAAGAGGUGGUUCGAGCUGAAGUUCUGAAGCUACUUCAGACCAGUAUUAUUUACCCCAUAUCAAAUAGCCCAUGGGUGAGUCCUACUCAAGUUGCGCCAAAGAAGUCUGGGAUCAUGGUGGUGCAAAAUGAUAAGGGAGAAGAUGUCUCUACACGCCUCACUACAGGUUGGAGGGUGUGUAUCAAUUACAGGAGGUUGAAUGCAGUGAUAAGAAAGGACCAUUUCUCAUUGCCCUUUAUUGAUCAGGUGCUUGAGAGGGUCUCUGGGCUUUUUUUUUUAUUGUUUCUUGGAUGGCUACUCCGGGUACUUUCAGAUAGAAAUUGAUGUUGAAAACCAAGAUAAGACCAUUUUCACAUGCCCAUUUGGAACCUAUGCAUAAAGGAGAAUGCCUUUCGGCUUAUGCAAUGCACCCGCAACUUUCCAAAGAUGCAUGUUAAGCAUUUUCAGUGAUAUGGUGGAGCGUAUUAUGGAAGUCUUUAUGGAUGAUAUCACCAUUUAUGGAAGUGCAUUUGAUGAAUGCUUGGUCAACUUAGAAGCUGUUCUGAACCGAUACAUUGAGAAAGACUUAGUGCUUAACUGGGAGAAGUGCCAUUUCAUGGUACACCAAGGGAUUGUCCUUGGGCACAUUAUCUCCAAGCAAGGCAUUGAAGUUGACAAAGCAAAGGUUGAACUCAUUGUUAAGUUGCCAUCCUCAACAAAUGUCAAAGGAGUAAGGCAAUUCUUUGGCCAUGUCGGGUUCUAUAGGAGGUUUAUCAAGGAUUUCUCUAAGCUUGCAAGGCCUCUUUGUGAAAUAUUGGUGAAUGAUGUUAAAUUCAUAUGGGAUGAUGGAUUUGAAAGGAGUUUUGAAGAAUUGAAGCUAUUUUUGACAACCGUACCAAUAGUGAGGGCUCCCAACUGGCAACUGCCCUUUGAAGUAAUGUGUGAUGUCAAUGAUUUUGCUAUAGGAUUUUUUCUUGGGCAAAGAGAAAAUGGAAAACCUUAUGUGAUCUACUAUGCGAGGAAGGCAUUGAAUGAGGCACAAAGAAACUACACAACCACCGAGAAAGAAUUGUUAGCUGUAGUUUUUGCCUUGGAUAAGUUUCGCGCUUACUUGGUGGGGUCCUUCAUCAUGGUUUUUACUGAUCACUUUGCUUUGAAGUAUCUGUUGACUAAGCAAGAUGCUAAAGCAAGGCUGAUUAGAUGGAUUCUCUUACUUCAAGAGUUCAAUCUCCAUAUCAAAGAUAAGAAAGGAGUGGAGAAUGUGGUAGCAGACCACAUUUCAAGGCUAGCUAUCGCACAUAAUUCCCAUGCUUUGCCCAUUAAUGACGAUUUUCUAGAGGGGUCUCUCAUGUUGGUGGAAGUUGUCCCUUGGUACGCUCACAUUGCUAACUACCUGGUCACGGGAAAAGUUCCAAGUGAGUGGAAAGCACAAGAUAAGAAGCACUUCUUUGCAAAAAUUCAUGCCUACUAUUGGGAAGAGCCAUUUCUAUUCAAGUAUUGUAUGGAUCAGAUAAUAAGGAAGUGCGUUCCUGAAGAAGAGCAACAGGGGAUCCUUAGUCAUUACCAUGAAAAUGCAUGUGGAGGCCACUUUGCUUAUCAAAAGACAGCCAUGAGGGUGUUGCAAUCGGGUUUCUGUUGGCCAUCACUUUUCAAAGAUGCCCACACCAUGUGCAAGAGUUGUGAUCGAUGCCAGAGGCUUGGGAAGUUGACACGCAGGAACAUGAUGCCUUUGAACCCCACUUUAAUAGUUGAUAUUUUUUAUGUUUGGGGCACUAACUUCAUGGGACCUUUCCCUAUGUCUUUUGGCUACUCUUACAUCUUGGUAGGAGUAGAUUAUGUUUCUAAGUGGGUUGAGGCAGUCCCAUGCAAACACAAUGACCAUAGAGUGGUUCUCAAGUUUCUUAAAGAGAAUAUCUUCUCAAGAUUUGGGGUGCCCAAAGCCAUAAUUAGUGAUGGGGGUACUCAUUUUUGCAACAAGCCUUUUGAAACUCUCCUAGCCAAGUAUGGGGUGAAGCAUAAGGUAGCUACACCUUACCACCCUCAAACUCAUGGACAAGUUGAGUUAGCAAACAGGGAGAUUAAAAACAUAUUGAUGAAGGUGGUGAACACAAACAGAAAAGAUUGGUCAGUCAAGCUUCUUAAUUCACUAUGGGCAUAUAGAACAACUUACAAGACCAUUCUCGGGAUGUCUCCUUAUCGCCUAGUUUAUGGCAAAGCAUGCCAUCUCCCUGUGGAAUUGGAAUACAAAGCUUGGUGGGCAAUCAAGAAGCUCAACAUGGAUUUGAGCAGAGCUGGGUUGAAGAGGUUCUUAGACCUUAAUGAGAUGGAGAAAUUGAGAAAUGAUGCCUACAUCAAUUCAAAAAUUGCAAAAGAAAAAUUGAAGAGGUGGCAUGAUCAGUUGAUUUCCCGCAAGGAUUUUCAAAAUGGACAAAGAGUCUUACUUUAUGACUCUAAACUCCACAUCUUUCCGGGCAAGCUGAAAUCAAGGUGGAUAGGUCAUUUUACCAUUCACCAAGUGCAUUCAAAUGGAGUAGUGGAACUACUCAACUCCAACAAUAUCGAGAACUUCAAAGUGAAUGGCCACCGUCUCAAGCCCUUUGUGGAGUCUUUUUCUCACAACAAGGAGAAAUUCAUCCUCCUUGAUCCACAUCAAGCUUAACAAGACCAAUUUUCUUGAUGGACUUAGUCUUUCUAAAGACUAUCGAGUCCAUAACUUUUUGUUUUAUUUUUUAUUUGAGAUUUUUUCGGUAUUGUUACUUGUUUUGUUUUUUAUUUUUCGUUUUAAUUUUAUUUGGUUUGAUUUAACUUAGGUUUUUGAUGAUCAAUUACAGGGGGGAUUUCAAAUAGAGGAAAAACCAAGAUAAUUCGCACACCCUACGAAAAUUUCGCAAGGCAUGCGAAAUUUAUGGCUUAUUUUGCAUGGGGUGAAAAUUUUCGUACAUCUUACGAACCAAUUUCGAACACUUUGCGAAAAUAAACCAACCCUGCGAAAUCAUUUCGAUUACUCUACGAAAUUUUCGUAGAGCAUGCGAAAAAUUUAGCACACCAAACACCAUUUCGCAUACUAUGCAAAAACCUAAGGGGUCUGCGAAACCAUUUCGCACCUCCAAAUCCAUUUCGCACAUUGUGCGAAAACCAAGAGGCGCUGUGCGAAAAUGAAAAGUCGCCCUGUCAUCCCUUUUUAAACCCCUCGAGCCCUAAAAUCUCCAUUUCGCAAGCACCCCUGUCCUUGCGAAUCCCUCAUUUUCCUCUACUACCUUGCAACCUCGUCCCUUUCCAUUUGAUAUUGUGCCCCGCGCACAUCUCAUUUCAGAGACUCGCACUCCGCGCCCCCUCAAAGCAUGGACUCGAGACCCACCUUCCAUUUCCGACGUGGCACGGACCCAAGGAGCCCUUUCUGCCCCUUCACUAAGACACACACCAAGGCAGAAAGCCUCCUUUGCUCAAGUGCCUAGUGAUUCUCCAUCUUAGGCCUCAGAGGCCUCGGAGGCCCCGUGGAUUCCACCUUCCGAGGGUAGAGCAGCCAUUGGUCCUUCCUCUUCUACUCCUUAGCGUAGAUACGAGACGAGGAGACCACCUACUACACAAGGGGCGACUACUUCGAGCCUUGAGAAUUCAGUACGAUGCCUUCCUGCCAAGAGGGUCAAGACUUCAGGUCCAAGUGAGUCAUCCAGAGCUUCAUAGCCUAAGCCUCCUGUAGAUUCCAAGGUUCCUACUGACAUAUCACCGGAGUCUAUUAUCAGAAGCCCGAUGCUCAUAGCACCGCCCAUUGAGGGCAACUCAGAUUAUAGAGCGAGAUCUUUCCACUUGGAGCUAUAUUUUGAUCAGGAGGCCAUACGACAGCAGCCUGAGCUCCGAGACUCUUAUGGCUUACUGCAGAGGUACCAUCUUGAGGAACUUAUGACUCCUCGUGAGUUUUUUUAUCCCAGAGUAGCACUAAACUUUUACCAGUCCAUGACUACUCGUGGCGUCCCGAGUCCUACCACGAUUCACUUCACCAUUGAUAGACGUCAUGGUAUCCUCAAGGCCAGACAUAUUACAGAGGCUCUACAAAUUCCUUUCGAGCUAGAGGAUCCAUCUGUUUUUCGCUAAUGGUCCCCAGUAUCUCAGAGGGACAUGGUCCGUAUUUUAUCUAGGGGAACAUCUACAGAUUCGAUCUUUCUACGGAAGGAGCUUCGACCUGGGAUGCUCCUCUUAGAUGUGGUGCUAUGCUCCAACCUCUUUCCCUUACAACAUUCGGUACAUAGGUGAUGAGCUAUUUUGGACGCUUUAUUCCGUAUAUCAGAGGGCUUCUACUUUGGCCCGCACCACUUGAUCAUGGUCUCCCUCAUCCACUUUGAGGAGAAGGUUCAUAGGAAGAAGCUUCAGAGGGUGGACACCAUUCCAUUACUAUUCCUGAGGUUACUUUGCCAGGUCUUGGAGUACAUGGGCUUUCCUACUGAGCCUCGGCUCGAGCUUUGCCGCCUUUGUCGAGAGUGAUCCACUCUCGACAAAUGGAAUUAGUUGGCGGGCUAUUCUGCACCUCCAGGAGCCCCUCCCAUGGUAGCACCUCCAAUGUCCCCACAGGCAAAGUAGGGCGAGCUCCCGGCAAAGACUGUACCACCAAUGCCCACACUUGAGGCUAUUUCUGCUGCUCUGCCUAUGACUCCUACUGUUCCACCAGUUGGUCCUUUUACAUCCGAGCCUUCCAUCACCAUCUCGGCUUCGGAGUUUCGCGCCCUUGUGCAUACCUUUCAGACACUCACCACCACACAUACUCCUCUCUUCUAGCAAAUGGUUGAGAUGUGUGCCCAUCAGGACCGGAAGACUACUAUACUCUGCCAAAUUCAGCAGCACCUAAGACUUUUGCCUCAACCUCAACCUAACCAUCCCAUAUCAUCAGAGCCUCUAGCUCCAACUGAGGAUACUAUUCCACCUGAGAACACUACCACAGUAGAGGUCCGGUUUCCACCACCUUAAGAGGCCACCACAGCUACAUCAGAGGAUGUGUCAUCUCCACUUGAGGCUCCCACUACUUGAUCAUAGGACAUAUCUUUAUCUUAUUGUAUUUACAUAUUAUAUUACUAGAGAUUUGUCCUUGUUUUGAUACUUUAUAUUCUGGGAUUGGAUGUAUUGCCUGAUGAUAUCUCAAUUGUACUUUCUCAUAUUAAUAUAUAGACAUCAAUUUUUUUUAGUAUACUUAGCAUUUUUCUAUUUCCUCUACUCAUUACUCUUUUGUUUUUUUUUACUCAUGUGGUUUCUCUUAUACAACUCAGACUCCAUUUCACUCAGGAGGUACCACUUCCUCCCUUUAUUUUCAAUUGCUCUUGAAAUAUUGAGUGCAAUGUUGAUCUUGGUUGGGGGGAGAGUUGAGGAAGGAAGUUUUGUUAAUAAUGCUAGGUUAAUUUGUUAAUUUAGUUACUUUCUGCUUAAUUUUAAAAGUUUUCACUCUACUUUCCAUGGUUAUUAAGGAAAAAUUCUCAAAAUGAAAUGGGAGAAAUCGAAUUCUUGCAUUUUUACUUGAAUCUUAGAAUUUGUAUCAUGCUUAUUAAAGUUGAUGAAUUAUUGAAACUCCUAUUGAAUUCAACCUUAUUUUUUCCACUUUAAUCUUACCACACACGGUGCACAUUAGGUUCCAGUUAUAAGAUAAAAAACUAUCUCACCCCCUAAACUUAGAAAAAUUUACACUUGGUACCUUUGACAUCGUUUUAAUAGUGUUGGGACACCUUAUAAAAGGCCAAUGAGCCUUUAAAAAAAAAAAAAAAAAAAAAAAGAGAAAGAACAAAGUAUUGCACUUGCCUUGAAACCUGAGCAAGAUCCGAGGGGUAUACAGUGAAAGUCUUUAAAACCUGGUGCCCUAAGCCUUGAUUGGUUGGGAGUCACCGACCUCAAUGCUCGUUAUAAGGGUGAAUAGGUGGAGUUUAACAUAUUGUAGGUGCUUGGGUAUUGAAUUUCAAUCUCAAAAGUCCGGGAAAAAAUCUAAGGAGUUAGUGGUCAAAAGAUCCUUAAAGCUUGAUGCCCUAAACCUUGAUUGGUUGAGAGUCAUUGAUGGAUCCCCGCUACAUGGACAUUUUAGAAAACAAUACCUUUAGCAUUGCACGCCUACAAUGAAAAAAAAAUGUGAAAUAAAAGAGGUGCGUUCUUAGCCUAUUGGAGGUUGGUCAGUUUGCUAAAGUUUGAGAAAUCUAGGUUGGGGGGAGAGAAUAGUCCGACAUACUAUAAUAAAAAACUAAUAACCUUAACACUUAGAUUUUUGUGGAAGAGUAAGGAUUGGACCUUUAGGGGUGGAAAUUCUUUUGAUGCUUAAAUUUGCAUAAUGCCUACUCUUUAUAAAUUAUGAUUAGGCAAGAGAUUUGAUGACUCUUGUUCAAAGUUGGGUUUUUCCUCUUUGAUGUUCCAUGAGAGAGUAUAAUCCUCAUCAUGCCACUUGAAAUCUUUUUGGAGUGAUUAACAUGAUUUUGUAAAUUAUUUUACUGUCUAUUUUUCUUUAUCUCUCUUUUAUUGCUAAUGGACUAGCAAUAUGUCAGUUGGGGGGAGUGAUUACUACUCAAAAAGUACUCUUUUAUAGCUUGAAACUAACUGUUUUAAACACUUUUGAGUAGGUGUUAAUACAUUUUAACUCAAUUGGCACAUUAAGGAACCUAACAAGGGUUACUAAUAAGUUUUUGGCAAGUUUUGGUGUUUUUGGUAGCUAUUUGAUCAUUGAAACAAGCCAAGAAUGAGGGAGAAUUUUGUGAAGUCCAUAGCAAUGCAAGUUAAAGCUCAAAUACAUGAAGAAUCCAAGCUUUGAAGCACUUCAUAGCCCUUUGCGAAGCCAAUCAGAGAUGCAAGGAAGAAAACCAGAGGAAAAAAUCCAACAACCAGCAUUUUCGCAUGGCUGUGCGAAAUUUUGCACACCAUGCGAAACCACAAGAAGUAGCCAAAGAAUUUUGCACACCAUGCGAAAUUUCGCAUGGUAUACGAAAUCUUCCUAUGCACCAACUCCGUUAUAUUUUUAUCUUCAGAUAUUUUGUGUAAUUUCCUAGUUUCUCCUUGUAACCAACCUAGAUAUUUUCUUUUAUAUCUUUUUUUUAUAUUUUUUAGGUAACAUCAUAUAUAGGGGGAGAGACAUAAGGAGGAUAUGGAUGUUUUUCAUAAAACACUUUUAAUUUUCUGGUAGUAAGAAAUAUACAAAGUUUUUUGCUCUGCCUUACCUUCUCAUUUUGUUUUCACCUAUCUUUCUAGCCAAACAACCUCUGAGAAUGAUUUCUCAGGGGAUGAGUAGUUAGGUUUUACGUUUCUUGGAGUGAGAGAAGCUAGGUGAAAGACCCAAAUGCUAAGGUGGGAGUUGUCCUUGCUUUAAAUGAAAGUAGUUGUUAAAUAUUAAUGGUUUUUAUUUUAAGGUUUAGCUUUAAAUCCCUUAAAAACACCUUGAAUGGCCAAUACUUGGUAAGCUUUUCGGAUUCUAUGGAUGCUUAUUGCUAGAUCCAUGGAUGUCAUUAGUUAUCAUUUAUGAGCCAUUGGAAGGUGGUUCAAGAUGAGAGUCUUUAGUGUUUGAAGCCAUUAAUGGGAAACAAUUACCAUUUUUUCAUGAAUCCUUUGGAUAAAAUCUUAAUUGCUAAAUAUAAAACUGGUUCGGGAGAUAACCAUCCUUUAUGUUAUUAUGCCCAAUGCAAGGAGAAGAUUUCGAAUCUUCUCAUUUGUCUAAGGAACCCGAUCCUAGUGACCUAAAGCUCCUAGAGACCUUUUCUUUGUAGUUAACUUCAUUUAUUGUUUUUGCUUAACUUAAAAUCAAUCUUUGCAACCACAAUUCCAUUUUCUUUAAAAGCUAAUUUUUAUAAGGAAAAGCACCAUUUUAUUUCCUUCACUAAGUCAACUGUAUGAUGAAAACCCAUCCCUGUGGACGAUCUUAGAGCCACUAUACUAUGUUAUCUAUGCUAUCCUAGUGUGAGGUGAUUUAGGUUUUAUAAAUUUUGUUGAUAACACCCGUCUGAGCCAGAAUCAAAUGGAACCACUGAACCAGGGACAAAUCAACAGCCUAUAUGGGAGGGACACAAGUUUAAUUGAUUUGCAUUUCAGCGUUAUAGAUAAGUAUGUUUUGGAAGAUUUGUUCUGGAAAUACUGCACCAAGUACGAUUCUUUUUCUCUUGAGUGAGUCCAUUUGCAUGCCAAUUAACGAGUUGAAAAGUAGGAGCACCUACCUCGUGCUCAUGGAACCGAAUGUCAGUGAAGUGGGGCUCCUUUUAGCCUCUUGUGUUUCUGUUCCAACCAAGGCGGCGUAGGGAAAAACAACAAUAUGUCUGUGCUAAAUAUCAACGCAUGAUAGAUGUUUUUUUUUUUUUUUUUGGUAUGUCAAGGCUAACGAAUGAAAUGCAUUAGCUUGUUUUGUGACUAUAACUGCAAAUGUCCAAAUUGGAGUAUCUCCAUUUCUCACUUCGGAUGGUUAACUUUAUAAACAAGAUAUAGGAAACAUGUGAACAUCUUGAGGAACAAUUCAAAUUAUUCAUUAGAAGUCCUGGGUUAAGUUCCAAGAUUUAAAUCAGACCCUUCUAGCAGCUUCAAGGGUACUUAGCAACCUAUAACAUAUUAAUGAAGAUUUAGGAUUUAGACUCCGGAAUACAAAUAAAUAUGUAUCUCAUGCUUUGACUAGCUUCCCUACAUAUGCAUAAAAUGGAGAUGACCCAAAAAAAAUAGCAGAAUCUAGCUUCCCUACAUAUGCACAAAAUGGAGAUGACCCAAAAAAUAGCAUAAUCGCCUUAGUUUCUGUGGUUAAGGUGAUUCUCCGCUUAAUAUCCACAUUGACUCAUUAUGCAAAAUCAACUGAGCUAAUUUUAUUUAUUUAUUUAAUGUCAAAUAGGAACUCCUAAUUAACUGAUUACUGUCGAAAAGUGCUAUUUUGUAGACCUAAUUAUAAGGGUUUUAAGCACCUUUGAGUAGUAAUCAUAUUCAUUUAACCUAAUUAAUUCAUUAAGCUCCUUAGUAAUUAGUUCUAACCAUUUUUAGUGGCAAGUUUACAUGUUUUUCAUCAGCUUAUGAACCAAUUCAAGCAUGCCAAUUGAUGGAGGAGCUACUUGGGCGAGUUAAGCAAGGAUUUUGGACGUUUACAGGCUUGAAUUUCAAGUGGAAACACGAGCACAAGCAAUGGGAACACCAUUUCGCAAGGGGAGGCAAUUCACCUUGCCAAAUGACCAAUUUCGCAAGGGGAUUUUCCUCAUGGUGCAAAAUUUGGUCAUUUCGCACCAUGAAGAAACCACCUUGCAAAAUUUCGCAAGGUGGAUUUAGGCACCUUGCGAAAUGCCAAAUUUCACAAGGUGGCUUUUCACCUUGCGAAAUUUGGACCUUUCAUCUUCCCCCCUUGCGAAAUGCCUUUGAAAUCCCCUGUUUUGAGACGCUGUUGAUGAUAUUCCACUGCCGGUUCUCCAAGAUAUUUUGCUUGACUUUUAGCUUUAUAAAUACCUAUUUUACCCUUGUAAUCAACCAAUGAAAAGGUUGCUUUUGUAAUAGCUCUUGUAAUUUAGCUUUUUAUUGUCUUUAAAUAGAGGUGAAGAGCCUCAGACACGAUCAUCUUGUAACCUGUAACUUUAUAAGUUAUAAGAGCACUUUUGUUCAUACGCUUCUUUUCUCUUUUCUUUCUCAUUUUCUUAGUAGCCAAACAUCCUUGGAGGAUGAAAUCCCCAAGGAUGAGAGGCUAAAACCUUUUAGUUUCUUGAAGUAAUGGAUGCCAUGUGAAGCUCCCGUGUCAGGAUGGAGAUUUCCAAGCCAUAAAUGUAAGUAGCUGAGCGUCAUAAAUGUUUUCAUUCAAAGUAAAGCUUUUAAUCCCUCUGACUUGCUUUGAAUGGCCAAUACUUGAUAACCUUUUGGUCUCAAUGGAUUCUUAUUGUUAGAUCCACUGACGUUCAUUAGUUAUCUCCUACGAGCCAUUGUAUUGCAAGUCGAGGAGAUGACCUAUACCAAUAAAAGAGCAUUUAUGAGGUUCAACUACCCUUUUUGUAAGUUUUCAAGGACUAAAACUCAGUUGUUAAACUCAUACCGGUUCGAGAAGUAAGCAUCACCUUAGUUGCUUCCCCAACUCGAGGUGAAAAGUCCCAAAAUCUCCAUUUUUACACAGUGAGUUAAGCAUGGCUAUCCAAAGCUUUAAGAAACUUCUUUUUCCAUCUUUUAACCUAUUUUCAUGUUAGUUUAGUUUACAACACCUUCAUCUUUUUAUGUUUUCAUCUUAACCUAAUUUUUAUUAAGAAAAGUUCACUCCAUCCUCCGAACUUCACCAGUUAAAGUAAAAACCCUUCCCAGUGUUCGAUCCUAGAGCCACUAUGCUAUAGUAGCUUUGCUACUUUAGUGUAAGGACCUUAGGUAUAAAUUUUGUUGAUACCCUUACAUGCCAAGCUACCAAGAGUCGGGUUAUCAUUAACCUAACCAUUGGCCUGUGUAAAUUGAUUUCACAUGCACAAUGUUGUAGUAGAAGUCCAUAUUUUGAAUUUUAUUUUUGUAAAGGUAAGGAAAAUGAAGCAUUGUGUAAUUAUAAAAAUAACUUCAUUGGAAUUCACAAGGUUCACCCAAAAUGGAGCUACAUCUGUAUUCUAUCCUACAGUAGACUAUAUAGAUUGUACAAUAGUAAAUUGCAAAUACAAUUAAUAAGUCUUGUGCUUCCUUACUAAUAAUCCUUUGACAUGAACAUUGCAGCACUAAGGUCCUCUUGGGAAGACACCUUGCACCCAUGAGAGCACUAAGAGGAAGCAAGGCAGAGUCAUGGGUGCAAUGUCAUGACUUGUUGUUGCACCAAGAGAGGCUUGGUGAUGCCAUGGUGUUGCAGUAGCAAGAAUGUUGCCUUGGCAGGGACACGAUCUAGGGAUAGAUGCCAAGAAAGGCUUAGCACUCACAUGAGUUGCACAAAGAUGAAUGUAAUAGAGCAUCAGAGAGACGUCUUGGCAAGUAAAUGAAUGGAUCCAAGAGACAACAACAUGAGGAGUUUCAAAUGGAUAAGGAAUGACUCAAAGACAUUUGAAAGCUACAAGUUGGAUUCUAAUUACGAUUGCAAUUUGAGUUUGAGUAGGAGUUUAGAUUUUGAUUGUAAUUGUAGUAUGAGUUGGACUAGGAUUGCUUAUCCUUAGUCAAUAUAGGAGCGGUUCGUGUCACCCUAUGAAAAGAGUUUGAGUAGGGACUAGGAUUGCUUACUCCUAGUCAAAUAUGGAGUAGGUGGUGCCACACCUAUAAAAAAAAGGGACAACAUGAGAGAGAGAGAGAGAGAGAAAGAGAGAGUGAAUUCACUAAAGAUAUUGUGGGAGUUUUGCUUUGUUACGUCUUGUAUUAUUACUUAGAAUAGGAAUAAAAUACAAGUUGGGGCUAGAGCCCCAUAAUUAAUCUCGUGUGCCUUUGUGGUUAUUCUUUAUUUGUCAUCUCGUGUGGAUUGGAUUAGGUUGACUUAGAGGGCUUCUAAGCACCACCUUUGUGGGUUAUUAUUUAUUUUCCAUCUCUUGUGGAUUAGAUUAGGUUGACUUAGAGGGCUUCUGAGCACCACCUUUGUGGGUUAUUAUUUAUUUUCCAUCUAUUGUGGAUUAGAUUAGGUUGACUUAGAGGGCUUUUAAGCACCACAUUUGUGGGUUAUUCUUUAUUUUCCAUAUCGUGUGGGUUGGAUUAGGUUGACAAGGAGAAAAAUUAUGUGGGAAAUUUGUGUUGGGACACUUACCAUAACCAAGUAAAAUCUACCAAGUCCUUUGUAAUAUCUUCAACAAAUAUUUUAGACUAGUUCUUUCAGUUAGUGUAAAGGAGGAAGAAGUGGUAUUGAUUCUAGAAAUAGGGUGUGUGUAUUUGAACUACAAUCCUUAUGAUCCUUAGGUCUCUAAACCUUCGUGAUGGGCUCCCUGACAUUUCAUAGGUUGUGCUACACAUGCGUUUGAAAUUUAGAGUGCGUUUGACAGUGAUUCCGGGAAGUGUUUUUGGCCUUUCUUACACUUGAAAAUUUUUAUUUUUCAAGUAUUAGAAAUGCUACAAACACUUUUGAAAAUUACUGUCAAACACACUCUUAGGAGCGCACAUAUAUAGUAGAAAACUAGAAAUUGUGGUUUUUUUAGGAUUUACUGUAAUGUCAUUAGGAGGGUAGUAAGUUGAAAUUGAGUAUGAACAAAUAUUUCUUUCUUUGGGAUGUUCUUCUAGUAGGUGCUGAUGAAACUGUUCUUUCUACUGCCAAUGUCACAUAUCAGCCAGAAAUUGAAAAUUUCAGUCAAGGUGUCCUCUGUUUUAGUGGUGAGGAAAGCUAGAAAUUUUAAGGUGAAGUUUUGUUAAAAACCUUAAGUAGCUGGGAUAUCAGGCCUGUUUUGCUUGAAAAAAAAAGUUGCAAGAUAACUCAUAUGCCAAACAGGUUCUGAUAUUGUGAAUCUAUCGGCAGACAUCAGUAAUCUCAUCUUCUGAGAUGGAUGUUGGGGGUGCAUGUGGUGGUGGAGGGGCAAGGUUUCAUUUGGUUUAUUUUGUUGAUGGAUAUUGUCUAGCCACCUGCGCCAAGUUUGAGGGGUGGUGGGUUGUGAUGACCCUACAAUUACUAUUAAUUUCUUCAUCUUUUACCGAUUAAAGUGUCCGAACAGUCGAAGUUACCCUUAUGCAUGUCAACUUGAUCACUUACCUCUUCAAUGGAGUUUAUGCUGGUUCAUUUAGGAACUGAUUUUUAUUGUUAUGUAUUAUAUGCUGAUGUUUAGGUCUCUCCAUCAUCACUAUAUACAAAAAUUCUAGGUUGAUACUAUAGGUUGAGAUUUAUUUUUUAAAUAAAAAAUAAUAAAAAUAAAAAUUAUGGUGAUGUUUAGUUGUUUUAUGGAAAAUUUUAACAAGUAAAAGUUAUUUUUGGGCAAGUUUUCAAACAAAAAGAAAAGUAAAAGUUGUUUUGACAAAAACAUAUAGAAAAAAAAAUCAUAGAAAAUAAAUAAUUUCCCCAUAUUCUAACUUUUUUGAAUUUUUCUCAAUGGGCAAAGGAAUAUCAAAUCAAGUUUGAGUAGGAUUUCUUAAUUUUUAAAAUAACUUACAAUUAAAAAAUUUUGGUGUUUUCAUUUUUGGACAAUUUUUUAUUAAGCAAAUGGACUCUGAGUCAUGCAAGAGAUAUGGUUCAUUAACCGGUCGAACAAUUUUUUUAAAUUAAUUUAAAAGUCAAAUACAUAAUCAAUUUCACAAAAUUUAUAAACAAAAAUAGGUUUAGAGAAGAUCUACACAUAAUUUUACUUUUCUAAUUUUAUUUUAUUUUAUUUUUUGUUGGAAAAUAGUCUUCAAAUCAUGUAAGAUUUAAUAGGUUAAAUUUGUUAACAAUAAAUUUUAAAUUAUAAAAUAUAAUCUGGAACUCAAAAAUCAAUUCAAGUAAUGCUAAAAAAAAAUCAAAUUUGGUAUAGAAUGACUUUGUAAAUUUUUUUACAAAACAAAUGAAUUUUAAAUCAAGUGAGAUUUAAUGCAUUAGAUUUUUAUCAAAUAUAGUAAUUUUAAAAAUAAAUUUGGAACUCAACAAUAGACACAAUAAAUACCAAAAAAUAAUGAACCAAAAUUGGUUUGGAAUAACUCCACAACCUUUUUUUUUUUUUUUUGGUGCACACGAAUUUUCUUACUAGGUAUAUUGCUUUCAAAUUGAGAAAGAUUUACCAUUUAGAUUUUUUUUUAAUGAGUUUAAUGGUAUUUUAAAAUAAUUCAAAAUUUAAAAAAUUGACUAAUUAAUAUUAUAAAUUGAUAAACCAAGACUAUUUCAAAAUGCAUUGGGGGCUAAGGGGGUUGAAAAUAGGGACAAUGGGAUGGGUUUGGGACAUGACACUCAUAUCUCAUUUCCAUUCCAAUUACACAGUUAUCUCCCAUCCUUAUCCCAAACUUGUGUUGGAGCAAGUUGAUUUGUUCCCAUCUUUGUUGACGAAAUGACUAAUAACCUCAUCCCCUCCUUAUCUUAGAUGUACAUUUUGUCAAAUUUGAUCAGGUAUGAUUGAUCCAAGCCCUAACCCUAAUUGGUAAUGAGUGAAUACUACACCUAAUUGCAUUCUUCUUUCAUUGCAAAAUAAUGAGAUUAUAAUAAUCUAGCAAAUAAGAAAAAAUAGUAUGGAAGUUCAAAUUAACACCAUAACUAUCAAUAAUUUUAAGCUUAUAGAUGACUUAAAUGAUUAAAAACUAAUGCAAAAUCCUAAAAAAAAUAAAAAUCAUAUAAAGAAUUCACAAGAGAACAGAAUGAACAAAAACCAAAUAUGAACAUGGGUCAACAUUAGUUAUGGAUUUGGAUUCCUUUCAAGGCCAAUCUUUGAACCAAGACUUCAUCAAAUCAACUACUUCAAAGGCUUUUGUGUUCUUCUUGGGUUGUGCUCUCAAACAAAGACUUCGAGGUGAUGUUCUAGAUGAUUGAAUUACACAUAUUUAGGGUGGAGAGAUUGGAGAAGCUUGAAGAUGCCAACGAUGGGUACAAUUGAGUGGUCAAUAAGAACAAUGUAGCCUAUGACUAGUUUGAUGUCAUGGUACAAGAGUUUUAGGCAUUGAGGUUAAAGCAAGAGCAACAUGGAAUUGAUUUCGGAGUCUUUCAGUUAGUGUAAAGGAGGAAGAAGUGGUGUUGAUUCUAGAAAUAGGGUUUUAAGUGGUGCGUGAUUACUACUCAAAAAGUGCUAUUUGAUAGCCUUUAAUUAAUCCUUUUUAACACUUUUGAGUAGUAGUUUAGGCCUUUUAACUCAAUUGGCAUGUUAAGGAUCCUUUAAAGCAAUUUUGAUCACUUUGUGCAAGUUUUGGUGUUUUUGUUAGUAUUUUGAUCACCAAAGCAAGUCAAGAAUGAGGAGAACUAUGAGGAAUCAUGGGCAAAGCUUAGAAUUCAAUUGCCAAGAGUGAAUCCGGAUUGCAAGGAGAAAAAGCAAAGAGAAUCUGUCAUGAAGCCUAUUCUUGAUGACAGUCGUAGCAGCCACUUUUGGAGCACUUUCUGAAGUCCAAAUGAUGCAAGCUAUAUACCAUUUCAAAGAUCAGGAAGUCAACAAUCCAAUGCUUCAAACGGUGCGCGAUUCGGAGUUGAAACGAAGAAGUUGCAGCCAUUACAAGCCAGUCACUCUAAAGUGUUGCGGAAUCAGCCUUUUGUUGCGAGAAUUUCGCAGCACUUUUGUACAGUAAGGUGUUUCUCCUUCUGACGAUGCACGAACCAUGCCGCGAGAGGGAAGCUAGGAACUUCAAGAUGGAAGCCAACUUUGCAGCCUGGUGAAGAUAGCUUGGUCUUGCGAAAUAAUUUCGCAGCCCUCUUGGGUGUCUGCGAAAUUUCGCAGGCACCACUUUUUUCCUGCGAAAUGGCUCCGGAAGCCUCCCGAAGCUUGCUACCGACAUUGGGAGAUAUUUUCCAUUAGAUUUUUGUUGUCUAAAUUCCAAAAUACUCCUUGUAAACCACCAAUUACAUGAUUCCUUAGUUUUUAAGUUAGUAAAAAGACCAAAUAUCUAUGUAAUAAUUAGUUUUAUAUUAGUUUGCUAUAAAUACCUCUCGGGAGCAUGUUCUCAGAGAGGAGUUCCUUCUGUAACCAUUUUGGUAAGCAAGUAAAGUCUUUUCUUUCUACUGCCUUACCUUCUCACUUUGUAUUUUCAUUUUAUUUCUAAGUUAUGAAUUCUCUGAGGAGCUUUCCCCAGAGAAUGAGUAACUAAACCUCCAAUUCCUUGGAGCUAAGGUUGCCGGGGAAGGUUCCAAGUGCAAGAAUGCAAAGCUCUGUGGUUUUAGCUAGUAAUGAAGAGGAAGUGAAAUCCUUUAGUGAUUUCAAUGUUUUUAGUUAACUUAAAACACCUUGGAGUCACCUGGGCCAACACUUGGUAAGGCAAGUGAUUUCCAACCGUGGAAAUGCACUAGUUUACCCCUUGCGAGCCUCUGGUAGGUGACUUCAAGGUAGGAUUUUCUGGAAUUACCAACACUUGGUAAGCUUUUGGACUCCUAGGAGACAUCCAUUAGUUAUCUCUUGCGAGUUUGUGAAGGGGAAUCCAAGGUUAAAGAUCACCUUGAAUGGUAAGUGCUCGUGAGAGGCAUGAACCAUUGCAAGUUGUAUCAGUGAGAGAAUUAAAGUGAAAUCUAAUUGAAGGAGUCUCUGUACAUCACCGGUUAGAGAAUUGACUAUAAGUUGAAUCUCUAAUGCGAGGAAAUGAACCAUCUGACCGGAGCUAUGUCUUUUGCAUGAGGAACCACCCCAGUGAACCUAAAUCUCCAAGGAAUGCUUUUCUUCCUAAAUUAUUCCAAACUUCUGUUAAGUUAGUUAGUUUAAGUCUAAACCUUUACCAAUCAAACUUUGUGUUUUAUUUCUUAAGCUAACCGUGAAAUGAAACAAAACCAAUUCACUUGGAAUUGGUAUCCUUGAUUGCUUGCAAAUCAUUCCCAGUGAACGAUCCUUAGAGCCACUAUACUAUAGUAGCUUUGUAUUUGCUACCCUAGUGUAUGGUGUUAUAGGUAUAAAUUUUGUUGAUCACUUCCUCAAUCAAGGAACACCAGCUGAACACAAAUCAGCUGAGACACCAAUUGGGCAUGAGUCAAAUGGCGCCGUUGCCGGGGAAUGAGUGUCAAGAUCAUUGUGAUACCAUUUUUGAGCACUUGUGAUUUUCAUCACAAGUUGGUAAAGUUUCUUUCACUUUACUAAUUUUCAUUCUCUCUUUGUUUAUUUACAAUCUAAGUUUAUCUUUUUAAAAUUUAGUCUAGUUUAAUUUUGCUAUUGUAGCCUUGUUUCUCUUGUUGUCCUCUGUUCUUGUUGUCCUCUGUUUUCAUUUUAGUUGCAGCUGAAUACUAGUUGUGUAUGCCAAAGUGGAUACGAGACAUUGGAGGUAGGCUUAUUAAGUGUGAUACACCUCAGAGAGGAGAAUUGGAAGUAAUCUUGAAUAUCAUGGAGGCUGCACCUGAAGAUCAGCAUAGUCACCAAGGUCGUCAAGACAAUCUCAAUGAAUUCAGAUCAAUGAGGGACCGUAUGCAUCCACCUCGUAUGAGUGCACCAUCAUGUAUAGUGCCCCCUACAGAGCAACUAGUGAUCAGACCAUAUCUUGUUCCACUUCUACCAACUUUCCAUGGGAUGGAAAGUGAGAAUCCGUAUGCACACAUCAAGGAAUUUGAAGAUGUUUGUAAUACAUUCCAAGAGGGAGGAGCUUCAAUUGAUUUGAUGAGGCUUAAGUUAUUUCCUUUUAAUUUAAAGGAUAAGGCCAAAAUUUGGCUUAAUUCUUUAAGGCCAAGGAGUAUCCGCUCUUGGACUGAUUUACAAGCUGAAUUCCUCAAGAAAUUUUUUCCUACUCAUAGAACAAAUGGCUUGAAAAGGCAAAUUUCAAACUUCUCAGCUAAAGAGAAUGAGAAAUUCUAUGAGUGUUGGGAAAGAUACAUGGAAGCUAUAAAUGCUUGUCCUCACCAUGGCUUUGAUACUUGGCUACUGGUGAGUUAUUUUUAUGAUGGUAUGUCCUCCUCAAUGAAGCAACUCCUCGAGAAAAUGUGUGGAGAAGAUUUCAUGAGCAAAAAUCCAGAGGAAGCUAUGGAUUUCUUGAGCUAUGUAGCUGAUGUUUCAAGGGGAUGGGAUGAACCAACUAAAGGAGAAGUGGGAAAGAUGAAGUCUCAGUUGAAUGCUUACAAUGCAAAGGCUGGGAUGUAUACUUUAAAAGAGGAUGAUGACAUGAAAGCAAAGUUGGCAGCUAUGACAAGAAGAUUGGAGGAGCUGGAGCUGAAAAGAAUGCAUGAAGUGCAAGCUGUUGCUGAAGCACCAGUGCAAGUGAAGUUGUGUCCCAAUUGUCAAUCGUUUGAACAUUUGGUAGAGGAAUGCCCUGCAAUUUCAGCUGAAAGGGAAAUGUAUAGAGAUCAAGCAAAUGUUGUUGGACAAUUCAGGCCCAAUAACAAUGCUCCUUAUGGAAAUACCUACAAUUCAAGUUGGAGGAAUCAUCCAAAUUUUUCAUGGAAGGCCAGAGCAACUCAAUACCAACAGCCGGAUCCACCAUCUCAACAAUCUUCAAGUAUUGAACAAAUAAUAGCUAAUCUCAGCAAGGUAGUGGGAGAUUUUGUGGGAAAGCAAGAAGCCACCAAUGCUCGAGUGGAUCAAAGAAUGGACAGAGUGGAUCAAAGAAUGGACAGAAUGGAGAGUAUGUUGAACAAAAGAAUGGAUGGAAUGCAAAAUGAUAUGAAUCAAAAAUUUGAUAACAUCCAAUAUUCAAUUUCAAGGCUUACAAAUUUGAAUACACUGCAAGAAAAGGGAAGAUUUCCUUCUCAACCUAACCAAAAUCCCAAAGGUGUCCAUGAAGUGGAAAGCCAUGAGGGAGAAUCAUCACAGGUGAAAGAUGUGAAAGCUUUGAUCACUCUAAGGAGUGGUAAGAAAAUUGAGCAGCCAACACCCAAGCCACAUGUUGAGAAAGAAGAAGAGAUGAAGAAAGGGAAGGAAAUGGAAGAUAAAGGCAGUGAGAUCAGUGAAGAAAAGAAGGACUCUGAUGCAACAAUGAAAGUAAUUCCAGAGAAGGAGCUUCUGAAGGAAGAAAUGCUGAAGAAAUCAACUUUUCCACCUUUUCCUCAAGCAUUACAGGGGAAAAAGGGGGUUAGAAAUGCAGCUGAAAUCCUAGAAGUAUUGAGGCAAGUGAAAGUUAAUAUUCCACUGCUGGAUAUGAUCAAACAAGUUCCAACGUAUGCAAAAUUCCUAAAGGACUUGUGUACUAUCAAAAGAGGGUUGACUGUAAACAAGAAAGCCUUCUUGACUGAGCAAGUAAGUGCAAUCUUACAGUGUAAGUCUCCUUUGAAGUACAAAGACCCUGGAAGUCCUACCAUUUCAGUCAUGAUUGGAGGAAAGGUAGUGGAGAAAGCCUUGCUAGACUUGGGAGCAAGUGUGAAUUUGCUUCCAUAUUCUGUCUACAAGCAACUGGGACUUGGAGAGUUGAAGCCAACAGCAAUCACUUUGUCUCUGGCAGAUAGAUCAGUGAAAAUUCCAAGAGGGGUAAUUGAGGAUGUAUUGGUUCAAGUAGAUAAUUUCUACUAUCCUGUAGAUUUUGUUGUUCUUGAUACAGAUCCUACUGUAAAGGAAGCUAAUUUAGUUCCUAUCAUCCUUGGAAGGCCAUUUCUUGCAACUUCAAAUGCAAUCAUCAACUGUAGAAAUGGGCUUAUGCAACUCACUUUUGGUAACAUGACACUGGAUCUAAAUAUUUUCUAUAUGUCUAAAAAGCAAAUCACUCCAGAAGAAGAAGAGGGUCCAGAAGAGCUAUGUAUUAUUGAUACUUUGGUGGAGGAGCACUGCAAUCAACAUAUGCAAGAUAAGUUGAAUGAAAGUUUUGUGGAUAUUGAGGAAGGUUUUUCUGAAUCUCCUAAUGGGCUUGCUACUCUACAAAGUUGGAGAAAGAUAGAAGGAAUUCUACCUUUGUUCAAUGAAGAAGAGGAGGCAGCUGUUGAAAAAGAAAUUCCAAAACUCAAUCUGAAGCCUUUACCUAUGGAGCUGAAAUAUACAUAUCUUGAAGAAAAUAAUCAAUGUCCUGUCGUAAUAUCUUCAUCUCAAACCAAGUCUCAAGUGAAGGAUGCAAGCUUCAAAUGGGAUCCGGGCAAACUGAAUCAGGAAGGGCAAAAAGUUUUGAUGUAUGACACAAGACUCCAUAUCUUUCCUGGGAAGCUCAAGUCAAGGUGGAUUGGUCCAUUUGUUAUUCACCGAGUAUAUUCCAAUGGAGUGGUGGACUUAUUGAAUUCCAAUGGCAAGGACAGCUUUAGAGUCAAUGGAUAUCGUCUUAAGCCGUUCAUGGAGUCAUUCAAAUCAGAAAAGGAGGCAAUCAACCUCCUUGAACCUCAAAAAGCCUAAGUGAAAUGGGUUUGCUGGACGUGGUUUUACCACAGUCCAAAAAUUUUUGUAAAUUUUGUAAAUUUUCAAGUUGUUUCCAUGCUUUUAAUCUUAGUUUUUGAUUUUAAAUCAUGUUUUUAGGUGUGUUUUAAUCGUUUUAUAUGAUCCCAGGCGGAAGAAAUUUCAAGGGGAUUGAAAAGAAAAAAAUCGGGUCGAAAUUGGAGCCGAAACAGAGCAAAAACAGGGGAAAAACAGAGCUCUGCGAAAUUUCGCAGGGUGAAGGAAACUUCUGCGAAAUUGGCAUUUUGCUGCCAAACCAUUCCGCAGCACUGUAGAAGCCUCUGCGAGUGUAUUUCGCAAUUGCGAAAGUGGAUUUGGCACACGAGUGCCACUUCGCAGCACAGUGACAUCAAUUUCGCAGCUGCGAAACUCACUGCGAAGUUGCUGCGAAAAUGGCAAGUUGCUGCGAAAUUGGCGUUUUGUUGCGAAACGUAAUCUGACCCCUGGGCUUCCGUUUUUCCUAUUUAUACCUGUCAAAAGUGCUGCGAAAAAGGUUUCAAAAAUUAGAGCACCAUUCUCGCAGCCCUUUCAUCUUCUUCGCCAAGCCACGCCGUCCGUUUCUCCGGUCGUCUUCUCCGUUUAGCAGCGCCGGCCAAAGAUCGAUAGCCCAAAAAUGGCACGAACGCGAGGGGCAAAGUCUUCAUCCCCUUCGAACCGCAAAAGGAGUCUGCGAAAGGAGCCAAGUUCAGGCUCUGUUCCAGAACCUGCUCCAAAGCCUUCGCCGUCGAGACCACAACCUUCUCCAGUGAAGCCGGCGCCACCAAAGCCGCCGGCAAGGCGAUAUUUAACCAGGUCAGGUGGUCAGCCAUUGAAGAAGAAAGCCAGAGUUGAGAGCUCUGAACCAAUCGAUUUGACUGAGCAAUCCCCUGAGAAAUCACCAAAUCCUUCACCGGUACAAAUUCCAGUGCCAUCACCGGUUCCCUCGCCAAUUCCCUCACCAGAAGCAACUCCAAUUCCAUCGCCGGUACCAUCUCCGGCACCCCAAGAAAAAGCUCAGGAGCCUCAAGCGCCAAUUCCAGAGCCCCAAAUUGCAGCUGAAGCACCUCUGGAAGAAGUGAUCCGAAGGCCAAUGCUGCCUCAGCCCCCAAUCGAAGGAAACCUGGAUUGCCGAACUCGGGCAUUCCAUUCUGAGCUUUGCUUCGAUUUAACAGCAUUCAGAGUGAGGCCAGAGCUUGCCCAAUCCUUCCAACUGCUGAGGAGAUAUCAUAUGGAGCAUCUGCUAGCUCCAAGGGAUUUUUUCUAUCCCCGGGUAGUCACGGAUUUCUACCAAACCAUGACAACCAAAGAAGUAAGAAAUCCAACUCUGAUUCAUUUCAUAAUUGAUGGAAGGCAUGGUAUUUUGGGAGCAAGACAUAUUGCUGAAGCCCUGCAAAUUCCUUUUGAGCCAACUCAAUUCGACAAUUUUAAAGCUUGGACAAAUCCUACUGAGUUAGAGAUGGUUAGCACACUAACCAGAGGAGCUGCAAAUCGAUCGCAUUUGUUGAGGGGGGAGCUACCUCCAGUUAUGUUUUUGAUUGAUGCCUUUUUGAGGCAUAAUAUCUAUCCCCUGCAGCAUUGGACCCAAAGAAGGGGAAUUCUCCUAGAAGCCUUGUACAAAAUGUCUGAAGGAUUCUUCUUUGGGCCUCAUCAUCUGAUCAUGGCAGCCCUUCUAUACUUUGAGGAGAAGGUUCACAAGAAGAAGCUUCAAAGAGCAGAUUGCAUUCCACUCCUCUUCCCAAGGCUGCUAUGCCAAGUUUUGGAGCAUCUCGGAUACCCCUCUGAGCCUCAGCAGGAAAGAAAGAGAAUAUGCCGUGAGCCUUUUACCCUUGAUAAAUGGAAUAAUAUGACGGCCUACAAAAUUGAUCAGCCUGGGCAGCCUCAGCCAGCAGCAAGGAGAGUCUCCCCAAGACAUAUACCUGAAGGUAUAACACUUGCUACUCCUGCCAUCCCUCGAGCUCCACCAGCUGCACCUGCUCCAUCACAGCCAUCCACAUCAGCUGAGCCGAGGAUGGCCAUCCCUAUAUCCGAAUAUCGAGAGCUGUGCCGUGCAUUGGAGACUCUUACAGCUUCUCAGAGCAAUCUUGCUCAGGAGUUGGCAGCCAUUAAAGCAUGCCAGGAGCAGAUGUUAGCCUCUCAGACUCAACAAGCUGCCAUCCUAAGGCAGCUUCAAGUCCAUUUCGAUCUGCCACAAGCUGUAGAGCCCUCUAUUCCUACUCCACCAGAGCCACACUCUCAGCCUUCAGAGUCUCAUCCUCCAGAACCCGAAGCACCAGCUGAUCCACCUACUGAGGAGGCAGAUCCUUCUGCCUAGCACCAUCACCCCCCUCAUCAGACAUUAUAUAUAUAUUUGCUGUUUAUGUUUUUAUGCAUGUUUGUUUUGUUUUAGUUGAAAAGAAAUCCCAGUAUUUUGGUACUAUAUAUGGGAUUCCUUGUGUUACUUGUCUUUAGUAUUGUAAUCACAUGAACUCAAAGUAAUACAAGUUGACUAUUUCUUGUUAAAAGUUAGCAUUAAAGUUUCCUUAUUUCCUUUUCUCACAUAUUCUAUUCUUUUUGAAACAUGUGGUUUUCCCCAAUCAAUAUUCGAAUUUGAUAUCAGCAUGGAGGUACCACUUCCUCCCUUUUAUUACAGUCACUCAAAUCACAUUGAGGACAAUGCUCAGUUCGGUUGGGGGGUAUGAGGAAGGAAGUAUUCUAAACCUUUUUGGUAUUGCAAUUAUAUUGGUUAAUUAGUUGUAGAUUUUACUUUUUACUAGUGUUACUCUAUUCUCCAUGAAUUUUGAGGAAAAAUUUUCAAAUUAAACCAAGAGAAAUUGAACUGUUGUUUUUCACUUGACUUAGAGUAUGGAUUAUGCUUACUAAAGUGGUUCAAUUGUUGAAACUUCUACUGAAAUUGAAUUGAGUUCUUCCACUUUAAGCUAUCCACACACUGUGCACAUUAGUUUCCGAUUAUAAGAUGAAAAGCUAUUUCCCUCUUGACUUAGUAUAUUUUUGGGACUUGGUAUAUUUGACCUCAUUUGAUAAAAAUUGAAACACCCUGCAAAAGGCCAAUGAGCCUUUGAAAUAAAGAAAGUUGUUUGCUUGCCUUGAAACCCGAGCAAGGUCUGAGGGGUAUAUGGUGAAAAUCUUUAAAGCCUGGUGCCCUAAGCCUUAAUUGGUUGGGAGUCACCGACCUCAAUGCUCGUUACAAGGGUGAAUAGGUAGAGUUAGCAUAUGGUAGAUGCUUGGGUAUUAGAAAUUCAUUCUUAAAAGUCCGGGGAAAAAUCCGAGGAGUUAGUGGUUGAAAGAUCCUUAAAACUUGGUGCCCUAAACCUUAAUUGGUUGGGAGUCAUCGAUGGACCCCCAUUACAUGGACAAGUCAGAAAGAGUACCCCAUAAAGCUACCUUAAAAAAAAAAAAAAAAAAAAAAAAAAAAAAAAAGAUGAAAGUGUGUUCUUUUCUUAUUGAUUUUGGUCAGUUUGCUAAAGUGUUGAAAAGAGAUAGGUUGGGGGGUGAGAUUAGUAGCAUAUUAUUCUCGGAACCUAAGGAACCAAUACACAUAGAUUUUUGUGGAAGAUUGAAGUUUAGUUCUUAGAAAAUGAAAUGAUUUUAAAACUUCAGUUUGCAUAAUGCACUCCCUUGAUUGACAGUGUUUAGCAUAGGUGUUAUGACUCUUGUUGAGAUUUGGGUUUGUAUUUCUUUAAUGAUUCAUGUGAGAAAUAGAUCAUCAUGCCACUUGAGAAUUAUUUUCCUUUUAGCAUGAUGUUGUAAAUUUUAGAUUAGUUUGCUAUUUAUUUUUUAUUUUCUCUCCUAUAUUGCUAAGGGACUAGCAAUAUGUCGGUUGGGGGGAGUGAUUACUACUCAAAAAGUGCUAUUUGAUAGCCUUUAAUUAAUCCUUUUUAACACUUUUGAGUAGUAGUUUAGGCCUUUUAACUCAAUUGGCAUGUUAAGGAUCCUUUAAAGCAAUUUUGAUCACUUUGUGCAAGUUUUGGUGUUUUUGUUAGUAUUUUGAUCACCAAAGCAAGUCAAGAAUGAGGAGAACUAUGAGGAAUCAUGGGCAAAGCUUAGAAUUCAAUUGCCAAGAGUGAAUCCGGAUUGCAAGGAGAAAAAGCAAAGAGAAUCUGUCAUGAAGCCUAUUCUUGAUGACAGUCGUAGCAGCCACUUUUGGAGCACUUUCUGAAGUCCAAAUGAUGCAAGCUAUAUACCAUUUCAAAGCUCAGGAAGUCAACAAUCCAAUGCUUCAAACGGUGCGCGAUUCGGAGUUGAAACGAAGAAGUUGCAGCCAUUACAAGCCAGUCACUCUAAAGUGUUGCGGAAUCAGCCUUUUGUUGCGAGAAUUUCGCAGCACUUUUGUACAGUAAGGUGUUUCUCCUUCUGACGAUGCACGAACCAUGCCGCGAGAGGGAAGCUAGGAACUUCAAGAUGGAAGCCAACUUUGCAGCCUGGUGAAGAUAGCUUGGUCUUGCGAAAUAAUUUCGCAGCCCUCUUGGGUGUCUGCGAAAUUUCGCAGGCACCACUUUUUUCCUGCGAAAUGGCUCCGGAAGCCUCCCGAAGCUUGCUACCGACAUUGGGAGAUAUUUUCCAUUAGAUUUUUGUUGUCUAAAUUCCAAAAUACUCCUUGUAAACCACCAAUUACAUGAUUCCUUAGUUUUUAAGUUAGUAAAAAGACCAAAUAUCUAUGUAAUAAUUAGUUUUAUAUUAGUUUGCUAUAAAUACCUCUCGGGAGCAUGUUCUCAGAGAGGAGUUCCUUCUGUAACCAUUUUGGUAAGCAAGUAAAGUCUUUUCUUUCUACUGCCUUACCUUCUCACUUUGUAUUUUCAUUUUAUUUCUAAGUUAUGAAUUCUCUGAGGAGCUUUCCCCAGAGAAUGAGUAACUAAACCUCCAAUUCCUUGGAGCUAAGGUUGCCGGGGAAGGUUCCAAGUGCAAGAAUGCAAAGCUCUGUGGUUUUAGCUAGUAAUGAAGAGGAAGUGAAAUCCUUUAGUGAUUUCAAUGUUUUUAGUUAACUUAAAACACCUUGGAGUCACCUGGGCCAACACUUGGUAAGGCAAGUGAUUUCCAACCGUGGAAAUGCACUAGUUUACCCCUUGCGAGCCUCUGGUAGGUGACUUCAAGGUAGGAUUUUCUGGAAUUACCAACACUUGGUAAGCUUUUGGACUCCUAGGAGACAUCCAUUAGUUAUCUCUUGCGAGUUUGUGAAGGGGAAUCCAAGGUUAAAGAUCACCUUGAAUGGUAAGUGCUCGUGAGAGGCAUGAACCAUUGCAAGUUGUAUCAGUGAGAGAAUUAAAGUGAAAUCUAAUUGAAGGAGUCUCUGUACAUCACCGGUUAGAGAAUUGACUAUAAGUUGAAUCUCUAAUGCGAGGAAAUGAACCAUCUGACCGGAGCUAUGUCUUUUGCAUGAGGAACCACCCCAGUGAACCUAAAUCUCCAAGGAAUGCUUUUCUUCCUAAAUUAUUCCAAACUUCUGUUAAGUUAGUUAGUUUAAGUCUAAACCUUUACCAAUCAAACUUUGUGUUUUAUUCCUUAAGCUAACCGUGAAAUGAAACAAAACCAAUUCACUUGGAAUUGGUAUCCUUGAUUGCUUGCAAAUCAUUCCCAGUGAACGAUCCUUAGAGCCACUAUACUAUAGUAGCUUUGUAUUUGCUACCCUAGUGUAUGGUGUUAUAGGUAUAAAUUUUGUUGAUCACUUCCUCAAUCAAGGAACACCAGCUGAACACAAAUCAGCUGAGACACCAAUUGGGCAUGAGUCAGUGCGUUAGAGGAUCAAGAAGAAGAAAAAGAAGGAACUGUUGGAAUUAGUAUGAGUGUGAAGAGAAAAGUAUAUAAAUAAGGGGAAGUAAAAGCAAAGUUCAAAAAGCUAUAUUUUUUUAUUGUUGGUGUAUGGUUGCAUGAUUAUCCCUAUAAAUAAUAGGAGUUUUUUGGUAUUCUACUAGUAGUUGAAGCAUAAUUUCAUAAAUUAAUAUUUAGAGCGGGGUGGGGUGAGUUGUGACAAAAUUCAUACCCGUCCCAAACCUUGGUUCAGAUUUUUAAAAUAUUCUCAAACUUAUCAUAUACCCAACUUUUAUAUUUCAUACUUGUCCUAAUAGAGGCACGUUAGGCCGGGUUACUUGAGUAACCUACAUAAUUGUCAUCCCUAGUUGAAAUACACUUUUUGGCAGUGGCCACCAACUGAGCUAGAAGCUUGAUUGAUUGACCUACAAGAUUAGUUCUCAUCAUUUUAAAAAAAGUUCUGGCUUUGGUUGUGAGUGCAAUUGAAUCUAAACUGGCAUUUGCUUAAUGCAUCUACUUCAAUCCUAAACUUCUUACUUCUUAAGCCUCAAUUGUUGUUAGGAUUUUGGAAAACCCAUUUCCUUAAAUUGUAAAUUUAAGAUAAAAUAAAAUAAAAGUGAGACAUUUCUUGAUUGAAUAUUGUUAAAGGUCCCUUGGCAUUAAGACUUGGUUGAAGCCUUGGAAGAUUAGUGGAACUCUCAACAUGUGUUUGAAUCUUGAGGAGAGUGGAUGUAAGCCAAAAUUUUGUCAAACCAUUAUACAAAUUGAGUUUGAAUCCUCAUUUCUUGAUUUCUUAUUUAUUUGCUUUUUCUUAUUAUUACUUGAAUUGUCAUUUGCAUUCAUUAAUGUUAAAAUUGGUUAUAAUUAACCAACACUAAUUCUCUUUCCCCUUCCCUUUCUUGGGUGUAAACCUAGGUUGGAUUAACUAGAUAAAUCUAUUAAGAUGGUAAAAGAAUAAUUAUUCUUAACAUACAUAAGAUCAUCUUCAAUCAAAUGACUCAUUGGCUAAUAUGUUGAAUUUGCUUAUUACUUGCAACUCAAAAUUGUGUUCUAGUUGUGUCAAGUCCCCAGUGUAUGGACAUUAAAUUUGUAGUACGUGAUGAGUAAUUAGAUGGUCCAACUCCAAGAAAGUGAUUGAAAAGUAGUUCAAGAAAGGUGCAAAAGGGAAUUGUUUUGGUAUUUUCGUUUUUAUUCUUGAAGGUGGCAGAGCUAAAAUUUGAGAAAUCAAGCAAAACAUACUGAAAUUACAUUGAAAGAAAGAAGAUGGGAGUUAAUGUCUUGCAGUACAUGAUAAGGACUUCAUGCAUGUAGUGUGACCCAUGUCUUGGACUGAUGCCAACUCACGGUUACACUUAUACCCUUGGUUCUCUCUUUACUACCUUGGCUAACCUAGAUCAGGCUAUGAGAUAGGCUCCUCACCACACCAUUACUUGCCCAUUAAUUAGAGACAUUUUCAAGCAAUGAGGUAACAUGGUGACACCAAGAGGGUCUAUUCCUCGCCCGGAACAAGUCUAGACUUGGUCUCAAAAAAAUGGAGAAAAAUGAGGUGUCGUUAUGUAGAAAUACAACAACCAUGCCUUCCUCAUUACUUAGAUUCAGAAUGUGAAGGUGAAAUUGAGAAACAGAAACUCUUGAAACCAAAAUGAAAAUUGAUACUUUUACGAAGAAUUACAACAACAUUAGAGGAAGACUACAUUCUUCCUCUUUAUUCCUACAUUUCUACACUACUUCUACUCCACUCCAUAUUUCUACAUACAUCUUUAAUCAGUCUUCCCUCCUUUAUAUAGAGCCAUCUUCACACAAAUUUCGCAAGGUAGAAAAGAGGAAUGAAACUUGGAGCAAGGUUCGACUACUGGUUGUAGCUUGUCAAGGCUGGAAGUGAACUUUUCUUGGCUUUCUGGGCAUGGGUAGUAACUUGUGGGUUCCUGUUUGGCAUAAAAAUGGCUAGAACAUGUGGCACUAUCUUGUUGGAUGAUGUGUCAAGCAUGUGGCAGCCAUCUAGUGGCGAUUAUGUCAAUUUUGGGAUGGAGAGUUGGCAUCCAAUUGCAAAGAAAUAUGACGUCUACCAACAUGCAAUGUAAACCUAUGUAGAUCAUAUGAAGAUAGAGAGGAAAAAUAUAGAAAUGGAUAUAUACCUAGAACUAGCUUUUUAUUAAAUGAAACGGAGAGACAACAAUGAAGGAAAAUAAAAUUUUUUGGCUUAUAUCAAAGAGUUCACAUUGUGUUACCCUAGGUUUUCUUAAAACUUACUUUUAUGAUAACAAAAAAGAAAAAACCAUUAUUGUUUAAUCCUUUGUUUUAAACGCAUGUAAGGUGUAAUUAAGUUAGUUCAAUGCAUUAAUUUAAGAAACUUGACCUAUCAAAAGUACAAAAUUAGAUGAAAUCCAUUUCAAUGGUUAAAAUGAUCAAAAUCAAACUUUUUCUAAGUAUUUUUUAAAAGCAUCAAUAGUGAAAGACAAUUUUAUAUUUAGUCGGAGUUUGGACAAAACUGAAAAACACACAAAAUCCAAGCGACCAUCUCUAGCUUGGAUGGUCGCUUGAUCCCACCUAGAGAUGUGCAUGAGUAAAAGGAUUUGAAAAUGGAAAUUGACUAUGUAGUCGAUCAAUUAACUUUGCAACAUCAUAUGCAAUCCUAAUUGCUAGUCAUCUAAUCAAUUAGGUAGUCAAUCAACAGGCCAAAAAUAUGUUUAUAAUGACUAUUUUGUACAAAAACCACCUGUAUAGUUAAAUAUAAUGCAUUUCAUUUAUAAAUCUUCUAAUUCUUGAAUAACGAUCCUAUCAUCCUUUGAAAGUUUUUAUUACACUUUUUUUACUUUUGUUCUAAAACUUACACAUCACCCUUAAUUGUACCAUGAGAACCUAGCUAUUUUUUAUUUUUUUUUUUGUAAUUCAUCAAAGUUAGCUUUUGUAUUCAUUGUUGUAUUAUUUUUAGUAUAACUUAGAAAGCUAGUGUUUUCAAGUGAGUAAAAUUAACUUGUAAAUAUUGUAAAGAUUCAUCGACAUGUAUCUUAAACUAAGUGUACAAGUUAAAACAUUUGCUAGUAGAUUUUCUCAAAAUUUAGAAUAGAGCUUGAGACUAUUGAAAUAGGUGGGGUUGCACCAAACCACAUCACAUCGUUGUUUGCACCUUUUUUCACUCUCUUUUACUUAGUUGCUCUAUAUUUGUUGUCUAGUAAUAUCCUAUAGGCUUGAUGGGUUAGGGAGCAUCCCUUUGUGAAAAAAUUUUAUUCAAUCCUUAGUUGUAUCACGCAUAUAUAAAAUGCCUCAUUGUUUUAAUGGUAUUCAGUCGUGGCAUCACAGAUAUGGGCAUCUAAAUUUUAAAAGUUUGAAACUUUUAUCUAAAGAAAAUAUGGUGCUUUGCCUUUUUGUAAAGCAUGUUGAUGAAAUCCAUGAGAAUUGUGUACUUGGGAAGCAACACCGAGAUGACUUUUUUUUUUUUUUUAUAAUAUUGUUUGUCCAAAUUCCCUACAAAUUAGGCCACCAGAUGUUCAUAAUUCUCCCUUCUUGAAUUUGAAAACUCGGACAAUUGGACAAUGCGACACCUAAGUCCGGUUUCUAAAUGCUAAAGUGAAAGGGUAGGUAUGGACCAUUGAAAUGUGAUCACAACUUUUCUCUGUAGCCAUGUUGUCUCUUUUUUCUUUUGCAUGAUUUUCUUACCUUAACAGAAUCAUAGACUUGUUUAGUCUCUAAAUGGGAUUAAUUUCAUCCAGCUUUAAGCUACUAUAUUAUAUCUAGGUGGAGGACUUUUAAGAGUGCAACCGACAUAGAGCACAUGGAAGUGGGUAUAUGGGACAUGAAAUUUCUUCUUAUAAAGAUUGCAUGAUUUUUAUAUUAGAGUUGUUGAGGCGCUAUGUAUUUAGCUUGUUUUGCAGUUAAAUUAAUUGGAUAAGUAGACAUUGGCGUUUCUAAAUCUACUGUGAAGUGCUUCAUGUACGUGUGAAGUAUUAGAAAUUUCUUUCUUGGCAACUUGUUUUUCUUUGCGGUCUACUGAUAGGUUUGACUAAAAUUAUAUUCCCUGUCAUGCUAAUUAAUUUUCACGUGCAUGCUCAAAAGAAAAGUAUGACCUUAGUGCACCAAAAUCACUUUGAUUAAUUUGUGAUAGGUUUUUGUGCAUCAUGACAUUAGCCUUAUUCAUUUAGAUAAUGUUUAGUUUUUAGAAAGUAUUAAGAAAAGGAAAAUAAAUAUUAAGAAAAAUAUUCUUAUAUUUGAUUGUAUUAUGAAAAAUAUCAUAAAAAAAUCAAAUAUAAUUUAAAUUAAUUAAUAAUUUAUACAUUUUCAAAUUAUUUAAUCUUUAUAUUGAAGAUAUAAUAUAAAUGAAAUGAGUUUUAAGUAUUAUAUAAAAGUGAUUUAUUGAUCUUACAUAUAUAUAUUUCUUUUUUUUUUCCUUCUAUUUUUUCUCUUUAUUUUAUUUUCCUUAUGUUUUCCUCAACAUUUUCCGGAACCAAACAUAGCCUUAGGAAAUCCACAAUUACCUUCAACUGAGUAGAUUCUGUUGUUUUAGCAAUGUUAGGCUGCUAACUUGUGUUGGUACGAACCUAUUAAGCCUAAAGAUGUAAUUAGUUAGGAUAUUCUUUUCCCUCUAGUCUUGUAGCUCCACGUGUACAGUUGGUUAGGACCUCAUUGUAUAUAAUGCUUGCCCUGUUAUUGUAGAAGACAACAAAGAUAAAUAAUAUUAACAUUUUUCCUCUCAUCUCUCUCUGUUUCCCUCUGUUUUCAUCUCCUCUCUCAUCUUGGUAUCAGAGCCUCCAUGGCUUCUUUCAAAGAAACCUCCGAAUCACCUUCUGCUAGCAUUGUUAAUGUGCAAAACCCAUUAUCUCAAUCAAACAACCUUCCUUCACCAGUAGCCACACCCUCUUUUUCUUUCUCGUCUAUGAAUCAACCUCUCACAGUGAAGCUGGAUAAUGGGAACUACCUCAUAUGGAAGAAUUAGCUUCUAAAUGUCAUCAUUGCUAACGGACUCGAUGAUUUCAUUGACGGAUCUCGACCCUGCCCUCCUCGAUUUCUCGAUCUGCAACAACAAACCCUCAAUCCAGAGUACUCAGCUUGGCAGAGAUACAAUCGACUUCUGAUGAGUUGGCUGUACGCAUCCUUGUCCAAAGAUAUAAUGGCUCAGAUUGUUGGGUAUUCAACAGCUAUGGAGAUUUGGAAUGCCCUUAAUCAGAUUUACUCUGCCUCUUCUAUGGCGCGGUUUACUGAGCUUCGCACCAAGCUUCAAACGCUCAAGAAAGAUGGACUCUCAGUUGGUGAAUAUAUUCAAAGGCUCAAAUCCAUUUGCAAUAGUCUUGCAGCAAUAGGAGAACCAGUUUCUGAGAAAGACCAUCUUAUCUAUUUGUUCAAUGGAUUAGAUUGUGAGUAUUAUUCUUUUGUUACCUCCAUUCAAAAUCGAUCUGACCAACCAACUAUUGACAAAAUCCAUAGCCUAUUGCUUAGCUAUGACUUCCGGCUUGAACAACAAAACUCUGUUUCUCUCCAUUCUGCCCAAGUCCAUAUGGCUCAUCUGAACAAGAAACCUUAUAAAUCAACUCCUCAACCUACAUUCAAUCAUAUUCACAUUCAACCUAGAUACUCUUCUCCACCUUUUAAGCCAACCACUAGUCAAUAUCAACCCAACAUUUUGGGCAAACCACAACCACAACCAUGACAGCCUCAACCUCAAUGGAAACCACAUUUUUCAAUCUAAAAUCAAAAGCCUCAGCGCCAAAUUUGUGGUAAAUUUGGACACACUGCUCUUAUUUGCUUCCAUCACACAAAUUUGAACUAUUCACCCCAACCUUCUCCUAAAUCUUUCAAUACUGUUCUCACCACAAAUUCCCAGCUCCCUAAUCCUCCAAAAUUUUCUUACCCUACAAUGGCUCAUCCUGCUGCUACGCAUAACACGGUUCCCGAUACAAAUUGGUACAUGGACUCAGGUGCUACACAUCACUUUACUCUGGACAUCAACGUGCUUGACACUGUGACACCAUUUAGUGGUUCAGAACAGGUGACAGUUGGGAAUGGUAAGCAACUCUGUAUCUCACAUCUUGGUACUGCAAAACUACCAUCUUCGUAUUCUCCUCCUGUUCUACAUCAGGUAUAUCACACUCCAAAAAUUUCAAAUAAUCUUAUUAGUGUUAAAAAAUUGUGUUCUGAUAAUAAAGUUUUUGUUGAAUUUUAUGCCACUCAUUUUCUUGUCAAGGAUCAGGUUUCGAAGAGAGUUCUCCUUUAGGGUCAACUUGAUAAUGGCUUAUACAAAGUUCAGUCGUCAUGCUCUCCUUCUGCUGUUUCCUUUCCUCCUCAAGUUUUCAUAGCCAACAUCAAGUAUCCAAAUCUGUGGCACAAGAGACUAGGCCACCCAGCUUUAUCUGUUGUUAAUCAAAUCUUGGAUUCUUGUAACAUUGCUCGAACACAGAAAAUUUGUUUUAAUUUUUUAAAUUCUUGUCAAUUAGCAAAGAGCCACAGGCUUCCUUUUUCUCUGUCUCCAUCCAUUGCAGAAAAACCUUUUGAGUUAAUUCAUACAGACCUAUGGGGUCUUUCGCUCGUUCGCUCUAUUUCUGGUGCUCUUUAUUUUUUACUUUUCAUUGAUGAUCAUACUCGUUUUACUUGGUUUUAUUUGCUCAAAACAAAAGAUGAAGCAUAUCCUACUUUUCUCAAGUUUCAAGCUCUCAUUGAAAAUCAAUUUAAUACCAAGAUUAAGGCUGUCCAAUCUGAUUGGGGAGGUGAGUUUCGAUCUCUCUCCAUACCGUUUUCAAAUAUGGGCAUUGUCUAUUGUUUAUCGUGUCCAUACACCUCACAACAGAAUGGGCGAGUUGAGCGAAAAAAUCGCCAUGCGAUUGUCCUUUCUUGCUUGCUCUAUGCCCUUAUCUUAUUGGCCUUAUGCCUUUCAAACUGCCACUUACCUUAUUAAUCGUCUCUCUACCCCUGUGCUGCAUCAUCAAUCCUCUUACUUCGCACUCUAUCACAAACUCCCAACUUAUACUCAUCUUAAGGUCUUUGGUUCCUCUUGUUUUCCGUAUUUGCACCCUUAUAAUACCCAUAAACUCCAAUACAGGUCACUAGAGUGUGCUUUUCUUGGUUACAGUUCACACCACAAAGGUUAUCUAUGUCUUGACAUUCAUUCUAGCAGGGUGUAUAUUUCUCGCCAUGUGAUUUUUAAUGAAGAUUCUUUUCCAUUCAAGAAUUUGAAAUCUUCUCUCUCUCAGUCUAUUUCUUCUUCCUCUUCUUUAUAAGUUCCUCUGUUCAUUCUCUUGCCUCCCCUUUCCCCAUCUCCUCUUAUUUCUUCAUCUAUACCUCAUUCUUUUCCCUCUUCUUCUUCUACCUCUAGUACUUGUUCCCCUCUCGUUGCUCCUACCUCUCUUCCUUCCUCUUCACACUCUGUGUCUCCAUCUAUUCCACCUCCUUCUCCACCUUCUCCGAGUGUGGACCUGCUUGCACCUUGUGUGAAUACAAAUUUACAUACUUCUUCUCGCACUCACAAUAUUCAUCCUAUGGUGACUAGAUCUAAGGUUUGUAUCUAUAAACCUAAGUUGUUGUUGAGUGUCUCCAUAGGUUCUCUCACUAAGCCUACUUCCUUUCUUCAAGCUAUUAAAGAUCCUUCAUGGAAGCAAUCCAUGGAAUUCGAGUUUGCUACCCUUCAACACAACAAGACCUGGCAUUUGGUUCCUUCACCUUCCUCAGGCGAAGUAAUCGGUUGUAAAUGGGUCUAUAAGCUAAAGCUUCAGCCUGAUGGCUAAAUUGAGAGAUACAGCCUGCUUAGUAGCUAAGGGUAUCAUCAAAUUGAAGUAUGGACUACUUCGAAACAUUCAGCCUGAUNNNNNNNNNNNNNNNNNNNNNNNNNNNNNNNNNNNNNNNNNNNNNNNNNNNNNNNNNNNNNNNNNNNNNNNNNNNNNNNNNNNNNNNNNNNNNNNNNNNNAGCUUCAGCCUGAUGGCUAAAUUGAGAGAUACAAGGCCUGCUUAGUAGCUAAGGGUUAUCAUCAAAUUGAAGGUAUUGACUACUUCGAAACAUUCAGCCUGAUUGUCAAGCUUUCUACUAUCUGUAUUGUGCUCAGUCUUACUUUUUCCCAGAAUUGGUGUAUUAGACAGCUGGAUGUUCAUAAUGCCUUCUUACAUGGUGACUUAGCUAAAGACGUUUUCAUGGAACAACUGCCUGGAUUUGUUGAUCCUCUCUAUCCUACUCAUGUCUGCAAGUUGGAUAAGUCUCUCUACUGUCUUAAAUAGUCACCUCGGGCUUGGUAUACUAAGCUGAGUACUUCUCGCUACACUUGGGAUUUGUUACUUCUAAGAAUGACUCUUCCUUAUUUAUUUGUCAUUCGUCUCAUGGGUUACUUCUUGUUCUUGUCUAUGUGGAUGAUAUAAUCGUCAUUGGGAGCCACUCUCCUCAGGUUACUCACCUUAUCCAACAGUUGCAUCAUUAGCUUUCUUUAAAGGAUCUUGGUCCUUUACAUUAUUUUCUGGGCUUGGAGGUUCAUCACACCCCUACUGGUAUUCACCUCAGCCAAGCAAAGUAUAUCACUGAUCUCCUUACCCGGGCGGCUAUGUUGGAUGCCAAGCCAUGUCCCACUCCUAUGUCCUCCAACACAUAUCUCUCUUUUCAUGAUGGAGUGGCUCUUGAAAAUGGUUCAGAUUAUCGAAGUUUUGUUGGUGCCCUUUAGUAUUGUACCAUGACACGCCCAGAUAUAGCUUUUGCAAUAAAUAAAGUGUGUCAAUUCAUGCACCAUCCCUCUAAUGUUCACUGGCAGGCUAUAAAACGUAUUCUCCGGUACUUAAAGGGCACAUCUCAUUUUGGUCUCUUCCUACAGCCUUCCUAUGACUUCAACAUCACUUGCUAUACAAAUGCCGACUGGGCUUCCUGUCCUGAUGACAAGUGUAGCACCAGUGGCUACUGCCUCUUUCUUGCCUCUAAUCUGGUUUCUUGGUCAUCUUCCAAACAAAAAGUGGUCUCCCGCUCCAGCGCCGAAUCAGAGUACCGAGGGGUAGCAAAUGGGGCUGCUGAAAUUGCUUGGACUGAAUCUCUUCUUUGUGAACUUUCCAUUACUCCCCCUCCCCUCAUUCUCUGUGACAAUAUCAGUGCCACGUACUUAGCUGCCAAUCCUAUUUUGCAUGCCCGCACCAAACAUGUGGAAAUCGACUAUCACUUUGUCACGGAACGUGUUCUUCAAUGCUCUCUUUUUGUCCAGUUUACACCUUCUGAUGAUCAACUUGCUGAUUGCAUGACCAAGCCUCUCUCCACCCAACGUUUCAUCACUCUACGCUCCAAGCUCACUGUUCUCACUAGACCAAUGAGCUUGAGGGGGGAUGUUAAGCCUAAAGAUGUAAUUAGUUAGGAUAUUCUUUUCCCUCUAGUCUUGUAGCUCCACGUGUACAGUUGGUUAGGACCUCAUUGUAUAUAAUGCCUGCCCUGUUAUUGUAGAAGACAACAGAGAUAAAUAAUAUUAACAUUUUUCCUCUCAUCUCUCUCUCUGUUUCCCUCUGUUUUCAUCUCCUCUCUCAUCUGAACCAAAUGAUCCAUGUUAACCUUGGCUUGGUUUGAUUUGGCUCUAUCUUAGAGAGCUCAAGGAUCACGUCAACUCUGGUUUCUACUAUUCAGGUCCAUUCCCAUAUGAACUGGUUCAAAUUUGAGAAAAUGGUAACAGACCUUUAGUGAUGUUGGUUUGGAGCCAGUUGCCAAACCCGCCCUGAGCUUUACCACUAAUGUCAAGGGAGAAAGCCAUUUGAACAAAAACAAUAGCUUCAAGGGACUGAAUCGUGGAUGAAAUCUGAUCCACAUUUCUUCUCAUUUUGGAAACAAAUGAGAACUUAACUAAGAAGAUUCUACGGCCUCAUAGUGCUUUUCCUGAUCUAAGGUUGGUUCGUUUCCCAAACUGUGAGAUGCACGUGCCAGACUUCAGAACUCUCACGCUCAGGAGUGUAUCCACGUGGUGGACAUAAGAUGGUGGCUUAAGAUCUGGUGUCGGUGGCUUUACUUUACUAGGAGAGUAGUGUGUCUUCAUCUCAUUCACUGCCGGAGGGUGGCGUAAGCAGUGACGCUAAGGUGGGGCACAGUCAAUAUCAUUUGCAUUUGACCAUUAUAGUUUUCUCCCGGCUUUAAAGUAACCUUAUCGUGAUAAAGGAUUACUAGCACUAGUUCAGAUGAUAGUCAUGUUAAAUUCGGACCAUGUUUGUGUCACAUUAUCAGCAACCAUGUGUUUAUGGUUCAUGCUUUCUGCAACUAAAAUUGAUAUAUAACCAGGUGAACUUCAAUCUAAAUUCUGAAAGUACUCAUGUGAUAGAUGGUGCCCGUCUGCAGAGUCCAUCAAUUGAAAAAUGGAGUGAGUGUAUCUAUAAGAGGGAAGGCUUGGAAAAUGUUCAGUUUUCUGGGAAUUCAACAAGGAUCUAAAAUAGAUUGUUUUCUUUGCUGAUUUCAAUGGUUGAAAUUUGAGAAGAUUGUGUCCACAUAACACAACUAUUACUGGUCCUUCUGUUGCAAUUUAUCCUCUAAAGCUCUAGCAUGUCUUCCAAUUCCCACUUCCCUGUUACUCCAGGAAAGCUAUUUCUGUCAUUGUGAAGAAGAAAAGAGAAUGUACAUAUCGAUGCUUUUAAGUGACUGGAGCAUUUAUAUCAGGUGGUCUGCAGCCAUAUAUGCCACUUUGUGAAGAUUGGAACAGUCAAUCACUAGGCUAUAUAUUAGUGUGGCCCAGCCACUUUAAUCAAGGACAAGUCUUCAUACUUAAAGUCAAAUUCUGCCUUUAGUCUCAUUAUAAAUUUCUGUUUAAAUAUUAAGCAAACAUUUGUUUAAUGCGAUUAAGACAGUACUAACUCAAUACCUGUUCUAUUUUUGGAUGCAAAUGCUUGAUGGUUUCAUCAUUGGAUGGGAUAAAGGUGCAUUCAUGAUUAGGAAUACUAGUAGUUAUAUUUUAAUUCUCUUUUUUCUCAAUGAGACUUGUUGGCACAAUUUUGCUGUUGAGAAACCUACCUCUCCAUGGAAAAUAAGUUGUGAUUGAUAGUACUGGAUAUAUUCAAGAAAUCUAAAUAUAGAUAGCACAAAAUAUUAUCGACAUAAAUAGCAUUAACAGCGUACGUAUGUCUCAGUGCUCAUCAGCUAUAAGCAUGGGGCAAACACUUACUAUGAGCAACUUACGUCAAAAUUCCAGAAUAGGACAUAGAAGUGACAGAUAUAGAACAUUGCAUAUGAGUCACAAGAAAGGAAAUUACGGGUGCAUAGCAGCUCUUAUUUUACAUACUACUACUCAUACUGAUCAAAGUCACUCAGUUGGGAUGGGUGGGAGUAGGAGGUUUGUGGGGUGGCUUGUGCGGAGGAGUUGGCAGCUUCUUUCCAGGACCUGGUUGCUUCUCUGCUGGAGUUGAAGGAGGCUUAAUCUUCCGAGGUGGCUUGUAUGAGUCUUCAGCAUUCUCAGCUGGAGGGUGACCAGGGUUGUGACCAUAAUGUGGUGGCUUCUCUCCCUUAGGUGGUUUGCCAACUGGGGUUGGUGGCUUGUAUGAGUCUUCAGCAUUCUCAGCAGGAGGGUGACCAGGGUUGUGACCAUAAUGUGGUGGCUUCUCUCCCUUAGGUGGUUUGCCAACUGGGGUUGGUGGCUUGUGUUCUGGGAGUGGCUUCUCCCCCUUGGGAGGUUUUUCCAAUGGGGUUGGUUUGUGUUCAGGAGGUGGCUUCUCCACUGGAGGCUUGUGUUCAGGAGGUGGCUUCUCCACCGGAGGCUUGUGUUCAGGUGGUGGCUUCUCCACCGGAGGCUUAUGCUCUGGUGGUGGCUUCUCGAAUGGGGGAUGCUUAGGAUAAUCAGCAAGUGAGGGGGCGGUGAGAACCACCAGGCCAAGCAACACCACUAGCAAAUAUGUAGGAGACAUCUUUGGGUUUGGGCUCAGAUGGUGCAAAACUAGGAGAAUUGGCUAGCCUUUUAUAGCGGAUCGUACCCAAUAAUGAAAUGACACGUGUCAUUAUGACCCAUGUGUAAUGGGGUCGAUUUGGGUCCUACAGUGUUGAAAACUUCGACAUCCACUUUUGGCCUUUUGCUUUCUCUACAGCCGCCUUGCUUUUUCCCUCUUUCCUUUUGUUUUCCUCCUGCCCCAUUCUAUCAACUAAACACAAUUAUGUAGUUGUUUAAUUCUUAAAUGAGAUAUUAUCCGUCAAUCGUAUUAUAUUUUAUCAAGAGAGAACGGAGUGCAAUGUGGCUGUAAUUUUAUCGUUUAGUUUUAUCUCUUGGACCACUGCAUUUUUGUUAAGAGGUGCAAUAAUACACGUCUUUAUCUGCCAUUCAAUAUUUACAGUAAAGAGAGGGCACAAAACUCUUCACUUCGCACCAUAAUUAUUUUGUUUUCUGGACACCCCGGGGCCCUUUGGUUGGUUUGGGGGUCAGAAAGUGAACAUCAUAGGGGGUUUUUCCCUUAUGUGCAUUUGUAUCUGAUGGCUUUAACUCGCCUUGUUACUACAAAGAAACUGUCACAGAUAGGAACUUAUUCCAGGCUGAGUAUCUCCUCAUAGACCCUAUAAAAGAAGACAAGUCAUAAUGAACAUCUAACCUUUGUUCAAUUUGAUUCAAUGCCCCCAUUGUGUCCAUCUCACAAAUCUGAAUUAUUAUAUCCAUUGAAUACAUAAAUUAAUGAAGAAAAUAUGAAACCCAAGAUACAUCUCUGCACAACCUCAACCCUGGUUGCUAUGUUUCCCUUCUAUUCACAUGAUUUGAUGCUAAUUGCCAAACUUGCAACAAGCCCUGAGUUUGACACCUAGUAUCGAUGGGCGAAUUUAAAGUCUCCUCCAAACAUAUAUUCCACAGCUUGAAGCUCACAGAAGAUGUUACAGGCAGGGAAAAACCUUCAGAGUUCGCUACCAAAGAUAAUUAUUAAGGAGAUAUCACAAAGAGAAUUCCAAGGGGUCUGAAUCAAAGACAAAUUGGUCGUUCGUGGGGGUUCUUACUUUCUUUUGGGUAUAACUCACUGAGGGCACUGUCUUUGUUAUUUGCAUUUCACAUUUAGAGUUCUGUUCUGGAAACAUAUAAAAGGAGCAUCAUUUUGUUCUUGGGUAACCCAUAGUCGUGAGUGGGUCCAUUUGCAUGCUACUUAGUUGAAAAGUUGGACCAUUUGCUCCGACGCCUACCUCCCGGAUUCCAUGCUCGGAUAAAACAAGAAUAAAAAAAAUAUUUAUAAUUUACAAAUGGGGGAAAGAAAAAAAUGUCAACAACAAACCAGGAAAAAAGAGUAGUAAAAUUCAUGUCACAUGCUAGUGAGAGAAGGGGUUGUUACACUCACUCGAAGUUCUUUCCAAAAUAUCGCAUGGUAUUUUAUUUUAUGUGUCAGCGCAGUUGUGAAUGGAACGUGCAAAAGUCCAAAUUGGCGUUUUUCCUUUUCCCGUGUAGGAUGGCGACCUUUAAUAAAUAUUUAAAACAAAAAACGAAAAAAAGGAGGGAAAAGGGAUCAGAAAAGAUAAAACAAUGUGUACAAGAGCUCAAUUAGUUUGCAAAUUACUGUUUGGAUUUUGAUAGUAUUUUAUUUGUCCAUCUAUAUUUGAUGGAAAAGAGAAUUUAAGAUAUUUCUGAAACAAAAGCAUUAGUGUAAAACUAAAUUAAGGUAUAAUUAAGUUAGUUCAAUGCAUUAAUUUAAGAAACUUGAUCUAUCCAAAGUACAAAAUUAGAUGAAAUCCAUUUCAAUGGUUAAAAUGAUCAAAAUCAAACUUUUUCUAAGUAUUUUUUAAAAGCAUCAAUAUUAAAAGACAAUUUUAUAUUUAGUCGGAGUUUGGACAAAACCAAAAAGCACACAAAAUCCAAGCGACCAUCUCUAGCUUGGAUAGUCACUUGAUCCCACCUAGAGAUGUGCAUGAGUAAAAGGAUUUGAAAAUGGAAAUUGACUAAAUAUUUAGUUGAUCAAUUAAAUUUGCAAUGUCAUAUGCAAUCCUAAUAGCUAGUCAUCUAAUCAAUUAGGUAGUCAAUCAAGUGUUUGUAAUGACUAUUUUGUACAAAAAACCACAUGUAUAGUUAAAUAUAAUGCAUUUCAUUUAUAAAUCUUCUAAUUCUUGAAUAACGAUCCUAUCAUCCUUUGAAAAUUUUUAUUACACCUUUUUUACUUUUGUUCUAAAACUUACAUAUCACCCUUAAUUGUACCAUGAGAACCUAGCUAUUUUUUUUUUUUUUGUAAUUCAUCAAAGUUAGCUUUUGUAUUCAUUGUUGUAUUAUUUUUAGUAUAACUUAGAAAGCUAGUGUUUUCAAGUGAGUAAAAUUAACUUGUAAAUAUUGUAAAGAUUCAUUGAUAUGUAUCUUAAACUAAGUGUACAAAUUAAAACAUUUGCUAGUAGAUUUUCUCAAAAUUUAGAAUAGAGCUUGAGGCUAUUGAAAUAGGUGGGGUUACACCAAACCACAUCACAUCGUUGUUUGCACCUUUUUUCACUCUCUUUUACUUAGUUUCUCUAUAUUUGUUGUCUAGUAAUAUCCUAUAGGCUUGAUGGGUUAGGGAGCAUCCCUUUGUGAAAAAAUUUCAUUCAAUUCUUAGUUGUAUUACGCAUAUAUAAAAUGCCUCAUUGUUUUAAUGGUAUUCAGUCGUGGCAUCACAGAUAUGGGCAUCUAAAUUUUAAAAGUUUGAAACUUUUGUAAAGCAUGUUGAUAAAAUCCAUGAGAGUUGUGUACUUGGGAAGCAACAUCGAGGUGACUUUAUUUUUUUUUCCUUUUAUAAUGCCACACCUAAGUCCGGUUUCUAAAUGCUAAAGUGAAAGGGUAGGUAUGGACCAUUGAAAUGUGAUCACAACUUUUGGCCUUUUCCUUUCUCUGCAGCCAUGUUGUCUCUUUUUUCUUUUGCAUGAUUUUCUUACCAAAACAGAAUCAUAGACUUGUUUAGUCUCUAAGCUACUAUAUUAUAUCUCGGUGGACUUUUAAGAGUGCAACCGACAUAGAGCACAUGCAAGUGGGCAUAUGGGACAUGAAAUUUCUUCUUACAAAGAUUGCAUGAUUUUUAUAUUAGAGUUGUUCACGUGCAAUGUAUUUAGCUUGUUUUGCAGUUAAAUUAAUUGGAUAAGUAAACAUUGGCAUUUCUAAAUCGACUGUGAAGUGCUUCAUGUACGUGUAAAGUAUUAGAAAUUUCUUUCUUGGCAACUUGUUUUUUCCUUGCCAUCUACUGGUAGGUUUGACUAAAAUUAUAUUCCCUGUCAUGCUAAUUAAUUUUCAUGUGCAUGCUCAAAAGAAGAGUAUGACCUUAGUGCACCAAAAUCACUUUGAUUAAUUUGUGAUAGGUUUUUUUGCAUCAUUUAGAUAAUGUUUAGUUCUAAGAAAAAUUUAUAUAAAAAUGGUUUAUUUAUCUUACAUAUAUAUAUAUAUAUAUAUAUUUUUUUUUUUUUCAUUUUUUUUUCUUCUAUUUUAUUUAUUUAUUUUAUUUUCCUUAUGUUUUCCUCACAUUUUCCGGAACUAAACAUAGUCUUACGAAAUCAACAAUUGCCUUCAACUGAGUAGAUUCUGUUGUUUUAGCAAUGUUAGGCUGCUAACUUGUGGUGGUACGAACCAAAUGACCCAUGUUAAUCUUGGCUUGGUUUGAUUUGGCUCUAUCUCAGAGAGCUAAAGGAUCACGUCAACUCUGGUUUCUACUAUUCAGGUCCAUUCCCAGAUGAACUGGUUCAAAUUUGAGAAAAUGGUAACAGACCUUUAGUGAUGUUGGUUUGGAGCCAGUUGCCAAACCCGCCCUGAGCUUUACCACUAAUGUCAAGGGAGAAAGCCAUUUGAACAAAAACAAUAGCUUCAAGAGACUGAAUCGUGGAUGAAAUCUGAUCCACAUUUCUUCUCAUUUUGGGAAAAAAUGAGAACUUAACUACAAAGAUUCUACUGCCUCAUUCAUAGUGCUUUUCCUGAUCCAAGGUUGGUUCGUUUCCCAAAUUGUGAGGUGCACGUGCCACUCUCACGCUCAGGAGUGUAUCCACGUGGUGGACAUCAGAUGGUGGCUUAAUAUCUGGUGUCGGUGGCUUUACUUUACUAGGAGAGUAGUGUGUCUUCAUCUCAUUCACUGCCGGAGGGUGGCGUAAGCAGUGACGCUAAGGUGGGGCACAGUCAAUAUCAUUUGCAUUUGACCAUUAUAGUUUUCUCCCGGCUUGAAAGUAACCUUAUCGUGAUAAAGGAUUACUAGCACUAGUUCAGAUGACCGUCAUGUUAAUUCGGACCAUGUUUGUGUCACAUUAUCAGCAACCAUGUGUUUAUGGUUCAUGCUAUCUGCAACUAAACUUGAUAUAUAACCAGGUGAACUUCAAUCAAAAUUCUGGAAGUACUCUUGUGAUAGAUGGUGCCUGUCUGCAGAGUCCAUCAAUUGAAAAAUGGAGUGAGUGUAUCUAUAAGAGGGAAGGCUUGGCAAAUGUUCAGUUUUCUGGGAAUUCAACAAGGAUCUAAAAUAGAUUGUUUUCUUUGCCGACUUCAAUGGUUGAAAUUUGAGAAGAUUGUGUCCACAUAUCACAACUAUUACUGGUCCUUCUGUUGCAAUUUAUCCUGUAAGGCUCUAACAUGUCUUCCAAUUCCCACUUCCCUGUUACUCCAGGAAAGCUAUUUCUGUCAUUGUGAAGAAGAAAAGAGAAUGUACAUAUCGAUGCUUUUAAGUGACUGGAGCAUUCAUAUCAGGUGGUCUGCAGCCAUAUAUGCCACUUUGUGAAGGUUGGAACAGUCAAUCACUAGGCUAUAUAUUGGUGUGGCCCAGCCACUUCAAUCAAGGACAAGUCUUCAUACUUAAAGUCAAAUUCUGCCUUUAGUCUCAUUAUAAAUUGCUGUUUAAAUAUUAAGCAAACUUUUGUUUAAUGCGAUUAAGACAGUACUAACUCAAUACUUGUUCUAUUUUUGGAUGCAAAUGCUUGAUGGUUUCAUCAUUGGAUGGGAUAAAGGUGCAUUCAUGAUUAUGAAUACUUGUAGUUAUAUUUUCAUUCUCUUUUUUCUCAAUGAGACUUGUUGGCACAAUGUUGCUGUUCAGAAACCUACCUCUCCAUGGAAAAUAAGUUGCGAUUGAUAGUACUGGAUAUGUUCAAGAAAGCUAAAUAUAGAUAGCACAAAAUAUUAUCGAUAUAAAUAGCAUUAACAGCGUACGUAUGUCUCAAUGCUCAUCAGCUAUAAGCAUGGGACAAACACUUACUAUGAGCAACUUACGUCAAAAUUCCAGAAUAGGACAUAGAAGUGACAGAUCUAUAUAUAUAGAACACUGCAUAUGAGUCACAAGAAAGGAAAUUACGGGUGCAUAGCAGCUCUUAUUUUACAUACUACUACUCAUACUGAUCAAAGUCACUCAGUUGGGAUGGGUGGGAGUAGGAGGUUUGUGGGGUGGCUUGUGCGGAGGAGUUGGCAGCUUCUUUCCAGGACCUGGUUGCUUCUCUGCUGGAGUUGAAGGAGGCUUAAUCUUCCGAGGUGGCUUGUAUGAGUCUUCAGCAUUCUCAGCUGGAGGGUGACCAGGGUUGUGACCAUAAUGUGGUGGCUUCUCUCCCUUAGGUGGUUUGCCAACUGGGGUUGGUGGCUUGUAUGAGUCUUCAGCAUUCUCAGCAGGAGGGUGACCAGGGUUGUGACCAUAAUGUGGUGGCUUCUCUCCCUUAGGUGGUUUGCCAACUGGGGUUGGUGGCUUGUGUUCUGGGAGUGGCUUCUCCCCCUUGGGAGGUUUUUCCAAUGGGGUUGGUUUGUGUUCAGGAGGUGGCUUCUCCACUGGAGGCUUGUGUUCAGGAGGUGGCUUCUCCACCGGUGGCUUGUGUUCAGGAGGUGGCUUCUCCACCGGAGGCUUAUGCUCUGGUGGUGGCUUCUCCACCGGAGGCUUAUGCUCUGGUGGUGGCUUCUUGAAUGGGGGAUGCUGAGGGUAAUCAGCAAGUGAGGGGGCGGUGAGAACCACCAGGCCAAGCAACACCACUAGCAAAUAUGUAGGAGACAUCUUUGGGUUUGGGCUCAGAUGGUGCAAAACUAGGAGAAUUGGCUAGCCUUUUAUAGCGGAUCGUACUCAAUAAUGAAAUGACACGUGUCAUUAUGACCCAUGUGUAAUGGGGUCGAUUUGGGUCCUACAGUGUUGAAAACUUCGACAUCCAGUUUUGGCCUUUUGCUUUCUCUACAGCCGCCUUGCUUUUUCCCUCUUUCCUUUUGUUUUCCUCCUGCCCCAUUCUAUCAACUAAACACAAUUAUGUAGUUGUUUAAUUCUUAAAUGAGAUAUUAUCGGUCAAUCGUAUUAUAUUUUAUCAAGAGAGAACGGAGUGCAAUGCAGCUGUAAUUUUAUCGUUUACUUUUAUCUCUUGGACCACUGCAUUUUUGUUAAGAGGUGCAAUAAUACACGUCUUUAUCUGCCAUUCAAUGUUUACAGUAAAGAGAGGGCACAAAACUCUUCACUGCUCUGCAUGUGUCCCAAAAAUGCGAUUGGACAAAUUAUGAUUUGCAUGCUAAAAAGAGGCAAAUGAGGUUAAUUCGCACCAUAAUUAUUUGGUUUUCUGGACACCAUAAAAAGAUGUUAUACAGGCAGGGAAAAACCUUCAGAGUUAGCUACCAAAGAUAAUUAUCAAGCAGAUAUCACCAAGAGAAUUCCAUAGAGUCUGAAUCAAAGACAGAUUGCUCGCUCGUGGGGGUUCUUACUUUCUUUUGGGUAUAACUCACUGAGGUCACUGUCUUUUUUAUUUGCAUUUCACAGUUAGAGUUCUGCUCUGGAAGGUUUGUUCUGGAAACAUAUAAAAGGAGCAUCAUUUUGUUCUUGGGUAACCCAUAGUCGUGAGUGGGUCCAUUUGCAUGCUACUUAGUUGAAAAGUUGGACAAUUUGCUCCGACGCCUACCUCCUGGAUUCCAUGCUCGGUAAAACAAGAAUAAAAAAAAAUAUAUAAUUUACAAAUGGGGGAAAGAAAAAAUGUCGGAAAAAAUAGUAAAAUUCAUGUCACAUGCUAGUGAGAGAAGGGGUUGUUACACUCACUCGAAGUUCUUUUCAAAAUAUCGAAUGGUAUUUUACUUUAUGUGUCAGCGCAGUUGUGAAUGGAACGUGCAAAAGUCCAAAUUGGCGUUUUUAUUUUUCCCAUGUAGGAUGGUGACCUUUAAUAAAUAUUUAAAACAAAAGACGAAAAAAAAAAGGAGGGAAAAGGGAUCACAAAAGAUAAAAUAAUGUUUACAAAAGCUCAAUUAGUUUGCAAAUUACUGUUUGGAUUUUGAUAGUAUUUUAUUUGUCGUUCUAUAUUUGAUGUAAAAGAGAAUUUAAGAUAUUUCCGAAGCAAAAGCAUUAGUUUGCUCUGUGAUGUCCCACAUCGAAUAGGGGAGAAAGUUUCUGGCGCUAUAUAUGUAGAGGCUCCUCUUAACCAAGUAGAUGCGUUUUAAAACCAUGAGGGCCCCCUUAGGUCCAAAGCGGACAAUAUCUACAUGAUUGGGUGUAAGUCAUUACAAAUGGUAUCAGAGCCGAUCCCCGACCCCGGUGUGGGGGUUUGUUUGGCCCUGUAAGGGGUGUUUGUCUGUUUGACCCCACAAUCCCAUGGGACACAACGAGGACGUUGUGUCUGCAUGGGGGGGCGUUUGUGAUGUCCCACAUCGGAUAGGGGAGAAAGUUCCUAGUGCUAUAUAUGUAGAUGUUUCUCUUAACCAAGUAGAUGCAUUUUAAAAUUGUGAGGGCCUCUUUGGGCCCAAAGCGGACAAUAUCUACAUGGUUGAGUGUAAGUCAUUACAUGCUCCAUGUCAAUUUCAGCAUUUCUCAUAUGUUUCACACAUACACAGAAGAGCAUCGUUUUUUAAAGCAUGCAUUUAUGUUGGAUUAAUUUGGAUUUUGUGGGAACUGGGGCAAGGAUCACAUGGAAGAGAGGUUGACUUUUUUCAGUACUUCAAUGGUUGAAAUAUGUGAAGGCUUGAUUGAUACUAAAGCUUGAAAUUGCGACUCUGUCAUUUGUAAAAAAAUAUGACAGCUUCCAUGCUCUCGUUUGGUUGCAUUGUCCGGUCGAGAGGUGCAAAAAGCAUUCUCUCUCUUCUAAUAGUCUUUUCGUUUAAAUCAAGGGAUUUGCCUUCCCGGUCGAGGUCCAAUAGAGGGUAACGGUCACCUACUAAACAUUAAAUGCUCCAACAACUAGUGAACUGAUCGACCCCAGCUCGACUAGUUGAGGUUACUUUUUGGUUUUCUUGUCUCCCGAGGUUAGAAACCUAUAAAUAGAGAGCUUCACUUCAUUUAUGAGUAAGAGAACACCUAAAUUUAUUUGUUUACCUACUUGUUUUUGCCAUAAAAGCUCUCAUUUCUUUUCUUGGUGUAUUAAAUCUCCAUUUGCAUAUCCUUUAGUGCACCUUUGUGAUUCAUUCUAGCCUUGAGUUGUAUUUAAGCCUUUGUUGAGCUAGGUUGAGAGUUUCAUACUUGUUUAUUGAGUGUUAAAGCCUUCAAGUGAGUUAAAACUUGAAGAGAUUGUGUAAGAGCCCAUUGGAGUCGGAAUCCAAGUGUAAAGGUGAUUAAAAGCUUGGUUGAAGCUUCAAGUUAGUGGAACUCUCACUCGGUUAUGAGCUUGAGAAGAGUGGACAUAGACAAGGCAGUGUCGAACCACUAUAAAAUCUGAGUUUGAUUUCUCUAACCUUAUCUCUUUAUAUUUGCUUCUCUUGUGCUUAAAUUUUUUGUGUUUAAAAAGAAUUUUUAAAAACUCAAUUCACCCCCUUCUUGGGAGUUUUUCUCUUUUAAGAUCAGCUUUUAUUUUCUCAAUUGGUAUCAGAACUAUGCCUCUUGUUUAAGACUUAAUCGUCUAAGAGGAAAUGGCUAAUCCAUCAAGUUCAUCUCACAUUGAAAGUUUUGCAACCAAUAGACUUCUUUUUUUUUUUUUGCGGGAACUGAUUAUCCCUAUUGGAAAACUAAAAUGACUUGGUUUUUACAAUCAAUUGAUUUAGAUGUAUGAGAUGCCAUUGAAGAUGACCUAACUUUUCCUUCAAAACUAGUUGAUGGAGUCAUGGUUCCAAAACCUAAGCAAGAAUGGGAUGAGCGUGAUUGAAGAAAUUUUCAAUUAAAUGCUAAAGUCGUUUAUACUUUGCAAUGCUCUAUGGACAGAAAUGAAUAUAAUAGAAUAUGUCAAUGCAAAUCGGUUAAAGAAAUUUGGAGAUUGCUUGAAAUAACUCAUAAAGGAACAAAUCAAGUUAAAGAGUCAAAAAUCAAUUUACUUGUUCAUAGAUAUGAAUUGUUUUUUAUGAAAGAUAAUGAAACUAUUGUUAAGAUGAUCACUAGGUUCACCAACAUUGUUAAUGGUCUUAAAGCCUUGGGAAAGACCUACAAGGAAUCCGAAAACGUGAUGAAGAUCUUGAGGUCACUUCCAUCAAAGUGGCAUACCAAGGUCACCGCAAUUUAAGAAGCAAAAGACUUGAUCAAGCUACCUUUGGAGGAGUUCAUAGGGUCAUUGAUGACAUAUGAAAUCAAUUUGGCAAAGAAGUAACAAAAAGGUGAAGACAAAAAGAAGAAGAACAUAACUCUCAAAGCUACAACUAAGGAAGAAGAAGUUGAAGAAGAAAAACAAAUUGAAGAAGAUGAAGAUUUAGCCCUCAUCACAAGAAAGUUCAACAAAUUCAUGAGGGGUGAAAGGUUUAGAAGAAGAAGGUUCACUUCUAGAAGAGACUUUUCUAAAAAGGAAUCUUCAUCUAAUGGUGACAAAAAGAGAUGGGAAGAGAAAAGAGACUUGGUGUGUUUCAAGUGCAAGAAACCGGGACACAUUAAAUAUGAUUGUCCUCUCUACAAAAGUGAAGUCAAGAGGAAAAAGAAUAAGGCAAUGAUGGCCACUUAGAGUGAAAGUGAAGAUGAAUCAUCCGAAGAAGAAAAUGAGAAAGAAGUGGCAAACAUGUGUUUCAUGGCAAUAGAUGAACUUGAUGAGGUAAAAUCUAACCUUAGUGAUUAAGAUAUACAUGAUGCAUUUGAAGAAUUGUAUGAGGAUUUUUAAAAACUUAGUUUGAAAAAUAUUUCUCUUAAAAAGAAAGUUCAACAACUUGACAAAGAACUUAGAGAAGUAAAAGAAAAAUUUUCAAAUGUUAAAGUUUCUAAAACUCAUCUUGAAAAAGAAAAUGAGAUUCUAAGAAAGAAAAAUGAAUAGUUGAACUCCUCUCUUUCAAUCUUUUCUUCUAGACAAAAAUCUUUUGAAAUGAUUCUAACUAGCUAAAAAUGUGUUUUUGACAAACAAGGGUUAAGAUUUAAAUCUUCAAAAAAUCAAAAGUAUUUUAAAAACUAUUUUGUAAAGGAAUCCACAAGUGCAAGUCCUUCCACUACUUGCAACUUUUGUGGAAGAGAAUGGCACAUUAGUAGUACGCCCUUUAAGAAAUGGUUCUCAAAAGAAUUUAAAUGCAAAAACUAAAAAAGAUUUGGAUUGAGAAAUCCAAGGUCACUAACCCUCAAGGACCCAAAAAGAUAUAGGUACCUAAAUCAACUUGAGUUUUAUGUUGUAAGGUUCAAAGAAUGAUAAGUGGUUCUUAGAUAAUGGUUGCUCAAGACACAUGACCGGAGAUGAAUCCAAGUUUGCUUUUCUUAAAAAGAAAAAUGGAGGAUAUGUUACCUUUGGAGACAAUGCAAAAGAAAGGAUGAUUGGUCAAGGCAACAUUGGUAAUGGCACAUCCUCUCUCAUUGAAAGUGUUUUAUUAGUAGAUGGUUUCAAACAUAACCUUUUAAGCAUUAGUCAAUUUUGCGACAAAGGUUUUUAAGUGAUUUUUUAAGCAUCUCAUUGCAUCAUCAAGGAUAUUCAAAAUGAUAAAACCAUUUUCAUGGGCCAUAGAUGUGAUAAUGUUUAUGCUAUAAAUAUUUCAAAAUAUGAUGGCCAUGAUAGAUGUUUUUCAAGCAUGCAUGAUCAAAGUUGGUUGUGCCAUAGGAGAUUGAGACAUGCUAACAUAGACCUCAUUUCCCAACUCAACAAAGAUGAACUUGUUAGAGGCCUUCCCAAAAUAAUUUUUUAAAAAGAUAAAGUUUGUGAAGCUUGUCAAGUGGGAAAGUAAAUCAAAAACUCUUUUAAAAACAAAAACUUCAUUUCCACAUCUAGGCCACUUGAGUUGUUGCAUAUGGAUUUAUUUGGUCCCUCUAGGACACCAAGUCUUAGAGGAAAUUCUUAUGCAUAUGCUAUUGUGGACGACUUCUCUAGAUACACAUGAGUCUUGUUUUUUAGUCAAAAGAAUAAAGUUUUUUAUGAGUUUUCAAAGUUUUGCAAUAAGAUUCAAAAUGAAAAAGGUUUUUCAAUUACUUAUAUAAGAAGUGAUCAUGGGAGAGAAUUCGAAAAUAUUGAUUUUGAAGAGUAUUGCAAUGAGCAUGGAAUUGACCACAAUUUUUUGGCUCUUAGAACUCCUCAACAAAAUGGGGUAGUUGAAAGGAAAAAUAGAACUCUUCAAAAAAUGACAAGAACCAUACUAAAUGAAAACAACUUACCAAAAUAUUUUUAGGCCAAAACGGUUAACACUUCUUGUUAUGUUUUAAAUAGAGUAUUAUUGAGGCUCAUACUUAAGAAAACUCCCUAUGAGCUUUGGAAAAACAAAAAACCCAACAUUAGUUAUUCCAAAGUCUUUGGAUGCAAUAUUUUAUAAUAAACACCAAAGACAAUCUUGGAAAAUUUGAUGCAAAAUUGGAUGUUGGAAUUUUCCUUGGUUACUCAACUUCAAGUAAAGCUUUUCGAGUUUUAACAAAAGAACCAUGGUUGUAGAGGAGUCCAUCCAUGUUAUUUUUUAUGAAUCUCCAAGAAAGAGAGAGGAUUGAUGAUGAUUUAGGUUUGAAGACCUCUAUAGGAAGAUUGCAAAUCGAAGAUAGAAGACAACAAGAAGAAAAUGGAGAGAAUCCAAAGAAAGAAGGAUCACCAUUGGCACUACCCCCUCAUCAACAAGCGCAAGGUGAAUCAAGUCAAGAGCUUCCUAAAGAAUGGAAGUUUGUCAUCAAUCACCCACAAGAUCAAAUUAUAGGCAAUCCAUCUAGUGGGGUAAGAACUAGAUCCUCUCUUAGAAAUAUUUGCAAUAAUCUAGCUUUUAUCUCUCAAAUUGAGCCUAAAAAUAUAAAUGAUGUUUUAGAUGAUGAAAAUUGGAUAAUUGCAAUGCAAGAAGAGUUAAAUCCAUUUGAAAGAAGUGGAGUAUGGGAAUUAGUACCAAGACCUUCAAAUCAAAGUGUUAUUGGAACUAGAUGGAUCUUUAGAAAUAAAAUGGAUGAAAAUAGCAUAAUUGUUAGAAAUAAAGCAAGAUUGGUAGCCCAAGGUUUUAAUCAAGAAGAAAUGAUAGAUUAUGAAGAAACCUUUGCCCCCGUAGCUAGGUUGGAAGCCAUUAGGAUGCUACUUGCCUUUGCAUGUUUUAAAGACUUUGUUUUAUAUCAAAUGGAUGUGAAAAGUGCUUUUUUAAAUGGUUUUAUAAAUGAAGAAGUAUAUGUUGAACAACCACCCGGUUUUCAAAGUUUCAACUUUCCUAACCAUGUUUUUAAACUUAAAAAGACACUUUAUGGUUUGAAACAAGCACCUAGAUCAUGGUAUGAAAAAUUGAGUAAAUUUCUUUUGAAAAAAAUGUUUUAAAAUGGGAAAAAUUGACACAACUCUUUUUAUAAAAACCAAAGAAAAUGAUAUGCUCUUAGUUCAAAUAUAUAUUGAUGAUAUCAUUUUUGGUGCUACUAAUGUCUCUCUUUAUGAAGAAUUUUCUAAGUGCAUGCAUAGUGAGUUUGAAAUGAGCAUGAUAGGAGAACUCAACUUCUUCCUUGGACUUCAAAUCAAGCAACUAAAGGAAUGAACCUUCAUCAAUCAAGCAAAGUAUAUAAGAGAUCUUCUCAAAAGGUUCAACAUGGAAGAAGCCAAAACAAUGAAGACUCUAAUGAGCUCAUCCAUUAAGCUUGAUAAGGAUGAGAAAGGUAAAUCCAUUGACUCUAUUAUGUAUAGAGGCAUGAUAGGUUCUUUGCUCUAUUUGACCACUAGUAGACCUUACAUUAUGUAUAGUGUGUGUUUGUGUACUAGAUUUCAAUCUUGUCUUAAAAAAUCUCACUUAAGUGUCGUGAAAAGAAUCCUCAAAUAUUUGAAAGGGACAAUGGACAUAGGCUUAUGGUAUCCUAAGAGUGAUAACUUUGAAUUAAUUGGUUUUUUGGAUGCUGAUUUUGUCAGUUGUAGGGUUGAAAAAUAAAACACUAGUGGCACUUUUCAUUUCUUAAGACACUUACUUGUCUCAUGGCAUAAUAAGAAGCAAAAUUUGGUAGCUUUGUCAACAGCAGAAGCUAAAUACAUAGCAACUGGUUUAUGUUGUGCACAAAUCCUUUGGAUGAAAUAAACACUUAGUGAUUUUGAUUUAUCUUUUGAGCAUAUUCCUAUUAAAUGUGAUAAUAGUAGUGCCAUAAGUAUAUCAAAAAAUCUCGUGCAACACUCUAGGACUAAGCAUAUAGAGAUUAGACAUAAUUUUCUUAGAUAUCAUACACAAAAGGAUGAUAUAACACUUGAAUUUGUAAGCAUAAAAGACCAACUUGCCGAUAUCUUUACAAAACCUCUAAGAACAUUUUGUUGAUAUUAGAGGACAAUUAGGAGUGAUUUCUUUAUGAUCUAAUGUGAUGAAUUCUUGAUGAAUAUACUUUUUGAUUGCAUGAAUUUCAUGUCAUAUAUGCAUCAUAUAGAAAUAUACUUAGAUAAUGGUCAAAUUUCGACCAAAAAUCAAAAUUCCCAUGGCAUUAGGCAUAAAAAUUUUGGAAUUUCAACUGAAAAUGGUAGGAGGAGGAUCACAAAAUGAGAAAGUAUGCAAAAAUUGAAAAAUCAAAACGUUGACCAAGCGGUCAAUCGGACUAGACCGAUCGACUAGUUUGUCGAGAUUUAGGAUUUUUAAGAGACUCCAACGCUUCAAUUUUUGCACCGUUCUCCUCUAUUUCUUCACGGUUUCUCUGAUUUUGUCUUUUAGAGACUAAUUUGAGUGCGUUUUGGAUCAAUUGAAGCAUUUUGGAUUGGAUUUUAGGAAGAUUGAAAGUUAAGGUUUCGGAUUUGGGUCGCCUUCUCUUCCUCUCGCGUGUCACAAUCAGCUUUAGCAUUGUUCUCUUUCCAUUUUCACACACCUAGGGUUUCAGUUGUGAGCAUCUCUCUCUCUUUACCAACCACUACUCCCUUGCUUCUUCCAUAUGGCUCCUAGGCGAGAGUCCGCUACUUCUAGGGCACAAGGCAAGCACCCAACUGAGUCGUCUCAGUCAAAGGCACGUCGAAAAGUGAGAUUUGACAUUGCCUUGUUCAGUUCCAUGGAGGACUACCAACUAUACAAGCAACACUUUGCUUAGAGACGAGUAGUUCCCAAGAGAAAUAUUAAUUUUCCUCAACUUCAGCAUUUCGAAUUUAAGGGUCUAUUUACUAGGAUGGUUGGUUGUCUAUUGUCACAAUUUCGGAGCCGGUUUUCCUGACCUUAGUGCGAGUUUUUUACUCGAGGGCGACUUAUGGCAUGGGUGGCAUGAUCAUUUCUACUGUUGGAGGAGUUGAGAUCUGUCUGGACCCAGAGAGCAUCUGCCAUAUUUUCGAUAUUGCUCUGGUUGGACUCAAAGUAUACAAGUCCAAAAUGUGGCCCAUUGUGCCAGGAUUUGAGCUUAGAGAGGUCAUUCAGAGGAUUUGUGAACUUCCAGACGCCCAGGAGAUGGGCAAACCAUUGCCACACAGUUUGACGGUCAUCAACAGGGUGCUACACCAUAUAUUGUGCUCUAUCUUUCUACCACGAAGUGGACAUUGAGAUGAGGUCUCUUAUUAUGAGGCAUUCCUUAUUGACUCCAUUCUAACGGAGAGACGAAUUCAUCUACUAUGUCAUCAUUCACUAAGCCUCCUCACAGUGACAUACCACCUCAUCAGGCACCUCUUGCUCCUGACCAUGCUCCAUUGAUGGAUUUAUUUACUCAUAUUAGCUCUCUAGGCACUCGCAUGAAGGAGUUUGUUGUAGUUAGUGAUACAUGGUUCUACUCCAUAGAGGAUCGCAUGGAUCAGUAUCAGACUGGCUUCACGUCACAGUUUGAGUAUCUCCAAUAGAGGAUUGAGCAUAUUGAGGAUCACUUGAGCAUGAGAAGAUGAUGGCUUUUCUAUGCUCUGUGUUUCCACCUCCACCUCGUCAACCUUGAUUUCUUAGAGACCCAUUGUUUUCAUUUUGUAAUGUUGCCAAAAGGGGGAGAUAUUUAGGAUCUAGGACUCUAUAGGAGACUUACAUGCAUAUCAUUUUCAUAUCAUUGUUUGGAUCGUACAUAUUGGAUAGUGAUACUUUUUACUUAUAUAUGAUAUGCCUAUAUGUUUCAUGUCUUACAUUGUUUCUUAUUGCAAAUUAUCUCUAACAUGUCUUGAUUAUCUUUUUUUUAACUUCAUAAAUUUUGAUUGUUAACCCAUGAUUGGUUUGAGGGGAAGAUUCUUCUUCUCCUAGAUAACCAAGGUUUGUCAUCAUAAAAAAAUUGGAGAUUGUUAGCCCAAGGGUUCUCCUAAUCAUGUUUUGAUGAUAACAAACCAUGCUUAAGUUACUAAUUGGUUUGAAUUAUAAAGAAUUUCAAGUGUUAAUUUGAAAAUUCAUCAAAGAACCUAAUGGAUGCAAGAUCAAGAUUUUUGGAAGACCUUUAAUCAUAAGAAACAUAUGUAAGAUGAAUGCAUGGGUGCACUUAAGAUUUGCAUAUCAUUUCAUGCAUAUUUGGAAAACACGGUUUAUGCUUUAAAGUUACAUUUCCAUCAAAAUUUGAGAUCCAUCAAAUGAACCUUAGGAAAAAUGUUUUAAAAUUGGCAUAUAAUUUUACCUAAAGACCUUGCCUAAGUGUUAGAAGCAAAAGGACAAAAAAAAUAUAGGUUUUCUGGUCAAAAAUGGUGAACCAGUCAAGGCAUUGUCUAAAUCAGCUCAAUCGGCCAAGGUACCGGUCGAUCGGUUUCCCUUUCCCUGUCGAGAUCUAGUCAAGAGGUACAAAAAUCACAAUCUCUGUCUCUUUCUCUCUUUGUCUAUCUUCCAGUAGUCUUUCCUUCCCGGUCGAGGGAUUUGCCUUCCCGAUUGAGGUCCGAUUGAGAGUAAUAGUCACUUGCCAAAUAUUAAAUGCUCCAACAGUUAGUGAACUGGUCGACCCCCACCUUGCCCAGUUGAGGUUACUUUUUGGUUUUCUUGGCUCCCGAUGUUAGAAACCUAUAAAUAGAGAGUUCCACUUCAUUUAUGAGCAAGAGAACACUUGCAUUUAUUUGUUUACCUACUUGUUCUUGCCUUAAAAGCUCUCAUUUCUUUUCUUGGUGCAUUAAAUCUCCAUUUUGAUAUCCUUUAGUGCACCUUUGUGAUUCAUCUUAGCCUUGAGUUGUAUUUGAGCCCUUUUUUUAGCUAGGUUGAGAGUUUCAUACUUGUUAAUUGAGUGUUAAAGCCUUCAAGUGAGUUGAAACUUGUAGAGAUUAUGUGAGAGUCGAUUGGAGCCGAAAUCCAAGUGUAAAGGUGAUUAGAAGCUUGGUUGAAGCUUCAAGUUAGUGGAAUCCUCACUCAAUUAGGAGCUUGAGGAGAGUGGACGUAGCCAAGGAAGUGUCGAACCACUAUAAAAUUUGAGUUUGAUUUCUCUAACAUUGUCUCUUUAUAUUUGUUUAUCUUGUGCUUAAAUUUAUUGUGUUUAAAAAGAAUUUUUAAAUACCCAAUUCACCCCCCUCUUGGGUGUUUUUCUCUUUUAAAAUUAGCCUUUAUUUUCUCACAAACUAUUGUAGUAUAGUGGUUUUUAGGUGUCAUCCAUUAGGAUGAAUUGUUCUCGGUAAUUAAGGCGUGAAUGAGAGGAGAAUUAAUGAUUGUGAUUAAGUAAAAUUGAUUUGAAAAUUCAUGGUGAAAAAUCAAUUUAACAAUGGUUUCUAAUUGAGAAAAACAAUGAAAUGUGAAAUAAAAUAAAAUUAAUAGGAAAUGAAAUUCUCGAAGUUAGAAUUUUCUAAAAAACAAAUUCCAUGGUGAAUGGAUGUUGAGAUCUAAUUUUCAUCAAGUUAGAUUGAAAACCGAAAUUUUCAUAUAAACUGAUUUUUUAUUUAGUUUUAGGUCUAGAUUUAAUUUCCCUUAAAAUUAGGUUAUUUAAUCCAAGAAAUCAAUUCAAAUCAUAUAUUCAAUUCAUCUUAAAUUAUCUUCCAAUUAUUCACACAAUGCAACUAUUCAAUCUCAUCAAAUCUAGCUUUUAAGAAUUUAAUGAAUCUACCUAGUUUGCAUUGUAAUAGUCAUCCAUGACAAUUUGAAGAGAAAAAUAAUUCAAUUAAUCAAUCACUUGGAUCAAAUUACCUUUGCAAUUAAAGUUCAUUUCUCUAAUUCACCACAGAUUUUGUCUCUAGAUCCUCCUUUCUCAAAGAAAAAUGAGAUUUAGCCACACAUGAUUGGAGAUUUGGUCUCAUAAGGCAUGUUUAGCUAGUGAUAAAAUGAGAGAAAAUAAAGAAAAAUAGAGAAUUCGAUUAAGAAAGAAAAUCUAAAAAAUUCUACAAUUAGAAAUGUCCAAAAAGCUUUUUCAUGAGAAAAUCAAGUUUCUAUUUAUAGGCCAAGGUCAAGUGGACACUUGACAUCAUCUAAGAGGUCUUCCGGAAGCUUCUUCAUCAAGAAAUCUGGAGUUUAAUAAUAAAAUGGUCAUUUCACAAGAGCUCAAACAAUUUCGCAUGAUUAUGUGAAAUAAAAAAUGCAACAACAGCAAUUUACAUCUUCUUGGAGCAUUUCGCAUGACUGUGUGAAAUUUUCACAUGAUCAUGUGGAAUCGACUUGACAACUCUCAUUUAGCCUACAACAUAAUUCCACCUUUUGGUCCAUUUUUCAUAGUCAUGCGAAAUGGAAAUAUUUGAUUUUUAAGUUUUCUUUUGUCAUUUCUUUCAUUUCCUUCUCUUGAUUCCACUUCAACUACCUCCGAAUCCUGGUCCAAACCAAUUGCAUUACUUCUUUCAUUAUGCAUUUGGAUCAUCAUCAACAUUAUUUGUUCUCUUCAAUUUGAUUCAUCUCUUUUGUCACCAAUUUAUCAAAAUCAUACCUUGAAAUGACUCCAAAACUUCAUAAAACUUGUUAGUAACUCUUGCAAGGGCAACAACAUAUUAAUUAAGUGUUUUAGGCAUAGUUACUACUCAAAAGAUGCGAAACUCAUGAUAAUUAUUAUAUAAAAUAUGCUCUUUUUGAGUAGUAAUCAACUUUCUUGCAUAAGCAGACCUUUUAGGGUGGAGUACUAAAGACCAAUAUGCUUGUCCUUGUUGUAAUAAAGAAACUUGCUCUUAUUGAUUGCACCAUGGGAGAAAAUUUUGCUACAUGAGUUAUCAUCAAUUUCUUCCCACCAAUCAUAGAUUUAGACGUGACAAGAGGCCUCUUAAUGGCAAGGAGGAACUGACACUCACACUUAUACAAUUAUCGGGCAUUGAUGUGUUGCAACAAUUAGAAUAACUUACACCAAUUAUGUUGGGGAAGUCACAAAAGGCAAACAUGAAAACUAAAAGGAAAAAAGAAAAAUGUUACAUAUCACCACAACUGGAAAGAAAAAAGUAUUUACUUUCAUUUGCCAUAUUGGAAAGCACUUAUUUUACAUCAUAAUAAUUUAGACAUAAUGCAUAUUGAGAAAAAUGUGUGACAAUAUAAUUGAGACAUUGUUCAGUAUUGACGAAGAAACAAGGACAACCUAAAUAGUCAUCUCGAUUUACAAGCUCUAACUAUUAGAAAUGAGAUUCACCCAAUAGAAAGCAGGACCAAAUUUAUUUUGCUUGCAACAUGCUACUCACUCACCCCAAAUGAGAUUAAGGAAUUUUGCAAGUUUUUGAAAUCAAUAAAGGUCCCCAAUGGCUAUUCUUUCAAUAUCUCUCGUUAUGUGCAACUCAAUGAAAGGAAGAUAUAUGAGCUCAAAUUGUAUGAUUGUCAUGUCCUAAUGCAACAACUUCUCUCACUUGUAGUUCGUGGAGUUCUACAUAAGAAUGUUUGUGGAGUUAUCAUAGAAUUGCGUAAUUUUUUCAAGCAAUUGUGCUCAAAGGUGUUAGAAACAAAUCACUUACACCAACUUGAGAACAAUAUUAUUGUCAUACUAUGUAAAAUGGAGCAAAUAUUUCUUCCAUCAUUCUUUGAUAUUAUGGUGCAUUUACUUGUGCAUCUAGUAAGGCAAAGGUUGCAAGACUUGUGCAAUAUUGUUGGAUGUACCUAAUUGAACGAUAUUGUUAUAAUUUCAUAUGAAUCAUUUAAUUUUAUUUUAUAUUAUGUUCAGUUCAUUAACAUGUACAUUGGUCUACAUAUGGAUGAUGAUAGGUACCUAAGCACUUUAAAGUCAUAUGUGCGUAAUAGAACUUUUCUAGAAGGUUCUAUUGUAGAAAGGUACCUUGCAAAAGAAUGUACAACAUUUUAUUCUAGGUACUUGAAUGAUGUGGAAAUAAAGUAUAAUCACAAUGAUAGAAACUUUGUUGGUUUCAACACUAGAGGAGAUGAAAGGGGUUAUCUUUAAACAUAUUGGACAUGCAUUGGGAAAGCCCAUAUUUCAUUAACUUAGUUCAAAAGAGUGGUCACAAGCACAUUUAUAUGUGUUGACAAAUUGCGAAGAUGUCAUACCAUUCAUUGAGUAAAAAAUUUAUUUGAAUUUUAAUUAAAGCUCUAGUUUAUAUCCUUAAUCAAUGUUUUUUAAAUUCACAAGGAGCACAAGCAAACCAUCAAGGCUAGACCACAUAUACGUGUUUGAGACGUAGAUUUAAUUCAUAACAAGGAAUUUAUCAAGUGGUUUGAAAGACAUGUAAGUAUAUUCCUUAUUAUAAGGGAUUUAUUUCACAUUAUGUUUAUAUUGAAUCCAAACCUAUUAUUGAAUUGUAGGUUGAACAAUUACAUAAUGAAGGUCAUAUAUCUGAACACCUUCUCACAUUAUCAUGUGUUCCAAAUUCAUUAGUUACAUGCUUCAAAUGAUAUAUUGUCAAUGGAUUUAGAUCCCACAUUAAAGAACGUGAUAAAAAAGUUUUUAAAAAAAGACUCAGAAUAAUGGAAUUGUUGUAGUUGCAAAAACGUCAAGCUUUACAAGUGCAUGUGAUAUGAGUCCAAUUAUUAGUGAUGCUCUCUACUAUGGUGUUCUAACUAAAGUUGUUGAGUUACAUUAUCUUGGUGAAAAUAAGGUUGUUUUAUUCGAGUUUGAUUGGUGGGAUGUUACAAAUAUUGGAAAAUUGAUAAAAGAUGAUGAGUACAAUUACACAUUUGUUAACUUUGCAUGAAUUCUAACCACGAACGAACGAUUUGUACUUGCAUCUCCAGCAAAGUAAGUGUUCUAUGUGAAGAAUGCGAAUGAAUCAGAUUGGCAUACUAUCAUGGAGAUGCAACCUCAAGACCUCUAUAAGAUGAACGGGAUAGGAUCCAAUGGUGAUUUUGAACCAUUUCAACAAAGUGAACUACAUGAUCACUAAUAUAUCUCAGAUUUAGUUGAUGAAGAUAUAAUCAAGUGGAACAAAAGUGAUGUUUUAGGACUAAUCAUCCUAAAAAAUAUUGUAGUUUCUUAAAAAAAAAAUGAAAAUGAAGAAGAUAAUUGAACCUUUGUCAUACUUUAAAAAGCAACUAUGCAUUGUUCAUUUUGUAUGUUUUGGUUUUCUUCAUUUAAUUUCCUGAUUUUUGUGAUUCAAUGUCAUAUUAUUGAUCUUGAAAUAUUUUUCUAAUUUUUCAUUCUACGAUGGUUUCAACAAGGAUGACAUCAAGUCAAAAAAGGAAAUGUGGUCCCACACACAAUAUUGCAUUACAGGGAUUAAGGUCAGGGAAGAAGGUAAAAGUUGCAUUUAAUGAGUACAAUCAAUUGGUUAAACAGAAAAAUGGAAAACACUUAUCGAGCUACAUAGGGACACUUGUAUCUAACCAACACAAUGUACCUCUCCAAGCUAGUGAUUGGAAAAAUGUUCCAAAUGAUGCAAAAGAGAAAGUAUGGCCUUUGUUUUGGUAUGUUGUAUUUCUCACUAUAUGAUGUCAUUUCACUGUUAUUCUAUUUUGUGACUAACGUUUGAAUCAUAUGUAAGAAAAAUUUGAAGUAGAUAAAGACUGAAAAGAUUACAUGUUGGGUAUAGCCUCAAAUAAAUAUAGAAGCUAUAAAAAUAUGAUGAAUGCAAAAUACUAUGACCCUUGGCAUAAGGAUGCAUGAGGAGAGGUUAAUACAUAAAUCACCAUUUGUCUCUGAUGUUGAUUGGAAGUGGCUUGUCUCUGAUGCAUAAACCAAAUCCCCCACUGAAUGUUUGAUAUUUGAUAGCAGGAAAAACACACCCGCAGCUAUACACCUCCAUCAUUCAGAUAAUUAUAGUGGGGGAGAUGAUUCAUGGUUGCCCUUAUACCCUUUAUUUGCACCAUCUAUUGAGAUUCUUUAUCAUGGCCAGGUUUUACUGCAGCAAUAAGAUAUGGUGGCAACAAUUUUAUCUAUAGGUGCGGUUCCAGACCGCCUCCAUAGGUGCGGUUCCUGACUGCCUCCAUAGGUGCCUCUUCUUGUAAUGUUUGUUCUGGGAAUUACACUUGAAAGCCUUAUCGUGAUAAGGGAUUACAAACACUAGUUCAGAGGACAGCCAUGUUAAACUUCCACUAUGUUUGUGUCACAUUAUCAGCAGCCUAGUGUUUAUUGGUCAUGCUAUCUGCAACUAAUAUAACCCGGUGAACUUCAAUCUAAAUUCUGAAAGUACUCAUGUGACAGAUGGUGCCUUUCAGCAGAUAUCAUCAAUUUAAAAGUAGUGUGUGUGCCUAUAGGUGGGAAGGCCUUGGCAAAUGUUCAGUAUUCCGGUAAUUCAAGAAGGAUAUAUCUAAAAUAGAUUUUCUUCUUGCCCAUUUCAAUAGUUAAAAUUUGAGAAGAUUGUGUCCACAUCACACAAAUAUUAUUGGUCCUUCUGUUGCAAUUUACCUCUGAACAUGUCUUCCAAUUCCCACGGUCCUGUUACUCCAGGAAAACUAUUUCGGUCAUAUUGAAAAAAAAAAUAUUAAAGAAGGUACACAUGCUUUUAAGUGGACUGGGGCAUUCAUAUCAGGUGGUCUGUAUCCACAUAUGCCACUUCGUGAAAGGUGGAACAGCCUAAUCACUAGGCUAUUUAGUGUGGCCCAGCCACGUUAAUCAAGCACAAGUCUUCAUACUUAAAGUCAAAUGGUGUCUUUAGUCUCAUUACACAUCGCUAUUUGAAGAUUAACUCAUCACUAGUGUAAUGCGAUUAAGACAGUCCUAACUCAAUAUUUGUUCUAGUUUUGGAUGCAAAUGCUUGCUGGUUUCAUCAUUGGAUGGGAUAAAGGUGCAAUCAGGACUAUGAAUACGUGCAGUAAUACUUCAUUCUCUUUUUUCUCAAUGAGACUUCUUGGCACAAUUUUGCUGCUCAGCAACCUACCUUUCCAUGGAAAAUCAGUUGUGACUGAUAGUAAUGGAUAUAUUCUAGAAAGCUAAACAUAGAUAGCAUUCAAUAUUAUCGAUAUAACAUUAACAGCGUAUGUCUCAAUGCUCAUCAGCUACAAGCAAUGGACAAACACUUUGAGUAACUCACAGCAGUCAAAAUUCCUAAACAGGACAGACGUGACAGAUCUAUAUAUAGAACACUGCAUAUGAGUCACAGGAAAAGAUAAUACGGGUACAUAGAAGCUCUUAUUUUACAUAUUACUCAUACUGAUCAAAGUCGCUCAGUUGGGAUGGAUGGGAGAAGGAGGUUUGAGGGGUGGCUUGUGCGGGGAAGUUGGCAGCUUCUUUCCGGGAGCUGGUUGCUUCUUUGCUGGAGUUGAAGGAGGCUUAAUCUUCCGAGGUGGCUUGUAUGAGUCUUCAGCAUUCUCAGCAGGAGGGUGACCAGGGUUGUGACCAUAAUGUGGUGGCUUCUCUCCCUUAGGUGGUUUGCCAACUGGGGUUGGUGGCUUGUUUUCUGGGAGUGGCUUCUCUCCCUUGGGUGGUUUGCCAACUGGGGUUGGUGGCUUGUGUUCUGGGAGUGGCUUCUCCCCCUUGGGAGGUUUUUCGAAUGGGGUGGGUUUGUGUCCUGGUGGUGGCUUCUCUCCCUUGGGAGGUUUACCAAUUGGGGUCGGUGGCUUGUGUUCUGGGAGGGGCUUCUCUCCCUGGGGAGGUUUAGUGGGUGGCUUGUGUUCUGGAGGUGGCUUCUCCACCGGAGGCUUAUGCUCUGGUGGUGGCUUCUCGAAGGGGGGAUGCUCAGGGUAAUCACCAAGUGAGGGGGUGGUGAGAACCACCAUGCCAAGCAACAACACUAGCAAGUAUGUAGUAGACAUCUUUGGGUUUGGACUCAGACAGUGCAAAACUACGAGAAAUCGCUAGCCCUUUAUAGCGGCUCGGACCUAAUACUGACAUAAUAUAAAAUAAAUAUUAUAUUUUAUCAAGAGAGAACAGAGUGUAAUUUUAUCAUUAAUACCGAUCGAGGCCAAAGAAAGAAGACCCAUAAUCCAUUUCCCACAAGCAUACACAAUGCAGCUGUAAUUUUAUCAUUUACUUUUAUCCCUUGGACCACUGCAUUUUUGUUGAGAGACACAAUAACACAUUUUUAUCUGUCAUUCAACAUUUACAGUAAAGAGAGGGCACAAAACGCAAUUAGAUAAAUUAUGUUUUGCCUGCUAAAAAGAGGCAAAUAACUUUAUUUGCAACAUAAUUAUUUUGGUUUCUAGUGACCCCGGGGCCUUUCGGUUGGUUUGGGAUCGGAAAAUGAACAUCAUAGGGGGGGUUGUGCCCUUAUGGGCAUAUAUAUCUGAUAGCUUCAACUGGCCUUGUUCCUAGAAAGAAAUUGCCAAAGAUAUAAACUUAUUCCAGGCUGAAAGUAGAUGAGAGUCAUAAUGAACAUCAACCUUUGUUCAGUUUGAUUCAAUGCCCCCAUAGUGUUCAUUUCACAGAUCUGAAUGAUUAUAUCCGUUGAAUACAUAAAUUAAUGAAGACAAAUAUGAAACCCAAGAUACAUCUCUGCAUAACAACCCCAACCCUGGUUGCUAUGUUUCCCUUCUUCUAUUCACAUGAGGAUACUGGUUAUAAUUGUCAAACUUGCAACAAGCCCUUUGACACCUAACGUCAAUGGACGAAUUAAAAGUCUCCUUCAAACGUCUAUUUCACAGCAUGAAGCUUAUAAAGGAUGCUGACAACCUUCAGAGUUAGCGACAAAAGAUAAUUAUCAAGGAGAGAUAGUUCCAUGAGAAUUCCAAGGAGUCUGAAUCAAAGACAAAUUGCUCACUCAAGGGUUCUUAUUUUCUUUUAGGUACAAAUCUCUUGAGUGUUGUUAAAGAAACACGUCACUGUCAUUUUGAUUUGCAUUUAACAUUUCACUUUUGUUCUGGAAGGUUUGUUCCGGAAACAUAUCAAAUGAGCAUCAUUUUCUUCUUCGGUGACACAUGGUCGCGAGUACGUGGGUCCAUUUUCAUGCCACUUAGUUGAAAAGUUGGAAAGAAAAAACAUGCCAACAAGAAGAUAGUGAGAGAAGGGGCACUUCAAGCCUUUAACAUGAACAAACAGUAAAUAAAAGAUGUUUCUCCACUCAUAAAAGUGUGUUAGAUAGCAAUAUAACGAAUCACAUCCAAAAUCUUUACUAGGCUCAAACAUAAAGAAGACUCAUUUUUAAGAAAAGAUAAAAAUGGCAUUGUCUGAUAGUAUCCAAUACACGAGAUGGCACUUAAUUUGUACAAGAUCUGUCAAUGCUGACGCACAUUUUCUGAUUAAAAAAAAACUGAUCAGUCAAAAGCAAUGAAGAGAAGUGAUGACAAUGAAUGAUGCUUCCAAUAUUUUCACCCCUUAUAGUGUUCUUCAUGAUUCAGAUAUAUAAUUGGAAAUAGAACAACCCUAUGCCAUACAUUCGUCUAAGUAUGGUGUCUAAUUUUUUGUGUCAGCGGUUGCGAAUGGAGCGUGCAAAAGUCCAAAUUGGCGUCUCUCCAUUUCCACAUAGGAAGGUGACCUUUAUUGACAAAUACCCAAUAUUUGUAGACAUUCCUUAAAUAUCAUAACUUCUUGUUGAUUUGAAAAUCAUUUUUCAACUACCAUGUUUUAAUAAAUAUUUUUUAAAAUGUAUUUUUAUCAAAGUCCACCAUGAUGGAUAAUAUUCACCAUGCAAUAAUUAAUAAAGUACAAACUAAGCGAAAUGAAAAGCAUUUUCUUUGCUUUGAGUUGAUUUUGGUUGCAUUGAGUUGAUUUUGGUUUCAUGGUUUUUUCAACUCUUAUUUUGAUUGGAAGAUGUCAAGAAAAGAAAACAUAAAGAAAAAUUAAAAGGGAAAAAAGAAGAAAAAUAAAAAAAAAUAGAUUUAAAAGUUAAUAAAUUAUUUUUUAUAUUUAUUUUAAUUCAUUUCACUUAUUUUUCUUUUACUAUAUAAAAUUUAAAUAAUUUAAAUUUUAUAAUUAAUUUAAUUACAUUUCAUUUUCUUCUAUAUUUAAAUAUUGGAAAAAUAUUUUACUUAAUAUUUUUUUCUUUAAUUUCUUUGGCAUUUUGGGAACCAAACUUAGCCUUUAAAAUAAAAAACAAAAAAAAAAUGAAAAUAAGGAGGGAAAAGUGAGAAAAGAUAAAAACAAUAUGUAAAGGAUUUGAAAAGUAUUAGUUUGUAAUUACUAUUUGGAUUUCAAUAGUAUUUUAUUUGUCUUUCUAUAUUUCAUGUAAGAGAGAAUUUAAGAUAUUCCCCAAGGCAAAGCAUUAGUUACCUGCAAUCAGUGGUGAUAAGGCUCCAAGCCAAUUUUGGGCCCCAUAUCUUAAGACAGUACAAUUUCCAUUUCAACAUUUCUGAUUUCUCAGAUGUUUCACAUACCACAGAAGAACAUUGUUUGUGAAAAUAUGCAUUUAUGUUGGAUUUUGUAUGCUGUGGGGACUGGGGCAAGGAUCAUAUGGAAGAGUGGUUGACUUUUUCUGUACUUUAACGGUUGAAAUAGGAUAAGCACGGGCAUUUGUGAGGCUUAAUUGAUUUUGAAGCCUGAAAUUGCGUUUCUGUCAUUUUGUCAAAAAAAUGGCAGAUUCCAUACUCAUAUGUUUGGCCUGUGGCCAUGUACAGAUGCCAUUUAGUGACCAGUUUGUAACUGUCAAUCGUUGCGUUUUGACUCUGCCUCAACAACAUCUGCCAUUGACGGGUUUUCAUACUUGCAAAUCAAAUAGUCUUUCGUCCCAUCAGGAAUUUCGGUUUAAAUAUUAUUAAGCAUACGUUUGGCUGACAAUCAUUAUCCAGUUCAUGAUUUGGUUUCUUACCCUUAAUCAAUGGUUUCUAAGUGAAUAUAUGUAGAAGGAAAUCCGAAGUGUAGACAGUAGUAUCGAUAACUCUCAAUAUUCUCUAUAUAAUAGAAUAAACAGCGUCAUAGUGAUCGUCGCCUACAAGCAAGGUACAAAUACCAAAACGAGUGACUCACAUAGACAUCUCCCAACAAGAUGUAGUAGUGACUGACACAUGGACACAAUUAACUCGUAGAAAAGGAUAAGACCAUUGCACAGCAGCUCUUAUUUUACAUACUACUUAUGCUAACCAAAGUCAAUUAGUUGGGAUGGGUGGGAGAUGGAGGUUUGUGCGGUGGCUUGUGGGGCGGAGUUGAUGGCUUCUUUCCAGGAGCUUCUGGCUUUUUCAUCGGAGCUGAAGGAGGCUCAAUCUUAUGAGGCGGCUUGUAUGAGUCUUCUUUACUCUCGACAGGAGGGUGGCCAGGGUUGUGAUCAUAAUGUGGUGGCUUCUCUCCCUUAGGUGGCUUGCCAACUGGGGUUGGUGGCUUGUGUUCAGGAAGUGGUUUCUCUCCCAUGGGAGGUUUAGCAAUUGGGGUUGGUGGCUUGUGUUCUGGGAGUGGCUUCUCUCCCUUGGGAGGUUUAGUAGGUGACUUGUGUUCUGGAGGUGGCUUCUCCACCGGAGGCUUGUGCUCCGGUGGUGGCUUCUUGGUUGGAGGGGGCUUGGGGUAAUCAGCAAGAGAUGGGGUGGUGAGAACCACCAGUCCAAGGAACAACACUAGCAAGUAUGUGGGAGACAUUUUUGAGUUUGGGCUGAUCAGAUGAUGCAAAACUAAAGCAUUACGUGACCUUUUAUAGCAUGUAGCUCCCAAUACCCACUAAGUAUUGUGGGGUCCAUUUGUGCCCUACGGGGUUGAAAACUUAGACAAUUGGGCAAGGACCCACCUGACUAUGGAGGACUAGUGAGGUGUGAUCAUAGCUUUAGGAUUUUUCUUCCUCUGCAGCCGUCGUGCCGUUGGCAUGAUUUUCUUAAUCUUAAAUAAAGGCAUAGUUAUAGAGUUGUUUAAUCUCUAAAUGGGAUUUUAUAUAUAUCUUCAGAUAGCCAUUAAUAUAUUUGAUGAAGAAAGAAAGACAAGUGCAUACAACAUGUAUACGACUAGCUUUCAUGGAGUUCAUUUAUGAUCAGUUUUCCUGUACAUGUAAACCAGGAUCAUAUAUAUGUUUCUGUUCCACAACUAUUUUGGAAUCUUGUUUAUCAGUUUUUAUCAUUAUAAUGUCACAUAGGCUGCCAACUUGGGCGCUAAAAGAACCAGUUGGGCUAGUUCGUUUCAGAAUUUCAAUGUGGAUUCAGGAAUUGUUUUGUAAGAUAUGCGAAAUAGUAGAGGGAUGAAUAGUGUUUCAUUAAUAAAAGUGUCCUGUAAAUUAGAAGGUGUCAUAGAAACUAUAAUCAAUAAAUAACUUUUUUUCCCCACGGGUGGUGUUUCUUGUGGGGAUCAGUGACUGGUUUAGGUUCACCCAAAAUGAGUUCAGACUAAAAUUGGUUUGAGUCAAUGCCGUGUCUCUUUUUUCCAGAAAUCAACUAUUUUAUGCAUUGAAUAAAUCAUACAAAGAAAAUAUGAACGCCCGCAAAACCUAAACCCUGGUUGCUAACUUUCUAUGUUUCAGUUCUAUUCACGCAAGAAUAUUAGUUUAAGUUUGGGAAAAAUGGCAACUUACCUAGUGAUUACUUGGUUUUGGUUUGCGACUAUUUACGCAACCAACCAUGAGUUUGACUUUAACGUCAUGGGUUGAAGCCUCCUACAGGAAGGGAGAAAGCUCCACAGCUAGCUCCAAAAGAGAAUUAUCACAUUGAUAGCUCCAGAGAUUCCCAAGGGGACUGAAUCAAAGACAAGUUCCUCACUUUUUCUUCUUUUGAGGCCAAAUAUGAACCAAGGAUCACACAACCUCAUUCAACUUCAUAAGUUUGAUUUCAUGCAGUUGAACACUGGGUGAAGGCCAUGACAAGAAUUGAUUCAAAAAUUCUAUCACUCUUUUAAGUAAUGGAAGAUUAUUAUCUCUGAUUGGCAUCACAACAGCACAUGCUCCUAGAUCUUUCUAGACACUCCAUGCAAUGAAAGCACAAUGGAUCUUGUAACGAUAGAAACUAAGCCAUGCUACAGUACUAGAUGAUGAGGUAAAACUAGUAGACACGGGUGGCAGCCUAUAUGGGAGGGACACAAGUCUAAUUGAUUUGCAUUUCAGCAUUAUAGAUAGGUAUGUUUUGGAAGAUUUGUUCUGGAAAUACCGCACCAAGUAGGAUUCUUUUUCUCUUUAGUGGGUCCACUUGCAUGCCAAUUAACGAGUUGAAAAGUAUGAGCACCUACCUCGUGCUCGUGGAACCGAAGGUCAGUGAAGUGGGGCUCCUUUUGGCCUCGUGUAAACUUGAUUCAGAAGUGAAGUUAAUAGUCUUCCAUUCAGAUGGAUACAUGGGAAUUUUUCUCUUUUAUUUAUUUAUUUAUUUUUUUUUUGUGUGUGUAUGUCAAAGGAUAAUGAAUGAAGCGCGUUAGCUUGUUUUCUGACUGGAACCGCAGAUGUCCAAAUUGGAGUUCCUUCAUUUCUUACUUAGGAUUGUUACAUGUAUAAACAAGGUAUAAGAAAUAUGCCAACGUGUCUUGAGGAGUUAUUGAUUAGAAAUAACAAGUCACCCGACUGUAGAGUUCCAAGAUUUGAAUCUUCAGACCCUAUAGCAGCCUCUGGGGUACGUGGCAUCCUAUAGCAUAUUAAUGAAGGCUUUUUCGAUUUAGACUUCACAAUACCAAUUAAUAUGUAUGCACAAAAUGGAGAUGACCCCAAAAAAAACAGAAUCGCCAUAGUUUAUGAGGUUAAGGUGAUUCUCCACUUAAUAUCUACAUUAGCUAAUUAUGUAAAUCAAAUGAACUUCUAUUUUUCCUUUUUUUUUUUGGUUUAUGUCAAAUAGUAGCCCAUAAUUAACCCAACCAUUAGCCUGUUUGAAUUGAUUUCACAUGCACAAUGUUGUAGUAGUUCAUAUUUUGAAUUUUAUUUUUACAAAGGUAGUUAAGGAAAAUGAAGUAUAAUAAUUAUAAAAGCAGACUAUAUACACUACAAUAAUUGUUAGAAUGGUAUCUCAAAUUCUAAUUUAAAAUAUUAUUUUUUGUAAAAGAAAUAUUAUAUAGAAUAUUUCCUAAUUUUAUAAAUGAUUAUAAUUAGAUCUUUAUAAAAUAAGGAAAGUUGGUAAGAAUAUCUUUAUAAAUAUUUUAGGUCAUGAGAGAAAGAAAUGGGAUAAAAAUGUGAUGAAGAGGUGAAAUAAGAGAGUUGAUUAGGAUAUAGAUGUGAAGAAGAAAGGGAUUCAAUAUAUAUAUAUCUUUCAAUUACCACAUUAAAACCCUGUGAACCUUUUAUAUGGUUUACUUUAUUUUUAUAUUCCUCCUUUAAUAUAUUUACAUUAAUGCUUCCAUUGGCACAACAAUAACGAAUUACAAAUACAAGCAACAAGUCCCAUGUUUUAUUACCAAAAGCAGGUAAAAUCCACCUAAUAUAUUACAAUAUAUUCAUCCAAUAUUUUAGACCAAUUCUUCACCAUAAAUAUCAUAAUGUGGCUUUUGUUCUUUCUUAAAUUUAAAUUGAAUUGUCUUAUAUCAAUUUGUUUGUGAUUUUUUCAUUAACUUCACUUUCAUUUGGUUAUCUUUGGUUUUUGAAAAGUAUUAAGGAAUUAAUUAACAAAAUAAUGUUAAGAAAAAUAAUUUUCUCUCUUUUGAUUUUGAUUUUGUAGUAGAAAAAUAUAAUUAAAAUUAUUUAAAAAGUAUGUAAUUUUAAAUUAUUUAAUAUUUAGAUAAAAAAAAUAAGUCUAAUGAGUUUAAAAUAACAUAUAAAAAUAAUUUAUUUAUUUUAAAUUUAUUUUUUAUUUUCCAUUAUGUUCUCUUUCUCUUUUACUUUUUCAUAUUUUUUCUUACGAAGAAUCAAACACAACCUCAUAUUAUAUGUCAAGUGUUUGUCUAUAUUUGAGCAAUGUUAGAUACGGCCAUGGAUUCAUCAAACUAAACUGAUUUUAAUAGAUACUUCACAAAUUGAUUUAUACACUAAAUCAUUGGAUAGCAAUGAUGCAUUGGAAUUAAACGUAGGAUGAAGCUCGAAGAACACUGUUUGUGUAACAACAUAUUUAUGAAAUUAUGCAAAGGAUGAGCUUCGGGGUAGUAGUACAAGGUCAUUAAUGGAGAGCCGUGUUAAACCUUGAUUGUGAUUGGAUUCCGUUAUCAGCAACAGCAACCUUGUUUGUAACCUUGAAAGUCAUUCUGUCCACAUCGAAACUCCAAUUUGACGUUUGUAAUUACCAUUCCUGGAGUGUUCCUUGAUUGAAAUUUAAAUAAUAAUUGCGGCCCACAAGGAAUAUUUUCGAUUCUGUGGGAAUUUGACAAGGUUUGUUAGAGAAGACUGGUGACAUGUUGACUUCAAUGGUUCAAAUAGGAGACGUAUGUGGAUUUGGGGGGUUUAAUUGAAACUGAGUCCCUAUGGCUUUUUAAUAUUUGCAUUGAGCAGUCUCCAUGUGACUUCCUAAUUCCCACCAACCCUCCUGUCCAUGCUGUGAAACUAAAUUGUAAUUUAUCAGCCUUUGUCAAUGGUUUCUAAAUUAAAGAUAUAGACCAUGCAUGUACUUUAAUAAAAGCAAAUCUAAAGUGUAGAUAGCAGCAAUGGUGACACCCAAUAUUCUCCAUAAAAUAGAAUUAGAAUAAGCAGUGUUACAUUGUUCAUGAUCACCUACAAGCAUACAAGAACUUCCAUGAAUAACUCAUAGCAAUUGCCAACAGGGCGUCGUAGAGACUCAUACAUAGAACACUAUCCACCCAGAGGAAAGGACAAGACCAGUGCGCUGCAGCUCUUAUUUUUCACAUGUAUACCACCACUCGUAAUAACCAAAUUCACUCAGUUGGGAUAGGUGGGAGAUGGUGGUUUGUGGGGUGGCUUGUGGGGAGGAGUUGGAGGAGGCUUUAUUUUCUGAGGCGGCUUGUAUGAGUGUGCAGGAGGAUGCCCGGGAGUGUGACCAUAAUGUGGUGGCUUCUCUCCCGUAGGUGGUUUGCCAAAUGGGCUUGGUGGCUUCUCUCCCUUAGGAGGUUUACCAAUUGGGGUUGGUGGCUUGUGUUCUGGGAGUGGUUUCUCUCCCUUGGUAGGUUUGCCAAUUGGGGUUGGCGGCUUAUGUUCUGGGAGUGGCUUCUCUCCCUUGGGAGGUUUGCUAAUUGGGGUUGGCGGCUUAUGUUCUGGGGGCGGCUUCUCUCCCUUGGGAGGUUUGCCAAUUGGAGUUGGCGGCUUAUGUUCUGGGAGUGGCUUUUCUCCCUUGGGAGGCUUGCCAAUUGGGGUUGGCGGCUUAUGUUCUGGGGGUGGCUUCUCUCCUUUAGGAGGUUUGCCAAUUGGAGUCGGCGGCUUAUGUUCUGGAAGUGGCUUUUUUCCCUUGGGAGGUUUGCCAAUUGGGGUUGGCGGCUUAUGUUCUGGGGGUGGCUUCUCUCCCUUGGGAGGUUUGCCAAUUGGAGUCGGCGGCUUAUGUUCUGGGAGUGGCUUCUCUCCCUUGGGAGGUUUUGUUGGUGGCUUGUGUUCUGGAGAUGGCUUCUCCCCUGGAGGCUUGUGCUCCGGAGGUGGCUUCUGAAAUGGCGGGGGCUUGGGGUAAUGAGCAAGAGAUGGAGUACUGGUGAGAACCACCAUUCCAAGCAACAAUACUAGCAAGCAUGUGGGAGACAUCUUUGAGUAGUUGUAGCUAAGAUGGCGCAACACUGUAGGCAUUGGGUGGCCUUUUAUAAAGGGCUGGACCCAACAGCCAUAUGACACGUGUCAUGAUGACAAAUGAAGUUGAGGGGAUCCAGAUGGGUCCUACUGAGUCGAAAACUUGCACUAAUUGAUCUGGUGAGAUGACUAUUUCUGUCCUUUUGCCCUUCUCGGCCACCCUGUGCUGUUUUCCUUUUGCACGAUUUUCGUUGCCAAACAAGCAAAUAAUAUUUCGCCAAGAAAGAGGAGAGUGAAUGUGGAAUGCAUCAAGUCCCAUCAAGGAUGGCAGAGAAGAAAUAGAAGAUUGCCCAACUGUGAUAAACAUAGCAUACACGUAGCACCAGGAACUUCAUUUACUUCCAUCUAAUGGAACAUAACAAUCUUCUAAAGUUUUUGCAUGAUUUUGUUAUAUGUCUCUUAGCCUAAAGUUGGAAAUGCGCAACAAAUUUUGUCACUUCUCUAUUUCCCACUGAUGAUGUUAAUUAGCCUUCAUAGAUAUCAUCCUUUCUACAAAGUGCUUCAUUUGUGUGUUAUUGUAAAGUGUAAGAAAAGUAAUUGAACAUGUUCUUUUUCCUUUCAUAGAUGACUUUUGAUGUGCAUUUUAAAAGCAGCGCUGUGAGUCGGUGACCUUGAUUCACACGGAAACUAAGGCUCCUAUAGGACCCACUUUUAGCUGGUUAGGGGUGAAGAAAAUAUCAACUUUUCAGAGUGAUUUAAGUCAAGGCCAAGCCUCACUGUGUCAUUACUCGUGUGAAUUUUAUAUGCACAUACAUACAUAAAUAAAGUAUGAGACCCAAAUAACACCUUCCCUUUACAAACUUAACCCCAGCCGCUCUCUUUCAAUUCUUUUCACACAAGGGUAUUGACUCUAUAAAGGUCAAGAAAAUCAUAAUUUCCUAGGGUUUACAAGGUAAUUGGCUUAAUGCUAAUGUGAAAACAUAAAAGAUAAUAGUAUAUUGUAAGCUAACGAAUAUUCUAUAGUUAUAAUUAUUUGUGAUGUGCAUAAAUAAAUCUUCAUAUAUAUAAUGGAACAAUGAAUAAAGAACCAAUGAAAAAAUACUAUAUAUCAUUGCUUGGCAUUUAAACCGUAUAUGCUGCUCUUUCUAGCUACUCCAUCCACUGAAAGACAACAAGGUAAUCCAUGUUAUAAUGAUAGAAGAUACUGUCUCUAGGCUUUUUGUGAUGAAAAAUAUAAGAUAUGGGUAGGGUUGACCCUUGUAUGUUUGUCCUAUAAACACUUCAAAGUAACAUAUUUUUCUUCUUUAGCAACUCAUAAUGAUGGGGUUCAUUUGCAUGUCACUGAGUUGAAAAGUUGGACAAUUGCCCAUGUCGCCUUCCUCCUAGAUUCCGUAGUUCACGGGAAGGUAACUCAAGUUUGACAUAUUUUGAAUUCUUUUCACUCGGACGUCUUCAUAACCUGACAAAACAAAAAUGAAAAACAGAGGAUUGGUAUAUUAUUCAUGGUAAGCCUCAAAUUAUAGUAGUAUGAGAAAGGAGAAAAAGAUUUUGGGAACUCCAAUCUGGAUAAUUCUCGUUUCUUCUCUUGAAUAAAAAUUUCACUUACCUAACUUCGUUUGGAGAAAUGGCAUAUUUUAAUUUUGUACGUCAUUGCUAAUAAAUGGAGCAAUUUAGCAUGUUUUGUGACUGAAACUGCAAAUGUCCAAUUGGCAUUUCUUCAUUUCCCACUUAGGAUCUGAUCUUGUAGACCAUAUAACGAUAUGUAUCUGUGCAAGCAUUGAAAACUAAUGUGAACUAUGAGGAGUUACAAGCCACUGGACUGUAGAGCGAGUGCCAAGAUUUAAAUCUUCAGGCUCUAUCUGGGUAAGGGGAGGAUAGCGACCUAACCUUUUACCAAAGGCUUAGAAUUUAGACUUUUGGAAAAAAAUUUCUCAUGUUUUGGCUGGAUUUCUUGUGCUUGGCGCAAAAAGGAGAUGGCCUCAAGAAAUAGCAGACUCACUUUUGUUUUCAGCCCUUAAUAAUUCUCCACUGCUUUCCAUAACUACAUGGGUUAUACAUGCAGUCUGCUGCAAUAUUCCAGUUAUAUUUAUUAUUUCAAAGAGGGUGAAUGACUUCACAUGCAAUAUGUUGCAGUAACAACCCAAAUUUUGGCACACCAUCUUAAGAAUAGAAAAGUAUAAUAAAAGAAAUCAAUCAGAGAAUCACUUUGCAUGCAGUUCAUAGAGUUCGCCCAAAAUGGAGCCACAUGUACGGACAACCCCACAAUAGACAAUCUUCUCUAUACAGUAAUAAAAUACAGAAAUGGUUAAUGAAGCUCUGUAUUUCCUUAUCAUAUAUGACCGGUUGAAAACUCAGCAAGUCUUCCUCAAUCACAGACAGUUGGAGUUGCUUCAUCAAAAUCAUGCCUUCAUUACUGGCUUCAUUUUGGUUUCAAUGUCUGUUCUACCCUUAAAUUGGGUCUCUGCUUACUACCGGGAUAUCCUUUAGCGUCCUGCAAUUCUACUAGAUUAAAGAGAAUGACUUAAUUCUGCAUUCUGCCGUCCCUAGUCCAAGUGGUACUAGAAUUGAUGUUUCCUUUAGUGUCCUUUCUUCAUACUUUCAGGUUCUUCCCUUGUUUCAAUAAUGCUGUUUUCCUUCAUGUUUAACCUCUGUUGAACCACUUAAAACAACACAAUUUGCACACCAAUGUUUCUUUACAGAAAAGACUGUUUGCAAAAAUGCACAUGUUAUAAGGUUAAUGGAAGAAUUAAUUUGGGGAUAAGGGACUAGGAUUGGGCCAAUGAAGUUUGGUGUUAAAUUUUGAUUAUGAUUGCUUUUCAUUAUCAGGUACCUUAUAUUUGCUGAUGCUAUCUGGAACUAAAUUCAAAUCAGACAUUAUCCGAUUACUAACAGGACAUAUCAUGUCCCUCUGCAGAGUUUCUAAACUAACAUGUAUCGAAAUGUGGCCCCAAAAGGAAGGCUAGGAAGAUGGAGGAUUUUGUAGGAAUCGACCAGAAUCAGAUGGAAGAGAGAUAGUCCUGUUGACUUUAAUGGUUGUGAUAGGAACAUGCAUCAUUAUAUGAGAAGUUGCAUGAAUUUAUGUAUCCUGUUAUCGUUCCUUGACGAUUUCCCAAUGCAAUUUCACUGUCCACAAGACUAACCUCUCCAUGCAGUCAAAUGAAUUGUAAUUUCUCUAUUGGUACCAGUAGUACAUUUCAUACCAAACAUAUAGUAAAUAUAAAAUAUAAAUAGAUCAAGGAAAUCUGAAUUGUAGAUAGCACUGCAAGUAACACUCAAUAUUCUCUAUAUAUAAUAAAAUAAACAGUGUCACAAUACUCAUCACCCAGUGGCAAGGGAGAAAAACCUACAAUGAGUACUCAAAUCACCAUUCUCAAACAGAAACAUAGCAGUGACUGAUACAUAGAACCUAUAUGCUCACAGGGAAAGAAUAAGAUGACCAGUGCACAGCGGGCAGCAGCUCUUAUUUUACGUACAACUCAAAUCCCAAACUAACCAAAGUCGCUCAGUUGGGAUGGGUGGGAGAUGGUGGUUUGUGGGAUGGCUUCUGGGUAGGAGCUGGUGGCUUCUGUCCCUUUGGUGGUUUGCCUAAUGAGCUUGGUGGCUUGUGCUCCGGGAGUUGUUUCUCUCCCUCGAGUAGGUUUCGAGUCUUGUCAGAUGGCUUGUGUUCUGGUGGUGGCUUCUCUCCCUGGGGUGGUUUGCCGAAUGGGCUUGGUGGCUUGUGUUCGGGGAGUGGCUUCUCUCCCUGGAGAAGGUUACGAGUUUUGUCAUAUGGCUUUUGUUCUGGUGGUGGCUUCUCUCCCUGGGGUGGUUUGCCGAAUGGGCUUGGUGGCUUGUGUUCGGGGAGUGGCUUCUCUCCCUGGAGAAGGUUACGAGUUUUGUCAGAUGGCUUGUGUUCUGGUGGUGGCUUCUCUCCCUGGGGUGGUUUGCCGAAUGGGCUUGGUGGCUUGUGUUCGGGGAGUGGCUUCUCUCCCUGGAGAAGGUUACGAGUUUUGUCAGAUGGCUUUUGUUCUGGUGGCGGCUUCUCUCCCUGGGGUGGUUUGCCAAAUGGGCUUGGUGGCUUGUGUUCGGGAACUGGCUUCUCUCCCUUGGGAGGUUCAGUUGGUGGCUGCUGUUCCGUAGGUGGUUUCUUCACCGGCGGCUUGUGCUCCGGAAGCGGCUUCUCUACCU